UCCUUGGAACUGCCGUCAUCCCAUUGUCUUUCUAAAUUAAAGAUCAUAAAAUGCCCUAACUUGGCAUCCUUCAAUACGGCAUCAUUACCUCGUCUUGAGGAACUAAGCCUGCGUGGAGUCAGAGCAGAGGUACUGAGGCAGUUCAUGUUUGUCUCUGCUUCUUCUUCAUUGAAGUCUCUGCGUAUACGGGAGAUUGAUGGUAUGAUAUCUCUCCCAGAGGAGACGCUUCAAUAUGUUUCCACUCUCGAAACUCUCUACAUUGUUAAGUGCUCUGGUUUGGCAACAUUACUACACUGGAUGGGCAGCCUUUCCUCGCUUACGGAACUUAUUAUUUAUGACUGCUCUGAAUUGACAUCACUGCCAGAAGAGAUCUAUUCCCUAAAAAAACUGCAGAAAUUUUAUUUCUGUGAUUAUCCACACCUACGGGAAAGAUACAACAAGGAAACAGGUAAAGACCGGGCCAAGAUUGCUCAUAUCCCACAUGUUCGUUUCUACCUUGAUUCCGAUAUGGAAUGGCAGGUAGGUCCGAAAUCCCUAACCUUUCUUCCCAUUUUUAUUAUUUAAGAAUCAAAAUGCUAUGUUUUCAUUUUGUCUCUGGUAGUUCUUUUAUGUUGGCACCUCAUAUGUUUGUUUAAAUGCUCACAUCAAUAACUUUUUGAAAAAUUUUCCAGAUUAACAUCAUUUGCUGAUGCUGUGCACUAAACUAAUCAUUUUACUUGGGAGUUGUACAUUCUAAGAGUUUGAGGAAAUAUUGAGGUCUGGUAUGAUAACUCUCAAUCCUUGGAACUGCAUUCAUCUCCUUCUCUUUCUCGAUUAACAAUCCAUGAUUGCCCAAACUUGGCAUCCUUCAAUGUGGCAUCAUUACCUCGUCUUGAGGAACUAAGCCUGCGUGGAGUCAGAGCAGAGGUACUGAGGCAGUUCAUGUUUGUCUCUGCUUCUUCUUCAUUGAAGUCUCUGUGUAUACGGGAGAUUGAUGGUAUGAUAUCUCCCAGAGGAGCCGCUUCAAUAUGUAUCCACUCUCGAAACUCUCUACAUUGUUAAGUGCUCUGGUUUGGCAACAUUACUACACUGGAUGGGCAGCCUUUCCUCGCUUAAGGAACUUAUGAUUUAUGAAUGCUCUGAAUUGACAUCACUGCCAGAAGAGAUCUGUUCCCUUAAAAAACUGCAGAAAUUUUAUUUCUGUGAUUAACCACACCUAGAGAAAAGAUACAACAAGGAAACAGGUAAAGACCGGGCCAAGAUUGAUCAUAUCCCACGUAUUAAUUUCCAAAGUGAUCGAGUUAUGGAAUAUAAGGUCCGAAAUCCCUAACCUUUCUUCCCAUUUUUAUUAUUUAAGAAUCAAAAUGCUAUGUUUUCAUUUUAUUAUUAUGUUUUCAUUGUAUCCCUGGCACCUCAUAUGUUUGUUUUUACUGCUCACAUUAAUAAUUUUGAAAUUUUUUUCCAGCUUGGAUACGCUUUCCGAUGAUGUGCACUAAACUAACAAUUUUACUUGGAGUUGUACAUUCUAAGAGUUUGAGGAAAUACUGAGGUCUGAUAUGAUAACUCUCAAUCUUAAACGUUGUUUUGUGUUUGGAACGUUACUACACUUGAUACAUACCCUCACCUCACUUACAGAGCUUGGAAAUCGUGGCUGCCUUGAAUCGACGUCACUGUCAGAAUAUAUGUUCCCUCAAAAACCUGCAGACACUAAAUAAUCUGCAUCUGUUCACAGAAAGAUGCUGAAAGGAAAGGUGAAGACCAACCCAAGAUUGCUCAUAUGCCACAAAUUGAUAUCAUACAUCCAUGAAGAUUGAACUGAUACACAAUGCCUUUCAGGUCUGAAAUCCCUAACUUUUCUUCUCAUUUUCUAUGACUUCAUUUUCAUUAUCUUACUUUUAAAAUGCUCUGUUUUCAUUUGUUUUGGUAGUUCUUUGUAUUUGUGCCUUACUUGUUUGAUUAAAUGCUUACAUCUUCAAAUUAUUUUAUUCUAAGUGUUUUGCAUUCUAAGAGUUUGAGGAAAUACUGAGCUCUAAUAUAACUAGUAGAGUCCACCAUUCCUAAGAAGCUUACCAUUUCCUAGUGCCCAAAGGAUCCCGAAAGGAGACAACUUUGGAUUGGCUUGAAGAUUUCCCAUGGUCCAAAAAUUUGUAUUUACUAGACGCUUGAUACAAAAAGUAGUUUAAAUUUAGCCAUUAAUAUAACUUUUUUAUUAGAGAAAUAAUUGCCAAACAAAUGCAAAAUAGAAAAUGGUGUUAAUGAAUUCAGUCCUUCAUCUAUAUUGCAGUUUAGCAGCUUUUGUUAGAUAACAGGUAUGGGGUUGGGUUUAUUAUGUUACCAUUCCAAAUAUUCUUAAAAAAAUCAUCAAGGCUUUGUUUGUUUUCUUGAAAAUUUGAAGGAAAAAAUAAAGAGAAAAAGUGGAAGGAAAAAAAAAAGUGGAAGUCAAUAAAUUAUUUUUAUAUUAUACUUUAAACUCAUUUCACUUUUUUUUAACUCUUUGAUUUAAAGAUUAAAUAAUUUGAAAAUGUAUAAAUUUAUAAUUAAUCUUAAUUAUAUUUGAUUUUCUUUGGUAUUUUCCAUAGGACAAUUAAACUUGAGAAAAUCAUUUUCCUUAACAUUAUUUUCUUAGUACUUUUCGGGAACCAAGCAUAACCUAAAUGUUCUAGUUUAGUUUAGCAGCUUCAUCAAAUUAGAUAGACAACCUCACAUCUCUUAUUCAGCUGAGGUGUUAUGUUAGUUAAUGUUUUGUCUCUGCUUCUUCAUUGAAGUCUGUCUAUUGGAUGCACAGAUGAUAUGAUCCAAACUUAAAUUGAACGUUGCUCUUGUUUUGCAACAUUACUGUACUAGAAAGGCAACUUGAACUCACUUAUAGACCUACCUAUUGGUGACUGCAUUGAAUUGACAUCACCUUAGAAGAGAUGUGUUCCACAUGGAAAAUCUUUCAUUAUAUGCACCUACUUGCAAGAUACCAAAAGGAAACGGGUGAAUACUUGCCCAAGAAUACAAAGGGCCACACUUGGUGAAGGUUUCAUCAGUAAGGAGAACCAUUUCAAGUAUGAAAUCCUCCAUUCUCAUUUUUUGAUGACUUCAUUUUUAUUCAAUAUCCAUUUGAAAUAAUUUAAGUUCAUUUUCUUUAGAUAUUAUAUUUUCUUGCUUGCUCAAUAAUUUCAUUCAAGUAAGUUGUUUGGAUAUCACAUUUUCUUUGGGUUUUUUUCUUUUUAGAAUAAUUUCAAAAUGUCAUUUUUUACUAUUCACAAAAUUUGAUCAUAGUUGAGUGAUUAAAAUUCAAGUUUAUUCUUAUUAUCAUUAGUAGUUAUUUGAUAUAUUUGUUUGCUAAUACAAAAAUAAGACUAACAAGUAAUGUGCAUAGAGUUUGUAGAAGAGAAGAAAGAUUUGAUCCAAGAUAUUCCUAAAGAUCGGAAACUUUCAAAGCCACCCAAGAUCCCACAGGUUGAAUUCAGAUUCAUUCAGUUUACAAUCCAUUAAUUCUACUUAUAUCAUCUUUGUUAUGUUACAAUUUGCCUUUACUUGUUAUGCAGCCUACCUUAAUAAUUUGGGGAGACCAAGAUAAGGUAUUCCUAGUAGAAUUGGCUCACAAAUUGAAAAGGUAAACUUGUAUCACCUACCUACAUACCUACAACAAUACAAACACUAGCUCAUGUCUUUCUCACUAUUGAAAUUGUUAUUGCAUGCAGACAUUUCAGGUGAGGAGGCCCAACUUGUGAUCAUAGAGCAUACUUUUAUUAUAGAGAAGCCCAAGGAAAUAUUUAAGCACUUGAAAUCCUUUCUCAUUGAUUUGCUUCCACCUCCCAAGCAACACCUAGAACCACUCGCACCAUGACGAAGUUAAAAGGAACUAAUGCAACAUUCUCAAUAUAUUAGAAUAUAUCGAAGGAAGGGUGGCCACAUAUGAAGACCCUAUUCCAAGGUCAAAUUUUAGAUUUUUGUGUUUUUCUUAUCACUAUUCCUAUACUAUUACUAGUGCACCUUAUUUGUCAAGAUGAUUAAAAGGGAAUUCCCUAGGAUAACUAGUGUCUCAAGUGAUCUUGAGGUUCAUAAAUUUUUGGUUUCCAUAAGAUAGGUGCCAACUAUUUUUAUUUUUUUUACACCCAUGCAAUAUUCCGGUCAUCUAUUAACAAAGGCUAAAAUUUCUUGUAGAGAAUAGAAUAAAGAACUAAAUUACAUGCAAAUAGGACAUUAUUAUUCUAUUUACAAGUAAGGGCCAAAAAUUAUUGAGGGCCAUCAAGCACAUUGUUCCUAAAAUAAUAGCAUCCAUGUUGUUGAGCAAAAGUUUUUUUAUAUUGGCACCUCAUAUGUUUGUUUAAAUGCUCACAUCAAUAACUUUGAAAAUAUUUUCCAGAUUUUCAACAAAUUGUAAUGUUGUGCACUAAAUUAAUCAUUUUACUUGGAGUUCUACAUUCUAAGAGUUUGAGAAAAAACUAAGGUCUGAUAUGACAACUCUCAAUCUUAAAUGUUGUUUUGUGUUUGGAAUAUUACUGCACUUGAUAGAUGCCCUUACCUCUGUUACAGAACUUGGAAUUCAUGGCUACCCUGAAUUGACAUCCCUACCAGAAGAUAUGUUCCCUUAAAAGCUUGCAGACACUAAACAAUUUGCAGCUGUUCACACUUAGAGGAAAGUUGCUGAAAGGAAAAGUGAAGACUAACCAAAGAUUGCUCAUAUCCCACAAAUUGAUAUCAUACAUCCAUGAAGAUUGAACUGAUACAGAAUGUCUUUUAGGUCCGAAAUCCCUAACUUUUCUUCUUAUUUUCUAUGACUUCAUUUUUAUUAUCUUACAUUCAAAAAUCUUCUGUUUUCAUUUGUUUUGGUAGUUCUUUUUAUUUGCACCUUAUUUGUUUUAUUAAAUGCUUACUCCAGUAAGUUUGAAAAUUUUUACAUCUUCAAAUCAUUUUGCUUGAGUGUUUUGCAUUCUAAGAGUUUGAGGAAAUACUGAGCUCUAAUAUAAAUAGUAUUGGUCAUAGAGUCUUCCUUUCUUAAGAAGCUUACCAUUGACCUAAUGGCCAAAGGAUCCCAAAAGGAAACGACUUUGGGUUGGCUUGAAAAUUUCACAUGGUCCAAACAUUCAUAUUUACUAGAUGCCUGAUAUAAAAGAACUUUUGUUCUCUUUUCAAUUUAGCCAUUGAUGUAGUCUAAAUGUUUUAUUAGAGCAAUAAUUGUCGAGUAAAUGCAAAAUAGAGAAUGGUGUUAAUGAAUUCAGUACUUCAUCUAUGUUGUAGACUUGUAGUUUAGCAGCUUCUGCUGAUAAUGAGUGUGGGGUUGGCUUUAUCAUGUCACUGUUCCAAAUAUUCUUUAAAAAAUCAUUUAAGCUCUGUUUGGUUCUUAGAAAAUUUGAGGGAAAAUGUGAGGAAAACAAAAUAGAGAGGAAAAGUGGAAGGAAAAAAAAAGUGAAAGUCAAUAAAUUAUUUUUGUAUGCUACUUCAAACUCACUGCACUCUUUUUAACUCUUUAAUAUAAAAAUUAAAUCAUUUGAAAAAUGUAUAAAUUUCUAAUUAAUUUUAAUUAUAUUUGAUUUUCUUUGGUAUUUUCCAAAAGACAACCAAAUAUGAGAAAAUCAUUUUCCUUAACAUUUUUUUUCUUAGUACUUUUAGGGAACCAAACAUAACCUAAAUGUUUUAGUUUAGUAGUUUCAUCAAAUUAGAUAGAUAACCUCACAUCUCUUAGUGAGCUGAGGUGCUAUGUUAAUUAAUGUUUUGUCUCUACUUCUUCAUUGAAGUCUCUAUCUAUUGGACGCACAGAUGAUAUGAUCCAAACUCAAAUUGAACACUACUCUUGUUUUGCAACAUUACUUUACUCAAUAAUUUCAUUCAAGUUCUUUGGAUAUCGCAUUUUCUUUGGUGUUUUUUUUAGAAUAAUUCAAAAUGUCUUUUUUAACGGUUCACAAAAUUUGAUUACAGUUGAGUGAUUAAAAUUCAAGUUUAUUAUUAUUAUUAUUAUUAUUAUUAUUAUUAUUAUUAUUAUUAUUAUUAUUAUUAUUGGUUAUUUGAUAUAUUUUUUUUCUAAUAGAGACAAAAGACUGGCAGCUAAUGUGCAUAGAAUUUGUAGAAGAGAAUAAAGAUUUGAUCUAAGCUAUUCUUAAAGACCAGAAACUUUUAGAGCUACCCAAGAUCUCACAGGUUGAAUUUUGAUUCACCUAGUUUACAAUCCACUAAUUAUCCUUAUAUCAUUUUUGUUAUGUUACAAAUUGCCUUUACUUAUUAUGCAACUUGUCUUAAUAAUUUGGGAAGACCAAGAUAAGGUCUUCCUAGUAGAACUGGCUUACAAAUUGAAACGGUAAACUCAUAUCACCUAUCUACAUGCCCACAACAAUAUAAACACUAGCUCAUGUGUUCCUCACUAUUGAGAUUGUUGUUGCAUGCAGGCAUUUUGGGCGAGGAGGCUCGACUUGUGAUCAUCAAUAACACAAGGCAUGUUUUUAUACAGAGAAGCCCAAAGAAACUUUUAAGCAUUUUGUUAGCCCAAGGGUUCUCCUAAUCAGGUUUUGAUGAUAACAAACCAUGGUUAAGUGACUAAUUGGUUUGAAUGGUAAAGAAUCUUAGGUAUAAAUUUGGAAAUUCAUCAAAUGACCAAAUGGAUACAAGAUCGAGACUUUUGGAAGACUUUUGAUUAUAGGAAACAAAUGUAAGAUGAAUGCAUGGGUGCACUUAGGUUUUACAUAUCUUUUUAUGCAUCUUUGAAAACUCGGUUUAUUCCUUAAAAUUACGAUUUCAUUAAAACCCAGGUUUUAUCAAAUGUAUCUUAGGCAAAACGUUUCAAAAUUGGCAUAUCAAUUUACCUAAAGACCUUGCCUAAGUGUUAGAAAGGAAAAGAAUUGAAAAAUAUAGGUUUUCGGGGCUAAAAGACUGAACCGAUCGAGGCACAGUCAAUCGGCUCAACCAACCAGGGAACCGAACGAUCGGUUGCUCUUGUCCGACCGAGAUCUGGUCGAGGAGUGUCAAAAACACACUCUCUCAUCCAGUAGCCUUCUCUUCCCAGUCGAGGUACUCUCCUUCCCGAUCGACCUCUAGUCGAGGUUCAGUCGAGGCAACGGUAACCUACCAAAGCAUUAAAUGCUCCAACGGCUAGUGAACCAAUCGACCCCCAGCUCGACCGGUUAAGGCUGUUUUUUGCUUUUUUUGGCUCCCAAGCUUAGAAACCUAUAAAUUGAGAGCUCCACUUCAUUUAUGACAUAAAGAACACUUGCAAUCAAUUUUCUACCCACUUGUUCUUGCCUUAAAAGCUCUCAUUUAUUUCUUAGUGCAUUAAAUCCUCACUUGCAUAUCCUUUAGUGCACCCUUGUGAAUCAUCCUAGCUUUGAUUUGUAUUUGAGCUAUCAUUGAGCUAGAUUGAGGGCUUCAUUCUUGUAAAAAUUGAGUGUUAAAGCCUUCAAGAGGUUUGAAUCUUGAAGAGAUUAUGUAAGAGCCCAUUGGAGCCAGAAUCCAAGUUUAAAGGAGAUUGGAAGCUUUGUUGAAGCUUCAAGUUAGUGGAACCCUCACUCGGUUAGGAGAUUGAGGAGAGUGGACGUAGGCAAGGAAAUGUCGAACCACUAUAAAAUCCGAGUGUAAAUUUUCUAACUCUAUCUCUUUAUUUUUUAUUAUAUUGUGAUUGAAUUUGUUGUGUUGAAAAAGUUUUUGAAAAACCCAAUUCACCCCCCUAUUAGGUGUUUUUCUCAUUAAUUUGCUUCCACCUCAUAAGCAACCCUCAGAACCACUUACACCAUGACAAGGUGAAAAGAAACUAAUGCAACAUUCUCAAUAUAUCAGAAGAUAUCAAAGGAAGGUUGGCCACAUAUGAGGACCCUGUUUCUAAGGUAGAAUUUUAGAUUUUUGUGUUUUUCUUGUCACUGUUUCUAUACCAUUACUAGUGCACCUUAUUUUUCAAGGUGAUUAAAAGGGAAUUCCCUAGGAUAACUAAUGUCUCAGAUAAUCUUGAGGUUCACAAAUUUUUGGUUUCAACAAAAUAGACGUCAAACCAUUUUUAUUUUUUUCUACACCCAUGCAAUAUUCCAUUCAUUUAUUAAUAAGGACUAAAAUUUCUUGUAGAGAAUGGAAUAAAGAACUAGAUUAAAUGAAAUAAGACAUUAUUAGUCUAUUUACAAGUAAGGGCAAAAAAUUCUUAAGGGUCAUUAAGCACACUGUUCCUAAAAUAAUAACAUCCAUGUCAUUGAAGUUUAUUGCAAUUACAUUAGCAUAUAAAACAAAACUAUUUUUUUUUUCUUUAUGUUCACACCUUAUCCAUUUGAUAAAAUGCUUAAACAAGUAAGUUUGAAUUUUUUUUUUUUUUUUUUUUGUUUUCAAAUCAAUUUAAAUUUUACAUUCAAAAGUUGAAUUAUUAUUAUUUUUUUUGGAAAAUUUAACCGCACUUUAGAAGUUUGUGAUUAUUCUUUGGUCCAUCUUAAAAUGAGUUCCUGCAUUCUUCCAUUCCUCAAAUUAAAAUCACAAUAAAAAGUUUUAGAUUGACCUAAAAUUUUCUCAUGGCUUAGAAAUUCAUAUCUACUAGAUGGCUAAAGCAAAAAACACUUUUGCCUUGUAUUUUAAGUAAUCCUUGCCUGCUAUUUGUUUAUUGAGAGCAUCAUACAAGUUGUGAUUAUAUUUCUUAAUUUUUUUAUAUGAUAAGACAGUAAUUGGAUUGAGAAAGAUGCAACUUGUGGAGCAGAAAAUUUCUUAACUACUUCCCUUGUAUUUGCUUUGUGUGUAUCAACUGUUCUAUUAAUUAUUUUUUAAAAAUAUCACUAAAACAAACCUAUUAUGUCAGUGCUCUCUAUUGUUAUGUAUCAUAAUUUAGCUAUUUUUUCCCUAGAAAUCAUGCUUGUUAUUGUGUUAAUCAGUAGGUAGCAUAAGAACUAUUUUGUUCAAGUUAUUUUGUAUUGGCAUUCUUCAUGUUUCAAAAUAUUGUCAGACUAGCAAUUUUACUGCAGAUAUAAUGUUCUCAAAUCAAUGCAAAAAUGGACGAUUGUGGGUCUUGGGCACAACCUUCCUUGAAGAGUUGAAUUGAGGGUUUCUAUAAACUAGGUCUCUAUAUCAAUAGAUUCUACAUUUCAUCACUAUGGAGACCUUACAAUAAAUAUCGCAAAAAGCUUCAUUUACUACAUAGUAAGGAUAAUCCUAAGGACUUAAAAGUUUGAGUUGUCUCUUCCAUGGCAGCUUCAGAUCUCUUAAUGAGCUCCCAGUCAUUGCCUACCUUGAAUAUAAAUCACUGCUAGAAGUAUGUGCCCUCAACAUUCCCAUGUUCCCGAUAUUGACUAGAUAUUUGUUGCUAAUUCAUGAAGAAUUGAAGGGAUCUUUGAUAAUGACAUCUAUAAUGUACUUCAAGUUCAUGAUCCAAACUCUCUUCUUGCUUUCAAUAACUUCAUUUUUUUUUAUAUUACUUUAUGGUCAAUGUUAUAAGAAUGUUGUAUUUUGUUUACCUGAUUCUCAUCCAUCAGCACACAGGAAAGGAAAAGUUUUACAUUGCUUUCCUUCCCUUUGCUCUGUGUUUAUAUAUGUUUAUGCAGCUAAUGUGAACUUCCACCAUAACUUUUUAAGUUUUUUUCAUUCUCGAGUUUGGGAAACAACUAGAUUUGAUUGUAAUAUUUUCUUGUAGAUAUCACCUUUCUUAAAAAGCUUGCAUUUAUUCACAUUUUCAAGAUGACUAAGUCAUCUGAUUAUGCUUAGAACUAUUGGUUUCUAUUAAAUUCAGGUAUGAUGUUUGCAAUUUUAAGCCUCUUACUCCUCUUGAAGACUACAUAAGUUUCUAGUGCUUUUACUUUAAUGGUUAUGGUCAAUGUAUCCUCUUGUUACUUCCUGUUUGCAUUCUAUAUGUUCAAGAGCUUUAUUAAAGUAAUUAUUUUAUUGAAGAUAUAAUUGUUUUCAAGUCAAAGAAAAAUUGAAUAAUGACGUGGUUUCAACAACUUCUCAAAAGUAAUUGGAAAGUAAGGAACUUUGUGGUAGUAUUCUGAUAUCACAUUGGGCUUUCAAAUCGUUGUCUUGAAUUGACAUAAAUAACAUAAUUUCUUUUCUAGUUGAGCUACUUCAACAUGUUAUUAUGCUUCAUACUCUUUCAAUUAUGUUUUGUUUAGGUUUGGAAACAUUAGUACAUUAGAUAUGUUGCCUCGAGUUACUUACACGACAUAAAAUUCAUCUUUGUUGUUAACUGGCAUCACUACCACAAGAUGAGUUCCCUCAGCAUUCUACAGACAACUAUAAUUUGGGACAAUUCUGGUUUGGCAACAUUAUCGGAGUUGAUAGACAACCUAUCUUCAUUAACAAAAACCUUUAAAUUUAUAUUUAUCCCGAACUAGCAUCACUGUUGGAAGACGUGCAUCCUUAACACCCUAUAACCACUCAUAAUUGGAGACUGUUAUGGUUUGUAAACAUUCAACAAACUUGAUAGGUAACCUUGCACCACUUACAGAGCUUCAAAUUCAUGGCUAUCUUGAAUUGACAUCACUUUCAAACUAGAUGGUUCAUCCAAACCUCAAUUAACACCCACAAUUCAGGACUUCUCCAUUUUGGCAAUGAUAGCAUAUUUGAUAAGCAUCCCUACUUCACUUACAUACACUAAAAUUGAUAGCUACCUUAGAUUCACAUCAUUAUCACAAGAGAUUGGUUCCUUCAUAUCCCUGCAGACACUUGUGAUCUUUUAUCGUCCAUGUAUAUUAGAAAGACUUAAAAGGGAAAUAAGUGAAGAUUGGCCCAAUAAUCUUCAGUCCUAGAUAUUCAUAUUUGGUGAAGAUUGGACUAAUAUAGAGUUAGUUUAGGUUUGAAAUCCCAAUCUUUCUUCUCAUUUUUUAUGGUUUUGUUUUUAUCAAUAUGCUCUGUUUACAUUCUAUAUGGUAAUUUUUGUAUGUAUUAGCAUAUAAAUAAAAAAGGACUUAGAUGAUUAAUUUGAAAAGUUUGCAUCCUCAAUUAAUUAGUAAUUAAAGACCAAACUGAUCAUAUUACUUUAAGUCUUGCAUUGUAAGAGUUUGGGAAAAUGUUAGGGUUGACUGAACUACUAUUUUAUAAUAGAUUUUGCCUUACUCAAGAAUCUUGUGAUUAUCCCUUGGCACAAUCAUUUCUCGUGUCUAAGAAAUUCAUAUCUACUACAUGACCAAAGAAUUUAGUAGCAUUCAAAAUUUCUGUUUUCUUUCAAGUCAGGUGUAUUGCUUGCAAUUCUAACAUGUUUCCUAUUUUGAACGUUGUAUUGUUAUUUUACUAUCAAUGUGUUAAGAGCAUUAUACUCUAUUUUCUAUAAUGUUGUUUACUUGUCAUAUGUAUUAAUUAUUUUAUUGCAAAUGUACUUGUUGCCAAGUUAAAGCAAAAUAGGAAAGUGAGGAUUUUUCAUGGACCAAUGCCUCUCUCAGUUGCUGCCACACUUUACUUCUCUCUAAGUUGUUGAAAAUUUAGAAGUGUGGUAGCAUAAAGUAUUCAACUCAAGUGCUUUAGUGCCUCACUACCCUUGAAGCUUUAGAAGUUGUCAAUACAAUUGGGGUUUCAACAUGUAACCAUUUUGGAAAUUCUAAGAAGUGUAAGUAUUAUGGUUUUGCAACUUUAUUCUACUAUAUAGGCAACUUCAAAUUGCUAAAUGCCCUGAAUUAAAAUCACUACUAGAAGGAACCCAUGAGACUAUAGAAACUCAUAAUCUACUACUCUUGCCACUUAUUAAGAAUGCUAAAAGGAAAAAGUGAAGAUUGGCCUGAGCAUGAUUGAUUAAUAAACCACACAUGGUCUCUUUAAUUCAAGUGUGUCAUAUGUUAUAUGUUUCAUGUCAGUAAUCCUACAUUUCUCUUGUUUCUAUUGGCUCUAUUUUUUUUGAAUUAUUUUACAAUCAAUCUUCUAACAAUGUUCUACUUUUUUUACAAUUUUUUAUUAUUCUAAAAUGAAUUAAGACAUAUAAAGAAAAAAAUCACCUUGUUUGAUUUUCAUAUACUAUAUGCUUAAAUGUACAUGUUUUUUUUUUUCAUAUGUAAUAAGAUACCAACAAAUUGAGUGAGGAGCACAUCUUACUAAGUCGCUUGUCAAUCUAUUCACCUUCCUAAUCUCAAGAUUCUUCAUGUUUGAAUUAAAAUACCAUGAAGUACAAAAACAAAAAAUGAUGAAAAGUAUUUCUCAUCAUCUUUAUUUUUAUUAGAAGGCAAUUUGUAGCAUCCUCUUUCCCAUUCCUAAAAAAUACUACAGCUUUGUAGGUUGAGAAAUUAGACAUGUUUUCUUAAAUGAUCUUCUUGGUCCAUGCAUGCUUAUAUUUGGAAGAUUUUUAAACCAAGUAUUUUAUGACAUAUAUGAUAGCUUUCAAGUUAAUGCAUAAAUGGUGAUGGUUAGGAUGCAAAAUAUAGUCUAUGCUCAACCUAUUUAUUGACAAACUACCAAGGGCUAAUGCUAAGGUAAACACCCAGCACUUGCAUCAUACUCGCUCUUCUCUGCCCUCUUUAUUUGUUUUCCAAAGUUCAUAUAUAAUGUCUUUAUCAUUCAAUUUUUCAUUUUCAACCACUUUUUAAACUUUUGUCUUUUUAUGGUUUAUUACACGACGAUCCAUUUCUAAGAAAUUGUUGUACUCUAUUUAUAAAUCUUAUCUUUUUGUUCUUAUAGACAAUAGAACAACGUGGUAAUUGCAUGACAUACAAUUUGUAAUAGAUGUUCAACUAUAUAUUAGGUAAUCUUUAAUUGCCUUGGAGUUGAAACGUUUGAUGUUGAUAAGGUUUGAUAAUUCUCGCUUUGGUGCUUUGUUGGAUUUCAAUUUAGGUAAUUAAUUGAUCUUGUUAUGAUUCUUUGAUUGUUAUUAUAACUAUUGUGAUAAUCAUUCUUAUUUUAUCGUGGUAAUUGACUUCACUGACUUUUUAACAAUUAUAUCAUGAGUGAAAUGCCCAACCUAUUAUUGUUAGUAUUCCAUUAACAUACCUCUAAUGCCACCACUAAUAAACAUCAUGUAUUAAUAUUUAUAACACGUUUCAUUACUGAAAUAAUUUAAUAUUUUCAAAUUUCUUUUUAGAGUGUGAGAAAUAACCAUUAAUCUUUACAACAGCAUAAGUAUCAUUGAUUUGAUAUUGCUUUCUUGAGUAAUUUGGCAAUUUAAUUAUGAAGUUUAGUUGGACAUUACUUGAGAUUCAUGUCUUAUGUAUAUGAUCUAUUUUCCAAGCUUCAAUUAUAUUUAGUAGACUUGUAAGUGGUGUUUGUCUUUGAGUUUCAACUCUUGAAAACUACUAUUGGAGCCUAAGUUCACUUUCAGUAAGGAAAAAAAAAAAAAAUCAACCUUUUCCUCAAUUGUGUAAUUUUAUUCACUAUUGACAUGCCCUUAAAUGGCAUUGCUAUUAUUUGUAGGGAACAUUGUCAAGUUCUAUAUUUGUCUAGAAAGUUAGAAGAAGUAUUUAAUUUGAUAUGGUUUGGACAUCUUGCUACUAUCUUUUUAAAUUAGUUAUCAAUAAUUUUUCAAAGUUGACCUUUUUGUUUAUCUCAUACUCCUUUUAUAUUAAAAGGUACCGCAUGGGUAUUGUGUAGAGGAAUCAUGCCUUCUUUAAUUGAGGUGAGCCUCUUGCAAAAUAUUUCAAGUUUGCUCUCAUUCCAUUUGUUACUUCAUGUCUAUUUUUUUGUAAUCAAUCAAGCAAGAGUUUCUUACUUGUACAAUGGUGAACUUGCUUGCAUGAAUAAUACUCUUUUUACUAUUUUUUUUCUUUCUUUAUUAUAUUCAUUGAUAUGCUUAGAAGUUAAUAGUGAAUCAGGUUUUUUGUUAAAAGAAAUCAAAUAUUGGUAAUUAUUUAGUAUGAUGUUUGUAAUAAUCAAUUAUUGAUUGUCAAGAUACUUGACUUAAUCAAUUAUUAUAUUGAAAUCAAUUUAGUACUAUGACUAAUACCAAAAGGAUAAUAUUUAGUCUUGUUUGACCAUUAGUCACUAUUCUAGAGACAAAUGCUCACAAGUUUUACAUCUUUGAAGCAUAUGAGAAAAGUUGGCUCAACUGUAUCACCAACUUACAAGCUCCUUAUAGUGUCCAUAUAUAUAACCUUCGUUGUUCAGGUUUAUGAUUCCUAUCUCAUUUUCUUUUUUCAUCUUUUUAUUGUUUAUAAUUUUUUAAUUGAUUUGUUUAUAAAUUUUUAAACUUUAUUAGCAAUACUAUUUUUUUUUUUUUUAUUCUCAUCUGCAAUAGAAUAAUAAGUUGAAUAAGAAGCAUAAACUACUUAAUUGGUAUAACCGUUUACUCAAUUCUCUUCUCAGAUAUUUUUGUUCAAGGUAAUCAAAGUAUCAUUCUUUUUAUUUUUAAAGGUACUUGAACUCAGUGAGGACCAUUCCCAAAACAAGCAAUAACUACAGUUGGAUUACUGAUAUCAUAUCCUUGAUUGACAUCUAUGCCAUUACAUUUGCAUCUAAAGGAUUUAUGAUGAAAAAAAUAUUUUCUUUAUUUCCAUUUUCCUUCCUUCUUUUGAUCAUAAUUUGUGUGCUUAUUGAUAGCAUUCAUACCCUAAUAUAUUUGCUAGCAUAUAUAUGCAUGUCACAAUCUAUUGAAUUUUUUAGCAUAAGGUCUUAGAGUAUUCACAUAUCUCUAGGUUCUAUAUAUUUAUAAUUUUUCAACAUCAAAUGAAGUAUAUGAACCUUAUCCUGAAGGUGAAGUCUCUUUAAAAGGAGUUUCAACAUGUUAGCAAUUACCUAACUUAAUAAUCUAACAAUUUGGCACUAUAUAUAAUUUUGCAACUCUUUCAUAAAGUAAUUGUGUUACCUUUAUUCACAUUUUCUAUCUUUAUUUAAAAAAAAAUGAAUUGGUAAUUGUGUGUCAAAUCUUGCUUACAAUCAUUAAUAGGUACUUAUAUGCUAAAUGGAUAAAGUUAUUUUACAAUUGUUUCAACAUAUUUGACACACAAGUACCUAUUAAUAAGUAUAUAUUUAUAGAUGUAAUCACUACCAAGCCAAUGCGAAAAGCUAUAACAAUGAGGAUUACAACGCUUCAAUUAUGUCUUGGAGAUUCAUAUUGAAAAGUUGUAAAUGGUGGGUGAAGUCUCUUUAAAAGGAGCUUCAACAUGUUAGCAGUUACCAAACUUAAGAAUAUAACAACUUGGCACAAUAUAUCAUUUUGCAACUUUUCAUAAAGUAAUUGUGUAACCUCUAUUCACAUGCUCUAUUUUUUAUUUUUUUUUAAAAAAAUUUGAAUUGGUAAUUGUGUGUUGAAUCAUUCUUACAAUAUUUAAUAGGUACUUAUACACUAAAUUGAUAAAGUUAUUUUACAAUUGUUUCAACAUGUUCUGAAAACAAAAAAGAUUUAUAAGUAUAUUUUUUUCUAGAUGUAAUCACUAGCAAGCCAAUGUGAAAAGCUAUAACAAUGAGGAUUACAAAACUUCAAUUAUGUUUUGGAGAUUCAUAUUGAAAGUUGUAGAUUAUGGAUGUAUAGUACAGGAGUUAGAUUGAGUUUAUCAUUCUAUCUUUGACAUCUUAGUUUUCUAUGUAUUGUCCAUCAUAUAUAUUUGUCAUCUAUUCUUUACAACCAAUUUUUUAAGGACUUCUAUGAUUUGUUUAAAUUUAUAUAUUUGUUUUUAUUUGUACUAGAACUUCACCAAGCUACAAAAGCAUCACAAGUUUUGCAAUUGGAGUUCAUGGAUCAGGUAUUUUAGUAGUUUUUGUACCUGAAAUUUUUUUAUGAUACUAAUGAGGAUGUUUACCUUGAUUAAUUUAACACUUAUAUUGCAAAUAUCUAUAUAGGAGUUCUAUACAUUUAUUUAAACAUUUAUAGACAUAUUUAUCCUCUUUCUAGCACAUUCUAAUGAUAUUUUUAACAUUGAUAUAAAUUGUUUGCUUGAAGGUUUCAACUAUUGAAAAAUUAUUAUUCAAGCCAAAUGUUAAUCUUUUUCUAUAGUGGAUUUCAAAUAAUAAAUUCUUAUUUGAUUAUUUGUAGGGAAAAUAAACAACUUCUAUGUUUGAUAAGAAAGAAGAUAGAGUAGAUCAAUUUCACAAUAUACGAAUGCUACGCUUUCUAUACUUUUAAAGAUGCUUACAAUUGGCUUUCUAUACUUAACAAGUACAUCUUAGCUAAAAGUGAAAAAAUGUUUCUCUUUGCACAUGCCUUCACUACUAUUUUAAUUGCUAUCUUAAUAUGUUAUGGAAAAACCACGACAAAUAACAAUAAUAAGGAGAAGAAAUAAAAGAACAAAAAUAUAAAACUUAUAAAGUAGGACGAUCUAUGUGGUUUGGCCUAAACCUACAUUUAUAUGUGAAAAUGAAGAAGAACUUCCACUAUUAUUAAAGGAGAUUAAAUUCCUAAAGCUUUCAAAUCUCAUGAUUACACUAAAAAUGGACUUUUUUUUUUCAAUCAAAAUCUCUUCCUUUAUUUUCUUGAUUAUAUAAGAAUAUUCCAUAGAGAAUUAAUUGUGUAAUUAUCAAAGAUAACUAUUCCUAAAAGAAAAAUCUUAUAAUAUGAUAUUUCCUUUAGAAUAAAAGAAAAAUCUCUUAUAUAAAUAUAUCAUAAUAGGAAAAUAUUAAAGACUUAUAAAUUGACUCAAAACAAUUUGAAAUAUUUUUCAACAAUCUCCACAUUGGCUCAAAUUCUCAAUAUUCAAAUAAACUCAAAAGUCUUCUAUGUUACUUUGCUCUUAUACACCCUUGAGGGGACUUCAAGUAAUGUCAAUACCAAUUAAGUCUAAGCAAUGCAUGAACUUAAUCAUAGAAAUAAGUUUAGCCAUCAUAUCUAUAACUUUAUCAACUAUAAUAAAGUGCUUUCUAACAUCAAUAUGUUUGGUGCUCUCAUGUAAUAUAUGAUUUUUAGUCAAAAGUAUGAGACUUGGCUACCAUGAUAACAAUAAUCAAUGAUUGGAAUCAAAUAAGUACAUUUUGUGUGCCUAAACUUAGGCAUUCAUAUUUAAUAUCCAAUUCUAGUUUCAUCCCUUUACUCAUUUUAUUCCUAAGUCCUUAAUUUUGGGUUUAAUGUAUUUUUUAAAUAUUUUCCUUCUUUUUUGGUAUAUUUAUAUCACAUUUUUGCUAGCCAUUAUAUUUUUCAUGUAUUGGUUGCUAAUUUUACACUCCAUAGUUGUCACAUCAUCCAACUAAUGGUUGUUACAUUAUCCAACUAUGGGCUACCACAUGCUCCAGCUACCUUAGCCUCCUUGCCAAGUAUUUUCCAUGCCAAAAAAAGAUUGACAACUAUUUCAAUUGGUUGGUAAAGUUGAGAAAAGCUUCCACCAACCUCGCCAUUAAGUUGUGCUCCUUGCUCCAAUUUCUAAUUUUGCUUCCUACCCUCUUGUGGAGUUAGUGUGGAAAUGACUUUAUACAAGGGAGAUGAAGGUUGGUUUUGUAAGGUAGUUUAUUUGUAAACUUGUAUUUCCUUUAUUCAGACGAUAGUUCUCAUUUCUUAGCCUUGAUUUUCAAUUUUGAUCCUCUUGUCUUGCCACUAUGAGUGGCCAACAUCCAAACCAAGGAAUAAUUUUUAAUAAAAUAUUAAUAUUAAUAUUCAAAUAAAAUCAUAUAUUUAUAUUCCUUAGCACAUUUAUAGGAAGAGAAAUAUUUGGGCACUAGGCCCAAUUCACUUUUUAUCAUAAAAAUAUGAAUAUUAAUAUCCUUAUCCUCAUAAAAGCAUAAUUAGCUUAUUUUCUAAAAAAUUGAUAAUAAUAAUAAUAAUAAUAAUAAUAAUAAUUACUAGUACGAUUUUAUUUUAAAUGGAUUUAAAAAUAAAUAAAGUUUAAUUUUUAAGGUAUACGUGCAUAAGUUUUUCAUUACAUAUACACAUUUAAUACUUAAUUAGUAAUAAUGUAUUCUAAAAUUUUUUUAUCUAGCCUAUAACUAAUUAAUCACUUUUUUGGAAUUCUAAAUUGUUCUUAAAAAUUAAAAUAUUCAUUAAAGAAUUGAAAGUGUUUAUUAUGUUUAACUUAAUUUAAAUUUAUUUAUCUAGUGAGAAAAUUCAUAAAAUAUAGUUUUAUGUAUAAAGGAAAUAGUAACGACUUUACAUUUAAUGAAUCUUUUAUUUUAUUUUGAUUCAUUUAAUAGUCUAUUAUCUUGUAGUGAUUAUAUAUAUAUAUAUAUAUAUUUAAAAUUUAUUAAACUCAUUAAUAAAUUCAAUACAAAGUUUUACUUAAUUUGAAACUCAUCUCUCUAGUGAAAAAAUUGAAAAAAUAUUAUUUUGUGAAAAAAAAUACAAUAAAAUCAUUUUAAACUAAUUUUUAUCCAUAGAUUUUUGUAUUUAUUAGUUUAUUAUUUAAUUUUUAAAUUAAUUUAAAAAAUUAUUAGACUUAUUAAUGAAUCCAAUACAUUAUUUUUUUUGUUUAAUUUAUUUAUCACACUAUCAAACAAACUUUUAUUAUUUAGUAAAAGACCUCUUAAAAGAUGUUUUUUUUUCUAAAUAAAAAUAAAAAUAAUAUUCUAAACGAUGUUUGAUUUGAGAGUUUUUUAAAAAUAAAAAUAAAAAUUAUUUUAAAUUAUGUGUACAUAAUUGUUGCAAAUUUAUUUCUUUUUCCAUUAUCAUUUUCAUUCUUACCUAACAUUGAAAUGGAAACAAAUAAUCAAUCAAACCUUACAUUUAUUCUUGAUGCCCUCUGUGAAAAAAAAAAGUGCAAAACAUUUAUUUUUUCUAAUCAUCAACCAUCCAUACAUAGAAAAACUACGUGUGAUCUUAAGCCAAAAAAGAUAUUGCAUCUAAUCAAAUUCAAUAGACAUGAUGAUAUCUAUACUAUUUUUUUUUUAAUUAUAUUCAUAUUUAUGUCAGAAAAUAAUUUUUUUAUUUUUAGAACAUUAAACUUUUUAAAAGUCCUUUCUAGGAUAUUUUCUAGCUUUUUCCUUUUGCUAAUUUUUGCUAUUCAAACAAAUCUUAAGAAAUGAAUCAAACCUGGACACAAUUGAAGAGUUUGGCAUCCUUGUUUUUAUAUUCCAAAGCAUAUAUAGAGAUUGGGGUAAAACAACUUGUACCUAAGAAAAAAAAAGGAAAAAAAACCACAACAAAAAAUUAACCAAAAAUCAGAAAAUUAACUAGAAUAAAAAAUCAAGAAAAUAUUUUUCUGGGUUAAUAAUUAAUUAUAAUGAAAUCAAAAUCAAAAGAAAAAAUACAUACUUCCUCCUGGCUUUGCUUACACUGAAAGCCAUGAAAGAAUUGGGAAAGUAGUAAAGAAUAAGAACAAGAACCACAUCCAUAUUCUGGGGAAAGCAAAUCCUCUGCUUUGCUGCCUUCUUCAGAUUGAAGGCAACUAUUAAACGGGUUGAGGGGUUAUGAGUUUGACUUGGUUGAGUUUGAAGCUACAAAAGUAAGAAGAAUGGUAGUAAUUUUGGAAGCAUUUCUAACUCUUCUAUAACUUGAAAGAUAAAAAAUUUUAAGUGUUAAAAAUGUUAAAAGAGCUUUUUAGAAUCACCCCCAAAUGUACUCUAAAUUAUUUAUGACUUGAUGUCACCUUCACACUCAUUUUCCAGUGUCAUUUAAUUUUGUUGUUCCCAUAUUGAAGAUUUAGGGUAAUGUAAUGUUCAAGCCUUCACAUUUUGCCUUCACAUUUUGCCUUCACUAACCUUUGAAUUUUAAUUAAAUUCUUUGAAGGAUAUUUGACCACUUCAUUGUCCAAAAAUGCUUAUAUUGCCAUUUUUUUUGUCUUUUUCUACAAUUCCAAUUUUACUAUUUUUCUUUUAUUUAUUCCUAUUAUUAUUUAGGCUAUUAUUUAUAAUAUUCUAAAUAUUAUAUUUAUAAUUGUUAAUAGUAUAAUUACUAUUUUUCAUUUAUUUGUCAUUUAUAUUGCUUAUCUUAUCUUUAUUCAUGUAUAAGACUCAAAAACUGCAAAAAGCAUUAAUAAGUAACAACUAAACUUCAAAGUGAUAAUAAAAUUCAACUACAUUGAUAUUACAAUAAUACAAAUGAAAUAUAUAGCAACCAGCCCUUAAAGGGGCUUUUAAGAGAUAAUGAGUCUACUUGAGAUUGAAAUUUAAAGUAGAAUCACCAUCUCUAUAGAUAAAUAUAAAGCCUAAAAAGAAUAGAACAUCACUAAAUAAUAUUAAUAAAGCAACAACUAGAUCAAUGGAUAGUGAAAAUAAAGGUUUACAAAAUGAGUCACAUAAGUAAGAACAACUAAAUUAAGAAAUGAAUUACAUGUCUGACAGAUCUAAUGAGGGAAAACAUUGGAUCUAGGUACCCAUGAUUGGCUCCUUGAAGUUGACCUACCUCCUCAAGAGGUACAUAGGAGUCCUUACUUGAAAAAUAUUAAAAUCUAUAGGGUGAACAUAAGAUCUAAUAAAUAGGCACGAUAUGCAAAUGUUAGGAUGGUUAGUCCAAGGUAAAAAAAUAGUUCUAAAACAUAUCACGUAAUAAUUUUGGUGUAUUAUGAGAGGAAAAUUGAUUUGUGAGAACUAUACUUUAUGAAUAGAAAUGUGAGGAAGAGUGAAAAACACUUAGUAGAGUAAGAGGGCUAACAGUUCAGGGUAGUCAUACAAGUAGUCAUACAAAGUGUGGGGAAAUAGAUGUAUCUAUUUUUGUCCCUUACAAUAUUUUUUAUUGUAUAGUGAAAUAUUAUCUUUCAAAUAUGGAAAUAAGCAUGGUUAGGUGUACCAUGUUAAAAUCUUAAGUAUUUGUUUUAUUUUGUGUUCUUCCAUUAAUAUAUUUCAAUAUUAGAGCUUCCAUUGACUCAACAAUUUAUUAUACUAUGAAUCGUCAUAAGUGAAUAUAUUUUUAUAUUAGAAUAAACCAUUUUCUUAAUUAUAAGUAUAUUUGAAUAUUUUACUAAACUAUUUUAAAAUAAAAAUAUAGUAAAAAAAAUUUAAUAUAUAUAAUAAUAACAUGAUAAAUAACAUAUCCCAAACCAAAUGCAACAUAAAUUUCUAAAUUGUCUCUUCUUCUUAGUUCUCUAUAAUAAUAUUGUCAUACCCAUUGUUUAAGCUAUAAAUUAACAUUUUAUGUUCUUUGAAACAUAUGUAUUACCAACUCAAUAUAAAUAGCUACGAAGACAUAUUUCUCAUUUUCCCAAUCAAAAAGCAUUGUGAGUUGAAACCUUUUUGUUUAGAAAGUUAACUUGCAAUGUUAAUAUUCUUUUUUUAUAUUAGCCCCCUAGGAAUGCCAUUGCCUUUCACCACACUUUUAGUUUUUUUUUGUUUUUUCAAUAUUCUUUUUUACUUCUACACUAGAAUUUAUGUAACUUCUUGUUUUUUAUUAUUAUUAUUAUUUUGCAAUAUUUUCUCUUAAGUCUACCUUACACUUCUUAUUACCUCUCAUAUAUAUAUAUAUUUGUCUUUUUCAAGUACUUGGUUGCUUCUCUAUUACAAUUCAUUAACUUCCUAUCCUUUUAUUUAUUUUUAUUUUUUGCAAAAUUCUUUCUUAAAAUACAUAAAUCCAUAGUUUUUAUUUUAAAAGUAUCAAGUAAAGAACAUAUACCUACUCAAACACCAUUGUAUAAUACCCCUAAAAUUUCCAAAAAUCCUUAAAAUUUCAUAAAUUCUCUGCAAACUUAUCCCUAAUUAGAUGCUAUUACAUUAAAUAUAUCUAAUUCACUCUAAACACAUGAUUGAUAAUAAUACAAAAAACUAAAACAAUAUUAAUAUGCAAUUUAUUAUUUUUCAACACACUGUAAUAGUUCCCAAAUAUUUUCAAACAUCAACUAACAAACCUAAAUUUAUUCACUCAAAAUACAUAAUUGAUAACAAUGGAGAACUAAAAAAAAAAUUAUAAAUAUAACAAUUUUAUACUUUGAAUACAAUUCAAUAAAUCCUAAAUUUUUAAAAACAUUUAACUAAUAAACUUAACCAUACUCAAAUAUUAUUGUAUAACAUCUAUAAAAAUUUCAAUAAUUUAUCAAAUGUGAAGACUACACUCACCGGUUUAGUAGAAUCACUUGCCUCUUCUAUUGGUAAUUGGGAUUUUUGUUCAGUAGCUUCGCUUUCCUUUGCUUCACUUUCUUUUGCUUCACUUUUUUCUUCUGUUCGCAAUUGGCAUUUUUGUUUUUUCGUCACUUUUUUUAAUCUUUUUAUAAAAUCACUCUUCAAUGAACUCAUUGUUUCCUUCGUGCUUGAAGAUACAAUAUGAGAUAACUUGAAAAAAACAGAAUAACAAUUUUUCUAAGGAUUCAGAAUGAAACAAAGGAUGAAAUGAUAGACGAGAAAUUUUCUAGGGUUCUUGAAGGAAAGAUGAGAUUUUCAUUUUGUGCAUUAAAGGAAGAUAAUGAAAUAGAAGAAGACGAUGAAAGAUGAAGACUCGUUCUAUAAAUGAAGCGAAAGAGGAUUAGAGUUUUCCUUUUUGUGCACCAAAGGAAGAUAAUGAAGUAGAAGAAAAUGAUGAGAAAUUUUUUUUGGAAAAUAUGAGGAGUCAUUCUGUAAAUGAAGCCGAAGAUGAGAAGGUGUAAGUGUUGGAGAGAAAAAAGAAGAAGGGCAUUUUUGUCUCAAUCAACAAUUUUGUUUUAUUUUUUAACCGGUGGGUUAUAUUUACAAAUAUGAGGGUUAUUUUGACCCCUUUAACCAAAUAGCCUUAUUUUUUUAUCGAGUUACAACUUUAAAUUAGGUGUAAAAAGAAAUUUUGAUAUGGUAGAUAUUGUACAGUUAUAUAUUGAAAUUCCAUGGUUCAUUAGAUAAACCAUCCUUGAAUUUCUUCGGUUUCAAUCAAGAUGAUAGAUCAUCCUUCCACAGAGUGUGACCUGAUAUGACAUUGAUUUUCUAGGGCUUCAAACACGAAGGGUGUCAAUGACUAAGAACUCCAUUUGAUUACCGAGAAAAUGAGGAAAAAACCCCUCAAAUAAAAUAUAAAUACAAUUCAGAAUUUCAAUUUUACUUUGUUAGGGACCCCAAAAAUGGGAAUAUUCACUUAACUAGCCUAAUCCAACCACCUACCUUAGUUCAAUUCAGUCCCCACUUUCUAGAGACCAAAACAAUAUAAACAUUCAUGUGUUUGGCUGCUCAGAAAGCAUAGGAUAAGCAAAGAAAAGGACGGUGCCUCCUCGAUCAAAUAGUCUUUUUUUUUUUUUCUUUUCUUGCAUUUUCUUUUUUCAGCAACCAAAUAGAACUUUUUAAUUGAGCAUUGUUGUAUACAAUUUAGAUUUCUUUCCCUCGGUUUCUCCGCAACCAAAUAGAAUUUUUCUCAAUUGAGCGAGGGUCUAGUAUAUCCUUUGUUUUCCUGUAACCAAACAGAACUUCCCUUGUUAUUUUUUUUAUCUUUUCUUUGAAUUUCUCAGAAACCCAACGGAGUUUACUUCUGGUGCAACCGUGCAAGAAAAUGGUUUUACCUGAUCGCAAUUCACUGGACUAGCCGAAGCAACAGAGGCUUAAGAAAAAAAGACUGAGCUUUGUUUGUUAGACCCCCUCUGUGAGUACGCAAAGUAAGAAGAAUUGAAGCUGAAAUUAGGCGGCUUCCAAACACGUCCUAGGAGUUGGUUUUAAAACCCAUUUUUCCCCUUUUUGGUUGCAAUCGGUCUGCAAAGAUGCCAUUAAAAGGUAACUACAGUUGGUUGCAUGAACAAGAAAAUGAAAAAAAAAAGUUAAAAUUAAUUAAAAUUCUAUGUAUUUUAAAAUUAUUUAAUAUUUACAUUGAAGAGUAAAAAUAAUUGCAAUAUAUUUAAAUAAACACAUAAAAAUAAUAAUUUAUUAAUUUUAAAUCUAUUUUUAAAAUUUUCAAAUUUUCAUUUAUUUUAUUCCCUCUAAGCUUUCUAACUAAGGUCAUAAUUUGGACAAAUUGUUGGGUUCAUAGUAGAUCUAAAUAAUCUAAUAGGGAUAAAUAAUUGAUUAAUUUAAGUUCAACCCAACCUCUAAGCUUUCUAACUAGGGUCAUAACUUGAACAAAUUGGAUGGUUAACAUACAACUUGGACAAAUUGGUGAGUUCAUAGCUAAUCUGAAAAAUUUAAUAGGGAUUAACAAAUAAUUAAUUUAAGUUUAGCCCAACCUCUAAAUAGAGGUAUUUAAUUCAAGCUCAACCAACUUCAUUUCUUUGAGCUCUGGUUGAUGAGGUUAAACUUGGGUUAACCCCUGAUUGUAUAAUUCAAAAUACAUAUAGAAUGUUUUUCAAUAAAAAAAAAUUAUGUACUUAUAUCAAAUUUUAAAUAGUAAGUAGGACAAAAUUUUAAAAUAACAAAAAAGAAAAAAAAACAAAAAUAAAAACAAAGUUAUGUAUCUUUUUUAAAAAGUGAAAAAAUAUAUUAUAUAAUAUAAUUUGAUUUUUUUUUAAUAAAAAUUUAGAAAGAAUAAAAUUAUUAUAUAAAAUAACAUAUAUUGGAAAUAUUAUAAAAACAUUAAAAGUUUAUUAAGUAGUUAUUCAAAUAAGUGUUUCUAUCCCUAAUUUAAACUUUGGUUUCAAUCUAACUCGAAUUGAAUUUGAGUUGAAAAAGUUUAAUUUGAAUAUUAAAAAUAAUUGUCUAAACACGAUCAAAUAUCGGAUUGGAUUCGACUAAUCUGCCAAAGUUGCACUCCUACCAAGAACCAUACACAAUAAAAAAAAUUUAAGCUAUUUUUUGUUCUAGGAAAGUACUCAAAAAGGAGAAAUAAAGAAAAAAAAAAUGAUUUUAUAUGUAUAAUUAAAAUUAGUUAAAUUUUAUAUAUUUUAAAAUUAUUUAAUUUUUUUAUAUGGAAAAGAAAAAAAAAGAGUGAAAUAAGUUUGAAAAAACAAGUAAAAAUGAUUUGUUAACUUUAAUAUUUUUUUCUUUUCUUUUCUUUAGUUUAUUUUUCUCAAAAUUUUCAAAAAAUAAACAUAGAAUUAAAAAUAAUAAUAAUAAUUAUAGAUUAGGAAAAUCAAUUUUAGAACUUGCUUAUAUGAUUGCAUUAUUUUUUGUAAAUAAUAAUUUUAUUGAAUGUUAAGAGAGUGGUAUUAAAUGCACAUUAUUUAAUAUUUUUAUAUGGAUAUUUUUAUUUCUAAAGAAAGUAAUCUUUACAUGGAUUGGACCACUGUUUAUUUAUCCAUGUGGGCCAGCCUAUUAAAAACCAUCAAACCAACAACCCAAGGGGCGACCCUGAUCAUUCUCGGGGGCCCACAACCUUCAUCUCUAACAAAAGCUCUUACUCACUGAAACAUGGGCAGGAUCACCUUCCACACACAUCUUCAUACCAGUCACCACGCUACCGCAACAAUCCUCCUCCAUGAAAGCCCACCUCCAUCACAGCAAGCAGAAAAUCCAUCACGUCAACCAUCAACCUCCACACAGACCUAACACUGCAUAGCCGUGUUUUGGGAGUGUUAGAACGUGAUUAAAGAUGAUUUAAUUUGAGUGUUCAUGGAGUUUCGCUAUAAGAGGGUGAUAGACCAGAGUAUCAAUGCUCCCUUUGUAACUUUAGGGCCAAAGAGGAGUCAGUUUACCAAAAAUUCUUCAUGAAACCAUCCAUUUAUCUCAGGGAACAUUUAUUAAGUAGAGUCAAAUAGAUUUACAGAUAAGAGACGAUUUAUUCCUUUGAAUGAAAUAACCUUAUUUCAAAUUGCCCUAAUGUGGCCUAAUAAGCAAAAUUACUGGUUAUAUUUUGGACACAUCUCAGUAGAGGUUUGGGGGAGAAAAUAGAAGAAGCAGAGAUGCUUACUUACUUCAGAGGGGCCACUGCUCGCCACCACCACUUCAUGGCUGUGCCCAUUUCACUUGCCCAAGUCACUCUCUUCUCCAAACCCUCCAUUUUACUCCACAGAAAUGCCAUCAUUGGCUUCUCCUUUUCCAUUCCUUUCUCCUCUUCUUCUGCUCACAAGAUUCAGACUCACAAGUGGAGGCAACCGGUGGUCUCGCUUCUGGAGCUUGGUGGAGUCAAGAUUGGCAGAGAUGGUAACAUACCCACAUCCCAAAAUUGCGUUUAAAAAGGAUCUUUAGCUUGAAUUUCGUGUGCCCAAUUUGCGUUUUUGCAGACAUUUGCACUCAAGUCGUGUCGUUUGUUUGCAAUUUCACAAUCUGAUUUCUUUUCUAUUGUGCGUUUUUUUUCUCCUGCUAGGUUCGAAUUCAAGCAUCCAAUUUGCGUUUUUGUGGGUAGUCUUAUGCCCAACUUGUGUAUUCAAUUUGCAAUUGUUGUUAUCAGACUUCCUUCUCUCUUUUGAGACUUACACAGUUAGAGACGUCAUUUCUGUGAAAUUAAGAAUGCAUGUUCCAACUUUCACUUCUUUCUCUCUCUCCCUCUUUUUUUUUUUUUUUUUUUGUGAAAUUGGAAUUCAAGAACUUAUUUUGCGUUUUACAAGCUUAGCGGGUUACGUUUCUGUUCUAUUUGUUGUGCUGUUGGAGGUGUUUGGUGCAUUUAUAUAACUAGGCUUGCAAUUUCGCCCUCUGAUAAAGGUUAAAUUUUCUCCCUUUUUAUUUUUUAUUUUUUUAAUGGUGUAUUUGUUUUGGGUAUUUGGUGAAAUGAGGAUUCUGUACUGGGUUUAUGGCAUUUUUUCAAUUGGUUUGAUAUAUGUGAAUGUGGGUUUUGUAGGGAAGAUAUGCAAAUUUUUUGAAAGAAGCAUGCAAUUACAACUCUGAUUUCCUUUAUAUUUAUAUUUUUUUAUGCUUAUUUGCAUAUUGGUUGAUGUCAAAAUUCAUCUAAUGGGUUGUUUUUUAUUGCUUUGGAUUGGUUUAAUGUAGUUGAAUGGUGGAUUUUGUUUCUAAAACUUAGGGUCAAUUUCAAUUUUUUUUUCUUUUUUUCAAUUUGAAGACCUGGGAGUCUAUGUGAUUGGAAUUGAUGUACUCGAGUUUUUGGAUUUUGCUGAUUGCUUGAUAAACUUGGGAUGCAGAGCCUUAAAAAAUAAACUAUAUUCACUAAACUAUAUCUCUGAUUAUACUUCGUCAAAGCGUGAAAUGCAACUUGGAGUCUUUGUAUUUUUAAAAUUUUUUGGGUUAUUCUAUUCUGAAUAUUUGGUAAAAUUAGAACUCAUGUACUGAACCUUUUUCAAGUUCUUUUGGUUGGCUUGAUAUAUUUGGUUGUGGGGUUUGUAGAUGUGGUGAGGGAUGAUCCUACAAACAAUGUCCCGGAUGCAAUUUUUUUGAAACUUGGAAUGCAGCUUCACAGGAGGGAUCAACACCCAAUUGGAAUUCUGAAGAAUGCAAUAUAUGAUUAUUUCAAUGCCAAUUACUCUAACAAAUUUGAUAAGUUGGAUGACCUUUGCCCAAUAGUCUCCACAAAAGAGGUUUGACAUUAAGAUAUAAAAUAAAAAUUGUAUGCAUGUUUUUUUUUUUUCACUGUUUUGAGCUAUACAUUGCACUAUUUGGAACUUGUAUUAUCUUGCUAUGACUGGUGCCUGACAUUUUGUUGCGGUUUUUAUUUAUUUUGCUGCCCAUUUCCUGUUGGUUUUUGUCCUGUCCUAGGUCUUUUAACAUUUAAGAAUCCAUGAAAGUGGUAUUUGCAUAUGUUGCCAAUUAUUCCAUUGACGAUGUUCUAAGUAGGGAACCUAGUAUCCAAACUUCCAUCCAAACUUCCAUAUAAAAAAAGUCCAGAACAGGCAUUCGGUUUACCAGGUUUAUCAGUUCUCUCCAGUGUUUAUUCAACUCUUAAAUGCAGUAUUCUGGACAUACUCCAAAUUUGAAAUUCCUUUGGUAAAAUAAAGGCAUGGUACUUAUAGUGGUCUAUUAAGGAAAAGGUUUGUUUGACCUAGCUUUUGUACAAAAAAUUCAAGGAUAGUCUUGCAGAUAUGUAUUGUAUAGGUGUAUAUUUCUCUAUCAUGACACAAGUGAGAAAAAAUUCACGAAAGUUGUUUUGUUUUAAUAAAAAAUUGAAAGUUAAUUUAUGUUUUGAGAGGGACAUUAGACAACCUAGGAUUCAAAGGGACAUGUUGUCUCUUAGGAAAAUAUAAUUCAUAGCAUUCUCAAUCACUUACAGGUUAUUUUAAUCCUUUUAAAUUGAUUUAUUUAAUUUUUUUCUUUAUAGUAGGCAAGCAAAAAAUAUAUUUACAACACCUACUAUUAUCAUUAUUUUGGUAAUUAGCAUUGAUGGAGAUUGUAAAAAUUCUCUAAUAGUAUUGCAGGAGAAAAAUAAUAUUUAUGAAUUUUUGUUAAACGCAAUUGUCAUAAUGAUAAUAGUUAAUUAGAAUAAUAUAAGUUUGUAAUUGGAAAAAUUUUAAAAAAUAAUAGCUUUUGGAAAUAGUUUGAAUAGGAGUACAAAAUUCUUGGAUUUCAUGGAGAGCUUAGGUGGGAUCUAAAGCAUGGGGCUGUUUGCUAUCUAUUUUAGUAUUUGCUGCUCUUCUCUCUUAUAGGUGUUCAGUUGCAGCUUGUAUUCUCUGAGCGUACUUGGGUUGUGCCCCCUUUUGUGUUCUUCAAUAUAAUCUUCAGGCUCAUGACUAGUGCAAUUUCUACUAAUUGAUCACUUUUCACUUCAAAUAAUAUUCAGUAAUCCAAAUAGCAUUUAUCAAAUUAUUUUUAACUGCCAUUAGAUUUAUAAAGAACCCAAAAUGUGAAAAUUUCUUCUUAGGCAUGAGAAAUUGUCAUUGUUAUAAACCCCAUGUUUGUCUUGUACUUACAAGCAUAAUUAUAAAGCAUGAUCUGCAUGUCUUAUCAUGAAAUAUAACAAUGUCAUAAAAUAGAUGAUUGAUAAAAUAUUAGAAGUCCAUUACAAAUGCUUAAUGGAACUGAAAAUUAUUACAGAGCAAGUGCAUAUUUCAGUCAAACUUUUAUGCAGUAGUGGUAGCUUAUAAACUCACAACUUUGUAAUCAUGUGCUUGAAUCAAGUAAACUUAAUGGAUCUCAGCUACAUCUGCUCUACAUUUUAACCAUUGUUUUAUGUUAUGGGAAUAGUGACUGAAUUUCACAGUCCCAUCAUUAUAAUUUAUGCAUGUAAAUUCAUUUGGGACUUAGUUUUCACAUGUGUUCACAUGUCAUAACUGUAAUUUCCCUAAUUUUAUGAGUAAGAAAAACUCUUUAAUUUUCCCUAUUUUGACUGAAACUUUAGGAACUUGGACUUUAUUUGGUGCAAAUGUAUGUUAUCAACUAUUGCUUUUGACCAGUCAUGAGUAGAUGCUAUUUAUAAAAGGACACAAAGGAGGAUAUAAUCCAAGUGCACUUGUAGUCGACAAGUUACUCUGGGCAUCAAAAUUGAAAGAAACAACAAUGAAGAAAAGCAUCAAGAAAGUGCCCCUACCUCCCAAACUGUCAAUGAACUACUGGAAGGAUCUACUACUAUUCAAGAUAACUUCUUCUAAGCACAACUACAUGUAACAGUACUUAGCCUGCGCUAUGGUGUCAAAAGGUAGGCUCAUUGGAACAUGCCUAUUUUGAUGGAUUUUAGUUUGUGGGGAUAGUUAAAGUGUAAAGUGUAAAGUGUUUGAUAAAAUAAAUUUGCUAGUUUUAAUAAAUUGGAAUUACUACUGAAUAAAAUGUGAAGCUAGGUAUUAGGAGGAGAAAGAAAGGUAAUUAAUUUAUUUGUAUGACACUAUGACUUACACACUGUGAAGCUUACUGGUUGGGAAUUGUUGAACAGGGGAACUUACUUAAUAGGGGAGAAAGAAUCACACAUAUUACUUGAUGAGAAAAUAUAAUUACAUUAGCCAAAGGCCAAAAAUAUAUGAGUGGUUCACUGAUUGCAUAUUAUUGGAAAGAGAGCUGAGCAUCAUAUGAUUCAUAAACUUUUUACAAUUUAAAGGCCUGGGUCCAAUGAGAUAUGUUGCAUCAUAUUACCUAAUGAACCAAUGAAGUUUAUGGAUUUCCAAAACUUCUUGGAGAGGUUCACUAUUUUAUGGUUCUUUUUUUUGAUAAGUAAAAGUAUUGUAUAAAAACCACCAAUGCAGUGGAAAAAUAAAUACAAGAAAGAACACACUCCCCACUCCCUAGCUAAAAGCCAAGGACAGAGGAGCAGCCCAACACACACCCUUAACGGGUUCUCACCCAACCAACAAAAUCAACUAAGGUCGAGGGACCAUCUUUUAUAGACAAUUUCGUCUCCGACCAAAGAAAAUAUACAAACGAAUACUUAAGCCUUUGAAUAGACAACUCUUCUUCCUCAAAGGCAAUUUUGUUCCUUGCCUUCCAAACCAUCCAAAAAAGACACAAAGGACUUGCUCUCCAAACACCCUUCCUCUUUUUUCCCACAAAAGACCCAUUCCACCCCAACAACGUCUCCUUAACAAUUUUGUUCUUUUUUUUUUAGGGUUCUUUAUUCCAAAACUUUUUGCUCCAUACCUCUUUGGAGCUCAAUUCUUUGGCAAAGCAGGAAGAAAACAAAUUAGCAUCAACUUUAGCUUGACUUGAGAUCACAAAUCCGACUAGAGAUUUUGCAGUAGUGUGUUGAGGUCUAAUCCGAAUCCAGGUUGUGAUGUGUGCAUCAAAGAGUCUUUCCAUAAGCCAUGAAGCUUUGAGGUGUUUUGUGAUGGCAUGACUGGAUAAUGAGAUGCAUUUUGGUCUGAAAUUUGGAGUUCGGUUAUGCAUUUCUGUAUCUAUAUCUCCAAAAUUAUUAACUAAUUUUAAUCAUUUUAUCUAUUUUUCAAAAUAAACAUUCAAAAUUGAAAGUUUGUGUCACGAGUCUUCAGGCUUAUCCGGAAUAGAAUGUCCUGCAUUAACUCUUGCUGUUAAUGCAUAUAAUACCAGGCGAGUCAACACAGCCAUUUGCUUGCUUAUGUUGACUUUCAAUGGGUUAAAAUUUAUGGCUUCAAUGGUUAUUACCAUGCUAACACUAAAACUAUUUUUUUGUUUUUGAUAGGUGUUGAAAUAAUGCCAAAGUUAGGACUUUAAUUUAGGAAUAAAAAAGGAGAGAUCAUUUAGGAUAUUUCCUUAUGAUUUAGUUUCCUAAUUUUAGGAGAGAAUUAAGCUAGAUUGAUUUUUUCUUAUUCAGUCAUUUGUGUAUAUAUAUGUGUAUGGUGUGUACCGAUUAAUCAUCAAUAAAGGAGUUCAGAAAUUCUUCAUGGUAUCAGAGCCAGUUUUCUGAAACCCUAAUCCCUUCUGGCCACCUCUUAUUCAGGCCAUCACUCAUUCCGGCCAAAUCUCUCUAGCCAUAUCUCAAUCCGAUCAUCUCUCUCUCUCUCAUUCCGGUCAUCAGUCCCUGUUCUCAGAGCCAAGGGAGAAAACGCUUUCUGGUCAGUCGAAUCGUCGUCAGAAAACACUCACCGCCGGCAACUUUUCCGGCGAACUUUCCGGCGACUGUUUUUUUUUUCUACACCGCAAGGAGCGCCUGGAGGAGAUCUCCAAUUUGUCCCAAAGCACCGGAACCAGAAACCCAUCCACGCGCCACCCACGCGCGUUUUUCCGCCCGGCGACUGCAUCUCACGCGCCGGCGCGUGAGGGCGCGUGAGCCACUUUCCGACGACGCGCUUCCUCCUCCAGGCUCGCCUGACGCCGACCAGCCACCCUUCUUACCUGUUUGUGCAAUCCGAGCCCUGCACGUGCCUCUUUUGGGGUUCUUUUGCUUCCGCGGGCCCUCUGAUCAGAUUUUCCGGCGUCCUCCGGCUAUUUUUUCACAACUCCAGUCCCUGCACGUGCCUUGGGAAGUGUUCUUCUACCUUUCCGGUCCAUGACAAAAUACGGAAUGGCAUCAUCACAAGUAUCCAGCGUCACGUCACCAGAAUCAGGGGGCAGAUCUGAAAUUCCAAACCUUGGUGGCAAUGAUUCCUCUCCUAUUCUCAUCACAGGACACAAAUUAAAUGGCCAUAACUAUUUACAGUGGUCACAAUCUGUGUUGCUGUUCAUUUGCGGUAAAGGAAAGGAUGAGUACCUCACUGGAGAAGCAGUCAUGCCAGAAACUACAGAACCGGGUUUCAGGAAGUGGAAGAUUGAAAACAGCAUGAUCAUGUCAUGGCUUAUCAAUUCCAUGAACAAUGACAUAGGCGAAAAUUUCUUGCUGUUUGGGACUGCAAAGGACAUAUGGGAUGCAGCCAAAGAAACUUACUCAAGUUCUGAAAAUACUUCAGAACUGUUUCAGGUUGAAUCAACUCUACAUGACUUCCGCCAAGGAGAGCAGUCAGUUACUCAGUAUUACAACACACUCACAAGGUAUUGGCAGCAACUUGACUUAUUUGAGACUCACUCAUGGAAAUGUUCGGAUGAUGCAGCAACAUACAGGCAAAUUGUGGAACAAAAGAGACUGUUCAAGUUUUUCCUAGGACUAAACAGGGAAUUGGAUGAUGUUAGAGGCCGAACCAUGGGCAUUAAACCCCUGCCAAGUCUCAGGGAGGCUUUUUCAGAGGUUAGGCGUGAAGAAAGUAGAAAGAAAGUGAUGAUGGGAUCAAAAGAGCAACCUGCCCCGACAUUGGAUGCCUCUGCCCUUGCUGCUCGGUCAUUUAAUAGUAGUGGUGGAGAUCGUCAGAAACGGGAUAGGCCUUGGUGUGAUUAUUGUAAGAAACCAGGCCAUUAUAAGGAGACUUGCUGGAAGCUUCAUGGCAAACCGGCUGAUUGGAAACCAAAGCCACGGUUUGACAGAGAUGGCAGAGCACACGUGGCUGCCAACUCUGAGAGCACAUUUGUUCCCGAGCCGAGUCCAUUCAACAAAGAGCAGAUGGAGAUGCUACAGAAAUUAUUAAGCCAAGUUGGCAGUGGCAGUACUACCGGUGUAGCCUUCACUGCUAAUCGAGGAGGAAUGAGGCCGUGGAUAGUAGACACAGGUGCUUCUGAUCACAUGACAGGAGAUGCUGCCAUUCUUCAAAAUUACAAGCCAAGUAAUGGUCAUUCAUCCGUCCAUAUUGCUGAUGGUUCAAAGUAAAAAAUUGCCGGGACAGGUUCUAUAAAACUUACUAAAGACUUAUAUCUUGACUCUGUCCUCCAUGUUCCAAACUUGGAUUGUAAUCUUUUGUCCAUUAGCAAAUUGGCUCGUGAUCUCCAAUGUGUUACUAAAUUCUAUCCAAACUUGUGUGUUUUUCAGGACUUGAAAUCGGGGAAGAUGAUUGGCAGUGCUGAACUGUGUUCCGGGCUCUACCUCCUUUCAUGUGGCCAAUUCUCAAACCAAGUCUCUCAAGCAAGUUGCGUACAGUCUCAGAGUAUGUCAGAGUCUUUCAAUUCUGUGUCAAAUUCUAAGGUCAAUAAAGAUAGUGAGAUUAUAAUGUUACACUAUCGCCUUGGUCAUCCUAGCUUUGUUUACCUUGCAAAAUUGUUUCCCAAAUUAUUUAUCAAUAAAAAUCCAGCAUCUUAUCACUGUGAAAUUUGUCAGUUUGCAAAGCAUACUCGAACAGUAUAUCCUCAAAUCCCAUACAAACCUUCGACUGUUUUCUCUCUAGUACAUAGUGAUGUGUGGGGUCCCUCCCGGAUAAAAAAUAUUUCUGGCACUCGAUGGUUUGUGACAUUCGUUGAUGAUCAUACUCGGGUAACAUGGGUUUUCCUUAUGAAAGAAAAGUCAGAGGUCGGACACAUUUUUCAAACCUUCAAUCUUAUGGUUCAAAAUCAAUUCAAUUCCAAAAUACAAGUCCUCAAGUCAGAUAAUGCAAAGGAAUACUUUACUAGUAGUCUCAGUACUUAUCUUCAAAAUCAUGGCAUUAUCCACAUAAGUUUUUGCGUUGACACCCCACAACAAAAUGGGGUGGCUGAACGCAAGAAUAGACAUCUCUUGGAGGUUGCCCGGUGCCUUAUGUUUUCCUCUAAUGUUCCAAACUAUUUCUGGGGGGAAGCUAUUCUCACAGCUACCUAUUUGAUUAACCGUAUGCCAUCCAGAGUGCUUACCUUUCAAUCCCCACGUCAACUUUUCUUAAAACAGUUUCCUCACACCCAUGCCGCCUCUUCUGAUUUACCACUCAAAGUAUUUGGUUGCACGACAUUCGUUCAUGUGUAUCCUCAAAAUCGUAGCAAAUUUGCUCAUCGAGCAAAUAAGUGCAUUUUUCUAGGGUAUUCUCCAACCCAAAAAGGGUACAAAUGCUAUUCUCCAACCAACAAAAGAUUUUACACCACCAUGGACGUCUCUUUCUUUGAACAUGUCUUCUUCUAUCCCAAAUCUCAUGUUCAGGGGGAGAGCAUGAAUGAACAUCAAGUUUGGGAGUCUUUUCUUGAGGGUGUACCUUCUUUUCAUUCAGAGUCACCAAAUCCUUCCCAAUUCGUGCCCACUGAGUUGUCCACACCCAUGCCGCCAUCAGUUCAGCCAGCCCAGCACACAAAUGUUCCUUCUCCCGUGACCAUCCAGUCUCCCAUGCCUAUUCAACCUAUAGCCCCACAACUUGCUAAUGAGAACUUACAAGUUUACAUCAGGAGGAGGAAAAGACAGGAAUUAGAGCACGGAUCACAGUCAACAUGUGGCCAAUAUAUUGACUCCAAUUCAAGUCUUCCUGAAGAGAACAUAGGUGAGGAUAGGGCUGGAGAGGUGUUAAUUCCCAGCAUUGAUGAUUCUACUUUGCCAAUUGCAUUGAGGAAGGGUGUUAGGAGAUGUACAGAUCAUCCAAUUGGGAAUUAUGUUACGUAUGAAGGGUUAUCACCAUCUUACAGAGCAUUUGCCACUUCUCUUGAUGAUACUCAGGUUCCCAACACAAUACAAGAGGCAUUAAAAAUUUCAGAAUGGAAGAAGGCAGUACAAGAUGAGAUUGAUGCACUUGAGAAGAAUGGGACGUGGACUAUCACAGAUUUGCCGGUUGGGAAGAGGCCUGUGGGGUGCAAGUGGAUUUUCACCAUAAAAUACAAAGCAGAUGGAUCAGUCGAAAGAUUCAAGGCUCGUUUGGUAGCUAGAGGGUUUACACAAUCCUAUGGGAUAGACUAUCAGGAGACUUUUGCUCCUGUUGCAAAACUGAACACUAUCAGGAUCCUUCUCUCAUUGGCUGUCAAUCAAGAUUGGUGCUUGCAACAACUGGACAUAAAAAAUGCGUUUCUAAAUGGGGACCUAGAAGAGGAAGUCUACAUGGAAAUACCACCUGGUUUCGAAGAAAGUAUGGCAAAGAAUCAGGUUUGCAAACUCCAAAAAUCCUUGUACGGCCUUAAACAAUCUCCUCGAGCCUGGUUUGAUAGAUUCACAAAAGCAGUCCUGAAGUUGGGCUACAAACAAGGUCAGGCUGAUCAUACUCUAUUUGUCAAGAAGUGUCAUGCCGGGAAAUUGGCCAUAUUGAUAGUCUAUGUCGAUGAUAUUAUUCUAUCUGGGAAUGAUAUGGGGGAGUUACAGAAUUUGAAGAAGUAUUUGUCAGAAGAGUUUGAAGUUAAAGACCUUGGAAAUUUGAAAUAUUUCCUUGGUAUGGAAGUGGCGAGAUCAAGGAAGGGAAUCGUAGUCUCUCAAAGAAAAUACAUACUCGAUCUUCUUAAGGAGACCGGUAUGCUUGGAUGCAAACCAAUUGAUACUCCUAUGGAUAGUCAGAAGAAACUUGGUAUCGAGAAAGAAAGUACACCGGUAGACAGGGGGAGAUAUCAGCGGCUUGUCGGGCGCUUGAUUUAUCUCUCACACACUCGGCCAGAUAUUGGCUUUGCAGUGAGUGCUGUAAGUCAAUUCAUGCACAGCCCCACUGAGGAACACAUGGAAGCAGUCUACAGAAUUCUUAGAUAUUUAAAAAUGACACCAGGGAAAGGCCUAUUCUUCAGAAAGACAGAGAACCGUGACACUGAAGUAUACUCAGAUGCGGAUUGGGCAGGAAACAUCACUGACAGGCGGUCCACUUCCGGAUAUUGUUCUUUUGUCUGGGGAAAUCUUGUUACCUGGAGGAGUAAGAAGCAAUCAGUUGUAGCCAGAAGUAGUGCAGAAGCUGAGUACAGAGCUCUUGCACAGGGAAUCUGUGAAGGGAUUUGGAUAAAAAGGGUUCUUAGUGAACUGGGACAAACGAGUUCAUCUCCAAUUCUGAUGAUGUGUGAUAAUCAGGCAGCUAUAAGCAUAGCAAAGAACCCCGUGCAUCAUGACAGGACCAAGCAUGUUGAGAUUGACAGACACUUUAUCACAGAGAAGGUGACUAGUGAGACGGUCAAAUUGAACUAUGUUCCUACCAAGCACCAAACCGCAGACAUCCUCACCAAAGCUUUACCUAGGCCUAACUUCGAAGACUUAACUUGCAAGCUGGGAUUAUAUGAUAUAUAUUCUCCAGCUUGAGGGGGAGUGUUGAAAUAAUGCCAAAGUUAGGACUUUAAUUUAGGAAUAAAAAAGGAGAGAUCAUUUAGGAUAUUUCCUUAUGAUUUAGUUUCCUAAUUUUAGGAGAGAAUUAAGCUAGAUUGGUUUUUUCUUAUUCAGUCAUUUGUGUAUAUAUAUGUGUAUGGUGUGUACCGAUUAAUCAUCAAUAAAGGAGUUCAGAAAUUCUUCAUGAUAGGUAAAUAAGAGCUUGUAUUAGAAGGGCCCAAGAAACUAGGCAAAGAAGACAAAAAACUUUUCCCCUAACUAGACAUAUGGCCACUCUAUAAAAUCAAUCAUAGACAAAGUAUGAUCCUCCAUAAACACUCUAACCCAAUUUACAAACGUAUACAAAAAGAAAUGUUUUAAAGGUUGGUCGGACUGUUCGAUAUCAUUAAAUGCUCUUUCGUUUCUUUCCUUCCAUAAAGUCUACAUUAAGCAUAAAGGGGCAACCCUCCAAGACUUCUCCCUUCUCUUACCCACAAAGGCACCAUGCCAACCAAGCAAAUCCCUUUUAAUCGAAGAAUGCAAAACCCACUGCACACCAAAAAGGGAGAAAAUCAAACUCCAAAGCAUCGUAGCCUUUCUGCAAAACAAGAUUAAAUGGUCACUGGUUUCCUCUUUCUCUUUACACAAGCAUAUUCAAACUAAUAACUAAUAGUUAUUGGAUUUAAAGCUUGUUUGUUAACGUUCUUCAUGGUUGUGCUUCUAUUUUUAAUCAAUUCUCUUGGCCAUCACCGUUUCCCCCUUAUUAAGAUUGGGUAUUUAAGUUUCAACGAAACAGCCUACUAAAUCCUCAAGAUAGAUCCUAUUUAUAAGGCAUGGGAGUUUUGGUCAAUGUCUGCUUCCAAAAUUCUUAUCCAUAUUUCUAUGAAUUCUUAUGCCAGAAAGUCUACUUCUUGCAGAAUUUUGAUGAUGUCUUGGUUCCUCCUGAUCACAUCAGUAGGAGUUACAAUGAUACAUACUACAUUGACUCUCAAACUGUCUUGAGGUGCCACACUAGGGCUCAUCAAGCAGAGCUGUUGAGGAGGGGACACACUCAUUUCCUUGUGACUGGAGAUGUUUAUCAUAGAGAUUUCAUUGAUUCAACUCACUACCUGUUUUUCAUCAGGUUUCUUAUUUCUGAUUUUAUCAAUGAUUGUUUUCUAUUAACAAGUUUCUUAUGUUUUCUUCAGUUCAAUAAUUUUGCUUCCUGAUCAUGCAGAUGGAAGGUGUUCGUGUCUUCUUUCCAGGUGAUUGGGAGACAUCUGGAAUGGAUGGCACAUCUUAUGUGGUUGAGGAUUUAAAGAAAUGUCUUGACGGUUUGGCGCAGCACUUGUUUGGUAAACUUAGAUCAGGAGAUUGUCUUAAUCAGAUACAAACUUAAUACUAUCAGUUGAUGCUGCAGUGAGAAAUAUGGGUUAAGGAAUUAUUUACCAGGUCUCAUAAUUCAAAAUCUGGGAAAUACAUCAAGUAAAAGGGGAGGAAAAUAAUGAAAUAAUAAAAUAAUAAAUUUAAGUGGGGGAAAGCAAUUCAUGUUAUGCAAAAGCAGUACAGGUUGGUCAUUUAGAAGUCAAAUCAAGAUAGUCCAGAAUAAUAUAGGGAAUUAUUUGUGAUUCUCAAGGUACUUGUUAAGAAUCAUUGACAAAUUACCUAAAGAAACAUUUAAGAGUGCUAUUAUUCUUGAAAUUUCUGAAAUCUAUCAGAAAGGUAGUUUUCAUCUUGGGGUUUACCAUAUACUGUAUAGAAUCUGCGUGGGCUAAAUCUGUUGAAAUUUGCAGGUAAUGUAGAAAUGCACUGGAUUGAUACAUAUUUCCCUUUCACCAACCCAUCAUUUGAACUUGAGAUAUAUUGUCAGGUAUGCUUUUGAUCUAGGUGGUGGUUACAUUUUAGCACUAUAUACUUUGAAUUUCUUUAAAACUUUGUUUUUGAACUAAUUUUCACAGAAACAGGCUCCAUUUCAUUUUUCUGUUUUCACCUUUUGCAAGAAAGGGUAAAAAUCAUUUCAAAAAUGUGAACUUCAGUUUAUUCCAUUGCUGGCAUGUGUGGCUUUCAUCUGUUAUUGAAGACACUAAGAUUCAUAGACUGAUAAUAUUCCAAUGCUUAUAAUAACAGUAAUGUUGGUGAUAAAAUAAUAUAAAAGUAGAAACAAAAUUAGUUGUCUCCCUUUUUUUUCGUUUAGUUUCUUUGUUCUUCUUACCCCUCUGAUGUGGGGAGGGGGUGUGGGGCUCUUUGUUGUCGCCAAAUGUGAAAAAGAAGAGGCAUUAUGUCCUUUUAUUUUGGAUUUACAGGACCUAUUAUGAAGGCAUUUAUGACUUCAAGACUUUUUUGUAUUUUAUUUUAUGGAAGCAUUUUUUUAGCGUCACUAGUGAAGGAGAAAUUCAUAAACAUAUAUACACACAUGCUAGUGGGCAUACACAAACACUGAUGUUCCACACAGUAAUUAAAAAAUUCUUGCUUUGAGGAGUAUCUUUUUCCUGAACUCAUGUCCAUGUCAAAUGGCAACAUGCCAAUGACUAUUUGCCAGCAGAUGGAAUGCUGGCAACACUUUUAUGGAUUGAAUGUUUUCCUUUCCCCUUUCUUUGUAGUGAAUGAUGUGUACUCUUUAGUUGCUCUUACAUAUUUGAUGCAUUGUGCUUCAUGCCCUAAUUGAUGCAGAACAGAAAAGUACCAGAAAAAAUGAUGGGAGUCUAGGAAUUACUUCCAAAAACCUUAGGCUUCGCAUAUAGGUUUAGUUUGCAUCACACAAAAAAGAAACAUUGCAAGCUGGAAGGUUUUGUGUUUUCAUUCAUUGAUCCUUUUAGAAGAUAGAGUGAUCAGCUUUGUAAACUACAACCCUAAGACCCCUAAUACUCUUUGGAACCAAUCACAGUAAUAAUAAAGCUGAGAAAUCAGAAACUUGAACUGAUAAAUAAAAAUUAAAAGGCACUUGCAAAUAUAAAGCAUUAAUGACUUUGGAAAUAAGAACACUCCAAUACCCCCCAUGCCCUUCGGAAAACUCAACCUUGACAAGUUAAAGUCAUGAAAUUUCUCAUAACGAUCACAAUUCAACUGCUGAAAUUCAUUGCUUGUGAUCCACAUACAAUCUCAAAGUGGCCUUUCUCUCCAUUCCACAAGAUGCUUUUGAUAACCUCCUCUUCUGGUUGAAACAAUUUAGUGACCAACAACUUUUCAAUCUUCUCUUUCAAUCAAGGGGCUGGUAGAAGAUGACCAUUUGGACCAUUAAUUGAUGUAGCAGCUUUAGGAUUAGGAAAAAGGGUGUGGUCUUCAAUAUUAGAGAUCUUAUUAAUGCCCAUAUUUUCUGGCAAGUCAAGUACAUAAGCGUUGGGACUUGUUUUCCUGAGAAUUUUAUAGGGACCAACAUUCUUUGAGUGGAGUUCUUAUAGGCACCUCUAGGAUAUUGUUCAGGCCUUAUUCACACAAUAACCAUAUCACCUUCAAUAAGUUCAGCAAAUUUUCUUUUCACAUCAUCGUAUGACUUAUUUAUUUAUUUGAUAGGCAAGCGGGAAAAACAUGUAAUCAUAUGACUUAUAAUUUCAUUGAUGAAAACAAGUUUCAUUGAACAUGAUAAUGUAUGCCAUCUAUAUGCUCACUAAAAGCAUCAGAUUCAAUGCUAGGUCAUGCAUCCAUUGGUAAAGGAACCAAAUCCAUAGGCUUUCUAGGAAGUGAUUCAGUCACAAUCUCAAAUGGACUGUGACCAAUAGACCUGUUCAGGGAGCUAUUAUUUGCAAAUUCGGCCAUUGAUCUGAUCUCCAGCUAGGCAGUGAAGUAAAUGAUCCAAGCUUCAAUUAACGACUUCUAUUUAGCCAUCUGUUUGAGGGUGAAAAGCAAAAGAAAACUUUAGUUUGGCAUUCAGUAUUUUCCAUAAAGUUCACCAGAAGAAACUCAUGGACCUACCAUCCAGUUUAGGAAAAUCAUGAAGGCGAACAAUUUCCUUGAAGAAGAGGUUUUUUUUUUUUUUUGAUAGGUAUUCCUUGAAGAAGAGUUUAACAAUUAGGCAACAUCUUUAGUCCUUAAGCAUGGGAUAAAUUGUACCAUCUUGGAGUAAUGAUUUACCACUACACGUAUGCAAUCAUGUCUCUGACAGUUUUCGGCAAACCAGGGACAAAAUCCAUGCAUAGGUCUAGCCAUGGCUCAUGUGGCACAGAAGUGGCAUGUAUGGAUCUGUAUUCUUCCUUUUCCUCUUUGAUAAUUUGCAGGUUCGAUGUCUGGAGACAUUCUUAGCCACAUCUUUUUCAGACUUGGUCAAUAAAAAUGAUUUUCCACCAUUGUAAUGGUUUUAUCUCUUCCAAAAUGACCAGUUGUUUCUCCAGCAUGAAGUUCCAAUAUUACUUGCUCAUGAAAUGAUGUUUUGGGUAAGCAAAGCCGAGUCCCUUUGAAGCAAUAUCAAUCAUGUAAAAAAUCACCAUAUUCUCCCGAAUUUCUAGGCACUAAAGCAACACAUAUAGUGCUAAAAUCUUUGCAAGAAGGAUAAGGGCUCUUAAACGAGUCAAAUCCAACAACUUGUACAGCAAUAGAAGAAAGAGUGUAUGCCAAUUUGCUAAGAGCCACUGCAAAGAAUUCUUUGUCAUAGAUACAAUAUUUCUGCUUUGCUUCAUUAAGAUUUUUGCUGAGAAAUGCAGUAGGGACACCUCUAACUCUUAUAUUUGAUGCAUUGCAUGCCGCUUCUAACACCUCCCGGAAAAUUGGAAGCUGCAAAACCAGUGCUUCAAUUAACGUUUUUGCCUUGGUCCAAUUCAACUGAUUUUUCUUCAUAGAAUAAGUUAUAGGGGCUGUAACAUUGCUGAAACUUAUGAUGAAAUGUCCAUGGAACAUUUCUAGCCCAUAGUAACUUUGUACUUAUUGUGAUGUGUUGGGAAUUAGGAUGGCUUUUACUUCAUUCAUACUUCCAAUCCUUUUGCCAAAACAAGAAGCCUAAGAAUACUACUGCUGAGAUCAUGAAAGAGCAUUUCUUCAAAUUUAUGUAGAGCUUUUCUUGGGGAACAACUGUCAUAACUUGCGAUAGAUGAGAGAUGUGAUCUCCUUUGGUCUUGCUGUAAUUAAGAUGUCAUCAAAGUAAACAACCAGGAACUUUUCAAUAAAUGGCUGAAGUACUUGAUUUAUGAAGCACAUGAAUGUGCUAGGGGCAUUUGAAAGGCCAAAAGGCAUGACUAGCCACUCAUAGAGGCCAUCUUUUGUUUUAAAGUCCGUCUUCCAUUCCUUUUCCAGUGUGCUGCUUAUUUGAUGAUAUCCACUCUUUAAAUCCAUCUUUGAAAAUAUGCAAGAGCCAGCCAUCAUGUCAUAUCUAACAUGUGAUUGAAUCAAGGGAUAGGAAACUGAUACUUGAUGGCUAUCUUGUUAGUAGUGUGACUGCCAACUACUAUCUUUUUUUGGUGUUAGCAAGGCAGGGACAGCACGAGGGCUUAAACUUUCAUGAAUAGUUCCCUUGGGCAGCAGCUACUCCAAUUGUCCUUUUAGUGCUUCAUGCUCACUUGGAUUCAUAUGAUAGGCUGGAAGAUUAGGCAGUUGAGGCCUUGCCAUAAAAUCUAUAAGCAUGCUGGAUGUUGCACAGAGAGGAAAGUUUUUGAGCAACAUCUAUGGUAGGUCUUUUCGAGCAACAUCUAUAGUCAUCAGGAUCAUAGGCUCUAUAAUCAAAUGAAUUUCGGUUUCUUCAUCUUUUUGUUGUUCUUGUUGUUCUUGUUGUUCUUCAUGCUCCAUUCCGAUGUACAAAUUGUUCUUUGGACAAUUUAGGUUAUUUGGCCGGGUUGUUGACACUUAAAACACCUAUUAACCUUACCCUUAGGGUUAGCGGCAUUAGAAGAAUACAACUUAGACCCUGUAGGUUGGACAAAUGGCUCGGAUUGGCCUAUUCUUGCACUGCAACCUACAUCAGUGAACCUCCUCUGCACUGGUUCUAUGGAUGAAACUCACAUCCCAGGUACGCCUCCAUAUCUAAUGCAAAUUGAAAAGCUUUUUCUAGGCUGUAUAAUGGAUGAUGCAUCAACUCUCUUCUCAUUUUAGGUCUCGAUCCAGCUUUGAAUCAUGCAAGAGUUUGCCCUUGGGUCUUCUACUAUUUGACUCCAAGUCUUUAGCUCAUGUAAUCUUUGCAUGUACUUUGGUCUCUGCAACAGACAUGUUGUUUUGAUUCAUAGUAAUGAGGUGAUUACAUAACUUAUUACAAUAAUUGGUCCUGCAUAUAUUUUUCACAUAGCUUAUCCUUCAUCUCCUGCCAUGUGCUGACAGGUGGUAGCCUCAUCUUCCCAUCUUCCUAGUAUCUCUUUCAACAUCUAUCCACUAAUCUUUUGCUAGGCCUACUAGUUUCAUUUUAGUAAACCACCCUCUCUGUUCAUCAUUCAUACAUACCAAUCAAAACAGUCCUCAAUUGUAGCUAGCCAAUCAACAAAUUGAGUAGCAUCGCCCUUCCUUCAAGUUAGGAACUUCUCCUUUUACUUUCCUUGUGAUAUCUUCAGCAGUUUCACAAGGUUUACACCUUGUUUCAGGUAGUCCUCUAGCCCAUUCAGAUAUAGGAUAUUGUGGUGCAUGUCCGAUGUUCCUCCAAGUUUUUGUUGUUAUUAAUUUGAGAUAAUUCUCCUUGCACAACACGUGCUAAAUCAUUAGUGGGCUGAGAUAUUUGUGUCUCAAUGUUGCUUAGUUGAAUAUGCAGGCUAUCAAGCUGUUCCAUCACCAAAAUAGUAUCUCAUCAUGUUGAUUAUUAGAUAAAUCUAUUUUGAAACUCCUCCUAGGUCUUGUAAUCAUGAUCUCAGCUUGCUCUGAUGCCAAAAUUGAUGCCAAACAGAAAGGUAAUAGAAAACAUGUUGGGACUCUAGGAAUCACUUCCAAAUCUUAGGCUUCACACUUAAGUUCAGUUUGCAUCACACAAACAAGUUGAACUGUCACAGUACGAUUGGUUCAUAAUAAGGUGUCAUCUGAUUGGUUCUCGUGGAGGCAACCUGUGAUUGUUCAAACUGGAGGCUGCACCUGAUUGAUUACAUUGAAAGUUGGAAGGUUUUGUAUGAGAUAAAUGAACCAACUUUAUCCACUAUAACUCUAGACCUUAGACUCUUUUGGAGCUAAUGGCAAUACUAAUGAAGUUGGAAAAUCAACAAUGUGAACUGAUAAAAAAAAUUGAAAGACUCUUGAAAAUGUAAAGCAUUAAUGAUUUUGGAAAUAAGAACACUUGUGAUCCUUUGACUAGACUCAUAAACAAAACUUAGACUGAAAUCCACAUUGAAGUAUAUAAAAUCCCAACUGGGCCUAUUAUCAUCCUAAGUAUACCAAAUCAUAAUUUGGGCCUUAAGAGUCCAAUCUCUAUGCAUUUGUUAACCUUUCACAGGUGAUUGCCACUUGUCUUCAUCGCUAACAAACACGAUUAUAGCAUCAGAGAAGAGCCAUGUCCCCAAAUCUGGCAGUAAAAGUUCUUUUUACAAGCUAACCUCAGGGAUCCAAUUACUACAUUAUUGUGUUAACCAUGAGCAUUGGUGCUCCUGUUCUGCUUGCAUGGUUACACUGAACCUGCUAUCCAAAUGUGUUGGUUGACCGAAUGAGAAACUCUAGGAAAAUGAAUGAAUUCAUAGUGACAUAGCAACAUUGAAUGCAACUUGUGUGUUUGUGUGAACAGGAUUGGGCGAGUUAAAGAGAGUUUUUAGAAGGGAUAAUACCUUUUUAAUUGGUCUUAGUGUUCAGUAUGCAGCUGGUUCAGUGAUCAGGAGGCCAGUUUAUAAUACAAUUUUCUUGAGAUUUUUAUUGAAGUGAUCCCUUGAAAAGUCAGGCUACUUUUCCAAGAAGUAAAUAUUUUAUCUUGUAGGUUGUAAAAGAUGCAUUCUCAGAAUAGGUGCCUUGAUUAUGUUUCUUCAGCAGAAGAACCUACAAUUAGGAUCCUGUGUAUAUCCUUUCUUGGAAUUUUCAUAAAUUUACCAGUAUUAACUUCCUAUUUUAGGACUAACUGUUCAGAAAAUCUAUGGAAAAGACUAAAGAGUAAGUACUAAGUAGAACCUCCAAGGGCUGCUAAAAAGCACUUCCCAGGGCCAUGAGCCAAAACUGGGCCAUUUGGAAAGGGGUUGUAACAAGUCACUUGACUAGGGGUUGUUAGAGGCCAUCAUUAGCCAAGAUUGGUUUUAGAUUCAACUUUAGGAAUUUAUUUAUUUUUCCUGAUUUCUCUUUUAUUUUUAGUUACAUAAUCAUAUUUGACUCUUGCUUUCCACUCUAAAUUCACAAUAUGUGAACCUUAUGAUAGAAAUUUUUAACUUCAGAACAUGAGUUGGGAUGUAUCAGAGAAGAAAGUUUCAAAUCCCUGGACUAGCAUUUCUGUAAUGCCUCAAUGAAAUUUUAUUGUAUGAUUAUCUACUUGAAGUAGCAAACCAUUAUCCUUUUAUUGCCAUUGAAUUGUGAAACCAUUAUGCCAUUACAUUGACAUCUCCAAAUGAAUUAUUUUAAUUUGAAUAGUUUUGCAUUAACUUAUUAUUUGACAAUCAUUGCCUAUAGUUUUUUGGCAGAACACUAUGAUCUCACUAAGCAACAUCCAUUGAUAAUUUAUCAGGAGAAAUGGUUAGAAGUUUUAGGUUGUGGGGUGACAGAGCAAGAAAUAUUACAGAAAAGUGGUAAAACAGGUAAUGUUGCUUGGGCUUUUGGGCUUGGAUUGGAACGGCUAGCAAUGGUUCUGUUUGGGAUACCUGAUAUUCGGCUUUUCUGGUCAACUGAUGAGCGGUUGACCUCUCAAGUAAUUCCCCAAUUCAGUAAAUGAUACUGUAUUUUAUUUUAUUCUCCUUUUCUGUCUUUGUGGUUAAGUAAUCAUUACCAAAAUUGAUAUCCUUAGGAAAAUAAAGCAUGCUGAAAAUUGACCUUGUUGACAUUCUUAAUGUCUGAUUUAGGUUCCCUGAAUGUUUAAUUUAAAUGCUUUGUAUGCAGUUCUCAAAGGACCAGCUUGGGGUCAAGUUCAAGCCAUUUUCAAAGGUAUUGCUUAUAUUUUUCUCAGUUUGAUAAUAGUAGUAUCUUCUUCUGAUGUUGUGUUAAUUGAAACUGUUGCAUAAUUUUCAUGCAAAAGGAUCCAAGACAUUUUGGGGGCCGGCAUUUCUAAGUAUAACCAGAAAAAGUCCUUUAUGCAAAUAUGUCUUUUACAUUCUGAAAUCGAAAAAAUUAAUUACACACAACAUAAUAACUAAAUAUUUAUACCUGUUAGAGCCCCUUGUAACCUUCUCUAUUGGCUGCUAGAAACUGACUAUUGUCUUUUUGCAGUAUCCUCCUUGUUACAAGGGCAUGAGUUUUUGGAUUAAUGAGUCGUUCACAGAAAACAAUUUAUGUGAGGUUGUAAGAGGAGUUGCUGGAGAUUUUGUCCAGGAGGUAUGCCUUUUUAUGUUUCUUCUUGUAAAUUGUUCAUUAGCUAUAGAUCUCUUCAUGGUUCACUUGGUAGAAUUUUCCUAACCAUUUGUAUAGUUACACUGAAAGCACCGAACCAAUUUGUGUUUUAAUUAGGGGUGUGCAGGGUUUGGUUUGUUUAGUUUCGAACUUUAAAAUAAAACCAAACCAGUCUAAUUGGUUUUAUGUAUUAGGAACCCAAGCUGGCCUAAUCGGUUUUAUGUAUUAGGAACCAGACUAAUUGAACUGAAAGAGGGAACUGAUCGGUUCAGUUCAGUUUAAUAGCAAUAAUUGAUAUAAGUUAAUUUACUAUAUUUCGGUCAAGAAAUAAAAUAAUUUUUUUUUUUUUAAUCAAUUUGGGUCGAAACCAAAAAGCUCAUAAUAGGACAUUGUUGGUCAAAAAGCUUAUAAUAGUUUAUUACAACAAGUUGCUUUAGAGUUUGCUCAAAUUACAUCAUUGUAACUCAUUUCAAAUCAUAUUAUUGUAACACAGCCGCAUGAAUAACUGUUGUUAUAGUCUAUGCUUAUCAUACUAAGUUUGGUUUGGGAUUCUAUCGAGUGUGAAAGAAGUGCACCAAAUUAAUAAGGUAACCAAUGGUUAUUGUAUAUUAUAGGUGUAUGUAUAUAACUUUUGAUUUGGUUUGGUUUAUUAUUUGUUUUCUAAAUGGCAUAGUUCAGUUUUUUUUAGAAAACCAAAAUUGUUGAAAAAUCUUUAAAAAUUGAUUGGUUCAGGCCAGUGUGGCUCAGUUCUAUCAUUUUUGUCCAUUUAAUCGGUUUUUAACACACCCCUAGUUUUAUUUCACUUUUCAGUUCUUGGACUUUCCAUGAAAAUAAUAUUGUUGUCAUGAAGCUACUGAGGCAGUUAUGGACCAAUUCCAUCCUCUGAAUUUGCUCAUAAAAGAGAUCCUCUCUCUUCUCUUCUUUUCUAUCUACCAUCAGUUGCAAUAAUAGAUCCAGUUUGCACAAAGCCAAGCUUAGAAAAUCUGGUCAUUGACAACCUGAAUAGUCUCUGGGAGCAUCCAGUAUCUUUUCUCCUUUGUGAGGGUGGAUAACUGGUCUGGGUCCCCUGCAUCAUUUUUCAUAGGUUGCAGAGCUGCUGUGUCCGUAUAGGAAAUAACAUGUUCUUCCUUCAUAGCUUUAAGUGCCAUCAGGAAUUGGAUAUGCUAAUAUGAGUGGGAGGACUCCAGAUGGUGGACUUACGAAGACCUCCACUCUGAUUCAUUGAUGCCAAACAUAUAAUUGUGAUAAAGAGAGGCUUCGGAAGUUGAUAUUCUUUUAAAGUGUUUCCAAUAUUGAAGGUUUAUAAAGAGGUUCAAAUUGAGAAAUUACUAUUCUCUAAAUAAUAGGAUCGUAGUCGGUUUUUCGUUCAAAAUUUGUCCUAUAUUCCAAGAUGAUUGUUGACAAUCUGAUCUAUAGUUAAACAGUGGCCAUAAUAAGUCCCUAUUUUCCUAGUGCCUGAAAGUGAAGCUCCAUUCUGAAGUUUUCUAAACUAUAAGAUACAUUUUUGACUUCCAGGUGCAAUUGAUCGACAAUUUCACCAACAACAAAGGAAUGACCAGUCAAUGUUAUCGGAUAGCAUACCGGUCCAUGGAGCGUUCACUUACAGAUGAGGAGAUAAAUGAGUUGCAGGUAUUUCAUGUUUAGGGGAUUUUGUACAAGUGAUUAAUAUUUCGUCUUGAUUACAGGUAAUGACUAAUAACCUGGAAUUUGGCUAUGAUUCUGGGGUGCAGUGGAAUGUUAGGGAGCAAGUGCACAGCAAGUUGAAGGUUGUUCUUAGAUGAGAUUUCUGAUGCUGGGAACCUAAUUUUUCUAUCUCACUCUGAUAAGUCUCCUUGUGAACAUUUUCUAUUAUUAUUCUUUUUGUUCCUACCUUUUACAUUUUGAACUAGGUACAGUUGGGAAAUUAGGCAUUCAAAACCAGCUUUAAUGGGAGAAACACUUUAGGAAAAUAAGGAAAAUGUACUAGAAAGAAUAAUGCAUACGUUGAUCAAUGUGAAAUUUAUUUUUGUAUACAAUGUUUCUCUAAUAAUUUUAACAAUGCCUGACCUUAAAUAUAGUAAUUAAUUGCUCUUUUGCAGUUGUAUUCCCUUUUAUUUUAAUUUUUAAAUUUUUUUUUUUUUUUUAAGAACAUCACAAACAACUAUUUUAUUAUAUUAAAAUAGUAGGUACAAAGCAAGAUGAGAAAUCUUCCCAAUUAGUAUAAAACACCCUUAUGCAAUAUUUAUGAAAAUAGGUGUAUAGUGUCCAAAAAGAUCAAUUUAUCUUAUAGGCCAAACUGGUUUGGACAAUGCUCACUAUAGAUCCAUAAGGUAAAAAAAUCUCUUAUAGAAGAAACCGAAUGUCUUCCUCCAUGCUUUGCUAACACUCCCAGCACAAUUGCUUUAGCAAUGAACAGCAAUGAACCUAAUAAAAUGGCCAUAUCAUUUCUGAUCUAAUAUCAAUGAUUUGAAGUUAUGACCCCUCAAACUUCUAGGGUUCUCUUUUUUUUUUCCUUGGUCAUCCGUGAUAUUAGAAUGGUAGAAGCUACUUCUAAUAGGAGAUUGGAGAGGCCUAAAGCUUUUGCUUGCAAUAAACUCUCUAGAAAGGUUAGGAUCUUUGCCUCAAUGGCUAAACUCUGACUUGCAUAUAUAGAGAAUUCUCUUAUUAUUAUACCAAAGUGGUCAUUGAGUAACUCUCUAAUCCCCAACUCCCCUAGUUACCCAAAGAACCCCAUUAACAAUUAGCAUAUAACUUAUGCAGCACAUGCUACACUGAUGGAGCCUUUAGGAACUAUUUUCAUGUUUGUUAGGCUAAUUCAUCCUCAAUAUUAUGUCAAUGCCAACUUUUAGCUUGAGUUUGAAUUGCCUAUAUUAUGGAAAGAAAAUAAGAUAGGAAGAAACAUGAAAUUCUCUUGUUUGAUUUACUAUAAAAAAAUAUGAAGAAAAAUAAAAUAUAGUAGAAAUGACUUAAAACCGUUAUACGUUCAAAUUCUUUAGUUUUUCUAUGAUAGAAAAAUAAAUUUGAAGAAGCAAGUAACUUUAGUUCAAAUUCAUUUUAUUGGGUAAUCAUUGUUUUUAUUACCCAUCUCAAGUUGUUAAGUCUUUCAAGCCUUAAAACUGAUUAGAGGUGAUUGUGAUAUCCUACAUGGGAUAGGGAAAAAAGUUUAUGACAUUAUACAUGUAUACAUUUCUUUUAAUAAUAUAGACACAUUUAAAGUCACGAGGGAUCAAAAUGAACGAUAUCAAUAUAAAAUGAGAACAAUCUAUUACAAUUAUACUUGCAAUAACCUUAAAAAAUUUGGAUACAUAAAACUACAAUCAUGUUUUUGUUGGGAAAAACGGUGUAGUAAAUACUUUUUUGUUGUUAUAUUAUAAAAACCAUAAAUUUCUAAAUUUCCGUUUCCUUUUCAAUUCUUUAUAUGUUUAAAAUUUUCAUCCAAACCAAGAUCCAAGAAAAACUUAAAACAAAGAAAAAAUGAAAAAUUAAUUUAACAUGUAUAAUUUUUUAAUAAGAAUUUAUAAUUCAUAAUUCAAACGAUAUUGUGAAUUGUAGACACUGGAUUAUACUUAGAGAAUCAUUCAAAGAAUGACGGUCAUGUGAAUGACAUAGGAUACCCAUUGCGUGCAUGUGACAUCUACUUCAUUUAGAGUCAGUUUGACAAUUAUUCUAAAAAACGUUUUUAGUGUAAAACAUGUUUUUGAAAAAAAAAAUUAGAUGCUUGACAAAAUUUAUGAAACACUUUUAAGAAUCUAAAAAAUCACGUAUAGUGUUUUAUGAAGAAAAACUUAAUAAAAAGUGAUUAUCCUCAAAAUACUUUCAAAGAAUACUUUCAUUAAAAAUACUUUAAAUAAAAACACUACAAAACAUACCUUUGAUUCAUUAUAAAGUAAUUUUCAUAUUUUAUAUAAUUAGACCCAUGCGAUUUGUCCACUAUUCAUGAUGAAUUUCCCUAUUUUAUAUAAGAACCCAUGAGAUUUGUCCACUGUUCUCUUUUCCAACUCUUCCAACUUCUUAUCUAAUAUUUAAAAUUGAUAAAUAUGAAUCCCUUUACCCUAGAGAAUAGUUCUAAGUGAACAGCUUAGCUUAUUUCAGUUUUCAUCUAAAGCAUAAUAGGUAUUCAUUUUACAUUCUAAUUCAUCUCCAUUCUCAUCCUAUUCUUCUUAGUCGGACAUGCCAAACACAUCCUUAAGCCAAGGAUGAACUUAUCGGUUAUGACUAAUAUAUCGAUAAUUUAAUUUUAUGGAUGUAUUGAGAUACAUGGAGAAAUAUCGGUGGAUAUUUUGAUAUAAAAUAUAAGUAAGAUAAAUAGAUUAAAAUUCAUGAAAAUGUUAAAAGAAACUUUAAAAAUGAUAUAAUAAAUAACAAUAAAGAUUUUAAAGUUGGUAUACUAACGAAAAUGAUAUAUGUAUGAUAUAGUUUAUCAAAUUUGAUAAUAAUAUAUGUGUGUUAAUAAAAAAUUAUUAUUUUGAUAUGUCAAAUAUUAUUCGAGAAUAAUGUUGCAACUUUUGUUUAUAAUACAAGUAAUUUUAAAAUAUAAUUAAUAUUAAAAUUGUGAUCUAUUUAAUUCAAUUAUAUAUAUAUAUAUAAAAUUUCUUUAACAUUUAGUAAAUAUAUUAAUGAUAUAAAAAAAGCUCUGUGAAGAAAAUUGUCAUCAUAAUUUUUAUGCCUUUUGUAUUCAAUUAAAUGAAAACUUUCAUUUAAUUAUCAAAUGAUUAUAAUUAAUUAAUUUAUUAAAAUAUUCUUAUAAUAUUUAUUUUUAUAAUGGCUUUUAAUAUAUAUAUAUAUAUAAUUGGUCGUCUUUUGUCUAGAAUUCGAAUUUACCGUGUUGACCAUGUUUGAUCAAGAAUAUUACUCGAGUUUUGACCACAUUUGAUGAUUGAGAAUGUCAUCGAUGUUUCGUGAUUUUUUAAUCCUUACCUAAAACAUGACAUUUUAUUUCGUUUUUAUUCUCAUCCUAUUCUAAUUUCUAAUCUGACAUACCAAACACAUCUUACGGUCUUCAAAGGUUUUGUCCAAGGUCUAACUCCCAAAGAAUUGGUGUGGUGAUCAUUAUUUUUGUUAGCCAUCAAAAGUCGUUGGAUCUUUCAAGUCCAAGGGAAAAAAAAAUUAAGCAUUUUUUAAAUAAACAUACCAAUUUAAACAUUUUUUUAAUAUAUAUAUUUUGGUAGCUUUCGUAUCAUGAUGUUGACAUCGUUUAAAAUUGGGAAACUUGUGUUUUGGUCCUCUGAUAUAAAAAAUAUAUGCUUUUGGAAACUAAAAUAUAUGAAAUAUGAAAUCCAACUAUUAAUGGGAAAAAUGAUAUCGGAAACGUGCACUAUGUCCUGUUUACUUUUCCUCUUCCCAUAUUGCCCCUAAAUUUCCCCAUGUCAUUAGCAAGUCCUCUCCAUGUUAGCAGAAUAAUCUGAAACUUGAACUAAUUCUCAAAGUUGGAACAUAAAAAAACCCAACCCUAGAACCAAAAGUAUGGAAACUCGUCUACGUUACUGAACAAGGAAGUGUCAAAAUGUGCCUUUUAUUGUGCCUUUGCCUGAGACGACUUAGUAGGCGCUUGCCUUAUGCCCUAAAAAUGAAUAGAAAAGAAUUAAUGGCUUGGAUUGUGUACCAACAACCAAUCUCCAUAAAAGUCAUUUGCCUUGAGUUGGUAAGGGAACUUGCUGCAAUUCAAUCUAGGGUUAUCAUAGAUCAUCUAUUUUAGCUCUCAAUGUUGUUUCAGGUAACAUAUUUGAAUGAUAUUUUAUGAAUUUCAUUUAAUACAAUAUGUGUUCUAAAUGAUGCUUCUUUUUUUAUAAUUAGAGUUAAUCUCUAUUUACUUUUCUUAGAUUUUACCAACUGUAGUUAGAAUUCCUCCAGUUCAUCUUUUAAAGAAAAAACAACAUUCGGUUGAUUAUGGGUGUUGCAAUUUCUAUUGGAUGUGUGAGCAUCAUACUAAUAUGUGAAGUUUUUUACAUAAAAAGGAAAUCUUUAGAUGUUAAUGAGGAUGAAGGCACUUCUUUUGCUCAAUAUUACUAAAUUUAAGCUUCAGAUGUCAAUGAGAAUGUCAAUGGGCUUUUUUCUACAGAUGUCAUGGUAGCAUCUUUAGUUAGUAUUAUUUGCUGCCCAAUUAUAGAAGACCCAAGAAGCUGGAUGGGCUUGAGAUGCAUGGAGUGGUAGUUGAGUGAUUUAUCUUAAUGUUCUUGAUUCAACUUUUUGCCUGUAAUAUAGCAAUGACAUUUCCCUAAGAAUAAAGUCAUCUCCAAAGAAUCUUUGCACAAAUACACAAUGAUCAUAAGUUGUCUUGUUGUAUCCUUGCUUCUCCAUAAUUGACUCAAACUUCUUGUAUCAUUGCCUAGGUGCCUGUUUCAUGCCAUAAAGACUUUUCUUCAAUCUAUAAAAAUAAUCUUCUUGUCCUUUUACUUUGAAUCCCUUUGAAGGCUCCAUGUAUAUCUCUUUCUCCAAGUCACCAUGGAGGAAAGCAAUUUUCAUAUCCAUUUGUUUAAUCUCUAAGUCAAGACUAGCUGCAAGACCAAACACUACACAAAUGGAUGACAUUUUCACAAUUGGAACAAAGAUUUCUUCAAAGUCAAUGCCUUUCUUCUAGCUAAAUCCCUUGACAACUAGUCUAGCCUUGUAUCUUGGGUAUGAAGUGUGUUCUUCUUGCUUCACCCUGUACACCCAUUUGUUUUCCAAGGCUCAUUUUUCCUUUGUGCAGCUUCAUUAACUCAAAAGUGUGAUUAGCAUGCAAGGACUUCAUCUCAUCUUGUAUAGCCUCAAUCCACUCUCUCUUCUACUUACUCUCUAUAGUUUCUUCAAAGCUCUUAGGUUCUUCCCCAUCAAUGAAUAUGACAUACUCUUUUAGGGAGCAUCUUGUGGAAGACUGACGAUUCCUGGUAGACCGUCUAGAUGAGACUAUAGGAGUAGCUUGUGGUACUUGUGGCUAGUCAAUAACUUCAGAAUUUAUAACCUCUAUAGGUUCUAAAUCAUCACUUGCACCAUGUGGUCAUUUUGUGUCUCAACAUCAAGUUGAUUUGCCAUUGGUGUUAAAGAAAUUAUUUCCAAGUCAAUCAACUUGUCACUACUAUCAAAUUUUGCUUUCUCCACUUCAUCAAGGUCUAUUAUUGUCUAGUCUUCCAUAAAUACAAUGUCUCGACUUCUAAUCAACUUAUUCUCAACUGGAUUAUACAAUCUGAACCCAAAUUCAUUUUGGCCAUAACCCACAAAUACACACUAGCGUGUCUUCACAUCAAGCUUGGACCUUUCAUCUUUAGGAAUGUGCAUAAAGGCCUUACAUCCAAAGACUUGCAAAUGAUCAUAGGAAACAUCUUUGCCUAUCCAAACUCUAUCUAGCACAUCAAACAACAAAAGAAUAGAAGGUGAGAAAUUCAACACAUGAACCACUAUAUUUAAAGCCUCACCCUAGAAAGAUUUAGGCAACCUUGCUUGUGAAAGCAAACAUAUCACUCUCUCAACCAAUGUUCUAUACAUCCUUUUAGCCAAACCAUUCAAUUGCGGUAUCUGUUAGCCUAAGGGCUCCUAAUCGGGUUUUGAUGAUAACAAACCAUGGUUAAGUGACUAAUUGGUUUAAUGAUUAAGAAUCUUAGGCAUAAACUCGAAAAUUCAUCAAAUGACCAAAUGGAUACAAGAUCGAGACGCUUGGAAGACUUGUGAUCAUAGGAAACAAAUGUAAGAUGAAUGCAUGAGUGCACUUAGGAUUUUCACACGUUUCAUGCAACUUAGAAAACUCGGUUUAUUCUUUAAAACUUUGAUUUCAUUAAAACCCGAGUUUUUAACUAAUGUACCUUAGGCAAAAUGUUUUAUAAUUGGUUUAAUAAUUCACCUAUUGACCUUGCCUAAGUGUUAGAAAAGAAAGAAAAUAAAAAAAAUAGGUUUUCGAGGCCAAAAAGGCUCAACUGGUCGAGGCUAUGGCCAAUCGGCUCAACCGGUUAAGGAACCGCUCGACUGGUUGUGCUCGUCCGGUUGAGGGAUGCGAAAAACUUUCUCUCUCUCCCAGUGGCCUUCUCUUUCUAGUCGAAGUGAUUCUCUUCCCGAUCGAUGUCCGAUCGAGGAUCGGUCGAGGUUCGGUCGAGGCAACGGUAACCUAUCAAGCAUUAAAUUCUCCAACGGCUAGUGAACCAGUCGACCCCUAGCUCGACCGGACGAGGUUACCUUUUGCUGUUUUUGACUCCUGAGCUUAGAAACCUAUAAAUUGAGAGCUCCACUUCAUUUAUUGAUAAGAGAACACUUGCAUUCAAUAGUCUACCUACUUGUUCUUGAUCAAAAAGUUCUCAUUUCUUUCAUAGUGCAUUAAAUCACCACUUGCAUAUCCUUUAGUGCACUCUUGUGUGUCAUCCUAGCUUUGUCUUAUAUUUAAGCUAUCCUUAAGCUAGGUUGAGGGAUUAUUUCUUGUAAAAAUCUGGGUGUUAAAGCCUUCAAGAGGUUUGAAUCUUGAAGAGAUUGUGUAAGAGCCCAUUGAAGCCGGAAUCCAAGUGUAAGAAGAUUGGAAGCUUGGUUGAAGCUUCAAGUUAGUGGAACCCACACUUAGUUAGGAGAUUGAGGAGAGUGGAUGUAGGCAAGGAAGUGCCGAACCACUAUAAACUCGAGUUUGAAUUCUCUAGCUCUAUCUUUUUAUUUUGCUUAUAUUGUGUUUGAAUUUGUUGUGAUUGAAAAGUUUUUAAAAACCCAAUUCACUCCCCCCCCCCCCUCCCCCCUCUCCCCUCUCCCUUUUGGGUGCUUUUCUUAAUUAAGCAUAGCCUUUGUUUUCUCAAUUGGAAUUAGAGCUAGACCUCUUGUUUUUUAAAGACUUAAUCAUCUAAGAGGAAAUGGCUAUUCCAUCAAGCUCAUCCCAAGCUGAAAAUUUUUCAAAACAUAGAGCUCCAUUCUUUACGGGAACCGACUAUCCCUAUUGGAAAACUAGAAUGACUUGGUAUUUGCAAUCUACAAAUUUAGAUGUAUGGGAUGUCAUUGAAGAUGACCCAACUUUUCCCACUAAAUUAGUUGAUGGAGUUUUGGUUCCAAAACCCGAGUAAGAAUGGAAUGAGCUUGAUAGAAGAAACUUUCAAUUAAAUGUUAAAGCCGUUUUUACUUUGCAAUGUGCUAUGGAGGUUGCUUGAAAUAACUCAUGAAGGAACUAAUCAAGUGAAAGAGUCAAAAAUUAAUUUACUUGUUCAUAAGUAUGAAUUGUUUUUAAUGAAAGAAAAUGAGACUACUAUUGAGAUGAUUACUAGGUUCACUGACAUUGUCAAUGGUCUUGAAACUUUUGGAAAAACCUGCAAGGAAUCCGAGAAGGUGAUGAAGAUAUUGAGGUCUCUCCCAUCAAAGUGGCAUACCAAGGUCACCACAAUUCAAGAAGCAAAAGAUUUGACUAAGCUACCUAUGAAAGAGCUCAUAGGGUCAUUAAUGACAUAUGAGAUCAAUUUGACAAAUAAGCUACAAGAGGGUGAAGAUAAAAAGAAGAAGAUCAUAGCCCUCAAAGCUACAACCAAGGAAGAAGAAGAUGUUGAAGAAGAAAAACCAAGUGAUGAAGAUGAUGAUUUAGCCCUCAUCACAAGAAACCUCAACAAAUACAUGAGAUGUGAAAGGUUUCGAGGAAGGAAGUUCACCUCUAAAAGAGAUCCUCCUAAAAAGGAAUCAUCCCAUGGUGAAAAGGAGAAAUGAGAAGAGAAAAGAGAUUUGAUAUGCUUCAAGUGCAAAAAACCGGGACACAUUAAAUAUGAUUGUCCUCUAUACAAAAGUGAAGCCAAGAGAAGAAUGAAAAAGGCAAUGAUGGCCACUUGGAGUGAAAGUGAAGAAUCCUCCGAAGAAGAAAAGGAGAAGGAAGUGGCAAACAUGUGCUUCAUGGCAAUAGAUGAUCUUGAUGAGGUAAACUCUAAUUUUAUUGAUGAAGAUAUGCAUGAUGUUUUUGAAGAAUUAUAUGAGGAUUUUGAAAAACUUAGUUUGAAAAAUAAUUCUCUUAAAAAGAAGAUUCAAGAACUUGAAGAAGUCAAAGAAAAAAUUUCAAUUAUUGAAAUAUCUAAAACUCAUCUUGAAAAAGAAAAUGAGAUUUUGAGAAGUGAAAAUGAGAUUUUGAAAAAGAAAAAUGAAUGGUUGACCUCAUUUCUUUCAAUUUUCUCUUGUGGACAAAAAUAUUUUGAAAUGAUCUUAGCUAGCCAAAAAUGUGUCUUUGAUAAACAAGGGUUAGGAUUCAAAUCUUCAAAAAAUCAAAAGUAUUUUAAAAACUACUUUGUAAAAGAAUCCACAAGUGCAAGUCCUUCUACCAUUUGCAACUUUUGUGGAAGAGGAUGACACAUUAGUAGUACAUGUCCCCUAAGAAAUGGUUCUUAAAAGAAUUCAAAUGCCAAGCUAAAAAGGUUUGGGUUGAAAAAUCCAAAAUCACUAACCCUCAAGGACCCAAAAAAAUAUGGGUACCUAAAUCAAUUUAAAUUUUGUUUUGUAGGGUUUAAAAAAGGAUAAAUGGUUCUUGGAUAGUGGAUGCUCAAGACACAUGACCGGGGAUGAAUCCAAGUUUGCCUUCCUUACAAAGAGAAAGGGAGGAUACGUUACCUUUGGAGACAAUGCAAAAGGAAGGAUCAUUGGUCAAGGUAACAUUGGUAAUGGCACAUCCUCUCUUAUUGAAAGUGUUUUAUUAGUGGAUGGUUUAAAACAUAAUCUCUUGAGCAUAAGUCAACUUUGUGACAUAGGUUUUAAAGUGAUUUUUGAAGCAUCUCAUUGCAUCAUCAAAGAUAUUCAAAAUGAUAAAACCAUCUUCAUGGGCCAUAGGUGUGACAAUGUUUAUGCUAUAAAUAUUUCAAAAUAUGAUGGCCAUGAUAGAUGCUUUUCAAGCAUGCAUGAUCAAAGUUGGUUGUGACAUAGGAGGUUGGGACAUGCUAACAUGGACUUCAUUUCCCAACUCAACAAAGAUGAACUUGUUAGAGGCCUUCCCAAAAUAAAUUUUCAAAAAUACAAAGCUUGUGAAUCUUGUCAAAUGGGAAAGCAAAUAAAAAACUCUUUUAAAAACAAAAAUUUCAUUUCAACAUCUAGGCCUUUUGAAUUGUUGCAUAUGGAUUUAUUUGGUCCCUCUAGGACACCAAGCCUUGGAGGAAAAUCUUAUGCUUUUGUUAUUGUGGAUGACUUCUCUAGAUACACUUGGGUUUUAUUUUUAAGUCAAAAGAAUGAAGCCUUUUAUGAGUUUUCAAAGUUUUGCAACAAGGUUCAAAAUGAAAAAUGUUUUACAAUUACUUGUAUAAGAAGUGAUCAUAGGAGAGAAUUUGAAAAUAUUGAUUUUGAAGACUAUUGCAAUGAGCAUGGUAUUAACCAUAAUUUUUCGGCUCUUAGAACUCUUCAACAAAAUAGGGUAGUUGAAAGGAAAAAUAGAACUCUUCAAGAGAUGGCUAGAACCAUGCUUAAUGAAAACAAUUUACCAAAAUACUUUUGGGCCGAAGCGGUUAACACUUCUUGUUAUGUUUUAAAUAGAAUUUUAUUAAGGCCUAUUCUUAAGAAAACUCCCUAUGAGCUUUGGAAAAACAAAAAACCCAACAUUAGCUAUUUCAAAGUCUUUAGGUGCAAAUGCUUUAUAUUAAACACCAAAGACAAUCUUGGAAAAUUUGAUGCAAAAUCGGAUGUUGGAAUUUUUCUUGGUUACUCAACUUCAAAUAAAGCCUUUAGAGUUUUUAACAAAAGAACCAUGGUUGUUGAGGGGUCCAUCCAUGUUAUUUUUUUAUGAAUCUAACAAUUCUCUCCAAAAAAAGAGAGAGCUUUGAUGAUGAUUUAGGCUUGGAGACCUCCAUGGGAAAAUUACAAAUUGAAGAUAGAAGGCAACAAGAAGGAAUUGUUGAGGAUCCCAAGAAAGAAGAAUCACCUUUAGCACUACCCCAUCCUCAACAAGUGCAAGGUGAAUCAAGCCAAGACCUUCCUAAAGAUUGGAAGUUUGUCAUUAACCACCCACAAGAUCAAAUUAUAGCUAAUCCAUCUAGUGGGGUAAGAACUAGAUCAUCUCUUAGAAAUAUUUGCAAUAAUCUUGCUUUUAUCUCUCAAAUUGAAUAUAAAAAUAUAAAAGAUGCUCUAGUUGAUGAAAAUUGGAUGAUUGCUAUGCAAGAAGAGUUAAACCAAUUUGAAAGAAGUGAAGUAUGGGAAUUAGUGUCAAGACCUCAAAAUCAAAGUGUUAUUGGAACUAGAUGGGUCUUUAGAAAUAAAAUGGAUGAAAUGGCAUAAUUAUAAGGAAUAAAACAAGAUUGGUAGCCCAAGGUUUUAAUAAAGAAGAAGGGAUAGAUUAUGAAGAAACCUUUGCUCCCGUAGCUAGAUUGGAAGCCAUUAGGAUGCUACUUGCCUUUGCAUGUUUUAAAGACUUUGUUUUAUAUCAAAUGGAUGUGAAAAGUGUUUUCUUAAAUGGCUUUAUAAAUGAAGAGGUAUAUGUUGAACAACCACCCGGCUUUCAAAGUUUUAACUUUCCUAAUCAUGUCUUUAAACUUAAAAAGAUACUUUAUGGUUUGAAACAAGCACCUAGAGCAUGGUAUGAAAGAUUGAGUAAAUUUCUUAUGAAAAAGGAUUUUAAAAUGGAAAAAAUUGAUACAACUCUUUUCAUAAAAACCAAAUAAAAUGACAUGCUCUUAGUGCAAAUAUACGUUGAUGAUAUCAUUUUUGGAGCUACUAAUGUCUCUCUUUGUGAAGAAUUUUCUAAAUGCAUGCAUAGUGAGUUCGAAAUGAGCAUGAUGGGAGAACUUAACUUCUUCCUUAGACUUCAUAUCAAGCAACUAAAGGAAGGAACCUUCAUCAAUCAAGCAAAGUAUAUAAGAGAUCUCCUCAAAAGGUUCAAUAUGGAGGAAGCCAAAACAAUGAAGACUCCAAUGAGUUCAUCCAUCAAGCUUGACAUGGAUGAGAAAGGUAAGUCCCUCAACUCAACUAUGUAUAGAGGCAUGAUAGGUUCUUUGCUAUAUUUGACUGCUAGUAGACCCGACAUCAUGUAUAGUGUAUGCUUAUGUGCUAGAUUUCAAUCUUGUCCUAAAGAAUCCCACUUAAGUGUUGUAAAACGAAUCCUUAGAUACUUGAAACGGACAAUGGACAUAGGUUUGUGGUAUCCUAAGAGUGAUAACUUUGAAUUAAUUGGAUUCUCGGAUACCGACUUUGCCGGUUGUAAAGUUGAAAGGAAAAGCACUAGUGACACUUGUCAUUUCCUAGGACACUCACUUGUUUCAUGGUAUAGUAAGAAAUGAAUUUUGGUAGCUUUAUCAACGGCGGAAGCCGAAUACAUAGCAGCCGGUUUAUGUUGUGCACAAAUUCUUUGGAUGAAACAAACACUUAGUGAUUUCAAUUUGAUUUUUGAGCAUGUUCCUAUUAAAUGUGAUAACACUAGUGCCAUAAACAUUUCAAAAAAUUCAGUGCAACACUCUAGGACUAAGAAUAUAGAGAUAAGACACCAUUUUCUUAGAGACCAUACACAAAAGGGUGACAUUACACUUGAAUUUGUAAGCACAAAAGAUCAACUUACUGAUAUUUUUACAAAACCUCUAAGUGAAAAACAAUUUGUUGAUAUUAGAAGACAACUAGGGGUGAUUUCUUUAUGAUCAAAUGAUUGCUUGAUGAAUUCUUGAUUGAAUAUACCUUAUGAUUACGUGAAUUUCAUAUCAUAUAGAAAUAAUCUUAGGAAAAAGGUCAAAUUUUGACCAAAAAUCAAAAUUCCCUUGGCAUUGGACAUAAAAAAUUGGGGAUUUCAAUUGAAAAGGGUAGGGGGAGGAUCACAAGACAAGAAAAUACCAAAAAAUUGGAGCAUUGACCGUUGACCAUUGACCAAGCGGUUCGUCGAGGUUGGGAAUUUAAAAAGGCCCCCUGCGCUUCAUUUUUCACAUGUUAUCCUCCAUACCUUGAAGACUCUUCACAUCCAUGCUUCUAGAAGUCAAUUUUGGCAAGAUCUUGGACUGUUUGCAGGCUUUGGAGUGGAUUUUGAGACGUUUUGAGGCUAGGGUUUUGAUUUGAAACCCAGAGUUUCAGUUUUUGGGGGUGAUUUCUCUCUAUACCACGAACCUCAGGCUUGGUUCAACUUCUUCUCCGUGCGCCUAGGGCUUUAGGUUGGUGUUUUCUCUCUCUUGUUUGAUUUCCUUCUCCUUUUGGACUUCUCCUUCUCCCUAUUCCAUUCGUUGGAUGGCUCCUAGGCGAGAGACGGGCACCUCUAGGGCUCAAGGCAAGCGCCCUACUGAGCCAUCUCAGCCUGAGCAGACGGAGGCUCACCGAAAGGCGAGGUAUGAUACGACCCUCUUCAGUUCCGUUGAAGAUCUUAAUUAAGCAUAGCCUUUGUUUUCUCAGUAUCUUUGGAGGAGUCUUUUGAUGGCGGAUACCUUGCUAUUUGUGGUACUCAUCAAAUGACCUUGAAUAUUCUCCUCUAUUAUCAGUUCAGAUACAUUUAAGUUUUCUUCUAGUUUAUCUCUCAAUUGAAGCCUGAAAUUACUUGAACACACCCGAUACCUUAUCUUUAUGCUCAAUGUGUAUGCACAAAUCUUCUUUGAAUGAUCAUCAAUAAAAGUCACGAAGUAUAGUGAACCACCAAGGGUUUUUACCUUCAUUGGACCAUAUAAACUAGAAUGGACUAAGUCAAGCAAAUUCUCAUUUCUUGAAGAAGAAGGGCGUGUCUUGAACGCAACUCUAUUUUGCUUUCCUACCAAGCAAUGAGCACACUUUUGUAGACAUGUGUUUGUCAUCCCAAACAAGUGAUUUUUUCGGAAUAGUACCAUCAUUCAUUUCUCACCCAUGUGACCGAGUCUCUAGUACCACAACUCAAUUGUAUCCACAUUUUCAAUAGCAUGAAUGACAUCUUUAGAAAGUCCAACUUGCAUUAUGUACAAAUUAUGAUUCCUUUUACAUCUUGUUAUGACCAAAGAACCCUUAGUAAGCUUCCAUUGACCAUUACCAAGACCACUAUAGUAGCCACCAUCAUCAAGCUUGCUAGUAGAGGUAAGGUUCAACCAAAUGUCUGGAACAUGCUUUACACCUUUGAAAAGCAGUUUCAUACCAUUACGGGUUUCUAAUAAAAAAUUACCUAUGUCAAUAACCUUAGCCACACCAUUGUUGCCCAUCCUUACAACUCCAAAGUCAGAUGUGUAAAAAUCCCUACAAAAUGUAACAUGAAUAGUAGCACCACUAUCAAUUACCCAACUAGUCUCAUCAAAUGCUGAAUUGAUCAUAUCAUCAUCAUACAUUAGUAAAAAGUCUUCUAUAGUGGUGGCAACUCAAUCUUCAUCACUGCUCUUAUUGCCUUUUUCUUUCCUGUUGUUCUUCUUAUUUUCUUUCUUCAACUUUCUACAAUGUUUCUUGAUAUUCCCCUUCUUACCACAAUGGUAACACUCAACAUUAGCAAAUUUGCCUUUGGACUUAUUUCUACUACUUUCCCUGUUUUUCGGAAUCCUACUCUUGUUUCCCCCUCAUGGCUCAGUAACUAUCAUAUCUGACUAUGAGGAGGAACGAUGUGACUUUUUUCUCAUCUUUUCAUUUAGAACAUUGCUCUUAGCAAUUUCCAUUGUAAUCUCACCAUCUAGAGUUGAAUUAGACAAUGACAUUUUAAAUGUCUCCCAAUAAUCUGACAAAGUGCCCAAAAGCCAUAAACCCUAUACCUCUUCAUCAAAUUUUACCCCCAUUACAUCCAACUAAUUUAUCAAACCUUGGAAUGAAUUCAAGUUAUUGGUCAUAGGAGUAUCCUCACGAUAUCUCAAAAGAAUAAAAUAUUUCAUCAAAUACAUUUUGUUGUUUCUGGUCUUUUGAGCAUACAACUUUUCAAGUUUGAUCCACAAUGUACAUGCAUUCUUCUCACCACUAACAUGGUUUAACACACUGUCAUCUACCCAUUGUCGAAUAUACCAACACACCUGCCUAUAAAGUAAUGUACAUUCCUCAUCAGUUUUGCCAGUGGGUUUUCCUUGGACAAACAUAGGGUGAUGGUAACCCUUCUCAUAUAAUAAAUCCUCCAUUUUAUCCUUUCACAAGGCAUAAUUUGAGCCAUUUAAGCUUACCAUUCUGUUUGCACUAACAUCCAUUCUUCAACACAACACAGGCAGCCAAAGCUCUAAUACCACUUUGUUGGGAGAAAGUUGAACACAGUAUCACAAUUAAAAUCAACCAUGCAUGCACUGGAAUUUUAAUGUGGAAAACAUCUUCAAUGUGAGAAGUAAAAACCACAGGACCAGAGUCCACUCAGAAAGGGUUCACUAUCAACCUAAGUGAGAGUACACAAUUUGUCCCAACAUUAAUUGGGGACUAUCAAUAGCAACAACCAUCAAGAAAAAUCUUAGCUUCACAAGCAUAAACACCAAAUAUUAAAAGAAUAAUAGAAAAAGAUCACAAAUUUGGUGUUCUGUCCGAAUAUACUAAUCUGUCCUGAAAACUCCAAUCAACGAUCCAAUCGUUAAAAUUUAAUUACCAUAAGUUUUGAACCUCCUAUUAAAAUUUCACUUCAAUCAGACCAAAGAUCAAAGAAAUACCACUCUUUGAUGAAGACUGCAUAGAACCGAGAUUUUCUCCUCUCAUUUUCUGUCCUGUUUUAUUUGAAUGAUUAUAUAUUAUAGUCAACUACUCUGAUCGACGAGCGAACCGACCAGAAUUAAGAGACAUAAGAGACGAAGAUACUAUACAAAUUUCAACACGAUCCAACGGUGUAAAAUAGAGAUCAAGAAGAUUGAUUAAAAUUGCUCUAAAAUGAUUCUAUUUAUGACCAACUCUGUUUAGGCGGCUAUAGAGUGAAAUAGAAAAGUUCAACUAGAAUAAGGAGUUGCUUGUGAUAAACCAACUGACCAAGUUUCAGUUUAAACAAGCCUUAGACCAUCAAGAUCUAUUACUUGGAUGAAAAUAGCUCUUUCACCUCUUCAAUUUCUUAUUAUUUUUUUUUCUCUCUCAAAAUCAUCAGUUGCACUCUUCUCACUGUAUAUUUCAAGAAGUGAAUCUUUUUUGGGGUUUUCAAAAAAACCUUACACCGAAAGACAAAAAUGCCCAUAUAAUAUGGGAUUUGUUGGGUUUGACAUAUAUGGGUCAUCCUCCACAUGAGAGGGAAACCCAACCCAACAAUAGUUUAGUACCUCCUAAUUGGAAGGAUGACUUGUUUUUGUCAUCACGAUGAGUUUUCCAUGGUGAGUGCACUAAUGUAUAUGGUUACACAUUGGACAGGACCUAUGAUGAGUCAUGAUAUUGGCUAUCAAGUAGUCAUCAUCUUAUAAAGCUACUAUAUUGUAUGAGCUCUCAACCUUGAGAAGAUAUUAAGCUAGUAGUAAAAUUUUUAAUGACUUUAACAUAUAGGUAAGAUCCUAAAGUGGUAAUAUAUUCCCUAUGGAUUGAGAUAUUAUUGAUAGAGGUUGGUGAUAACAUGUAUACUCAAGAUAGACACCAUGAUAUCUCCUAGGUUUUAGAUAAUAUAUCCAUUUGAGUGAUCCUAAGGACAUGUGAUUAGGAAAUCCGUGGUCAUAGUAAUUCUUUAAUUGGAAUUUGACAUAUGCUUCUUAUGAAAUAAAGUAUGUCGAUUUAUCACAUAAGAAGAGGAUUAGAGACUCAAGGACUCUAAAGGAAAUUUUAUAAGGUAGAUAACAUUCACUUUAUUAGACUACGAUCAAUAGCUUAUGAGAAGUUUGCAUAUAGUAGACAAUGGAUCAUAGACUAGAGGUUUGUAUCUCAUAGUUAUAAUAUCAUACGAUAAUGGAGUAUAGUUAACUCUAUGUAGUAGGAUAUUAAGUCAAUUUUAGAAUUGAAAUAUGAGGUAGCCAGUAUUUUCUUAUGAGUCUUAGUGGUCCUCACUUAAAAUCAUAUUCCAUGGUGGCAUGAUUUUUUUAAGAGAUUAUGAGUUUUAUAUUCAUAUGUAUGCAUACAGACAUUUUGGUAGACACGAAACGUUGCACAAGAGUUUAUGAAUGUUUUUGGGUUGAGUUAAUUAAUUAAUUAGAACCCAAUUAAGUUAGUUAAUUAGGACUCAUUGGGCUAAAUUAAGUGACCCAACUCAAUUCACUUAAACUUAGAAGUAAUUCUAUAUAAACCUCCUUAAGUUUUAGGGCUUAUAUUUUGAUUCAUUCUAUCUUUCAGAAUGAGAGAAUCCCAUUCUUCAUUCCCAAGUGAGAAUUCCAUCAUUUUUAAGUGACAAGGUCUAGGAAAGAGCUAUUGGGUGGAAGAUCAUGAGGUUUUCGAGAUCCAUACCAUCAUUUUCUUUGAUUGGAACUAAUCUAGGCACAUCUAUUAGUUUAUUGGCCAUUGAAUCAACAAAGGACUAUAAUGCAAAAUUGUUUCAUGCAGUACCUUAAAAUAAUUAUGAAGGGCUGUAAAAAAAUUGAACCAAUGGUUGUUACUUUCUACAAACAAUAUAAGGCGUAAAAACCUAAAGCUUAGUUGAUUUUGUGAGAGCCAACUAGUCCAAAAGAUCAGUUAUAGCGGAAUAGAACUCUUGAAUACUCAUGUUCUUAUGUUCAAGAGCUCAAAUAUCAAUCUUUAAAUAAUAUUGAUUUGCAAAUGUUGCUAGAUCUUGUUGACAAAUUCAUACUUUGCCAACUACGUACUUAUCAAAUUCUCAAUAAAUUUGUUGAUCCAAUUGAUAAUUUUUGAAUUGUUUACUGCUCAAAUGUUUAACUGUUCUAUAUAUUUUUCAUCAUCUCCAUUUCUAGGUUUGUGUAGAGUUAACCCCACAUCUUUUUUACCUUUGAAAAAUUUCCCAUUGCAUAACUCCAAUGUUAGGAUAGAGCCCUUAAAAGCAUAGUAUGAUAUAACAAAUUCAAAUUUAUUAUUCAUUUAAUAAAAUUUUAGUUUCCUAUUUCUAUCUAUCUUAUUACAUGCAUUAUAACUUAUAACCAUUUUAGCCUAACAUUUUUUGCAUUGUACAUACUUUGGGUGCAUUAGGAGUUACACAGAAGAUCCAAGUCAUGAGUUGCUUGCAAGUAGAUGAUUUGUUCACAACUAGUUCAUAGAAUUAGGUAAUUCAUUGAAAGUUGUAGUACACUACCUACUAAUGGAAUGGAUGACUAGUCUUGGUCAUUUGGGAUGAGUUUCCCAUGUUAAGUCCAUUAGUUUGUACAAUUCAACAUUAAAUAAGGCCCAUAGUGAGUUAUGAUGUAAAGUUAUUGAGUAGUCAUGACCUCACCAAGCUGCUAUACUAUAUGGUCUUUUAACCUCGAGAGAAUAUUUAGUUUGUGCCAAAGUUUAUAAUAGCUUUGACCUAUAAGUGAGAUCCUAAGAUGGUCAUAUAUUCCCUAUAAAUUAGGUCAUUAUUGAUGGAGGCUAGUGACGGCCGGUAUUCUCAAUAGAGAUACCAUGAUAUCUUAUGGAGAUUGAGACAAUAUGUCCCAUUAGGUGAGCCUAAGGAAGUCUUGAUAAGGAAAUUAAUGGUCAUAAUAGUUUUUUAAAUUAGAACUUGACAUAUGCUCUUUAUGAGAUAAGAUAUGUCACUUCAUCUCAAAAUAAGAGAAUCUGAGACUCAAGAAUCAUAAAGGUAAUCUUGAAAGGUUGAUAACAUUCAUCUUGUUAGAUUAUGGACACUAUUUCAUGGGGAACUUGCAUACAAUGGAUAGUAGGUGUUAAUGGAAACCCUAGAUUUCUUCGUUCGUAAACCCUAGAUCGUAUAGGUAUAUGCAAAUCUACCUAGGCUUCUCUAGAAACUAACAUAAGUGGAAACAUGGCUUUUAAAAACCAUUUAGAUUAAUAAAACUAGAGAAGAAUGAAUUAUACCUAGAUUUAGAUGUUCCUAGAUCAAUUCAUUGCGAUGAAGAUGUUUCAAUGUUCUAGAGGUCUUGUACACCCAAAGUCUUCUGUCUAAUUACUCAAUCCAUGACCUUGGCACUCUAAAGAGUGGACUUUGAAAAAGAGAUGCCUUGGCUCUCUCUCUUUCUCUCUAUUUCUCUCUGGAAGUGGAAGACGACAAGCAAAAGCCUUAGAAACCCUAACCCCUAAGGGGAUAUGUAUAGGGUUCCCCUACUAGGCUUAAGUGACUUGAGCCUACCAAGGAUUAGGUCACUUAAUCUAGCCCAAAAUAGAUCUUGAUUUAUUAAUCAACCACACAGGGUCAUCUAAUUAAUCAAUUAGCUCAAUGAAGAGAACUUGUUCUCUAUUCCCCUAUGCAACCUUGCGUGAUUGCUAAAACACCUUUAUACACAUCUAAUCCUUAGAAAUCGUGUCAUCAUGGUAUAUGAGCUCAAAGUGAGGACUACUGGGACAAAUAGGCAUACUAACUCUCUCAAAAUCGAAUUCCAAAGUUGAUUCACUAUCCCACUAUAGAAAAUCAAUUGCACUCCAGUACCUUAUGUAGAUAACAAUAAGAUGAAGUUUGGGUCUGUGACCUACUAUCUACUACAUGCAAUCUCUUCAUGAAUUGGUGUCCAUAAUCUAACAAGGUGGUGUUAUCACAUAAUGUAUGAUAAGAAAUAUGAAUUUGUUACAUUAGAUAAUAACAUAAUGUAUCCUGGUAGGAAAUAUGAAUUUUAAAAAUGCAUCCUCUAUAUUAAGGUAAAGUUAAUUUUUUUAAACAUAAAAUAAUAUAUUUAUAACAAAGUUAGUAAUAUGGAUGAGAUAUAAAUUAGUAUUGGUAUCAAGUAUUUCAAUAUGUAAACCUAAAACAUAUUACAUUUAUAAUAUUAUUGAAAUUUUACCCAUAAUAUAUCUUUAUUAAAAAAGUCAAUCUAAAAUUUUUCAAAUUUUUAUUACUCAACUAUAUCCAUAUAAUUUUCUAUUAGAAUCAUCUAAAAUUUCUUUAAUAUCUUUAUAUUCAUUUACUUGAAAAAUGAAAAAUAACCAAUAAAAUUGUUCAUUUUAUUAAGAUAUUUUUAUUAAAUUUUGUUAAAAAAAAAAUAAAUCAUUCAAAAUUUUAAAUAAGAUUUCAUGUGAAAUAUUUUAUUUGAAAGUUUAUUUGGUUUCAUUAACAAAUUUAUUUGAUAUUUUUUUUAUUGUAAAUAUAUUAAAUUAUUAAAAUUAUAGUAUUUGUCCUAUAAAAUUAGGGUUGCAAUUUGGACGAGCUAACCCAAACCAACAUAAAACCAACCCAAUGUUUGGGCGGGCUUGGGCACCAUUUUUUGUAACUUGGGUUGGGCUUGGAUUCAUUUUUAUCAACCCAAAUUAAAUUCGGGUUGGGCUUGGUCAGAUGACUUGGGCAACCCAAACUAACCCGAACCUGACUAUAUAUAUAACUUUAAGAAAAUAAUACAUUGGUUCUUUCCAUUCUAUUCUUUGAUAGAGAAAAAACCUUCAAGCCCUAGUCCAAGGUUCUUCCAUUAUUCGAUAUUGUUCAAAUCCUCAAGCCCUAGUUCAAGAUUCUUUCAUUUUUUGAUGUUGUUGUCUCCAUUCAAGGUCAUCUGACAGAAAGCAAAAACCAUCAGGCCUUAGGUUAAGAUUCUUCAUCAUCAUAUAAUGUUACAAUCGUCGUUCAAUACCACUGUUGUUCACAUUAUAUUACUAGGUUUUUGAUUGCCAACAAUUUAGUUAAUAAAUCAUGGAAAUAAUGGAAAAGGUUGAUUUGAAAAUAAUUCUAAGAUAUCCCUUUUUGGUUUUAAAUUUAUCUUCCUUGAGUGAUGAAUAAAGAGGACAAGGCAAGUUAUUUAAGGCAAUGGUGAAGCCCUUAUCCUUUAUAUGGAAGAAGUGUAGAAUUGUUACCUAUACAUAAAUUAUAUUAUAAUGGUCUACUGUAAUAUGCUUGGCUUAGCAUCCCUCAUCAGGGGCAUGCCAUGGGAGAAAAGUCUUCCUUUUGUAAAAGAAGGGUUGUGCAAUAAAUGAAUGUUGUGUGUUUGCUUUUUGAACUAAUUUUUAUUGGCCUAACUCAACCCAACUUAGCCAUCACAUAAUCAACUCGAGCUCAACCUAUGUUAAAUAAUUUCAAUUCGAGUUGAGUGCAUAAGAUUGGAAGUCGAGUUAGGUGAUCCUUUGGGUUGAUGUAUUUCAAGGUAAGAUUGAGCUUGGGUUGGCCAACUUGCCGAGUUGCAACCCCAUAUAAAAUUAAUUUUUCUUUAACAUUUAUAUUUUAUGAAAUAUUAAAAAUUAUAUAUUUUAUUAAUUGUUUUCCAAAAAUCGCAAUUUUGGUGAUUUAGGUCUUGUUUGGUAAUUGUUUUUGAAAACAUUUUUGAAAAAAUAGUUUUUAAGAACAGUUUUUGAAAACUGUUCUCUGAUGUUUUUUAGAACAAAAGUCUAUUUGGGAACCUAAAAUUAUUUUUAAUAUUUUUAAAUACGUUUUAAAAAUAAUUUUUAUAUCCAUAACUUUAUUUUUAUUAAUCAUUAUAUAUAUAUUUGUAUAAUUAUUCUUUAAAAUAACUCUCAAAAAAUAAGUGAAAACAACUUAAAACAAUUAAAAUAUAUUAUUUGAAAACACCCUGUUUUCUAUUUUUUAAUAAUAUAAAACAGAAAACAGUUUUUAAUUGUUAAACGUGUUUUUAAGUUUUUUUUUUCUAAAAAACAAAAAACUGUUUUUGAAAACAGUUUCCAAACAUAGCAUUAAUGCAAAGCCAGCCAAUUUUUUGUGCUGCCAACCAUACUGGAAACCCAUCUUGUUGGCCACCCAGAGGAGCUCAGUUUUUUUUAUUUUUAUUUGUUAGAGGAGUGGGGGACGAUUUCUAUGAACGAGCUACAUGGGACAUGUGGAAAAAAAAAAAAAAAGAUGGCCACCUUGCCAUGGUGGUGGUUGAAGAUGGAGACUUGCUAAGCGGUGAACAGUGGAACGAGUAGAAGCUUAUAAGAGAAAAAAAAAAACAGAGCAAAGGGACUGGGAGGGUUGAGUUGUGGGUGAGCUGAUUCAAGAGGAAGGAAAAAAAAUGAAGCUGAAACAAAGGGAGGUUUUUAAGAGAAAGUGAAAACAACGAGUUAAUUUGGAAACAACUAGGAUGAGAGUUGUAGGUCGGCUGAUUAGAGGAGGUUUUCAGCAAGAGCUAAAGAAGAGGACCUUUAAACUCUACCGGAAAAGUUCUCUCGUCUCACCGGUGACUACGGAUCUGGAAAACUAAAAUGCGCAGGUGGUGGCGUUGCUCCCCCUACUAUACUUACGGAUUUUAAGCUCAAUGGCUACGGAAACCUCGAUUUCUACAACGUGUGCUUGGUUGACGGGUAAAACCUUCCUUUGAUGGUGGUGCCACAGGAUGGCACCGGGGGGAACUGUACCAAAAUCGGGUGCUGCUCUAGACUUGGGAAAUGAACAGGUUUGUUCGUUUGUCUCGUUACAACUUCUUUCUGAAUCUUUCUUUGAUUAAGACAAGUAUGUUUUUCCAAGUUUUGGUUUUUGCUCUCAAAAAGGGUCUUUUUGAUGAUUCUACUGUUUUUUUUAGGAGUUGAAAUGGGUUUUUGAUGAAUUCAAGUGGGCGUCUUUUGUUUGUUAAUGGAACGGUUUUGUUUUUGGUGGUCAAAACAUUUUUUUUUUAUAAUGAUUUUGUAGUCAUUUUAAGGAGCUGUGAAAUGGGUGUUUGAUGAAUUCAACUGGGUUUCUUUUACUUGAUGAAAUGCCACCAUCCGUGGGGUUUGGUUAUGUAAACAUGAAUUUUUUUUUUUUUUUUAUGAUUUUGAAAGUGAUUUUAAGGAGCUGUGAAACGGGUAUUUGAUGUGUUGAACUGGGUCUAUCCUAUUUGCUAAUGGAAUAGGUUUUAGUUUCUGAACUUGGAACAUGAAUUUUUUUAUUUUUUAUAUGAUUCCGUGUAUAUUUUGAUGAGCUUGACAUUUUGUAUGAUGAAUUGAACUCAGUUUUGACUAAAUGGGAUAGGUCUUGGAUUAUGGUUCAUGGUUUAUUUUGAUGAUUUAUUGAACCGGAUUUCCUCUGUUUUGGGACCCACUCCACUCCUGCAUGGCCAUUUUUGACAUGCAAUUCCAUCGAACACGUGUCAUCCUCUUUGAUUUUUCAUCCUCAUAUGUUAAAAUAUGAUUUUCAAAACUCCAAUUUUCACGUUUAAUUUUUAAAACUUUAAUUUUUAAAAUUCCAUUUUUUUUUAAUUUAAUCUUCAAAACUCUAAUUUUCAAAUAAUCUUCAAAGUUCCAAUCAUCGAAAUUUAAUUUUUAGAACUUCAAUUUUCAAAUAAUUCUCCAAAAUUCCAAUUUUCAAAAUUUCCAUUUUCAAAAAUAAUUUUCCAAAAUUCUAAUUUUCAAAAAUUCUAAUUUUUCAAAAUUUCAAUUUUCAAAAAUUCUAAUUUUUCAAAAUUUCAAUUUUCAAAACUUACAUUUUCAAAAAUAAUUUUCCAAAAUUCCAAUUUUCAAAACUUCCAUUUUCAAAUAAUUUUCCAAAAUUCAAGUUUUCAAAUUUAAUUAUUAAGAAAUCCCAUUCUCAAAUAAUUCUCCAAAAUUCCAAUUUUCAAAAUUUCCAUUUUCAAAUAAUUUUCUAAAAUUCCAUUCUAAAACAAUUCUCCAAAUUUCCAAUUUUCAAAACUUGAAUCAUUUUCUAAAAUUCCCAUUUUCAAAUUUAAUUCCCAUAAUUUCCAUUCUCAAAUAAUUUUUCAAAAUUCCAAUUCUCAAAUUUAAUUUUUGAAACUCCCAUUUUUCGAAUAAUUUUUCAAAUUUUCAUUUUUUUUAAAUUUAAUUUUUAAAAUUUCAAUUUUCAAAACCCUAGUUUUCUUUCAAAUAGUUUUAAUCCCACUUCAGUUUUCAAAUAUUUUUAAUUUUACAACUUUUCAUCAUUCAUUAGGGUUUUAAGUCACUAAAAAUCAUAUUUUUAAAUAAACUUGCUACUUUUCCUUUCAGGUAAGCACUUUCACAAAUUUUCUUUGUUUUUAAAAUAAUAUUUUGUUUCUCUUAAUUUUAAAUAAACAUGAAGGCAAUUUUCAUAAUUUCAAAAUAAUGGAAUUUAUGGAAUUAAUUCAUGCAAAAUAAUUGGGCUUUGGUGGGAGCCUAACAUUCAUGACAUUUCUUUCAAAAAUAAUUCAAGUGAAUUGCAUUAUCGAUAUUGUUUGAUUUUGAUUGGUUUUGUGUGAGAUAUUUUACACUUAAUAUUGUGCACUAAUUCUGUUUCAUGAUAGCGCUUUAUUACCUCUAGUCAAGGUACGCUCUCACUCUCAUUUUGUUUAUUUAUUCGUUAUCAUAACUUGCUUUUGAUCUAUUAUCUUUUUGGUAUUCAUUGAUUUUUCUAGUUAAUUGUCAUGUUUGCUUCACCUUAUUUAGUAGAGACCCAUUUUUCAGGGGCUUAGAGGGGUGCUACGGUCUUUACCGUACUUUUCCAAUAAGUAACCUAACCCUCGAAUCCGACUUUGGUCUUCCACAAACUAUCUUUUCCAAAUAAGGAGUCACACUUAGAGUUUUCUUUCUUAUUUUGUUUUCCCUUAAAAAUAAAAUAAAAAUAAGUGGUGACUCCAAGUAUUUUCUAAAAAUCAUUUUUUUUUUCAAAUAAAAAAAGCGAGUUUUGCCAUCAAGUGGAAACACAUCUUGCGAAAAUGUGGGGUCCACAUAUCCCCUUCCAUUCCUUCAUACCCAAUGAAAUCUAAAUAAAUCGCCAGCCUAUUUUUUCAUUCUUGCUUCCAACCUCUUUUUUAAUAUUUAAAAUUGAUAAUAUAAAAUCUCUGCACAUGAUAUUGCCCACUUUGUCAUGGAAUUGAGAACAAUGAUAAAUCACAAUUUUCACACAAAUGAAAGUCUGUAUACUUUUUUUUUUUUUUUUUUGUAAGGAAUAAUAUUGUGUAAGGAACCAUUAAUGUAAACAUAUUGAAGGAAAAACAUAAAAAAUAAAACAAAUAUCACAAAAGAUAUAUAGGUUUAUCUCCACUUUGAACCAUGAAUUCUUUUGAUCUACUAGAUGUUUUUCACUUUAGGUGUUUCUUACUCCUCUCAUAAUUUUUUCCUUUCAUAAUUUAGAAUAUUUAUAGAAAUAUUUCCACUGACUUUCCUUAUUCUAUAACGAAUUUAAUUACAAUCACCUAAAAUUAGAAAAUAUUCAUAACUUUAUGAUAUUCUAAAUAGGAAUUUAAGACACCUUCCUAACACAUAAUCAUUUAAAUUUAUUUUUUUCACACAUUAUACAUUUUAAUUUUUCAAUAACAAUUUCCACACAAAUAAUUAUUUUUAGAUUUUUCUUUUUAAAUUUUAACAACAUUAAUAAUUUAAUAUUUCAUCCAAAUAAAAAAUAGUGAAAUUAAGAAAAAUUAAAAGAAAGAUAAAUAAAUAAACUAGUCACAUAAUAUAUAAUAGUUUUUCAUAAAAAUUGUGAAUUAAUAAUCCAACCAGAGCUCUGGGCCCACAUGUUAUAUAUACUGAGAAUCCACAUGUUAUAAUGAGAAAAAAAAAUGGAUUUAAAAUUUAAAAUUAUUUGAACAUGUUUCUUCUAACUCGUUGUAUAUAUUUUCCUUAUUUAUAUAAAGAUUAAUUAUUUUAAUUAAUUUUGAUAAUAUUUGAUUUUGUUUUUCAAUGAUAAACGAAAUAUGAUCAAAUGAAUAAACCACUGAAGUAUACUAUGCAUUUUAUAUAAAGUUUUUUUAUAUUAGUACCCAUGUGAACUGAUCAUAAGAAACUGGGUACCAUCAAAACUGUACAUCUGGAUACUGAGGAUCAGCAGAACAGAUGUAAUAAAUGUUCAUAUUUUCUAUAAUGUCACAUGGGACUUAGGAUGGUUCUUGGUAGAUAAGUUAAUUGACUUGGAAUCUUAACCUAAUCUAUAAUUUAAAAAAUGGAUAAAUUAAUUAAUUUAAGAAUAGUAACGGUCCAUAUUUUGUCAGGCCACAUGGGAGUUAGAAUAGUUUAAAGUGAACAUGUGACCUGAUGUAUAAUAUAAAGUGGAAAACUUGUCCAUCGAAUCCAUAAAUUAUAUUAUAAUGGUCUACUGUAAUAUGCUUGACUUGGCAUCCCUUAUAGGGCUAUGCCAUGGGAGAAAAGUCUUCCCUUUGUAAAAGAAGGGUUGUGCAACAAAUGAAUGUUGUGUCUUUGCUUUUUGAACUGAUUUUUAUUGGCCCAACCCGACCUAACUCAGCCAUCAUAUAAUCAAUUUGAGCUCAACCUAAGUUAAAUAAUUUCAAUUCGAGUUGAGUACAUCAGAUUGGAAGUCAGGUUGGGUCAUCCUUUAGGUUGAUGUAUUUCAAGGUCGCACUGAGCUUGGGUUGGCCAACUUGCCGAGUUGCAACCCUAUAUAAAUUGUUUUACAAAAAUCGCAAUUUUGACGAUUUAUACUUUAUUUGAUAACUGUUUUUAAAAACAUUUUUAAAAAAAUAGUUUUUAAGAACAGUUUUAAAAAAUUGUUCUAUGAUAUUUUUUAAAACAAAAGUUUAUUUGGAAACUUAAAAUUGUUUUUAAUCUAUUUUUAAUAUUUUUCAAUGUGUUUUAAAAAUUUUUUUUAUAUCCAUAGCUUUAUUUUUAAUCAUUAGAUAUAUAUAUAUGUAUAUAUAUAUAUAUAUAUAUAUAUAUAUAAUUUUUAAAAAUAACUCUAAAAAAAAAAUUGAAAAUAAUUAAAAGAUAUUAUCUAAAAACACCAUAUUUUUUAUUUUUUAUUAUCUAUUUUCUAAUAAUAGAAAAUAGAAAAUGGUUUUUUAUUAUUAAAUGAAUUUUAAAAUUCUUUUAUUCUAAAAACCAAAAAUUGUUCUUGAAAACAAUUGCAGGGCAUUAAUGCAAAGUCCAAGGCAUUAAUGCAAAGUCGCCCAACCAUCCCCUUCCAUUCCUUCAUACCUAAUGAAAUCCAAAUAAAUCACCCUUUUUUCAUUCAUGCUUCCAACGUCUUUUCUAAUAUUUAAAAUUGAUAAAUAUAAAAUCUCUCCAUAUGAUAUUGCCCACUUUGUCAUAGAAUUGAGAAUAAUGAUAAAUCACAAUUUUCACACAAAUGAAAGUUGUAUACUUUUUUUUUAUAAGGAAUAAUAUUGUGUAAGGAAGUAUUAAUAUAAACAUAUUAAAGGAAAAACACGAAAAAUAAAACAAAUCAUAUAAAAGAUAUAUAAGGUUUAUCUUCACUUUGAAUCAUGAAUCCUUUCGAUCUAUUAGAUGUUUUCACUUUGGGUGUUUUUUUCUCCUCUCAUAAUUUUUUUUCUUUAUAAUUUAGAAUAUUUAUAAAGAUAUUUAUACUAAUUUUCCUUAUUUUAUAAGAAAUUUAAUUACAAUCACAUCUAAAGUUAGAAAAUAUUCAUAACUUUAUGAUAUUCUAAAUAGGAAUUUAAGACACCUUCCUAACAAAUAAUUAUUUAAAUUUAUUUUUUUCACACAUUAUACAUUUCAAAUUUUCAAUAAAAAUUUCCACAUAAAUAAUUAUUUUUAGAUUUCUCUUUUUAAAUUUUAACAACAUUAAUAAUUGAAUAUUUCAUCCAAAUAAAAAAUAGUGAAAUUAAGAAAAAUUAAAAUAAAGAUAAAUAAAUAAAUUAGUCUCAUAAAUAUAUAAUAAUUUUUCAUAAAAAAUUAUGAAUUAAUAAUCCAACCAAAGCUCUGGGCCCAUAUGUUAUAUAUAUUGAGAAUCCAUAUGUUAUAAUGAGAAAUAAAAAAUAAAAAAAUGGAUUUAAAAUUUAAAAUUAUUUCAACAUGUUUCUUCAAACUCAUUGUAUAUAUUUUCCUUAUUUAUAUAAAGAUUAAAUAAUUCAAAAAUAUACAAGUAUUUUAAUUAGUUUUGAUAAUAUUUGAUUUUGUUUUACAAUAAUAAACGAAAUAUGCUCAAAUGAAUGAACCAUUGAAGCAUACUAUGCAUUUUAUAUAAAGUUUUUUUAUAUUAGUACCCAUGUGAACUGAUUAUAAGAAACUGGGGACUAUCAAAACUGUACAUCUGGAUACUGAGGAUCAGCAGAACAGAUAUAAUAAAAAAUGUUCAUAUUUUCUAUAGUGUCACAUGGGACUUAGAAUGGUUCUUGGUACAUACGUUAAUUGAUUUGGAAUCUUAAUUAACCUAAUCUAUAAUUAAAAAAUGGAUAAAUUAAUUAAUUUAAGAAUAGUAACGGUCCAUUUUUUGUCGGGCCACAUGUAGCCCUUACCUGAUAUAUAAUAUAAAGUGGACAAGUUGGAGCAUGCUUCCCAGAGUGAUUUAAAAAUUGUUGAAAAUUAAUGUAGAUGGCACCACAUUUUAUAUUAUUGAAUACAUCCACAACCUUUAAUUACAACUGGCAUGGCCUGGCAUGACUUGUCCACGGAAUCCAUAUUAUUAAUCAAUACCCAUGUGACCUGGCCUAUCCCAUCCACCAUAAAGAUAUCUCUUACUUUGUUCUCUAUUCUCUCACAAUUCCCUCAGCUUCUCAUCCUGUACGUGCUGUAUUUUCUUGGCUUUCUGCUACUUUGAGUUGUUCCGAAAUGGCUGAUCAAAUUCCAUUCGGUGUUGUGGAGCACAUUUUGACCAAGUUGGGGUCCAAGGCGUUUCAAGAAAUUGGAUCCAUGUAUGGUGUUCCAAAGGAGAUGACCAAGCUCAAUGGGAAACUGGGCACCAUCAAGGCUGUGCUUUUGGAUGCUGAGGAGAAGCAGCAACAGCAGAGCAAUCGUGCAGUCAAAGAUUGGGUCCGGAGGUUCAGAGGUGUUGUUUAUGACGCAGAUGACUUGGUGGAUGACUAUGCAACCCAUUAUCUUCAGCGAGGAGGAUUGGGAAGGCAGGUCAGUGACUUCUUCUCAUCUGAAAAUCAAGUUGCUUUUCGUUUAAACAUGAGUCAUAGACUCGAAGAUAUCAAAGAAAGGAUAGAUGAUAUUGCAAAAGAAAUCCCCAUGUUAAAUCUGACUCCACGGGACAUAGUACUACACACACGGGUGGAGAAUAGUGGGAGAGACACCCAUUCAUUCGUGUUAAAAUCUGAAAUGGUAGGAAGAGAAGAAAACAAAGAGGAGAUAAUAGGGAAGUUAUUGUCGUCCAAGGGUGAAGAAAAGCUUUCGGUUGUUGCCAUUGUAGGCAUUGGGGGGUUGGGUAAGACCACCCUUGCUCAAUUGGUAUACAAUGAUGAAAGAGUGGUCAAUCAUUUUGAGUUUAAGAUAUGGGCUUGCAUUUCUGAUGAUUCUGGUGAUGGUUUUGAUGUUAAUAUGUGGAUCAAAAAAAUUUUAAAAUCUCUGAAUGAUGGGGGUGCUGAAAGUCUGGAGACUAUGAAAACUAAGCUUCAUGAAAAAAUAAGUCAAAAGAGGUACUUGCUAGUCCUCGAUGAUGUUUGGAAUCAAAAUCCUCAACAAUGGGAUCACGUGAGAACUUUAUUAAUGGUUGGUGCUAUAGGUAGUAAAAUUGUAGUAACCACCAGAAAACCUAGAGUUGCAUCACUCAUGGGAGAUUAUUUUCCAAUUAAUUUGAAAGGUCUUGAUGAAAACGAUUCUUGGAGGUUGUUUUCAAAAAUCACAUUUAAAGAUGGAGAGAAGGAUGUGCAUACAAACAUCACCCAAAUUGGAAAAGAAAUUGCAAAAAUGUGUAAGGGAGUUCCUCUCAUUAUUAAGUCUUUAGCAAUGAUAUUGCGGUCUAAAAGAGAACCGGGGCAGUGGUUGUCUAUUAGAAACAAUAAAAAUUUGCUGUCACUCGGAGAUGAAAAUGAGAAUGUUGUAGGGGUGCUGAAAUUAAGUUAUGAUAAUUUGCCAACUCAUUUGAGACAAUGUUUUACAUAUUGUGCUUUAUUUCCAAAAGACUAUGAGAUUGAGAAAAAGUUGGUGGUACAACUAUGGAUAGCACAAGGUUAUAUUCAAUCUUCAAAUGAUAAUAAUGAGCAAUUAGAGGAUAUAGGGGAUCAAUAUUUUGAGGAAUUAUUGUCAAGGUCAUUGUUGGAAGAGGUUGAAGAUGAUUUUGCUAAUACAGUAAUGUAUAAAAUGCAUGACCUUAUACAUGAUCUUGCACAAUCAAUUGUAGGAUCUGAGAUCCUUGUUUUAAGAAGUGAUGUAAAUAAUAUUCCAAAAGAAGCUCAUCAUGUAUCAUUGUUUGAAGAGAUAAAUCUUAUGAUCAAGGCUCUAAAGGGAAAACCCAUAAGAACCUUUCUUUGUAAAUAUUCUUAUGAAGAUAGUACAAUUGUAAAUUCAUUUUUUUCGAGUUUUAUGUGUCUACGUGCGUUGAGUUUAGAUGAUAUGGAUAUAGAGAAGGUGCCAAAGUGUUUAAGUAAAUUGAGUCAUUUAAGGUAUCUUGAUCUUUCCUACAACAAUUUCGAGGUACUUCCAAAUGCUAUUACAAGGUUAAAGAAUUUGCAAACACUAAAACUCACAAGCUGUCGAAGAUUAAAAAGAAUUCCAGACAAUACAGGAGAAUUGAUCAAUCUUAGACACUUGGAGAAUGAUAGCUGUUAUAACUUGGCUCAUAUGCCACAUGGAAUCGGCAAGUUGACUUUACUUCAAAGUCUACCAUUGUUUGUGGUUGGGAAUGACAUAGGGUUAAGGAAUCACAAAAUUGGUAGCUUGAGUGAAUUGAAAGGCCUUAACCAACUAAGAGGAGGGUUAUGCAUAAGUAAUCUUCAAAACGUGAGGGAUGUUGAACUGGUAUCCAGGGGGGGAAUUUUGAAAGAAAAACAAUAUCUUCAGUCCUUGAGAUUGGAAUGGAAUCGGUGGGGCCAAGAUGGGGGGGAUGAGGGUGAUCAGUCAGUGAUGGAAGGCCUUCAACCACACCAACAUCUAAAGGAUAUCUUUAUAGACGGGUAUGGAGGUACGGAGUUUCCAAGUUGGAUGAUGAAUAGCCUGCUUCCUAACCUAAUUAAAAUUGAAAUUUGGGGAUGUUCAAGAUGCAAAAUUCUGCCACCCUUUUCUCAACUCCCUUCUCUCAAGUCUUUGGGGCUUCAUGAUAUGAAAGAAGUGGUGGAGUUAAAGGAGGGUUCAUUAACAACGCCACUCUUCCCAUCUCUUGAAUCGCUCGAACUCUCUUUCAUGCCAAAGUUGAAGGAAUUGUGGAGGAUGGACUUACUAGCAGAGGAAGGUCCUUCCUUUUCUCAUCUUUCUCAAUUAAAGAUCAGUUAUUGCCAUAACUUGGCAUCCUUGGAACUGCAUUCUUCUCCUUCUCUUUCUCAAUUAGAGAUCCAUUAUUGCCCAAACUUGACAUCCUUGGAACUGCCGUCAUCUCUUUGUCUUUCUAAUUUAUAUAUCGGAUAUUGCCCUAACUUGGCAUCCUUGGAACUGCAUUCUUCUCCUUGUCUUUCUCGAUUAGAAAUCAGGGAAUGCCCUAACUUGGCAUCCUUCAAAGUGGCUCCAUUACCUUAUCUUGAGACACUAUCUCUGUUCACAGUUAGAUAUGGUGUGAUAUGGCAGAUAAUGUCUGUCUCUGCUUCAUUGAAGUUUCUGUAUAUUGAAAGCAUAGAUGAUAUGAUAUCUCUCCCGAAGGAGCUACUUCAACAUGUUUCUGGCUUGGUAACGUUACAGAUCCGUGAGUGUCCUAACUUGCAAUCCUUGGAACUGCCCUCAUCUCCUUCUCUUUCUGAAUUAAGGAUCAUAAAUUGCCCUAACUUGGCAUCCUUCAAUGUGGCAUCAUUACCUCGUCUUGAGAAACUAAGCCUGCGUGGAGUCAGAGCAGAGGUACUGAGGCAGUUAAUAUUUGUCUCUGCUUCUUCUUCAUUGAAGUCUCUGCGUAUACGGGAGAUUGAUGGUAUGAUAUCUCUCCCAGAGGAGCCGCUUCAAUAUGUUUCCACUCUCGAAACUCUCUACAUUGUUAAGUGCUCUGGUUUGGCAACAUUACUACACUGGAUGGGCAGCCUUUCCUCGCUUACGGAACUUAUUAUUUAUGACUGCUCUGAAUUGACAUCACUGCCAGAAGAGAUCUGUUCCCUUAAAAAACUGCAGAAAUUUUAUUUCUGUGAUUAUCCACACCUAGAGAAAAGAUACAACAAGGAAACAGGUAAAGACCGGGCCAAGAUUGAUCAUAUCCCACGUAUUAAUUUCCAAAGUGAUCGAGUUAUGGAAUAUAAGGUCCGAAAUCCCUAACCUUUCUUCCCAUUUUUAUUAUUUAAGAAUCAAAAUGCUAUGUUUUCAUUUUAUUAUUAUGUUUUCACUGUAUCCUUGGCACCUCAUAUGUUUGUUUUUACUGCUCACAUUAAUAAUUUUGAAAUUUUUUUCCAGCUUGGAUGUGCUUUCCGAUGAUGUGCACUAAACUAACCAUUUUACUUGGAGUUGUACAUUCUAAGAGUUUGAGGAAAUACUGAGGUCUGAUAUGAUAACUCUAAAUCUUAAACGUUGUUUUGUGUUUGGAACGUUACUACACUUGAUACAUACCCUCACCUCACUUACAGAGCUUGGAAAUCGUGGCUGCCUUGAAUCGACGUCACUGUCAGAAUAUAUGUUCCCUCAAAAACCUGCAGACACUAAAUAAUCUGCAUCUGUUCACAGAAAGAUGCUGAAAGGAAAGGUGAAGACCAACCCAAGAUUGCUCAUAUGCCACAAAUUGAUAUCAUACAUCCAUGAAGAUUGAACUGAUACACAAUGCCUUUCAGGUCCGAAAUCCCUAACUUUUCUUCUCAUUUUCUAUGACUUCAUUUUCAUUAUCUUACUUUUAAAAUGCUCUGUUUUCAUUUGUUUUGGUAGUUCUUUGUAUUUGUGCCUUGUUUGAUUAAAUGCUUACUUCAAUUAAGUUUGAAAAUUUUUACAUCUUCAAAUUAUUUUAUUGUAAGUGUUUUGCAUUCUAAGAAUUUGAGGAAAUACUGAGCUCUAAUAUAACUAGUAGAGUCCACCAUUCCUAAGAAGCUUACCAUUGCCUAAUGCCCAAAGGAUCCCGAAAGGAGACAACUUUGGAUUGGCUUGAAGAUUUCACAUGGUCCAAAAAUUUGUAUUUACUAGACGCCUGAUACAAAAAGUAGUUUAAAUUUAGCCAUUAAUAAUAUAACUUUUUUAUUAGAGAAAUAAUUGCCAAACAAAUGCAAAAUAGAAAAUGGUGUUAAUGAAUUCAGUACUUCAUCUAUGUUGCAGUUUAGUAGCUUUUGUUAGAUAACGAGUAUGGGGUUGGGUUUAUCUGGUUACCAUUCCAAAUAUUCUUAAAAAAAUCAUCAAGGCUUUGUUUGGUUUCUUGAAAAUUUGAGGGAAAAAAUAGAGAGAAAAAGUGGAAGGAAAAAAAAAAGUGGAAGUCAAUAACUUGGCAUCCUUGGAACUGCAUUCUUCUCCUUGUCUUUCUCGAUUAGAAAUCAGGGAAUGCCCUAACUUGGCAUCCUUCAAAGUGGCUCCAUUACCUUAUCUUGAGACACUAUCUCUGUUCACAGUUAGAUAUGGUGUGAUAUGGCAGAUAAUGUCUGUCUCUGCUUCGUUGAAGUCUCUGUAUAUUGGAAGCAUAGAUGAUAUGAUAUCUCUCCAGAAGGAUCUACUUCAACAUGUUUCUGGCUUGGUAACGUUACAGAUCCGUGAGUGUCCUAACUUGCAAUCCUUGGAACUGCCCUCAUCUCCUUCUCUUUCUGAAUUAAGGAUCAUAAAUUGCCCUAACUUGGCAUCCUUCAAUGUGGCAUCAUUACCUCGUCUUGAGAAACUAAGCCUGCGUGGAGUCAGAGCAGAGGUACUGAGGCAGUUCAUGUUUGUCUCUGCUUCUUCUUCAUUGAAGUCUCUGCGUAUACGGGAGAUUGAUGGUAUGAUAUCUCUCCCAGAGGAGCCGCUUCAAUAUGUUUCCACUCUCGAAACUCUCUACAUUGUUAAGUGCUCUGGUUUGGCAACAUUACUACACUGGAUGGGCAGCCUUUCCUCGCUUACGGAACUUAUUAUUUAUGACUGCUCUGAAUUGACAUCACUGCCAGAAGAGAUCUAUUCCCUUAAAAAACUGCAGAAAUUUUAUUUCUGUGAUUAUCCAGACCUAGAGGAAAGAUACAACAAGGAAACAGGUAAAGACCGGGCCAAGAUUGCUCAUAUCCCACAUGUUCGUUUCAACAGUGAUUUGGAUAUGUAUGGGAAGGUAGGUCCGAAAUCCCUAACCUUUCUUCCCAUUUUUAUUAUUUAAGAAUCAAAAUGCUAUGUUUUCAUUUUGUCUCUGGUAAUUCUUUUAUGUUGGCACCUCAUAUGUUUGUUUAAAUGCUCACAUCAAUAACUUUUUGAAAAAUUUUCCAGAUUUGCUGAUGCUGUGUACUAAACUAAUCAUUUUACUUGCAGUUGUACAUUCUAAGAGUUUGAGGAAAUACUGAGGUCUGGUAUGAUAACUCUCAAUCCUUGGAACUGCAUUCAUCUCCUUCUCUUUCUCGAUUAACGAUCCAUGAUUGCCCAAACUUGGCAUCAUUACCUCGUCUUGAGGAACUAAGCCUGCGUGGAGUCAGAGCAGAGGUACCGAGGCAGUUCAUGUUUGUCUCUGCUUCUUCUUCAUUGAAGUCUUUGCAUAUACGGAAGAUUGAUGGUAUGAUAUCUCUCCCAGAGGAGCCGCUUCAAUAUGUUUCCACUCUCGAAACUCUACAUUGUUAAGUGCUCUGGCUUGGCAACAUUACUACACUGGAUGGGCAGCCCUUCCUCGCUUACGGAACUUAUUAUUUAUGACUGCUCUGAAUUGACAUCACUGCCAGAAGAGAUCUAUUCCCUUAAAAAACUGCAGAAAUUUUAUUUCUGUGAUUAUCCAGACCUGGAGGAAAGAUACAAGAAGGAAACAGGUAAAGACCGGGCCAAGAUUGCUCAUAUCCCACGUGUUCGUUUCAAGUGUGAUUUCAAAUUGAAAUGGAAGGUAGGUCCGAAAUCCCCAACCUUUCUUCCCAUUUUUAUUAUUUAAGAAUCAAAAUGCUAUGUUUUCAUUUUAUUAUUAUGUUUUCAUUGUAUCCCUGGCACCUCAUAUGUUUGUUUUUACUGCUCACAUUAAUAAUUUUGAAAUUUUUUUCCAGCUUGGAUGCGCUUUCCGAUGAUGUGCACUAAACUAACCAUUUUACUUGGAGUUGUACAUUCUUAGAGUUUGAGGAAAUACUGAGGUCUGAUAUGAUAACUCUCAAUCUUAAAUGUUGUUUUGUGUUUGGAACGUUACUACACUUGAUACAUACCCUCACCUCACCUCACUUACAGACCCAAGAAUACAUAGGGCCACACUUGGUGAAGGUUUCAUCAGUAAGGAGAACCAUUUCAAGUAUGAAAUCCUCCCUUCUCAUUUUCUGAUGACUUCAUUUUUAUUCAAUAUCCAUUUGAAAUUAUUUAAGUUCAUUUUCUUUAGAUAUUAUAUUUUCUUGCUUGCUCAAUAAUUUCAUUUAAGUAAGUUUUUUGGAUAUCACAUUUUCUUUGGGGUUUUUUUUCUUUUUAGAAUAAUUUCAAAAUGUCAUUUUUAACUAUUCACAAAAUUUGAUCAUAGUUGAGUGAUUAAAAUUCAAGUUUAUUCUUAUUAUCAUUAGUAGUUAUUUGAUAUGUUCGUUUGCUAAUACAAAAAUAAGACUAACAAGUAAUGUGCAUAGAGUUUGUAGAAGAGAAGAAAGAUUUGAUCCAAGAUAUUCCUAAAGAUCGGAAAAUUUCAAAGCCACCCAAGAUCGCACAGGUUGAAUUCGGAUUCAUCCAGUUUACAAUCCAUUAAUUCUACUUAUAUCAUCUUUGUUAUGUUACAAUUUGCCUUUACUUGUUAUGCAGCCUACCUUAAUAAUUUGGGGAGACCAAGAUAAGGUAUUCCUAGUAGAACUGGCUCACAAAUUGAAAAGGUAAACUUGUAUCACCUGCCUACAUGCCUACAACAAUACAAACACUAGCUCAUGUCUUUCUCACUAUUGAAAUUGUUAUUGCGUGCAGGCAUUUCAGGCGAGGAGACCCAACUUGUGAUCAUAGAGCAUACUUUUAUCAUAGAGAAGCCCAAGGAAAUAUUUAAGCACUUGAAAUCAUUUCUCAUUGAUUUGCUUCCACCUCCCAAGCAACACCUAGAACCACUCCCACCAUGACGAAGUUAAAAGGUACUAAUGCAACAUUCUCAAUAUAUUAGAAUAUAUCGAAGGAAGGGUGGCCACAUAUGAAGACCCUAUUCCAAGGUCAAAUUUUAGAUUUUUGUGUUUUUCCUAUCACUAUUCCUAUACUAUUACUAGUGCACCUUAUUUGUCAAGAUGAUUAAAAGGGAAUUCCCUAGGAUAAUUAGUGUCUCAAGUGAUCUUGAGGUUCAUAAAUUUUUGGUUUCCACAAGAUAGGUGCCAACUAUUUUUUUUUUUUUUUUUUUUACACCCAUGCAAUAUUCCAGUCAUCUAUUAACAAGGGCUAAAAUUUCUUGUAGAGAAUAGAAUAAAGAACUAAAUUACAUGAAAAUAGGACAUUAUUAUUCUAUUUACAAGUAAGGGCCAAAAAUUGUUGAGGGCCAUCAAGCACAUUGUUCCUAAAAUAAUAACAUCCAUGUUGUUGAGCAAAAGUUUUUUAUAUUGGCACCUCAGAUGUUUGUUUAAAUGCUCACAUCAAUAACUUUGAAAAUAUUUUCUAGAUUUUUGAAAAAUUGUAAUGUUGUGCACUAAACUAAUCAUUUUACUUGGAGUUCUACAUUCUAAGAGUUUGAGAAAAAACUGUCUGAUAUGACAACUCUCAAUCUUAAAUGUUGUUUUGUGUUUGGAAUAUUACUGCACUUGAUAGAUACCCUCACCUCUCUUACAGAACUUGGAAUUCAUGGCUACCCUGAAUUGACAUCCCUGGCAGAAGAUAUGUUCCCUCAAAAGCCUGUAGACACUAAAACAAUUUGCAUAUGUUCACACUUAGAGGAAAGAUGCUGAAAGGAAAAGUGAAGACUAAGCGAAGAUUGCUUAUAUCCCACAAAUUGAUAUCAUACAUCCAUGAAGAUUGAACUGAUACAAAAUGCCUUUCAGGUUCGAAAUCCCUAACUUUUCUUCUUAUUUUCUAUGACUUCAUUUUUAUUAUCUUACAUUCAAAAAUCCUAUGUUUUCAUUUGUUUUGGUAGUUCUUUUUAUUUGCACCUUAUUUGUUUUAUUAAAUGCUUACUCCAGUAAGUUUAAAAAUUUUUACAUCUUCAAAUCAUUUUGCUUGAGUGUUUUGCAUUCUAAGAGUUUGAGGAAAUAUUGAACUCUAAUAUAAAUAGUAUUGGUCAUAGAGUCUUCCUUUCUUAAGAAGCUUACCAUUAACCUAAUGGCCAAAGGAUCCCAAAAGGAAACAACUUUGGGUUGGCUUGAAGAUUUCACAUGGUCCAAACAUUCAUAUUUACUAGAUGCCUGAUAUAAAAUAAAUUUUGCUCUCUUUUCAAUUUAGCCAUUGAUGUAGUCUAAAUGUUUUAUUAGAGCAAUAAUUGUCCAGUAAAUGCAAAAUAGAGGAUGGUGUUAAUGAAUUCAGUACUUCAUCUAUGUUGUAGACUUGUAGUUUAGCAGCUUCUGUUGAUAAUGAGUGUGAGGUUGGCUUUAUCAUGUCACUGUUCCAAAUAUUCUUAAAAAAAAUCAUUUAAGCUCUAUUAGGUUCUUAGAAAAUUUAAGGGAAAAUGUGAGGAAAACAAAAUAGAGAAGAAAAGUGGAAGGAAAAAAAAGUGAAAGUCAAUGAAUUAUUUUUGUAUGCUACUUCAAACUCACUUCACUUUUUUUAACUCUUCAAUAUAAAGAUUCAAUCAUUUGAAAAAUGUGUAAAUUUCUAAUUAAUUUUAAUUAUAUUUGAUUUUCUUUGGAAUUCUCAUUUCUUCUCAUUUUCUUAUGACUUCAUUUUUAUUCAAUAUCUAUAUGAAAUUAUUUAUGUUCAUUUUCUUUAGAUAUUACAUUUUUUUGCUUUCUCAAUAAUUUCAUUCAAGUUCUUUUGGAUAUCACAUUUUCUUUGGUGUUUUUUUUAGAAUAAUUCAAAAUGUCUUUUUUAACGGUUCACAAAAUUUGAUCAUAGUUGAGUGAUUAAAAUUCAAGUUUAUUAUUAUUAUUAUUAUUAUUAUUAUUAUUAUUAUUAUUAUUAUUAUUGGCUAUUUGAUAUAUUUGUUUUCUUAUACAGAUAAAAGACUGGCAGCUAAUGUGCAUAGAAUUUGUAGAAGAGAAUAAAGAUUUGAUCUAAGUUAUUUCUAAUAGGUUGAGGAAUUCAUUCUUGUAAAAUUUGAGUGUUAAAGCCUUCAAGAGGUUUGAAUCUUGAAGAAAUUAUGUAAGAGCCCAUUGGAGCCAGAAUCCAAGUGUAAAGGAGAUUGGAAGCUUGGUUGAAGCUUCAAGUUAGUGAAACCCUCACUCGGUUAGGAGAUUGAGGAGAGUGGACGUAGGCAAGGAAAUGUCGAACCACUAUAAAAUCCAAGUUUAAAUUCUCUAACUCUAUCUCUUUAUUUUUUUUUAUUAUAUUGUACUUGAAUUUGUUGUGUUGAAAAAGUUUUUGAAAAACCCAAUUCACCCUCCUCUUAGGUGUUUUUCUCAUUUAAGCAUAGCCUUUAUUUUCUCACACUUGAAAUCCUUUCUCAUUAAUUUGCUUCCACCUCAUAAGCAACCCUCGAAACCACUUACACCAUGACAAGGUGAAAAGAAACUAAUGCUGCAUUCUCAAUAUAUAAGAAGAUAUCAAAGGAAGGUUGGCCACAUAUAAGGACCCUGUUUCUAAGGUAGAAUUUUAGAUUUUUGUGUUUUUCCUAUCACUACUCCUAUACUAUUACCAGUGCACCUUAUUUGUCAAGAUGAUUAAAAAGGAAUUCCCUAGGAUAACUAGUGUCUCAAGUGAUCUUGAGGUUCAUAAAUUUUUGGUUUCCACAAGAUAGGUGCCAACUAUUUUUUUUUUUUUUACACCCAUGCAAUAUUCCAGUCAUCUAUUAACAAGGGCUAAAAUUUCUUGUAGAGAAUAGAAUAAAGAACUAAAUUACAUGAAAAUAGGACAUUGUUAUUCUAUUUACAAGUAAGGGCCAAAAAUUGUUGAGGGUCAUCAAGUACAUUGUUCCUAAAAUAAUAGCAUCCAUGAAGAUUGAACUGAUACGAAAUGCCUUUCGAGUUUGAAAUCCCUAAAUUUUCUUCUUAUUUUCUAUGACUUCAUUUUUAUUAUCUUACAUUCAAAAAUCCUCUGUUUUCAUUUGUUUUGGUAGUUCUUUUUAUUUGCACCUUAUUUGUUUUAUUAUACUCCAGUAAGUUUGAAAAUUUUUACAUCUUCAAAUCAUUUUGCUUGAGUGUUUUGCAUUCUAAGAGUUUGAGGAAAUAUUGAGCUCUAAUAUAAAUAGUAUUGGUCAUAGAGUCUUCCUUUCUUAAGAAGCUUACCAUUGACCUAAUGGCCAAAGGAUCCCAAAAGAAAACGACUUUGGAUUGGCUUGAAAAUUUCACAUGGUCCAAACAUUCAUAUUUACUAGAUGCCAGAUACAAAAGAAAUUUUGCUCUCUUUUUAAUUUAGCCAUUGAUGUAGUCUAAAUGUUUUAUUAGAGCAAUAAUUGUCCACUAAAUGCAAAAUAGAGAAUGGUGUUAAUGAAUUCAGUACUUCAUCUAUGUUGUAGACUUGUAGUUUAGCAGCUUCUGUUGAUAAUGAGUGUGGGGUUGGCUUUAUCAUGUUACUGUUCCAAAUAUUCUUAAAAAAAAUCAUUUAAGCUUUGUUUGGUUCUUAGAAAAUUUGAGGGAAAAUGUGAGGAAAACAAAAUAGAGAGGAAAAGUGGAAGGAAAAAAAAGUGAAAGUCAAUGAAUUAUUUUUGUAUGCUACUUCAAACUCACUUCACUUUUUUUAACUCUUCAAUAUAAAGAUUAAAUCAUUUGAAAAAUGUGUAAAUUUCUAAUUAAUUUUAAAUAUAUUUGAUUUUCUUUGGUAUUUUCCAAAAGAUAAUCAAAUAUGAGAAAAUCAUUUUCCUUAACAUUUUUUUUUUCUUAGUACUUUUAGUGAACCAAACAUAACCUAAAUGUUUUAGUUUAGUAGUUUCAUCAAAUUAGAUAGACAACCUCACAUCUCUUAGUGAGCUCAGGUGCUAUGUCAAUUAAUGCUUUGUCUCUACUUCUUCAUUGAAGUCUCUAUUUAUUGGAUGCACAGAUGAUAUGAUCCAAACUCAAAUUGAACACUACUCUUGUUUUGCAACAUUACUGCACUCGAAAGACAACUUCAACUCACUUAUAGACCUUCUUAUUGGUGAUUGCACUAAAUCGACACCACUUUGGAAGAGAUGUGUUCCACAUAGAAAAUAUUUCAUUAUAUGCACCUACUCGCAAGAUACCAAAGGGAAACAAGUGAAUACUUGCCUAGGAAUACAAAGGCCAUACUUAGUGAAGGUUCCAUCAAUAAGGAGAACCAUUUCAAGUAUGGAAUUCUCAUUUAUUCUCAUUUUCUUAUGGCUUCAUUUUUAUUCAAUAUCUAUAUGAAAUUAUUUAUGUUCAUUUUCUUUAGAUAUCACAUUUUUUUGUUUUCUCAAUAAUUUCAUUCAAGUUCUUUGGAUAUCACAUUUUGUUUGGUGUUUUUUUUAGAAUAAUUCAAAAUGUCUUUUUUAACGAUUCACAAAAUUUGAUCACAGUUGAGUGAUUAAAAUUCAAGUUUAUUAUUAUUAUUAUUAUUGGUUAUUUGAUAUAUUUGUUUUCUAAUACAGACAAAAUACUAGCAGCUAAUGUGCAUAGAAUUUGUAGAUAGAAUUUGUAGAAGAGAAUAAAAAUUUGAUCUAAGCUAUUCCUAAAGACCAUAAACUUUUAGAGCUACCCAAGAUCUAACAGGUUAAAUUUUGAUUCACUUAGUUUACAAUCCACUAAUUAUCCUUAUGUCAUUUUUGUUAUGUUACAAAUUGCCUUUACUUGUUAUGCAACCUAUCUUAAUAAUUUGGGAAGACCAAGAUAACAUCUUCCUAGUAGAACUGGCUCAAAAAUUGAAAAGGUACACUCAUAUCACCUAUCUACAUGCCCACAACAUUAUAAACACUAGCUCAUGUGUUCCUCACUAUUGAGAUUGUUGUUGCAUGCAGGCAUUUUGGGCGAGGAGGCCCGACUUGUGAUCAUCAAUAACACAAGGCAUGCUUUUAUACAGAGAAUCCCAAAUAAACAUUUAAGCACUUUGUUAGCCCAAGGGUUCUCCUAAUCAGGUUUUGAUGAUAACAAACCAUGGUUAAGUGACUAAUUGGUUUGAAUGAUAAAGAAUCUUAGGUAUAAAUUUGGAAAUUCAUCAAAUGAUCAAAUGGAUACAAGAUCGAGACUUUUGGAAGACUUUUGAUCAUAGGAAACAAAUGUAAGAUGAAUGCAUGGGUGCACUUAGGUUUUACAUAUCUUUUCAUGAAUCUUUGAAAACUCGGUUUAUUCCUUAAAAUUACGAUUUCAUUAAAACCCGAGUUUUAUCAAAUGUACCUUAGGCAAAACAUUUCAAAAUUGGCAUAUUAAUUUACCUAAAGACCUUGCCUAAGUGUUAGAAAGGAAAAGAAUUGAAAAAUAUAGGUUUUCAGGGCCAAAAGGCUGAACUGAUCGAGGCACAUGCCAACCGGCUCAACCAACCAGGGAACCGGUCAAUCGGUUGCUCUUGCCCGAUCGAGAUCUGGUCGAGGAGUGUCAAAAACACUUUCUCUCAUCCAGUAACCUUCUCUUCCCAGUCGAGGUACUCUCCUUACCUCUGGUCGAGGUUCGGUCGAGGCAACGGUAACAUGCCAAAGCAUUAAAUGCUUCAACGACUAGUGAACCAAUCGACCCCCGGCUCGACCGGUUGAGGCUAUUUUUUGCUCUUUUUGGCUCCCGAGCUUAGAAACCAAUAAAUUGAGAGCUCCACUUCAUUUAUGACAUAGAGAAAACUUGCAAUCAAUUGUCUACCCACUUGUUCUUGCCUUAAAAGCUCUCAUUUAUUUCUUAGUGCAUUAAAUCCUCACUUGCAUAUCCUUUAGUACACCCUUGUGAAUCAUCCUAGCUUUGAUUUGUAUUUGAACUAUCAUUGAGGUAGAUUGAGGGAUUCAUUCUUGUAAAAAUUGAGUAUUAAAGCCUUCAAGAGGUUUGAAUCUUGAAGAGAUUAUGUAAGAGCCCAUUGGAGCCAGAAUCCAAGUGUAAAGAAGAUUGGAAGCUUUGUUGAAGCUUCAAGUUAGUGGAACCCUCACUCGAUUAGGAGAUUGAGGAGAGUGGACGUAGGCAAGGAAAUGUUGAACCACUAUAAAAUCCGAGUUUAAAUUCUCUAACUCUAUCUCUUUAUUUUUUAUUAUAUUGUGCUUGAAUUUGUUGUGUUGAAAAAGUUUUUGAAAAACCCAAUUCACCCAUUUCUUAGGUGUUUUUCUCAUUUAAGCAUAGCCUUUAUUUUCUCACUCUUGAAAUCCUUUCUCAUUAAUUUGCUUCCACCUCAUAAGAAACCGUCAAAACCACUUACACCAUGACAAGGUGAAAAGAAACUAAUGCAACAUUCUGAAUAUAUCAGAAGAUAUCAAAGGAAGGUUGGCCACAUAUGAGAACCUUGUUUCUAAGGUAGAAUUUUAGAUUUUUUUGUUUUUCUUGUCACUGUUUCUAUACCAUUACUAGUGCACCUUAUUUGUCAAGGUGAUUAAAAGGGAAUUCCCUAGGAUAACUAAUGUCUUAGAUGAUCUUAAGGUUCAUAAAUUUUUGGUUUCAACAAGAUAGGCGUCAAACCAUUUUUAUUUUUUUCUACACCCAUGCAAUAUUCCAUUCAUUUAUUAAUAAGGGCUAAAAUUUCUUGUAGAGAAUGGAAUAAAGAACUAGAUUAAAUUAAAUAAGACAUUAUUAGUCUAUUUACAAGUAAGGGCAAAAAAUUCUUGAGGGUCAUUAAGCACACUAUUCCUAAAAUAAUAACAUCCAUGUCGUCGAGCAAAAGUUUAUUGCAAUUACAUUAGCAUAUAAAACAAAACUAAUUUUUUUAUUAUUUAUGUUCACACCUUAUCCAUUUGAUAAAAUGCUUAAACAAGUAAGUUUGAAUUUUUUUUGUCUUCAAAUCAAUUUAAAUUUUACAUUCAAAAGUUGAAUUAAUUUUUUUUUUUGGAAAAUUUAACUGCACUUUAGAAGUUUGUGAUUAUUCUUUGGUCCAUCUUAAAAUGAGUUCCCGCAUUUUUCCAUUCCUGAAAUUAAAAUCACAAUAAAAAGUUUUAGAUUGACCUAAAAUUUUCUCAUGGCCUAGAAAUUCAUAUCUACUAGAUGGCUAAAGCAAAAAAACACUUCUAUCUUGUAUUUUAAGUAAUCCCUGCUUGCUAUUUGUUUAUUGAGAGCAUCAUACAAGUUGUGAUUAUAUUUCUUAAUUUUUUUAUAUGAUAAGACGGUAACUGGAUUGAGAAAGAUGCAACUUGUAGAGCAGAAAAUUUCUUGACUACUUUCCUUGUAUUUGCUUUGUGUGUAUCAACUGUUCUGUUAAUUAUUUUUUUAAAAUAUCACUAAAACAAACCUAUUAUGUCAAUGCUCUCUAUUGUUAUGUAUCAUAAUUUAGCUAUUUUUUCCCUAGAAAUCAUGCUUGUUAUUGUGUUAAUCAGUAGGUAGCAUAAGAACUAUUUUGUUCAAGUCAUUUUGUAUUGGCAUUCUUCAUGUUUUAAAAUAUUGUCAGACUAGCAAUUUUACUGCAGAUAUAAUGUUCUCAAAUCAAUGCAAAAAGGGACGUUGUGGGGCUUGGGCACAACCUUCCUUAAAUAGUUGAAUUGAGGGUUUCUAUAAACUAGGUCUCUAUAUCAACAGAUUCUACAUUUCAUCACUAUGGGGACCUUACAAUAAAUACCGCAAAAAACUUCAUUUACUACAUAGUAAGGAUAAUCCUAAGGACUUAAAAGCUUGAGUUGUCUUUUCCAUGGCAGCUUCAGAUCUCUUAAUAAGCUCCAAGUCAUUGUCUACCUUGAAUAUAAAUCACUGCUAGAAGUAUGUGCCCUCAACAUUCCCAUGUUCUCGAUAUUGACUAGAUAUUUGUUGCUAAUCCAUGAAGAAUUGAAGGGAUCUUUGAUAAUGACAUCUAUAAUGUACUUCAAGUUCAUGAUCCAAACCCUCUUCUUGCUUUCAAUAACUUCAUUUUUUUUUUAUAUUACUUUGUGGUCAAUGUUAUAAGGAUGUUGUAUUUUGUUUACCUGAUUCUCAUCCAUCAGCACACAUGAAAGGAAAAGUUUUACAUUGCUUUCCUUCCCUUUGCUCUGUGUUUGUAUAUGUUUAUGCAGCUAAUGCGAACUUCCACCAUAACUUUUUAAGUUUUUUCAUUCUUGAGUUUGGGAAACAACUGGAUUUGAUUGUAAUAUUUCUUGUAGAUAUCACCUUUCUUAAAAAGCUUGCAUUUAUUCACAUUUUCAAGAUGGCUAAGUCAUCUGAUUAUGCUUAUAACUUUUGGUUUCUAUUAAAUUCAGGUAUGAUGUUUGCAAUGCUAACCCCCUUACUCCUCUUGAAGACUACAUAAGUUUCUAGUGCUGUUACUUUAAUGGUUAUAGUCAAUGUAUCCUCUUGUUACUUCCUGCUUGCAUUCUAUAUGUUCAAGAGCUUUAUUAAAGUAAUUAUUUUAUUGAAGAUAUAAUUGUUUUCAGGUCAAAGCAAAAUUGAAUAAUGACGUGGUUUCAACAACUUCUCAAAAGUAAUUGGAAAGUAAGGAACUUUGUGGUAGUAUUCUGAUAUCACAUUGGGCCUUCAAAUUGUUGUCUUGAAUUGACAUAAAUAACAUAAUUUCUUUCCCAGUUAAGUUGCUUCAACAUGUUAUUAUGCUUCAAACUCUUUCAAUUAUGUGUUGUUUAGGUUUGGCAACAUUAGUACACUGGAUAUGUUGCCUCGAGUUACUUACACGACAUAAAAUUCAUCUUUGUUGUUAACUAGCAUCACUACCACAAGAUGAGUUCCCUCAGCAUUCUACAGACAACUAUAAUUUGGGACAAUUCUGGUUUGGCAACAUUAUCGGAGUUGAUAGGCAACCUAACAAAAACCUUUAAAUUUAUAUUUAUCCCGAACUAGCAUCACUGCUGGAAGACGUGCAUCCUUAGCACCCUAUAACCACUCAUAAUUGGAGACUGUUAUGGUUUGUAAACAUUCAACAGACUUGAUAGGUAACCUUGCACCAGUUACAGAGCUUCAAAUUCAUGGCUAUCUUGAAUUGACAUCACUUUCAAACUAGAUGGUUCAUCCAAACCUCAGUUGACACCCAUAAUUCAAGACUUCUCCAUUUUGGCAAUGAUAGCAGAUUUGAUAAGCAUCCCUACUUCACUUACAUACACUAAAAUUGAUAGCUACCUCGGAUUCACAUCAUUGUCACAAGAGAUUGGUUCCUUUAUAUCCCUGCAGACACUUGUGAUCUUUUAUCAUCCAUGUAUAUUAGAAAGACUUAAAAGGGAAAUAGAUGAAGAUAGGCCCAAUAAUCUUCAGUCCUAGAUAUUGAUAUGUGGUGAAGAUUGGACUAAUAUAGAGUUAGUUCAGGUUUGAAAUCCCAAUCUUUCUUCUCAUUUUUUAUGGUUUUGUUUUUAUCAAUAUGCUUUGUUUACAUUCUAUAUGGUAACUUUUGUAUGUAUUAGCAUAUAGAUCAAAAAGGACUUAGAUGAUUAAUUUGAAAAGUUUGCAUCCUCAAUUAAUUAGUAAUUAAAGACCAAACUAAUCAUAUUACUUUAAGUCUUGCAUUGUAAGAGUUUGGGAAAAUGUUAGGGUUGACUGAACUACUAUUUUAUAACAGAUUUUGCCUUACUCAAGAAUCUUGUGAUUAUUCCUUAGCACAAUCAUUUCUCGUGUCUAAGAAAUUCAUAUCUACUACAUGUCCAAAGAAUUUAGUAGCAUUCAAAAUUUAUGCUUUCUUUCAAGUCAGGUGUAUUGCUUGCAGUUCUAACAUGUUUCCUAUUUUGAACGUUGUAUUGUUAUUUUACUAUCAAUGUGUUAAGAGCAUUAUACUCUAUUUUCUAUAAUGUUGUUUACUUGUCAUAAGUAUUAAUUAUUUUAUUGCAAAUGUACUUGUUGCCAAGUUAAAGCAAAAGAGGAAAGUGAGGAUUUUUCAUGGACCAAUGCCUUUCUCAGUUGCUGCCACACUUGACUUCUCUCUAAGUUGUUGAAAAUUUAAAAGUGUGGUAGCAUAAAGUAUUCAGCUCAAGUGCUUUAGUGACUCACUACCCUUGAAGCUUUAGAAGUUGUCAAUACAAUUGGGGUUUCAACAUGUAACCAUUUUGGAAAUUCUAAGAAGUGUAAGUAUUAUGGUUUUACAACUUUAUUAGACUAGAUAGGCAACUUCAAAUUGCUGAAUGCCCUGAAUUAAAAUCACUACUAGAAGGAACCCAUGAGCACUCUAUAGAAACUCAUUGUAAGAGUUUGGGAAAAUGUUAGGGUUGACUGAACUACUAUUUUAUAACAGAUUUUGCCUUACUCAAGAAUCUUGUGAUUAUCCCUUGGCACAAUCAUUUCUCGUGUCUAAGAAAUUCAUAUCUACUACAUGGCCAAAGAAUUUAGUAGCAUUCAAAAUUUAUGUUUUCUUUCAAGUCAGGUGUAUUGCUUGCAAUUCUAACAUGUUUCCUAUUUUGAAUGUUGUAUUGUUAUUUUACUAUCAAUGUGUUAAGAGCAUUAUACUCUAUUUUCUAUAAUGUUGUUUACUUGUCAUAUGUAUUAAUUAUUUUAUUGCAAAUGUACUUGUUGCCAAGUUAAAGCAAAAGAGGAAAGUGAGGAUUUUUCAUGGACCAAUGCCUCUCUCAGUUGCUGCCACACUUGACUUCUCUCUAAGUUGUUGAAAAUUUAGAAGUGUGGUAGCAUAAAGUAUUCAGCUCAAGUGCUUUAGUGCCUCACUACCCUUGAAGCUUUAGAAGUUGUCAAUACAAUUGGGGUUUUAACAUGUAACCAUUUUGGAAAUUCUAAGAAGUGUAAGUAUUAUGGUUUUACAACUUUAUUAGACUAGAUAGGCAACUUCAAAUUGUUGAAUGCCUUGAAUUAAAAUCACUACUAGAAGGAACCCAUGAGCACUCUAUAGAAACUCAUUGUAAGAGUUUGGGAAAAUGUUAGGGUUGAUUGAACUACUAUUUUAUAACAGAUUUUGCCUUACUCAAGAAUCUUGUGAUUAUCCCUUAGCACAAUCAUUUCUCGUGUCUAAGAAAUUCAUAUCUACUACAUGGCCAAAGAAUUUAGUAGCAUUCAAAAUUUAUGUUUUCUUUCAAGUCAGGUGUAUUGCUUGCAAUUCUAACAUGUUUCCUAUUUUGAACGUUGUAUUGUUAUUUUACUAUCAAUGUGUUAAGAGCAUUAUACUUUAUUUUCUAUAAUGUUGUUUACUUGUCAUAUGUAUUAAUUAUUUUAUUGCAAAUGUACUUGUUGCCAAGUUAAAGCAAAAGAGGAAAGUGAGUAUUUUUCAUGGACCAAUGCCUCUCUUAGUUGCUGCCACACUUGACUUCUCUCUAAGUUGUUGAAAAUUUAGAAGUGUGGUAGCAUAAAGUAUUCAGCUCAAGUGCUUUAGUGCCUCACUACCCUUGAAGCUUUAGAAGCUGUCAAUACAAUUGGGGUUUUAACAUGUAACCAUUUUGGAAAUUCUAAGAAGUGUAAGUAUUAUGGUUUUACAAAUUUAUUAGACUAGAUAGGCAACUUCAAAUUGUUGAAUGCCUUGAAUUAAAAUCACUAUUAGAAGGAACCCAUGAGCACUCUAUAGAAACUCAUUGUAAGAGUUUGGGAAAAUGUUAGGGUUGAUUAAACUACUAUUUUAUAACAGAUUUUGCCUUACUCAAGAAUCUUGUGAUUAUCCCUUGGCACAAUCAUUUCUCGUGUCUAAGAAAUUCAUAUCUACUACAUGGCCAAAGAAUUUAGUAGCAUUCAAAAUUUAUGUUUUCUUUCAAGUCAGGUGUAUUGCUUGCAAUUCUAACAUGUUUCCUAUUUUGAACGUUGUAUUGCUAUUUUACUAUCAAUGUGUUAAGAGCAUUAUACUCUAUUUUCUAUAAUGUUGUUUACUUGUUAUAUGUAUUAAUUAUUUUAUUGCAAAUGUACUUGUUGCCAAGUUAAAGCAAAAGAGGAAAGUGAGGAUUUUUCAUGGACCAAUGCCUCUCUCAAUUGCUGCCACACUUGACUUCUCUCUAAGUUGUUGAAAAUUUAGAAGUGUGGUAGCAUAAAGUAUUCAGCUCAAGUGCUUUAGUGCCUUACUACCCUUGAAGCUUUAGAAGCUGUCAAUACAAUUGGGGUUUUAACAUGUAACCAUUUCUUUUUGUUCUUAUAGACAAUAGAACAAUGUGGUAAUUGCAUGACAUACAAUUUGUAAUAGAUGGUCAACUAUAUAUUAAGUAAUCUUUAAUUGCCUUGGAGUUGAAACGUUUGAUGUUGAUAAGGUUUGAUAAUUCUUGCUUUGGUGCUUUGUUGGAUUUCAAUUCAGGUAAUUAAUUGAUCUUGUUAUGAUUUUUUGAUUGUUAUUAUAACUAUCGUGAUAAUCAUUCUUAUUUUAUCGUGGUAAUUGACUUCACUGACUUUAUGCCCAACCUAUUAUUGUUAGUAUUCCAUUAACAUACCUCUAAUGCCACCACUAAUAAACAUCAUGUGUUUAUAUUUAUAACACGUUUCAUUACUGAAAUAAUUUAAUAUUUUCAAAUUUCUUUUUAGAGUGUGAGAAAUAACCAUUAAUCUUUACAACAGCAUAAGUAUCAUUGAUUUGAUAUUGCUUUCUUGAGUAAUUUGGCAAUUUAAUUAUGAAGUUUAGUUGGACAUUACUUGAGAUUCAUGUCUUAUGUAUAUGGUAUAUUUUCCAAACUUCAAUUAUAUUUAGUAGACUUGUAAGUGGUGUUUGUCUAUGAGUUUCAACUCUUGAAAACUAUUAUUGGAGUCUAAGUUCACUUUCAAUAAGGAAAAAAAAAAAUCAACCUUUUCCUCAAUUGUGUAAUUUUAUUCACUAUUGACAUGCCCUUAAAUGGCAUUGCUAUUAUUUGUAGGGAACAUUGUCAAGUUCCAUAUUUGUCUAGAAAGUUAGAAGAAGUAUUUAAUUUGACAUGGUUUGGACAUCUUGCUACUAUCUUUUUAAAUUAGUUAUCAAUAAUUUUUCAAAGUUGACCUUUUUGUUUAUCUCAUACUCCUUUUAUAUUAAAAGGUAUCGCAUGGGUAUUAUGUAGAGGAAUCAUGCCUUCUUUAAUUGAGGUGAGCCUCUUGCAAAAUAUUUCAGGUUUGCUCUCAUUCCAUUUGUUACUUCAUGUCUAUUUUUUUGUAAUCAAUCAAGCAAGAGUUUCUUACUUGUACAAUGGUGAACUUGCUUGCAUGAAUAAUACUCUUUUUACUAUUUUUUUCUUUCUUUAUUAUAUUCAUUGAUACGCUUAGAAGUGAAUAGUGAACCAGGUUUUUUGUUAAAAGAAAUCAAAUAUUGGUAAUUAUUUAGUAUCAUGUUUGUAAUAAUCAAUUAUUGAUUGUAAAGAUACUUGGCUUAAUCAAUUAUUAUAUUGAAAUCAAUUUAGUACUAUGACUAAUACCAAAAGGAUAAUAUUUAGUCUUGUUUGACCAUUAGUCACUAUUCUAGAGACAAAUGCUCACAAGUUUUGCAUCUUUGAAGCAUAUGAGAAAAGUUGGUUCAACUAUAUCACCAACUUACAAGCUCCUUAUAGUGUCCAUAUAUAUAACCUUCGUUGUUCAGGUUUAUGAUUCAUAUCUUUUUUUUUUUCAUCUUUUUAUUGUUUAUAAUUUUUUAAUUGAUUUGUUUAUAAAUUUUUAAACUUUAUUGGCAAUACUAAUUAUUUUUUUUUAUUCUCAUGUGCAAUAGAAUAAUAAGUUGAAUAAGAAGCAUAAACUACUUAAUUGGUAUAACCGUUUACUCAAUUCUCUUCUCAUAUAUUUUUGUUCAAGGUAAUCAAAGUAUCAUUCUUUUUAUUUUUAAAGGUACUUGAACUCAGUGAGGACCAUUCCCAAAACAAGCAAUCAUUACAGUUGGAUUACUGAUAUCAUAUCCUUGAUUGACAUCUAUGCCAUUACAUUUGCAUCUAAAGGAUUUAUAAUGAAAAAAUAUCUUUUUUAUUUCCAUUUUCCUUCCUUCUUUUGACCAUAAUUUGUGUGCUUAUUGAUAGCAUUCAUACCCUAAUAUAUUUGCUAGCAUAUAUAUGCAUAUCAUAAUCUAUUGAAUUUUUUAGCAUAAGGUCUUAGAGUAUUCACAUAUCUCUAGGUUCUAUAUAUUUAUAAUUUUUACAACAUCAAAUGAAGUAUAUGAACCUUAUCCUGAAGGUGAAGUCUCUUUAAAGGGAGUUUCAACAUGUUAGCAAUUACCUAACUUAAUAAUCUAACAAUUUGGCACUAUAUAUAAUUUUGCAACUCUUUCAUAAAGUAAUUGUGUUACCUUUAUUCACAUUUUCUAUCUUUAUUUUAAAAAAAAUGAAUUGGUAAUUGUGUGUCAAAUCUUGCUUACAAUCAUUAAUAGGUACUUAUAUGCUAAAUGGAUAAAGUUAUUUUACAAUUGUUUCAACAUAUUUGGAAUAUAUAUAUAUAUAUAUAUAUAUAUUUAUAGAUGUAAUCACUACCAAGCCAAUGCGAAAAGCUAUAACAAUGAGGAUUACAAAGCUUCAAUUAUGUCUUGGAGAUUCAUAUUGACAAGUUGUAAAUGGUGGGUGAAGUCUCUUUAAAAGGAGCUUCAACAUGUUAGCAGUUACCAAACUUAAGAAUCUAACAACUUGACACUAUAUAUCAUUUUGCAACUCUUUCAUAAAGUAAUUGUGUAACCUCUAUUCACAUUUUCUAUCUUUAUUUUAAAAAAAAAAAUGAAUUGGUAAUUGUGUGUCGAAUCUUGCUUACAAUCAUUAAUAGGUACUUAUAUGCUAAAUGGAUAAAGUUAUUUUACAAUUGUUUCAACAUAUUUGACACACAAGUACCUAUUAAUAAGUAUAUAUUUAUAGAUGUAAUCAUACCUAGCCAAUGCGAAAAGCUAUAACAAUGAGGAUUACAACGCUUCAAUUAUGUCUUAGAGAUUCAUAUUGACAAGUUGUAAAUGGUGGGUGAAGUCUCUUUAAAAGGAGCUUCAACAUGUUAGCAGUUACCAAACUUAAGAAUCUAACAACUUGGCACUAUAUAUCAUUUUCCAACUCUUUCAUAAAGUAAUUGUGUAACCUCUAUUCACAUGCUCUAUCUUUAAUUUUUUUUUUUUUUUAAAAAAAAUGAAUUGGUAAUUGUGUGUUGAAUCAUUCUUACAAUAUUUAAUAGGUACUUAUACACUAAAUUGAUAAAGUUAUUUUACAAUUGUUUCAACAUGUUCUGAAAACAAAAAAGAUUAAUAAGUAUAUUUUUUCUAGAUGUAAUCACUACCAAGCCAAUGUGAAAAGCUAUAACAAUGAGGCUUACAAAACUUCAAUUAUGUUUUGGAGAUUCAUAUUGAAAGUUGUAGAUUAUGGAUGUAUAGUAUAGGAGUUAGAUUGAGUUUAUCAUUCUAUCUUUGACAUCUUAGUUUUCUAUGUAUUGUCCAUCAUAUAUAUUUGUCAUCUAUUCUUUACAACCAAUUUUUUAAGGACUUCUAUGAUUUGUUUAAAUUUAUAUAUUUGUUUUUAUUUGUACUAGAACUUCACCAAGCUACAAAAGCAUCACAAGUAUUGCAAUUGGAGUUCAUGGAUCAGGUAUUUUAGUAGUUUUUGUACCUGAAAUUUUUUUAUGAUACUAAUGAGGAUGUUUACCUUGAUUAAUUUAACACUUAUAUUGCAAAUAUCUAUAUAGGAGUUCUAUACAUUUAUUUAAACAUUUAUAUACAUAUUUAUCCUCUUUCUAGCACAUUCUAAUGAUAUUUUUAACAUUGAUAUAAGUUGUUUGCUUGAAGGUUUCAACUAUUGAAAAUUAUUAUUCAAGCCUAAUGUUAAUCUUUUUCUAUAGUGGAUUUCAAAUAAUAAAUUCUUAUUUGAUUAUUUGUAGGGAAAAUAAACAACUUCUAUGUUUGAUAAGAAAGAAGAUAGAGUAGAUCAAUUUCACAAUAUACGAAUGCUACGCUUUCUAUACUUUUAAAGAUGGUUACAAUUGGCUUUCUAUACUUAACAAGUACAUCUUAGCUAAAAGUGAAAAAAUGUUUCUCUUUGCACAUGCCUUCACUACUAUUUUAAUUGCUAUCUUAAUAUGUUAUGGAAAAACCACGGCAAAUAACAAUAAUAAGGAGAAGAAAUAAAAGAACAAAAAUAUAAAACUUAUAAAGUAGGAUGAUCUAUGUGGUUUGGCCUAAACCUACAUUUAUAUGUGAAAAUGAAGAAGAACUUCCACUAUUAUUAAAGGAGAUUAAAAUCCUAAAGCUUUCAAAUCUCAUGAUUACACUAAAAAUGGACUUUUUUUUUUAAUCAAAAUCUCUUCCUUUAUUUUCUUGAUUAUAUAAGAAUAUUCCAUAGAGAAUUAAUUGUGUAAUUAUCAAAGAUAACUAUUCCUAAAAGAAAAAUCUUAUAAUAUGAUAUUUCCUUUAGAAUAAAAGAAAAAUCUCUUGUAUAAAUAUAUCAUAAUAGGAAAAUAUUAAAGACUUAUAAAUUGACUCAAAACAAUUUGAAAUAUUUUUCAACAAUCUCCACAUUGGCUCAAAUUCUCAAUAUUCAAAUAAACUCAAAAGUCUUCUAUGUUACUUUGCUCUUAUACACCCUUAAGGGAACUUCAAGUAAUAUCAAUACCAAUUAAGUCUAAGCAAUGCAUAAACUUAAUCAUAGAAAUAAGUUUAGCCAUCAUAUCUAUAAAAUUAUCAACUAUAGGGAUCUUUUUCAUUACAUUAGUACCUUGUUCAAUCACAUCUCUAAUAAAAUGCAUUCUAACAUCAAUAUGUUUGGUUCUCUCAUGUAACAUAUGAUUUUUAGUCAAAAGUAUGACACUUGGCUACCAUGAUAACAAUAAUCAAUGAUUGGAACCAAAUAAUUACAUUUUGUGUGCCUAAAAUUAGGCAUUCAUAUUUAAUAUCCAAUUCUAGUUUCAUCCCUUUACUCAAUUUUAUUCCUAAGUCCUUAAUUUUGGGUUUAAUGUAUUUUUUAAAUAUUUUCCUUCUUUUUUGGUAUAUUUAUAUCACAUUUUUGCUAGCCAUUAUAUUUUUCAUGUGUUGGUUGCUAAUUUUACACUACAUAGUUGUCACAUCAUCCAACUAAUGGUUGUUACAUUAUCCAACUAUGGGCUGCCACAUGCUCCAGCUACCUUAGCCUCCUUGCCAAGUAUUUUCCAUGCCAAAAAAAGAUUGACAACUAUUUCAAUUGGUUGGUAAAGUUGAGAAAAGCUUCCACCAACCUCGCCAUUAAGUUGUGCUCCUUGCUCCAAUUUCUAAUUUUGCUUUCUACCCUCUUGUGGAGUUAGUGUGGAAAUGACUUUAUACAAGGGAGAUGAAGGUUGGUUUUAAGUAAGGUAGCUUAUUUGUAAACUUGUAUUUCCUUCAUUCAGGCGGUAGUUCUCAUUUCUUAGCCUUGAUUUUCAAUUUUGAUCCUCUCAUCUUGCCUCUAUGAGUGGCCAACAUCCAAACCAAGGAAUAAUUUUUAAUAAAAUAUUAAUAUUAAUGUUCAAAUAAAAUCAUAUAUUUAUAUUCCUUAUCACAUUUAUAGGAAGAGAAAUAUUUGAGACUAGGCCCAGUUCACUUUUUAUAAUUAUAAAUAUCAUAAAAAUAUGAAUAUUAAUAUCCUUAUCCUCAUAAAAGCAUAAUUAAUUUAUUUUAUAAAAAAUUAAUAAUAAUAAUAAUAAUUACUAGUACGAUUUUAUUUUAAAUAGAUUUAAAAUUAAAUAAAGUUUAAUUUUUAAGGUAUACAUGCAUAAGUUUUUCAUUACAUAUACACAUUUAAUACUUAAUUAGUAAUAGUGUAUUCUAAAAUUUUUUUAUCUAGUCUAUAACUAAUUAAUCCAUUUUUUGGAAUUCUAAAUUGUUCUUAAAAAUUAAAAUAUUCAUUAAAGAAUUGAAAGUGUUUAUUAUGUUUAACUUAAUUUAAAUUUAUUUAUCUAGUGAGAAAAUUCAUAAAAUAUAGUUUUAUGUAUAAAGGAAAUAGUAACGACUUUACAUUUAACGAAUCUUUUAUUUUAUAUUGAUUCAUUUAAUAGUCUAUUAUAUAUAUUUAAAAUUUAUUAAACUCAUUAAUAAAUUCAAUACAAAGUUUUACUUAAUUUGAAAUUCAUCUCUCUAGUGAAAAAAUUGAAAAAAAAUAUUAUUUUGUGAAAAAAAAAUACAAUAAAAUCAUUCUAAACUAAUUUUUGUCCAUAGAUUUUUUGUAUUUAUUAGUUUAUUAUUUGAUUUUUAAAUUAAUUUAAAAAAUUAUUAGACUUAUUAAUGAAUCCAAUACAUUAUUUUUUUGUUUAAUUUAUUUAUCACACCAUCAAACAAACUUUUAUUAUUAGUAAAAGACCUCUCAAAAGAUGUUUUUUUUCUAAAUAAAAAAAAAUAUUAUAAACGAUGUUUGAUUCGAGAGUUUUUUAAAAAUAAAAAUUAUUUUAAAUUAUGUGUACAUAAUUGUUGCAAAUUUAUUUCUUUUUCCAUUACCAUUUUCAUUCCUACUUAACAUUGAAAUGAAAACAAAUAAUCAAUUAAACCUUACAUUUAUUCCUAAUCCAAUGACAAGAAUUGGUAUCACCGAAUUCAUUCCAUUCUCUAGUCUCAUGUAUCAAACAUAGUCGUAUAGUACCAAAAACUUCUUCUAAGUAAUGUGGAAUAUCACAUUCACUUUCAUACAGAUACAGUUUUUAUUGUAUCACAUGGAAUUGUGAGGCCUUUUAGUACCAUUUGUAAUGACCCACCUCCAAUUAUAUAAAUAUUAUUUGGUCUAAGUCCAAUGGACUCUAAUCGGUUUUAAAACUUGGCUAUACUGUUAAGAGAAGUCUACUAUGUAUACAAUCUUCUCCUAAUAAACAUGUGACAUAACAAAUGGUGGGACUCAAACUAAAGCAAGGCCUUUCAAACUGUCUACCAUCUUAGUUUCAGCAUGAAUUCAAUUUGUUCCAAACAACAUAACUCUGGAGUAUUUUAAACAAACGAUUUCCAUUUAAAACACAUUAUUAAAGUAUAAAGAAAACAAACCCGAUCUUCAAGCGGUUUUGGGGAUCACCUGUGGAAGAGCAGUGAAAUAGAAAUAUCCACUAAGUGUAUAGGGACCCAAGAUCAACACAUGCAACAGGAUAUCUAAUUCCUCCUAAUAUCAUCAGCAUGAAGAAAAUUGGCAUCAUUUCCACUGAGUUCUGAUGCCCUCUCUGAAAAAAAAAUAAAUGCAAAACAUUUGUUUUUUCUAAUCAUCGGUCAUCCAUACAUAGAAAAAUCUAUGUGUGAUCUUAAGCCAGAAAAGAUGUUGCAUCUAAUCAAAUUCACUAGACAUGAUGAUAUCUAUACUUUUUUUUUUUUUAAUUAUAUUCAUAUUUAUGUCAGAAAAUAAAUUUUUUAUUUUUUAUUUUUAGAACAUUAAACUUUUUAAAAGUCCUUUCUGGGAUAUUUUCUAGCUUUUUCCUUUUGCUAAUUUUUGUUAUUCAAACAAAUCUUAAGAAAGGAAUCAAGCUUGGACACAAUUAAAGAGCUUGGCAUCCUUGUUUUUAGAUUCCAAAGCAUAUAUAGAGAUUGGGGUAAAACACCUUGUACCUAAGAAAAAAAAAGGAAAAAAAAACACCACAACAAAAAAUUAACCAAAAAUCAGAAAACUAACUAGAAUAAAAAAUCAAGAAAAUAUUUUUUUCUGGGUUAAUAAUUAAUUAUAAUGAAAUCAAAAGAAAAAGAAAAAAUACAUACUUCUUCCUGGCUUUGCCUACACUGAAAGCCAUGAAAGAAUUGGAAAAGCAGUAAAGAACAAGAACAAGAACCACAUAUGGGGAAAGCAAAUCCUCUGUUGCCUUCUUCAGAUUAAAGGCAACUAAUAAACGGGUUAAGGGGUUAUGAGUUUGACUUGGUUGAGUUUGAAGCUACAAAAGUAAGAAAAAUGGUAGUAAUUUUGGAAGCAUUUCUAACUCUUCCAUAACUUGAAAGAUAAAAAAAUUUAAGCGUUAAAAAUGUUAAAAGAGCUUUUUAGAAUCACCCCAAAUGUACUCUAAAUUAUUUAUGACUUGAUGUCACCUUCACACUCAUUUUUCAGUGUCAUUUAAUUUUGGUGUUCCCAUAUUAAAGAUUUAGGGUAAUGUAAUAUUCAAGCCUUCGAAUUUUGCCUUCACUAACCUUUGAAUUUUAAUUAAAUUCUUUGAAGGAUAUUUGACCACUUCAUUGUCCAAAAAUGCUUAUAUUGCCAUUUUUUUGGGUCUUUUUCUAUAAUUCCAAUUUUACUAUUUUUCUUUUAUUUAUUCCUAUUAUUAUUUAGGCUAUUAUAUAUAAUAUUCUUAAUAUUAUAUUUAUAAUUGUUAAUAGUAUAAUUACUUUUUUUUCAUUUAUUUGUCAUUUAUAUUGCUUAUCUUAUCUUUAAUCAUGUAUAAGACUCAAAAACUGCAGAAAACAUUAAUAAGUAACUACUAAACUUCAAAGAGAUAAUAAAAUUCAACUACAUUGAUAUUACAAUAAUACAAAUGAAAUAUAUACCAACCAGCCCUUAAAGGGGCUUUUAAGAAAUAAUGAGUCUACUUCAGAUUGACAUUUAAAGUAGAAUCACCAUCUCUAUAGAUAAAUAUGAAGCCUAAAAAGAACAGAACAUCACUAAAUAAUAUUAAUAAAGCAACAAUUAGAUCAAUUGAUAGUGAAAAUAAAGGUUUACAAGAUGAAUCACAUAAAUAAGAACAACUAAAUUGAGAAACAAAUUACAUGUCUGACAAAUCUAAUGAGGGAAAACAUUGGAGCUAGGUGCCCAAUGAUUGGCUCCUUGAAGUUGACCUACCUCCUCAAUAGGUACAUAGGAGUCCUUACCUAAAAAAACAUUAAAAUCAAUAGGGCGAACAUAAGAUCUAAUAAAGGAUAUGAGUUUUCCUUUUUGUGCACCAAAGGAAGAUAAUGAAGUAGAAGAAAAUGAUGAGAAUUUUUUUUUUGGAAAAUAUGGGGAGUCGUUCUGUAAAUGAAGCAGAAGAGGAGAAGUUGUAAGUGUUGGAGAGAAAAAAGAAGAAGGACAUUUUUGUCUCAAUCAACAAUUUUGUUUUGUUUUUUAACCGGUGGGUUAUAUAUGCAAAUGUGGGGGUUAUUUUGACCCCUUUAACCAAAUAUCCCUCUUUUUUAUCGAGUUACAACUUUAAAUUAGGUGUAAAAAGAAAUUUUGAUAUGGUAGAUACUAUACAGUUAUAUAUUGAAAUUCCAUGGUUCAUUAGAUAAACCAUCCUUGAAUUUCUUUGGUUUCAAUCAAGAUGAUAGAUCAUCCUUCCACAGAGUGACCUAAUAUGACAUUGAUUUUCUAGGGCUUCAAACACGAAGGGUGUCAAUGACUAAGAACUCCGUUUGAUUGCCGAGAAAAUGAGGAAAAAAACCCUCAAAUAAAAUAUAAAUACAAUUAAGAAUUUCAAUUUUACAUUGUUAGGGACCCCAAAAAUGGGAACAUUCACUUAACUGAGCCUAAUCCAACCACCUACCUUAGUUCAAUCCAGUCCCCACUUUCUAGAAACCAAAACAAUAUAAACAUUCCUGUGUUUGACUAUUCAGAAAGCAUAUGAUAAGCAAAGAAAAGAACGGUGCCUCCUCAAUCAAACAAAUUUUUUUUUUUCCUUUUCUUUUCUUGCAUUUUCUUUUUUUCGGCAACCAAACAUAACUUUUUAAUUGAGCAUUGUUGUAUACAAUUUAGAUUUCUUUCCCUCGGUUUCUCCGUAACCAAACAGAAUUUUUCUCUAUUGAGCGAGAGUCUAGUAUAUCCUUCGUUUUCCUAUAACCAAACAGAACUUCCCUUGUUAUUUUUUUUAAUCUUUUCUUUGAAUUUCUCGGAAACCCAACGGAGUUUACUUCUGGUGCAACCGUGCAAGAAAAUGGUUUUACCUGAUCGCAGUUCACCGGACUAACUGAAGCAACAGAGGCUUAAGAAAAAGAGACUGAGCUUUGUUUGUUAGACCCCCUAUGUGAGUAUGCAAAGUAAGAAGAACUGAAGCUGAAAUUAGGCGGCUUCCAAACACGUCCUAGGAGUUGGUUUUAAAACCCAUUUUUCCCCUUUUUGGUUGCAAUCGGUCUGCAAAGAUGCCAUUAAAAGGUAACCGUAGUUGGUUGCAUGAAUAAGAAAAUGAAAAGAAAAGAAGUUAAAACUAAUUAAAAUUAUUUAAUAUUUACAUUGAAGAGUAAAAAUAAUUACAAUAUAUUUAAAUAAACACAUAAAAAUAAUAAUUUAUUAAUUUUAAAUCUAUUUUUAAAAUUUUCAAUUUUUCAUUUAUUUUAUUCCCUCUAAGCUUUCUAACUAAGGUCAUAAUUUGGACAAAUUGUUGGAUUCAUAACUAAUCUAAAUAAUCUAAUAGAGAUAAAUAAAUAAUUAAUUUAAGUUCAACCCAACCUCUAAGCUUUCUAACUAAGGUCAUAAUUUGGACAAAUUGUUGGAUUCAUAGCUAAUCUGAAUAAUCUAAUAGAGAUAAAUAAAUAAUUAAUUUAAGUUCAACCCAACCUCUAAGCUUUCUAACUAGGGUCAUAACUUGAACAAAUUGGAUGGUUAACAUACAACUUGGACAUAUUGGUGGGUUCAUAGCUAAUCUGAAUAAUUUAAUAGGGAUUAAUAAAUAAUUAAUUUAAGUUUAGCCCCACCUCUAAACAAAGGUAUUUAAUUCAAUCUCAACCAACUUCAUUUCUUCGAGCUCUGGUUGAUGAGGUUAAACUUGGGUUAGCCCUUGAUUGUAUAAUUCAAAAUACAUGUAGAAUGUUUUUUAAUAAAAAAAAAUUUAUAUACUUAUAUCAAAUUUUAAAUAGUAAGUAGGACAAAACUUUAAAAUAACAAAAAAAAAACAAAAAAAAAAAACAAAAGCAAAAACAAAGUUAUAUAUCUUUUUUAAAAAGUAAAAAAAUAUAUUAUAUAAUAUAAUUUGAUUUUUUAUUUAUAAAAAUUUAGAAAGAAUAAAAUUAUUAUAUAAAAUAACAUAUAUUGGAAAUAUUAUAAAAACACUAAAAGUUUGUUCAGUAGUUAUUCAAAUAAGUGUUUCUAUCCAUAAUUUAAACUUUGGUUUCAAUCUAACUUGAAUUGAAUUUGAGUUGAAAAAGUUUAACUUGAAUAUUAAAAAUAAUUGUCUAAACACGAUCAAAUAUCGGAUUGGAUUCGACUAAUCUGCCAAAGUUGCACUCCUACCAAGAACCAUACACAAUAAAAAGAUUUUAAGAUAUUUUUUGUUCUAGGAAAGUACUCAAAAAGGAGAAAUAAAGAAAAAAAAUGAUUCUAUAUGUAUAAUUAAAAUUAGUUAAAUUUUAUAUAUUUUAAAAUUAUUUAAUUUUUUUUAUAUGGAAAAGAAAAAAAAAGAGUGAAGUAAGUUUGAAAAAACAAGUAAAAAUGAUUUGUUAACUUUAAUAUUUUUUUUCUUUUCUUUUCUUCUAUUUUUUUCUUUUUAGUUUAUUUUUCUCAAAUUUUUCAAAAAAUAAACAUAGAAUUAAAAAAUAAGAAAUAAUUACAGAAUUGGAAACCAAUUUUAGAACUUGCUUAUAUGAUUGCAUUAGUUUGUGUAAAUAAUAAUUUUAUUGAAUGUUAAGAGAGUGGUAUUAAAUGCACAUUAUUUAAUAUUUUUAUUUCUAAAGAAAGUAAUCUUUACAUGGAUUGGACCAGUGUUUAUUUAUCCAUGUGGGCCAGCCCAUUAAAAACAUCAAACCAACAACUCAAGGGACGACCCUGGUCAUUCUCGGGGGCCCACAACCUUCAUCUCAAACAAAAGCCCAUGGGCAGGAUCACCUUCCACACACAUCUUCAUACCAGCCACCACGCUACCAACAAUCCUCCUCCAUGAAAGCCCACCUCCAUCACAGCAAGCAGAAAAUCCAACACGCCAACCAUCAACCUCCGCACAGACCUAACACUGCAUAGCCGUGUUUUAGGAGUGUUAGGACGUGAUUAGAGAGGAUCUACUUUGAGUGUUCAUGGAGUUUCGCUAUAAGAGGAAUCAGUUUACCAAAAAUUCUUCAUGAAACCAUCCAUUUAUCUCAGGGAACAUUUAUGAAGUAGAGUCAAAUAGAUUUACAAAUAAGAGAUGAUUGAUUCCUUUGAAUGAAAUAACCUUAUUUCAAAUUGCCCUAAUGUGGCCUAAUAAGCAAAAUUACUGGUUAUAUUUUGGACACAUCUCAGUAGAGGUUCGGGGGAGAAAAUAGAAGAAGCAGAGAUGCUUACUUACUUCAGAGGGGCCACUGCUCGCCACCACCACUUCAUGGCUGUGCCCAUUUCACUUGCCCAAGCCACUCUCUUCUCCAAACCCUCCAUUUUACUCCACAGAAAUGCCAUCAAUGGCUUCUCCUUUUUCAUUCCUUUCUCCUCUUCUUCUGCUCAGAAGAUUCAGACUCACAAGUGGAGGCAACCGGUGGUCUCGGUUCUGGAUCUUGGUGGAGUCAAGAUUGGCAGAGAUGGUAACAUACCCACAUCCCAGAAUUGCGUUUAAAAAGGAUCUUUAGCUUGAAUUUCGUGUGCCCAAUUUGCGUUUUUGCAGACAUUUGCACUCAAGUCGUGUCGUUUGUUUGCAAUUUCACAAUCUGAUUUCUUUUCUAUUGUGCGUUUUUUUUUCCUGCUAGGUUCGAAUUCAAGCAUCCAAUUUGCGUUUUUGUGGGUAGUCUUAUGCCCAACUUGUGUCAUUCAAUUUGCAAUUGUUGUUAUCAGACUUCCUUCUCUCUUUUGAGACUUACACAGUUAGAGACGUCAUUUCUGUGAAAUUAAGAAUGCAUGUUCCAACUUUCACUUCUUUCUCUCUCUCUCUCUUUUUUUUUUUUUUUGUGAAAUUGGAAUUCAAGAACUUAUUUUACGUUUUACAAGCUUAGCGGGUUACGUUUCUGUUCUAUUUGUUGUGCUGUUGGAGGUGUUUGGUGCAUUUAUAUAACUAGGCUUGCAAUUUCGCCCUCUGAUAAAGGUUAAAUUUUCUCCCUUUUUAUUUUAUAUUUUUUUAAUGGUGUAUUUGUUUUGGGUAUUUGGUGAAAUGAGGAUUUUGUACUGGGUUUAUGGCAUUUUUUCAAUUGGUUUGAUAUAUGUGAAUGUGGGUUUUGUAGGGAAGAUAUGCAAAUUUUUUGAAAGUAAGAAUGCAAUUACAACUCUGAUUUCCUUUAUAUUUAUAUUUUUUUAUGCUUAUUUGCAUAUUGGUUGAUGUCAAAAUUCAUCUAAUGGGUUGUUUUUUAUUGCUUUGGAUUGGUUUAAUGUAGUUGAAUGGUGGAUUUUGUUUCUAAAACUUAGGGUCAAUUUCAAUUUUUAUUUUAUUUUUUUAUUUUUUCAAUUUGAAGACCUGGGAGUCUAUGUGAUUGGAAUUGAUGUACUCGAGUUUUUGGAUUUUGCUGAUUGCCUUGAUAAACUUGGGAUGCAGAGCCUUAAAAAAUAAACUACAUUCACUAAGCUAUAUCUCUGAUUAUACUUCGUCAGAGCGUGAAAUGCAACUUGGAGUCUUUGUAUUUUUUAAAUUUUUUGGGUUAUUCUAUUCUGAAUAUUUGGUAAAAUUAGAAUUCAUGUACUGAACCUUUUUCAAGUUCUUUUGGUUGGCUUGAUAUAUUUGGUUGUGGGGUUUGUAGAUGUGGUGAGGGAUGAUCCUACAAACAAUGUCCCGGAUGCAAUUUUUUUGAAACUUGGAAUGCAGCUUCACAGGAGGGAUCAACACCCAGUUGGAAUUCUGAAGAAUGCAAUAUAUGAUUAUUUCAAUGCCAAUUACUCUAACAAAUUUGAUAAGUUGGAUGACCUUUGCCCAAUAGUCUCCACAAAAGAGGUUUGACCAUUAAGAAAUAAAAUAGAAAUUGUAUGCAUGUUUUUUUUUCACUGUUUUGAGCUAUACAUUGCACUAUUUGGAACUUGUAUUAUCUUUCUAUGACUGGUGCUUGACAUUUUGUUGCUGUUUAUAUUUAUUUUGCUGCUCAUUUCUUGUUGGUUAGUGUCCUGUCCUAGGUGUUUUAACAUUUAAGAAUCCAUGAAAGUGGUAUUUGCAUAUGUUGCCCAUUAUUCCAUCGACGAUGUUCUAAGUAGGGAACCUAGUAUCCAAACUUCCAUCCAAACUUACAUAUAAAAAAAAAGUCCAGAACAGGCAUUCAGUUUACCAGGUUUAUCAGUUCUCUCCAGUGUUUAUUCAACUCUUAAAUGCAGUAUUCUGGACAUACUCCAAAUUUGAAAUUCCUUUGGUAAAAUAAAGGCAUGGUACUUAUAGUGGUCUAUUAAGGAAAAGGUUUGUUUGACCUAGCUUUUGUACAAAAAAUUCAAGGAUAGUCUUGCAGAUAUGUAUCAUAUAGGUGUAUAUUUCUCUAUCAUGAUACAAGUGAGAAAAAAUUCAGGAAAGUUGUUUUGUUUAAAAAAAAAAUUGAAAGUUAAUUUAUGUUUUGAGAGGGACAUUAGGCAACCUAGGAUUCAAAGGGACAUAUUGUCUCUUAGGAAAAUAUAAUUCAUAGCAUUCUCAACCACUUACAGGUUAUUUCAGUCCUUUUAUAUUGAUUUAUUUAAUUUUUUUCUUUAUUGUAGGCAAGCAAAAAAGAAUUUUACAACACCUACUAUUAUCAUUAUUUUGGUAAUUAGCAUUGAUGGAGAUUGUAAAAAUUCUCUAAUAGUAUUGCAGGAGAAAAAUAAUAUUUAUGAAUUUUUGUUAAACACAAUUGUCAUAAUGAUAAUAAUUAAUUAGAAUAAUAUAAGUUUGUAAUUGGAAAAAUUUUAAAAAAUAAAAGCUUUUGGAAAUAGUUUGAAUAGGAGUAGAAAAUUCUUGGAUUUCAUGGAGAGCUUAGGUGGGAUCUAAAGCAUGGGGCUGUUUGCUAUCUAUUUUAGUAUUUGCUGCUCUUCUCUCUUAUAGGUGUUCAGCUGCAGCUUGUAUUCUCUGAGCGUACUUGGGUUGUGCCCCCUUUUGUGUUCUUCAAUAUAAUCUUCAGGCUCAUGACUAGUGCAAUUUCUACUAAUUGAACACUUUUCACUUCAAAUAAUAUUCAGUAAUCUAAAUAGCAUUUAUCAAAUUAUUCUAACCCGCCAUUAGAUUUAUAAAGAACCCAAAAUAUGAAAUUUUCUUCUUAGGCAUGAGAAAUUGUCAUUGUUAUAAACCCCAUGUUUGUCUUGUACUUACAAGCAUAAUUAUAAAGCAUGAUCUGCGUGUCUUAUCAUGAAAUAUAACAAUGUCAUAAAAUAGAUGAUUGAUAAAAUGUUAGAAGUCCAUUGCAAAUGCUUAAUGGAACUGAAAAUUAUUACAGAACAAGUGCAUAUUUCACUCAAACUUUUAUGCAGUAGUGGUAGCUUAUAAACUCACAACUUUGUAAUCAUGUGCUUGAAUCAAGCAAACUUAAUGGCUCUCAGCUACAACUGCUCUACAUUUUAACCAUUGUUUUAUGUUAUGGGAAUAGUGACUGAAUUACACAGUUCCAUCAUUAUAAUUUAUGCAUUGUAAUUUCAUUUGUGGGACUUAGUUUUCACAUGUGUUCACAUGUCAUAACUGUAAUUUCCCUAAUUUUAUGAGAAAGAAAAACUCUUUAAUUUUCCCUAUUUUGACUGAAACUUUUGGAACUUGGACUUUAUAUGGUGCAAAUGUAUGUUAUCAGCUAUUGCUUUUGACCAGUCAUGAGUAGAUACUAUUUAUAAAAAGACACAAAGGAGGAUAUAAUCCAAGUGCACUUGUAGUCAACAAGUUACUCUGGGCAUCAAAAUUGAAAGAAACAACAAUGAAGAAAAGCAGCAAGAAAGUGCCCCUACCUCCCAAACUCUCAAUGAACUAAUGGAAGGAUCUACUACUAUGCAAGAUAACUUCUUCUAAGCACAACUACACAUAACAAUACUUAGCCUGCGCUAUGGUGUCAAGUGGUAGGGUCAUUGGAACAUGCCUAUUUUGAUGGAUUUUAAUUUGUGGGGAUAGUUAAAGUGUAAAGUGUUUGAUAAAAUAAAUUUGCUAGUUUUAAUAAAUUGGAAUUACUACUGAAUGAAAUGUGAAGCUAGAUAUUAGGAGGAGAAAGAAAGAUAAUUAAUUUAUUUGUAUGACACUAUGACUUACACAUUGUGAAGCUUACUAGUAGGGAAUUGUUGAACAGGGGAACUUACUUAAUAGGGGAGAAAGAACCACACAUAUUUCUUGAUGAGUAAAUAUAAUUACAUUAGCCAAAGGCCAAAAAUAUAUGAGUAGUUCACUAAUUGCAUGUUAUUGGAAAGAGAGCUGAGCAACUAUGAUUCAUAAACUUUUUACAAUUUAAAGGCCUGGGUCCAAUGAGAUAUGUUGCAUCAUAUUACCUAAUGAACCAAUGAAGUUUAUGGAUUUCCAAAACUUCUUGGAGAGGUUCAUUAUUUUAUGGUUCUUUUUUUUUAGGGUUCUUUAUUUUCUCUUUGCUGAGAUAUCUAGAAUAUGGCAUGGUAGGUAUUUUUGCUCCAUACCUCUUUGGAGGUCGAUUCUUUGGCAAAGUAGGAGGAAAACAAAUUAGCAUCAACUUUGGCUUGACUUGAGAUCACAAAUCUGACUAGAGAUUUUGCAGUAGUGUGUUGAGGUCUAAUCUGAAUCCAGGUUGUGAUGUGUGCAUCAAAGAGUCUUUCCAUAAGCCAUGAAGCUUUGAGGUGUUUUGUGAUGGCAUGACUGGAUAAUGAGCUGCAUUUUGGUCUGGAAUUUGGAGUUCGGUUAUGCAUUUCUGUAUCUAUAUCUCCAAAAUUAUUAACUAAUUUUAAUUAUUUUAUCUAUUUUUCAAAAUAAACAUUCAAAAUUGAAAGUUUGUGUCACGAGUCUUCAGGCUUAUCCGGAAUAGAAUGCCCUGCAUUAACUCUUGCUGUUAAUGCAUAUAAUACCAGGUCAGUCAACACAGCCAUUCGCUUGCUUAUGUUGACUUUCAAUGGCUUAAAGUUUAUGGCUUCAAUGGUUAUUACCAUGCUAACACUCAAACUAAUUCUUUUUUUGAUAGGUAAAUAAGAGCUUGUAUUAGAAGCGCCUAGAAGUGGCGAAAACAGUACACAUGAAGUAUACAAACAGAUUGCCCAAGAAACUAGGCAAAGAAGACAAAAAACCUUUCCCCUAACUAGACAUAUGGCCACUCUAUAAAAUGGUCAUUGGUUUCCUCUUUCUCUUUACACAAGCAUAUUCAAACUAAUAACUAAUAGUUAUUGGAUUUAAAGCUUGUUUGUUAAUGUUCUUCAUGGUUGUGCUUCUAUUUUUAAUCGAUUCUCUUGGCCAUCACCGUUUCCCCCUUAUUAAGAUUGGAUAUUUAAGUUUCAACGAAACAGCCUACUAAAUCCUCCAGAUAGAUCCUAUUUAUAAGGCAUGGAAGUUUGGUCAAUGUCUGCUUCCAAGAUUCUUAUCCAUAUUUCUAUGAAUUCUUAUGCCAGAAAGUCUACUUCUUGCAGAAUUUUGAUGAUGUCUUGGUUCCUCCUGAUCACGUCAGUAGAAGUUACAAUGAUACAUACUACAUUGACUCCCAAACUGUCUUGAGGUGCCACACUAGUGCUCAUCUAGCAGAGCUAUUGAGGAGGGGACACACUCAUUUCCUUGUGACUGGAGAUGUUUAUCCUAGAGAUUCCAUUGAUUCAACUCACUACCCUGUUUUUCAUCAGGUUUCUUAUCUCUGAUUUUAUCAAUGAUUGUUUUCUAUUAACAAGUUUCUUAAUGUUUUCUUCAGUUCAAUAACUUAUCAUGCAGAUGGAAGGUGUUCGUGUCUUCUUUCCAGGUGAUUGGGAGACAUCUGGAAUGGAUGGCACGUCUUAUGCGGCUGAGGAUUUAAAGAAAUGUCUUGAGGGUUUGGUGCAGCACUUGUUUGGUAAACUUAGAUCAGGAGAUUGUCUUAAUCAGAUGCAAACUUAAUGCUAUCAGUUCAUGCUGCAGUGAGAAAUAUGAGUUAAGGAAUCAUUUAUCAGGUCGAAUAAUUCAAAAUCUGGGAAAUACUGCAAGUAAAAGGGGGGAAAAAUAAUGAAAUAAUAAAAUAAUAAAAUAAUAAAUUUAAGUGGGGAAAGCAAUUCAUUUUUUUUUUUUGAUCAGUAAGUAAUAUGUGUAUUGAAAAGAGGUGCUAAAGAAGCGACUCAAAAGUGGGAAAGCAAUUCAUGUUAUGCAAAAGCGGUAUAGGUUGGUCAUUUAGAAGUCAAAUCAAGAUAGUCCAGAAUAAUAUAGGGAAUUAUUUGUGAUUCUCAAGGUACUUGUUAAGAAUCAUUGAUAAAUUACGUAAGGAAACAUUUAAGAGUGCUAUUAUUCUUGAAAUUUCUGAAAUCUAUCAGAAAGGUAGUUUUCAUCUUGGGGUUUACCAUAUACUGUAUAGAAUCUGUGUGGGCUAAAUCUGUUGAAAUUUGCAGGUAAUGUGGAAAUGCGCUGGAUUGAUACAUAUUUCCCUUUCACCAACCCAUCAUUUGAACUUGAGAUAUAUUUUCAGGUAUGCUUUUGAUCUGGCUGGUGGUUGCAUUUUAGCACUAUAUAUUUCGAAUUUCUUUAAAACUUUGUUUUUGAACUAAUUUUAGUAGAAACAGGCUCCAUUUCAUUUUGCUGUUUUUACCUUUUGCAAGGAAGGGUAAAAAUCAUUUAAAAAAUGUGAACUUCAGUUUAUUCCAUUGCUGGCAUGUGUGGCUUUCAUCUGUUUUUGAAGACACUGAGAUUCAUAGACUGAUGAUAUUCCAAUGCUUAUAAUAACAGUAAUGUUGAUGAUAAAAUAAUAUAAAAGUAGAAACAAAAUUAGUUGUCUCCCUUUUUUUUUCUUUUAGUUUCUUUGUUCUUCUUACCCCUCUGUUGUGGGGAGGGGGUGUGGGGCUCUUUGUCGUUGCCAAAUGUGAAAAAGAAGAUGUAUUAUGUCCUUUUAUUUUGGACUUACAGGACCUAUUAUGAAGGCAUUGCUUUCUUCAAUGUAUAUUUAUGACUUCAAGACAUUUUUGUAUUUUAUUUUGUGGCAGCAUUUUUUAGUGUCACUAUUGAAGGAGAAAUUCAUAAACAUAUAUACACACAUGCUAGUGGGCAUACACAAACACUGAUGUUCCACACACUAAUUAAAAAAUUCUUGCUUUGAGUAGUAUCUUUUUCCAGAACUCAUGUCCAUGUCAGAUGGCAACAUGACAAUGACUAUUUGCCAGCAGAUGGAAUGCUGGCAACACUUUUAUGGAUUGAAUGUUUUCCUUUCCCUUUUCCUUGUAGUGAAUGAUGUGUACUUUAGUUGCUCUUACAUAUUUGAUGCAUUGUGCUUAUGCCCUAACUGAUGCAGAACAGAAAAGUACCAAAAAAAAUGAUGGGAGUCUAGGAAUUACUUCCAAAAACCUUAGGCUUCACAUAUAGGUUUCGUUUUCAUCACACAAAAAUGAAAACAUUGAAAGCUGGAAGGUUUUGUGUUUUCAUUCAUUGAUCCUUUUAGAAGAUAGAGUGAUCAGCUUUGGAAACUACAACCCUAAGACCCCUAAGACUCUUAAGACCCCUAACACUCUUUGGAACCAAUCACAGUAAUAAUUAAGCUGAGAAAUCAGAAACUUGAACUGAUAAAUAAAAAUUAAAAGGCACUUGGAAAUAUAAAGCAUUAAUGACUUUGAAAAUAAGAACACUCCAAUACCCACCCCCCGCCCUUCGGAAAACUCAACCUUGACAAGUUAAAGGCAUGGAGUUUCUCAUAAAGAUCACAAUUCAACUGCUGAAAUUCAUUGCUUGUGAUCCACAUACAAUCUCAAAGUGGCCUUUCUCUCCAUUCCACAAGAUACUUUUGAUAACCUCCUCUUCUGGUUGAAACAAUUUAGUGACCAACAACUUUUCAAUCUUCUCUUUCAAUCAAGGGGCUGGUAGAAGAUGACCAUUUGGACCAUUAAUUGAUGUAGCAGCUUUAGGAUUAGGAUAAAGGGUGCGGUCUUUAAUAUUAGAGAUCUUAUUAAUGCUCAUAUUUUCUGGCAAGUCAAGUACAUUAGCGUUGGGACUUGUUUUCCUGAGAAUUUUAUAGGGACCAACAUUCUUUGAGUGGAGUUUCUUAUAGGCACCUCUAGGAUAUUGUUCAGGCCUUAUUCACACAAUAACCAUAUCACCUUCAAUAAGUUGAGCAAAUUUUAUUUUCACAUCAUCGUAUGACUUAUUUAUUUAUUUGAUAGGCAAGCUGGAAAAACAUGUAUUCAUAUGACUUAUAAUUUCAUUGAUGAAAACAAUUUUCAUUGAACAUGAUGUUGUAUGUCAUCUAUAUGCUCACUAAAAGCAUCAGCUUCAAUGAUAGGUCAUGCAUCCAUUGGUAAAGGAACCAAAUCCAUAGGCUUUCUAGGAAGCGAUUCAGUCACAAUCUCAAAAGGACUGUGACCAAUAGACCUGUUCAGGGAGCUAUUAUUUGCAAAUUUGGCCAUUGAUCUGAUCUCUAGCUAGGCAGUGAAGUAAAUGAUCCAAGCUUCAAUUAACAACUUCUAUUUGGCCAUUUUUUUGAGGGUGAAAAGAAAAAGAAAACUUUAGUUUGGCAUUCGGUAUUUUCCAUAAAGUUCACCAGAAGUAACUCAUGGACCUACCAUCCAAUUUAGGAAAAUCAUGAAGGCGAACAAUUUCCUUGAAGAAGAGUUUUUUUUUUUUUUUUUGAUAGGUAUUCCUUGAAGAAGAGUUUAACAAUCAGGCAACAUCUUUAGUCCUUAAGCAUGGGAUAAAUUGUACCAUCUUGGAGUAAUGAUUUAUCGCUACAAGUAUACAAUCAUGUCUCUAAUAGUUUUUAGAAAACCAGGGACAAAAUCCAUGCACAGGUCUAGCCAUGGCUCAUGUGGCACAGAAGUGGCAUGUAUAGACCUAUAUUCUUCCUUUGCCUCUUUGAUAAUUUGCAGGUUCGAUGUCUGGAGACAUUCUUAGCCACAUUUUUUCAGACUUGGUCAAUAAAAAUGAUUUUCCACCAUUGUAAUGGUUUCAUCUCUUCCAAAAUGACCAGUUGUUUCUCCAGCAUGAAGUUCCAAUAUUACUUGCUCAUGAAAUGAUGUUUUGGGUAAGCAAAGCUGAGUCCCUUUGAAGCAAUAUCAAUCAUGUAAAAAAUCACCAUAUUCUCCCGAAUUUCUAGGCACUAAAGCAACACAUAUAGUGCUAAAAUCUUUGCAAGAAGGAUAAGGUCUAUUGAACGAGUCAAAUCCAACAACUUGUACUGCAAUAGAAGAAAGAGUGUAUGCCAAUUUGCUAAGGGCCACUGCAAAGAAUUCUUUGCCAUUGCAAAAUGUGCACAUAUAUGUUGUUGAAAAAGAUGUUUAGAGCAUGCAUUAAACCUCACAGAUAGGUUUUUUACAAUAUGGGUGUACACAUUGACAUUACUAUUCACAUCAAAAUGAAAGAGAUUAAAAUAUUAAAUAGCAUCAUUAUCAUUUAGAUUCUAUAUAUGUUUUACCUUCAACACACUUAAGUUGUUUGAAAUUUUCAUAAUAUAUCUAAUUUAAUGGUAAUAUAUUAUAAAGACCACACAAAGAAACUUAAGAUGAUUGAAAAUUUCAUAAUAUAUUUGGUUUUAUGACAAUAUAAUAUAAAGACUGAAAAAAUAAAAUAAUGUUUGACGUUCCAACCAUAAUACAUUGCUGUUACUUCAAAAAUUAGAAAAAAAAAACAUUCAUAAUUCAUUGCAAUAAAAACAAAUACAAGAUUCUAAAAACUUUAUCACCUAAAUUCUGCAUGUAGAACAAGAGCAAAGUUAGGAUCUUUCUGUGUGGUUAAGUGAAACUCGGUUUCUUAUCCUACUUUACAAUUUUUGGUUUCUUACUUAUUCAAAACAAAGGUCGAUAAUAUUAAUAGUGUACUUGAUAUAUAUGGAAUUACCAAAGACAACAAGAUUUGCAUAUGGAAUCAUAAAAGAACACUAGAAUGACAAUUAAUAAACAUAUAAAGAUGUACAUUUGAGUUGAGACACACCUUGAGGAGAGAUACAACAAAAAAACAUAAGCAAAUGCACCCAAGGAUUAUGGAAUUCUCCUCCUUUUUCCUCUGGCAAACCUCACUUUUCUACAUGAUAAUGAAUUUAUCAAAAAUACAAAUUGAUACUAAAACAUAAUAAUUAUAGUCAUAUCCCCUUAAGGCAUUAAAAUAUUAGAAAGUCUCUUGAUGAGCACAGAGGGUUAAAAUUAUGUUUAUUGCUUGGAUACAACAAAAUGAAGUUACAAGUAUACUAAAUAAUAUACUAGGAAAUAACAUAUCGACACCAUAUAUAAGAGUAGAAUUGAAGCUAAAACAAGAACUUUGAAUGCAUGUUUUGCACCCUUUGUGUGGCUUUGCCUUAUUAUAUAGUUCUAUACAUCAUGUAUACUUUAAAAAAAAAUUGUUUUGCAUGUUUUUUCUUAGGGGCCUUUUUAUGCAAUUUUAUUUUCUUAUCACAAGAAAGUUGAUUAGAGUUUUUGUAAUUUAUUUUCGUCAUAAUUUCAUUGUAAUAUAAAAAAGAAAAUUUGAGAUUUUUCCUAAUAUUUUUGCUUUACUCGAUACUUUUCAUGAUUUGAAUGGAGUUUUUUACUUUUUUGUGUGAGACUUGGACUCAUCAAUGUCUCAUAGUGUUCAAAAUGGAGCCUUUUGCAGAGGUAGAAGAAGCACCUACAACACUAAUGAUGGAGUUACUUCAGGAAACAUGACUUUCAUUCCUGUAAAAAUGGCUAAGACAUUUCAAUUUUUUGACCACUGCACAAAAACCAUGUUUUCUUAAUUUCUGAAGGAGUUGUAUUUUUUAAAUAAAUUUUAUACAUAAACAACACUUGAUCUCAAGAUCAACUCAAGUAAUCCAUGUCUAAUAAAAGGAUGUGAGAUACACCCUCCUCAACUUGAAGGAGUGUGAGCCAAUUGAAUAAGAGUGUUUUGAACAACUUGAAGACAAGCUAUACUAUAUGUUGUACCAUCCUUUUUGAUGGAACUCAUGAAAGGCUAGUGGAUAUGAGUCUUUGAGGAAUGAAUUAGGCUCAAUGCUGUUGUAUAUAAUUUAGAGUAGAUAUUUGAAAUGUAUGGAUAUUAUUUGUAGUACCAUCAUGGAUAUGAGUUGUGAUGUUUAUUUUCCUUGUAAUUUAUUUUAUGCAUUUAAGUGUCUUAUUUCAAAAAGGUAAAAUUUUUAUAUUUGAUUACAUUAGAGUUUAUAUUUAAUACUUUAAUUAGGAUGACUAAUGAUUAUAUAUUGAUGUAAAUAUUAUUUUUCACAAAGAUAGUUCAAAAGUUAUGUUUGGAACCAAAUCCCAAAGGAAAAGAAUUCUAAAAUUAGAUUUCAGUCUCUUGGUGAUCAUGAUUGGUAUGAGAAGGAAUUGAAAUGAAAACAAUUCUCUCGGGUCUGGUAUUAUAACGAGAAUAAAUAACUUUGGUGUACUAGUUUGACCAUGCUACAACAUAAAUAUGAAUGAUCUAAAUAUUAAUUCUUCUUAACUAAAAUCAACCUAAUUAUAAAUUUAAUUAUAAAAGUAAAUAAAUUUAUCAUAACAAAAGUAAUUAAGAAUGUCAUUUAUAUAAAAAUUACAGAAACAAUCAAUUUCAAUGAUUUAAAAUCACUUCUCAACAUUAAACUUAAAAAUCCCUCUAGCAUGAUCUAAAUUAUCUUAGAAUCGGCUUUUUAAUUCACUUAAAAUGCAAAGUAACUUACACUAGUUUUAAAAAAUUAAAAGAUUAUUAUCAUAAAAGAAUAUUUGUUUUUGUUUAAAUCCCUUUACUCCUCUAUUAAUAAUUAUAAAAAUAGAGAAAUAACUAAAAUAACUAAAAUAACAUGACAUAAAUGAUAAAAAAGAAAAAAAAAAAAGAUAUAUAACCAAUGUUUUAAAAACCGGACCAGUGAUCGAAUCGGAAAAGUUACCGGUUCACGGUUCACUGGUCGGACCGGCGGUUGAACCGCGGUCGAACCGGUGAUGUAAUAAAUAAUUAAAUAUAUAAUUUAUAUAUUAUAUAAAAUUAAAAAUAAUUAUAAAAAUUAAAAAUAUAUAAAAUUGCAAAUUUUAAUAAUGUUUGAUUCUUAUAUAUGGUAUAUUAAAUUAAAUGAUAAAGUUUAAUAUUUUAAAUUUUAUUAAAUAGAAAUAUGUAAUAUUUAAGAAAGAAAAUAUAUUUAAGAUAAAAAAUUUAUAAUAUUUAAUUUUAUCCUUUUGUCUUUGUAUUUUAUUGUUUUUAAAUUAUUCUAUUAAUUAAUUUAUAUUAUUUUUUAUAAUUAUUAUAAAAAUAAAGAAGAAUUAAAAUAUUUACAUUUUUUUAAAAGAUUUUAUAUGAUAAAAUUUUGAAAUAAAAUCAAAGUUCUAUGUGUCCAACCCUCAAGAGGCAAUGUUUUCCUCUAAUAGUCUCAUUCCCAAUCCCACAUCGAAAGCACAAGAAUUUGAUGUGCUCCAUGUGCUCUAUAAAUACCUUCCAACUUGCCUUUAACCCAAACAAGCUAGCAAGUUGGGCGUGGAAGCAUGGCUCAAGUGGAAGUGUUAUUUUAAAAUAAAAAAUGCAGCAAAUUGGGCUUGUAGACAUGGCCCAAAUAACAGUGUUAAUCUUAUCAUUGGACUAGGCCUAGUGGCUUGAACCAAAGAUGAGUUUGUAGGCAUUGGGCCUAGAAUGGGCCUUUUACAUAGUAAACAAAAACUUGUUAUCUAAGGUGUGACCUGCAAACCGGACGGGUUGUCCGAUUCGACGAUUCAACUGUCGGUUUGAACGAUUCAAUGUCGGUUUGAUCACAAAACGAUUCAUUGAGCGGAUCGAACCGGAUAGUUCACCGAUCGAUGGUUUGAUCGGUCGAUUUUUAAAACCAUGUAUAUAACUACAAUGAUAUAAGUGAAAUUAAUUAAAAUUGAGAAUUCACUCAAGUUAGAGAAUUAUUUAUUCUAAUAAAAAUAUUAAAGAAAUACAUUACUUAUUGUAACAAUUUUUUUUUCUUCUUGUAUUCUAUGUGAGCAUCUAUAAUAUUGAAAAUAGAAAUAAAAGAAUCCCCAUUCAUAUUUAAAAUAAUUUAUUUUAGAAGAUUCUACCUUUAAAAAGUCCAUUAAAGUUCAAAAAGAGAAAAAAGAUGAAAUGAAUAGUAUGUAAAGAAAAGAGAGUGAAAAAGACAAAAAUAUAUGUAUUAAUUUAAAUUUAAAGAGAAGAGGUAAGAGUAACAGGGCAACAUCGAAAAAGAGAAAGUUUACUUUAAUAAAAUUGAAAUCUCAUAAAUUAAAAACUCAAUUGCUAUUCGUAAUACCAUUUUUACUAAUGCGACAUUUUACAUUUCUAAACUACCCUCCCUUAUUAUUUCCCCUCUCUCUUUCAUCUCUCAUCUCUCCUCUUUCCCCUUUCUCUUCCCCAACCUCACGUCCCAAUUGCACCAUUUUUUAUUUUCUUUUUAUUUAUUUAUUUUUUCCCAACCCCCACCCCCACAUUUUAGCUUUCUUUUUAUUUUAUUUUAUUUUUAUUUUCCUUUUCAUCUCUACCCACCCAACCCCCCACUCCACGUAAACUUUUAUUUUUCUUUUCAUUUCUUUUAUUUUUUUUCACACUCUAUUGUUUUUCAUAUUCUUCUUAUAUUUUAAAACAAAAUAAUUUCUUUAAAUAAUAAAUUAUAAAAUGAUUUUUUCACCAAAAGUGCGUUAUAUAAAAUGAUUUUAUUAUAUUCAAUAUUUUAAUGUGAAAUUCAUAACUCAAUUUUUUAAAAUAAGAAUUAUUAUUAAAAUUUUAAAAUAAAAAAUAUUUAAUUGAAAUGGUUUAAAAAAAAAUAUUUUAAAAUAUAUAAUUCUUUAUAAAAAAAAAUGAAAGUUAUAAAUCUUAUUUGAAAAUUGUCAUCAGAUAUUGAAUUUCAUUAUUCAUUGUAUUUCGUGUGUGAUUCAUAGCCUUAAUUAAGUAGAAUUUAGGUUCGGUGUUGAAAAGAAGUUAGAGAAAGUUCUUUAUUAAAAAUGGUAUAUGUGGAAAAAAAAGUUUCCUUUAACACAACUUUCCAUUUAAAAUUCUUAAAAAGUUGUCUGCCAAAUCCUUUAAAAUUCUUUCCUUCUAAAAACCUCCACUAUUCCAAAUCCAUUCUUCCCUUUUUCCAUUUAAUUCCCUUGAUUCCAAAUAAAGUAGAAUAAUAACAAUCUUUCUAACAAGUUAAUAUCAUAUAAAAGCAAAUAAUAACAAUCUUCCUAAUAAAAUUCUUUCCUUCUAAAAAUCCCCGUUAUUCCAAAUCGAUUCUUCCCUUUUCCCAUUUAAUUCCCUUGAAGCAAAGUUACGAACAUUUGGAAAUACAUUACAAGAAUUUUGUGGAUUUCUUCAAGAAUGAUUAUAGAAGCAAAAGUUUAGAAACAUUAAAAGGGUAAUUUUUAAAAAUAAAUUAUAGAAAAAUCCAAUAAAUAAUUAUUUUUUUCCUUUAUUGAGGCAUAUUAAAAAAGUACAAUAUUCUAAAAAUAGGUAAUAGAAAAAAUAUUAUAACAAAAAGGUUUAUUUCUUUAGUUAUAUUAAAACAAAAAACAAAAAAUAACAAGGUUAGUUCAAAGAUUGAAAAAAAAAAAUACAUUAGAAAUAUUAUCAAUGUUUUAGUUUUAUUUUCAUACUCAUCUUGGGGUUUAUAUAAAAAUCAUUAAAUGAAAGUGGGUUCUAAAAGUCAAGAAAGGUUUAUUCCCUUAAAUGAAAGUAUUUUUAAAAUAUAAUUCUCAAAUAUAAAAUUCAAUUGCAUAACAAUCGUUAUUACCUUCAUAGAUACUUCUACUAAACAAACAAGUAAACUGCUAUCCUAUUAAAACAUAUGUUUGAAUUUUGUAUAGGCAUUUGAUAAAUAUAUAUAUAUAUAUAUAUAUAUAUAUAUAUAUAUAUAUAUUCACUUUGUGAAUAUAAGCUUCAAUGUUAUUUAAAUUUUCUUUUUUUAAAAAAUAAAUUAAACCCUUAUUAAGAUAUUGAAAACAAUAUUUUUAUUUUUAUUAUUCAUUAAAUCUUAUCGACACUCACUACUUAUUAAUACUCAUAUUUAAAUAACUUUAAAAAUUAUUACCCUUUUUUUUAUAAUAAGUGUCUAGUAAGUUUACAAAAUACAGGAGUUACUAAUUUUUCUAUUUUUCAAAACAAAAGAUAUAUUUACCAAUGGCAUAUUAAAAUUGUAUACCUCUUAACUAGUUUUGUAAGUGCACUAUUUUUUAAUUCCACUUUCAAUAUACUUCUCAUCAUAUAUUUUUAUAGUUAGAAUCAUUUAACAUUGACACAUUCAACAAAUCUUCAUCCAAACAAUGAAUAUGAAAAAUUAUAAAUUGAAUAAGUCUAUAUAUCGCCUAAAAUUGAUGAAAACACAAUAGAAUGGUAAUACUCUCCUCUUUCAUGUUCAUACAAACACAAUUUAACAUUUGGAUUAAACUUUUUGAAAUAUAAGUUUUUAUCAUUAAUUUGAAUUGAAACACCUUAUUGGAAAAUUGGGAGUCCUAUGAAGAAUUUACAAUACAGAAAAUUAUCGGUAAUUAUUAAGUAAUUACAUGGACUUAAAUAAAAAAGAAAAAAUUAGAGACAUGAAAUUGCUUUUAGAACUAAUCCAAUUGGUGGAAAUUUGAGAAAGCCUCCCAAUAGCCAAAGUAACAAACCCUAAACAUAAUAAUUAAUUCUUAGUACUAAGGGUAUGAAGACUUAAACCUCAUUCAAUGCAAACCAAAUCAUAUAGUGAGCUAUACUUUUUGUGGAGAAGUUAUUUUCUUGGACGCUAUAAUAAAAAUAUUUAGAUGGAUGACUUAGUACUUAAGAAAAAUUUUGUUUGUAAAUGUGAAUUCAUGUAAUCCAUAUAUCCUAAUGUUUUUAAUUUUUUAGUUUUAUUUUCAUAUUUAUCUUGGGGUUAUGUAAAAAGCAUUAACAAUAUUAUUUCGGAAUAACUAUUAAAAUGUUAAUUAUUUAUUUGUUGGUAUUAUAAUUUGGGAUGGUGAGAAUAGAGGAGCAAAGUACAAAGAGUCAGUGUAAGUAGGCCACGUGUAAUAUAUCUUUUCUCUUCCAACUUAGGCCCCACCCAAUAAUGGGCUUGGGGCAAAGCACCAACUAUUCAACUUGGAUUGGACUAGGCUAUCUAAGAAUUUGACAAUUUGUUGCUACUGCCUUAAUCUUUGUUUGUGGAUAUUUAAGAAUUUCAUUUUUUUUCCUUUAAAUACAAGAAUUCACCAAUUAAAACUAUGAACAUAUUUAUCUAUAACGAGGAAUUGGAAGAAAAGUGGGUUUAAAAGUCAAGAAUUUAACAAUAUAAAAAAAUUAUCUUUAUUUUUAAUAAAAAUAUUUUUUAAAUAUAAUUCUCAAGUAUAAAAUUCAAUUGAAUAACAAUGAUAAUUAUUACCUAAUCUACUAAACAAACAAUUUAAAUGCUAUCCUUUGAGAACACACAUUUGAAUUUUUUUUUAUAUGUAUUUCGUAAAAAGUUUUUUCUUUUUUACUUUGUUAAUAUAAGUGCUAAUAUUAUUAUUAUUUUUUUUAAAAGAUCAAACCCUUAUUAAGAUAUCAAAAACACUAUUUUUAUUUUUAUUUUUCAUUAAAUCUUAUUCACAUUCACUAUGUAUUCAUAGUAGCAUUUUUUAAGUAGCUUUAAAAAAUUAUUACCUUUGUAAAGUAAGUUUCCAUGAAGUCUGAGUUACUAUUUUUUUUUUUCUAUUUUUAAAAAUAGAAGAUGUAUUUAAAUGACACCCAAUUCAUUAAAAUUAUAUGCCUGACAACUAGUUUUGUCAAUGUGCUAUUUUUAAUUCCAUUUUCAGUAUACUUGUUAUCAUUUUUUUAAUGGUUGAAAUCAUUUAACAAUGAAUACAAAGCUUCACCCAAACAACGAAAAUGAAAAAAUUAACACAAAUUAACAUUUGGAUUGAUUAAACUUUCUCAAAUGUAAGUUUUUGUCAUUAAUUUGAAUCAAGAUGCUUGAUCGAAAAAUUGGGAGUCCUCAUAAGAACUUACAAUACAUAAAAUUAUAGGUAAUCAUUGAGUAAUUCUAUGGACUUGAAUGGAGAGAAAUUUUAUUCUAAAAAAAAAAGAGAAAAAAAUAGAAAAUUAAAGUCAUGUGAUUAUUUUCAAAACUAAUCCAAUUGAUGGAAAUUUGAGAAAGCCUCCUAACAGCUAAAGUAACUAACCCUAAACAUCAUAAUAAAGCACUAAGGGAAUAAGGACUGAAACUUGCUUGAUGCAAACUACUAUCUUUGCAUAUCUAAGUCUUCGAAUGGGCAAUAAUGCUUUUUGUGGAGAAAAUUGGACUUUUGCCCCUUAUGAUACACAAGCCAAGACUAAGAUUAAUUGCUCUCUUUAUUCCAAGUCUUUUGCAUAUCUAAGUCACACUAAGAUUAAUUGCUUUCUUUAUCCCAAGUCUUUUGCAUAUCUAAGUCAUCCAAUGGGCCACACUUUCUAUGGAGAAGACUAAACUUUUGCCCCUUGCGGUACGUAGGCCUCAUCCAAUGGGCCACACUUUUUAUGGAGAAUGCCAGACUUUUGUCCCUAGCAAUAUGAAUGCCAACACCAAUAUUAAUUGCUUUCUCUAUUCCAAGUCUUCUGCAUAUCUAAGUCCAUCCAAUGGGCCAUACUUUUUAUAGAUAAGACUAAACUUUUGCCCUUGUGAUAUGAAGACCAAGACUAAUUGGUUUCUUCAAUAUUCCAAGUUAUGUGCAUACUUCUAUGUAGGGUAAUAACAUAAGGAAGUUUCAUAUGGUUUUAUAAUGUGAGUCUAGAUUUGUUAUUCUGUUUUUUUUUCUUUACAUGCAUACACACACUUUUCCACUUAAAUAACAUAAUUUUUAUUUUUUCAAAUAAUCUUUGACAAAACUUUUAUCAUACCCCUUUUUAACUAUUAUACUAUUUUCCCAUAUCUAAAAUUUUCAAAGUACACAUUUUGUUUUGCAAUUAUUUCUUAACUACGUACAUUCCUUGGACACUACAAAAAUGAUUUUAUUUGAAAAUUAACCAAUAAAUAUAUUUAGAUGGAUGACUCAAAAUUUAAGGAAAAAAUUUGUUCAUCAAUACUAUUUCAUGUAGAAUAUAUAUGCAUAUGUAUCAAAGAAAAAUUUGUGGAUAUUUAAGAAUUUCAUUUUUUUUCUCUAAAUACAAGAAUUCACCUAUUAAAACUAUGAACAUAUUUAUCUAUAAUGAGGAAUUGGAAGAAAAGUGGGUUUAAAAGUCAAGAAUUUAACAAUAUAAAAAAAUUAUGUUUAUUUUUAAUAAAAAUAUUUUAAAAAUAUAAUUCUCAAGUAUAAAAUUCAAUUGAAUAACAAUUAUAAUUAUUACAUAAUCUACUAAACAAACAAGCUAAAUUCUGUCCUUUGAGAACACACAUUUGAAUUUUUUUUAUAUGUAUUUCGUAAAAAGUUUUUUUUUUUACUUUGUUAAUAUAAGUGCUAAUAUUAUUUUUUUUUUAAAAAUAUAGAUCAAACCCUUAUUAAGAUAUCAAAAACAAUAUUUUUAUUUUUAUUUUUCAUUAAAUCUUAUUGACAUUCACUAUGUAUUCAUAGUAGCAUUUUUUAAGUAGCUUUUGAAAAAUUAUUACCUUUGUAAAGUAAGUUUCUAUGAAGUCUGAGUUACUAUUUUUUUUUCUAUUUUUAAAAAUAGAAGAUGUAUUUAAAUGACACCCAAUUCCUUAAAAUUAUAUGCUUGACAACUAGUUUUGUUAAUGUGUUAUUUUUUAAUUCCAUUUUCAGUAUAGUUGUUAUCAUUUUUUUAAUGGUUGAAAUCAUUUUACAAUGAAUACAAAACUUCACCCAAACAACGAAUAUGAAAAAAUUAACACAAAUUAACAUUUGGAUUGAUUAAACUUUCUCAAAUGUAAGUUUUUGUCAUUAAUUUGAAUCAAGAUGCUUGAUCGAAAAUUGGGAGUCCUCAUAAGAACUUACAAUACAUAAAAUUAAAGGUAUUCAUUGAGUAAUUCUAUGGACUUGAAUGGAGAGAAAUUUUACUCUAAAAAAAUAGAGAAAAAGAAGAAGAAAAUUAAAGUCAUGUGAUUACUUUCAAAACUAAUCCAAUUGAUGGAAAUUUGAGAAAGCCUCCUAACAGCUAAAGUAACUAACCUUAAAUAUCAUAAUAAAGCACUAAGGGAAUGAGGACUGAAACUUUGCUUAAUGCAAACUACUAUCUUUGCAUAUCUAAUUCAUCCAAUGGGCAAUAAUACUUUUUGUGGAGAAAAUUGGACUUUUGCCCCUUGUGAUACACAAGCCAAGACUAAGAUUAAUUGUUGUCUUUAUUCCAAGUCUUUUGCAUAUCUAAGUCAUCCAAUGGGCCACACUUUCUAUGGAGAAGACUAAACUUUUGCCCCUUGCGGUAUGUAGGCCUCAUCCAAUGGGCCACACUUUUUAUGGAGAAUGCCAGACUUUUAUCCCUAGCAAUAUGAAUGCUAAGACCAAUAUUAAUUGCUUUCUCUAUUCCAAGUCUUCUACAUAUCUAAGUCCAUCCAAUGGGUCAUACUUUUUAUAGAUAAGACUAAAAUUUUGCCCUUGUGAUAUGAAGACCAAGACUAAUUGGUUUCUUCAAUAUUUCAAGUUAUGUGCAUACUUCUAUGUAGGGUAAUAAGAUAAGGAAGUUUCAUAUGGUUUUAUAAUGUGAGUUUAGAUUUGUUAUUUUGUUUUUUUUUUCUUUACAUGCAUACACACACUUUUCCUCUUAAAUAACAUAAUUUUUAUUUUUUCAAAUAAUCUUUGAAAAAACUUUUAUCAUACCCCUUUUUAACUAUUAUACUAUUUUCCCAUAUCUAAAAUUUUCAAAGUACACAUUUUGUUUUGCAAUUAUUUCUUAACUACGUACAUUCCUUGGACACUACAAAAAUGAUUUUAUUUGAAAAUUAACCAAUAAAUAUAUUUAGAUGGAUGACUCAAAAUUUAAGGAAAAAAUUUGUUCAUCAAUACUAUUUCAUGUAGAAUAUAUAUGCAUAUGUAUCAAAGAAAAACAUGAAAAAUUGAAAACUAUACAUGUAUAAAUAUUAAGAUAAGAUUCAUAUAUUGGUGCAAGUACAAAAGAAACAAUAUUUCAACAAUAAUGCUUUUUCCCUUUGAAACUUUACAUGGCUUUACUUGGAAACAACAUUUGGAUACAAGUACCAUAUACAAUUUUUUAAAAACCGUUCUUCAAAAAAUAAUUCUUAAAUUAAGACCGUUUAUGAUUUUACGUGGAAUUUGUGUUUUGAAAAAAUGGGUUUAAUAUAAUAAAAGUAAGCUUUUUAAAAAAAAAGAAAAAAAAGAAAAGACAAGUUAAGUAUAAAAAGUAGGAAUUACUCAUAUAUUGAAGAGAUAAAUUUAAUGUAAAAAAUAAAAAAAGUAAAAAAUAUUGUAUUCUUGUAUUUAUUUGUCAAACAACCAUUUUUAACAAUAUUCUUUUAAAAUAACAUUUUUUAAGAAAAAAUCCCAUGUUUUUUUUUUUUUUUGCCUCCCAAUUCAAUUUAAUAGACACCUUCGUCCUUUAAAAACUCAACUGCUUUAUAGAGAAGACCAAGACUUCUAGCUCGUGAUGUAGGGUUGUAUUUCGUAUUAUUUCUCAUUAAAAGAUAAGACUAACCCUAGAUGCUACUAACUAUGAAAGUUUUACUUUAGCUUAUGCAGGGACCUAUUUUAUGAUUAAAGAAACUUUUACAAACAAAUAUUCCCUUCUUUUUUUAAAAAAAAAAAAAAGAUUAUAUUUGGUUUCCAUUCCAUCUUUCACUUUAAGCUUAAAACAAAAAAUUAUCCUUAAUGAACCUUCUGCUAUACAUCUAUUCUUCAUAUUCUAAUUGCUUUAGGCAUGCUUAACUUUCUAAUUUAGUGAUUCACAUAGUAGUUAGAAAGCCAAACUCUAUCUUUAGGCUGAUAAGUUGUAAAAUCUAGUAGUCAUAGUUUUCACUUAAUUGUAGAUAAUUAAGAAGGAUGCAAGGUUAACUAAUAGUAAAAGAUAUAAUUGAAAGUGACAAAACUAAAUGGAUAUCAUUUGAGAAAUUAUUGUGGCCAAAGUGGAUAAGAAAUAUGAUCUCCUUUUUCUACUUAGUUGCCCUCCCACUUUUUCCAUGAAAUCUUAGCUUGUGAUUAAAAGUGGGCAAAAUAGUUCGACUCUUGAUCGGACAACCAACCCACGUUGUCAUUUUAAUGUGGAAGUGACUCUAAAUUUUUCUUUGAUUUGAAGUCAAUGGUCCCACAUUUGAAUUGGAAACUUCGAUGAAGUUUCUGAUAAUGAAAAUUUAAACUUAAAUUAUAAGGGAACCUUUGGGUAUAAAUUCAAGUCAUCUAUUAUUAUAUUUUUUCAUCACACACCAGCCAAUUUUUGUUAUAGCUUUUGAAGAUACGAUGUAUCGAAUCCUUUGCUUCCUCUUCUUUCUCUCAUAUUCUCCAGUUAUUUGUUUCUCUUUGUCUAAUUCUACAAAGCUGUGUCCUCAUCACCAGAAUGUUGCCUUGCUUCGACUUAAGCAAUUAUUUUCCAUAGAUGUCUCCGCUUCUUCUUCGGAUGAUUGCAAUUUAGCUUCUUUUGCCAAGACAGACACUUGGAAGGAAGGCACUAAUUGUUGCUCAUGGGAUGGUGUCACAUGCAAUAGGGUUACAGGCCUUAUAAUCGGGCUCGACCUUAGUUGCAGUGGCCUCUAUGGUACCAUUGAUUCCAACAGUAGCCUCUUCCUCUUGCCUCAUCUACGAAGGCUCAACCUCGCUUUCAAUGAUUUCAAUAAGUCAUCUAUUUCAGCUAAGUUUGGACAAUUCCGGAGAAUGACUCAUCUCAACCUUUCUUUCUCUGGAUUUUCAGGUGUAAUUGCUCCAGAAAUCUCCCACCUAUCCAACUUGGUUUCACUUGAUCUUUCCAUCUAUAGUGGAUUAGGACUUGAAACAAGUAGCUUCAUUGCACUUGCUCGAAACCUAACGAAGUUGCAGAAACUUCAUCUACGAGGUAUAAAUGUCUCUUCCAUUUUGCCUAUCUCCCUACUGAAUUUAUCUUCUUUGAGAUCUAUGGAUCUCUCUUCUUGUCAACUAUAUGGGAGAUUCCCUGACGAUGAUCUUCAACUGCCCAACCUUAAGGUUCUCAAGUUAAAGGGUAACCAUGAUCUCAGUGGGAAUUUCCCAAAGUUCAAUGAGAGUAAUUCCAUGCUGUUGUUGGAUCUUUCUUCUACAAAUUUCAGUGGGGAGCUUCCUAGUUCAAUAGGCAUUCUAAAGUCUUUAGAAAGUUUGGAUCUUUCUUCUACAAAAUUCAGUGGGGAGCUUCCUAGUUCAAUAGGUAGUCUAAAGUCUUUAGAAAGUUUGGAUCUCUCGCACUGCAAUUUCUCAGGUUCCAUUCCCUCGGUUUUAGGGAACCUCACACAAAUCACUCACUUGGACCUCUCAAGAAAUCAAUUUGAUGGUGAAAUUUCAAAUGUUUUCAAUAAGAUUAGAAAGCUAAUUGUAUUAGAUCUUUCCAGUAAUAGUUUCAGAGGUCAGUUCAUAGCAUCACUUGACAAUCUAACAGAACUUUCUUUCUUAGACCUUUCAAACAAUAACCUAGAAGGUAUCAUUCCUUCUCAUGUGAAGGAACUUUCAAGUCUAUCGGACAUCCAUUUGUCCAAUAACUUGUUGAAUGGGACAAUACCAUCUUGGUUGUUUAGUCUACCAUCAUUGAUAAGGUUAGAUCUCAGUCAUAACAAACUCAAUGGUCAUAUUGAUGAAUUCCAAUCCCCUUCAUUGGAGUCCAUUGAUUUGAGUAGUAAUGAGUUAGAUGGGCCAGUUCCAAGUUCCAUCUUUGAACUUGUAAAUCUUACAUAUCUCCAACUUUCUUCAAAUAACUUGGGUGGCAUUGUGGAGACAGACAUGUUCAUGAAUCUUGAAAAUCUUGUCUAUCUCGAUCUUUCAUAUAACAUUCUGACAUUGAGCAACUACAGCCAUUCCAACUGUGCGCUACCAUUCUUGGAAACAUUGUUGUUGUCUUCUUGCAACAUAAGUGAAUUCCCAAGAUUUUUAUGCAGUCAAGAGGUGUUGGAGUUUCUGGACCUUUCAAACAACAAGAUUUAUGGACAACUUCCGAAAUGGGCAUGGAAUAUGGGUACGGAGACACUGUCUUACUUCAAUCUUUCUCAAAACUUGCUAACCAGGUUUGAGAGAUUUCCAUGGAAGAAUAUGCUAUUUCUCGACCUUCAUUCCAACUUGCUUCAAGGACCACUUCCAUCAUUGAUUUGUGAAAUGAGUUAUAUUAGUGUUCUGGAUUUCUCUAAUAACAACUUGAGUGGAUUAAUUCCACAAUGUUUGGGAAACUUCAGUGAGUCUCUCUCUGUUUUGGAUUUGCGAAUGAAUCAGCUUCAUGGUAACAUUCCUGAAACGUUUUCGAAGGGCAAUUUUAUCAGGAAUCUUGGCUUCAAUGGAAAUCAAUUGGAAGGGCCUCUACCACGAUCUUUGAUCAAUUGUAGAAGGUUGCAAGUUUUAGACCUUGGAAAUAAUAGAAUAAAUGAUACAUUCCCUUAUUGGUUGGAAACUCUUCCAGAGCUACAAGUUUUGAUCUUGCGUUCUAAUAGGUUCCAUGGUCACAUAAGCGGUUCAAAUUUCCAAUUUCCAUUUCCCAAGUUACGAAUAAUGGAUCUUUCACGCAAUGAUUUCUCUGGUAGUUUACCGGAAAUGUAUUUGAAGAAUUUCAAGGCAAUGAUGAAUGUCACUGAGGAUAAAAUGAAACUGAAAUAUAUGGGGGAAUACUAUUAUCGAGAUUCGAUAAUGGGAACAAUCAAAGGAUUUGAUUUUGAAUUUGUAAUUUUGUCUACCUUCACAACAAUUGAUUUGUCCAGCAAUAGAUUCCAAGGAGAGAUUCUAGAUUUCAUUGGAAGUCUUAGUUCACUUCGAGAACUCAACUUGUCUCAUAACAAUCUUACAGGGCAUAUUCCAUCAUCAUUGGGGAAUCUAAUGGUGCUUGAAUCAUUAGACCUCUCUUCAAACAAGCUUAGUGGGAGAAUUCCAAGGGAGUUGACAAGUCUGACAUUUCUUGAAGUCUUAAAUCUUUCGAAAAAUCAUCUCACUGGAGUCAUUCCUCGAGGCAACCAAUUUGAUACAUUUGCAAAUAAUUCAUAUAGUGGGAAUAUAGGAUUAUGUGGACUUCCCUUGUCUAAGAAAUGUGUAGUUGAUGAAGCACCACAACCUCCCAAAGAAGAGGAGGUGGAAUCCGAUACUGGAUUUGAUUGGAAAGUCAUAUUGAUGGGGUAUGGUUGUGGACUAGUAGUUGGAUUGUUUAUGGGGUGCCUCGUCUUCUUAACAAGAAAACCUAAAUGGUUUGUAACAAUGAUUGAAGGAGAUAGACAUAAGAAGGUUAGAAGGUCAACAAGGAGCACUCGCAGGCAUGGAGCAAGAAGAAGUUAGGCCAUUUCUAUGAUAUCGUAUUUUGUGGUGAAUGAUACUAAUGAAUGUUGCAUUCUUAUGUAAACAAAUAACAUGUAUUGUGAUUAAUGAAGUAAGAGUCUUUGAAGUUGUAAAAAUAUUUGUUUUUAUUUUUUCUUUCUUGAAAUGGAAUAAUAUGUAGUAACAAUAUUUUCAAAUCAUCACUACCAUUUAACUUAUUUAUAUAUCAUGAUCGAAAGUAUUUUUAAAUGUUGGGUUAUGUAAUUAGUAAAGGUAGAACUCAUAAGGUUUUGCAAAGAAUUAGAAGCAAUUGAUUGCUUAUCACUAAAAGACUAACGAAUUUUUGUUAGGAACAAAGGGUGAUUUUUUACAAGAAUGAUAUUGAAAGGGUUGUAAAUUAAUGAAAUCCAAAUUCCAAUUUUAGGUUACAAAUGUUCACUAGACUCUCCUCCACAUAAUACAUUUAUCUUAACAUGAAACAUUUAACUGGUCUUUACUACGAGUCUUGCCUAUGGAAGACUAAUUAAGCAUUCAUAAAACAUUAAUUAAUUCAUGCUCAAAUUGGAUUAUGUUAUUAUUUUAGAGGUUACUUGCUUAUCACUUAUCUCACGAUUUAAAUGCAUUCAAAAGUUAUUUUCUUUUACUUCAACUCAAACUCUUCCCUAUCAAAAUAAUAUGAUCUUAUAUUAAAAAUAAUAUUUUUAUUAUAUAUUUAUAGUUAUUUAUUAGAUAGAAAAUUCCUUCUUUCAGAAUUCCUGAAUCUCUCUCUUAUAGGCUAGGUGGAGUAAUUUAAGAGCCCUUUUUUUCCUCUCUUUUUUUUUGUUGGGCUCCAGCCAGCCCAUCAGACAAUGAAUUCAAGGAUUGUUGGGCUCCUUUUGAGGGCCAAAGUUGGCUUUAAUGCUUGGAAGAGGACUCAAUCAGUUCCAUGCCAAUGAAUUUAUAUCAAGCUCUUGACUUUUAUCUCAUACGUACACAAAGCUUCUGUCAUUCAAACUUCUCUUUUUUAUUUAUUAUUAUUAUUAUUAUUUUAAUUUAAGUGUGUUUUAGCUUAUUCAUAGUCAAAUAAAAGAUUUUUAUUUUAAAAUAAAAUAAUGUGUCUUUCAAUUUUUAAAUUUUAUCUUUUAAAAAAUUGUUUAUCAUAUCAUCAUCAACAAAUGAGUGAGUGACAGGCGGACAGUUGAGGCCCAAAGGGGGUGCAGUGGGUUCUUUGGGCCCAGAUUCUGGCACAAGAGAGCACAUGCUAGCCCAAUCAUGAUUUAGCUAAACCCAUGAAAGAAGACUCUAUCUUACCUUAAGUUUAUUACUAUCUACCCAAUAACAUGGUGUGCUGGAUUUGGCAUCUUGAGUUGGAUUCUAAGCAUUAUUUUAAGGCUAUGUUGCUCGAAAGUGUUAAACAAAGGAGAAAAAUUUGCUAAAAAAAUAAAAAAAAGUAAUAAUAUACAUAUUAAGUUGUUUUAUUGAAAAAAUCAAUAUAUGUAUAAUAAAAUUUAUGAUAAUCCAUAAUAAUUUACAAUAUUUGAACUCAUAUUUAAUAUUUAGUUUAUAUAUAUUUAUGAUAAUGCAUAUAUAAUAAUCUUUUUUGAAAUAUAGAUUCAUUUAUUGUUUGAAAUAUUAUAUGGAUUGCUUUAUAAUAAUUUUUUUUUUUUUUUUUGGGGGAAUCAUUCAAUGAAUUUUUCUACUUUGGGGCAACGUUACCACACUGGAUAGGCAGCCUCAUCUCACUUACAGAGCUUGGAGUUCAUGAAUGCCGUCAAUUGAAAUCACUACCAAAAGAGAUGCGUUCCCUUAAAAACCUGCAGAAAUUCUAUAUCUGGGAUUGUCAACAUCUAGAGAAAAUAUGCCGACAGAAAACAGGGGAAGACUGGCCCAGGAUUGCUCAUAUCCCACAUAUUGAUUUCUACACUGAUCAGUGAAUAACAAGGGAGGUCCGAAAUCCCUAACCUUUCUUCUCAUUUUUAUUAUUUUUUCGAUCAAAAUGCAAGGUUUUCUCAUUCUCUCUUGGUAAUUCUUUUAUAUUGGCACUUCAUAUGUUUGUUAAAAUGCCCACAUCAGUAAAUCGAUUUUUUUUUUCCAGACCACAUAUACAGUCGAUGAUGAUGUACAUGAAACUCAUCAUUUUACUUGGGGUUGAGGCGAGAUUUGAUAUGAUAUCUCUCCCAGAGGAGCUGAUUCAACAUGUUUCCAUGAUCUAAAGUCUCAACAUUAGACAUCGCUCUGUUUUUGAAACAUUACAACACUGGAUAGGCAGCCUCCCCUCAGUUACAGAACUUGGAAUUCAUGGCUGCCAGAAGGUACGUUCCCUCGAAAACCUGUAGAUGCUCAAAAUCUACAUUGAAGUUAAUGAGGGCUGAGGUGCUGUGUCAGUUAAUGUUUCUCUCCCCUUCAUUGAAGUCUCUGUCUAUUGGAUGCUCAGGUGCUAUGAUGUCUCCCAGAGGAGCUGCCUCAGCAUGUUUCCAGGAUCCAAACUCUCAAAAUUGAAUUCUGCUCUGGUUUUGCAAUAUUACUGCCCUGGAUAGGUCGCUUCACCUCACUUAUGGACCUUCAUAUUUGUGACUGCGCUGAAUUGGCAUCACUUUCAGAAGAGAUGCAUUCCCUCAAAAACCUUCUGACACUAAAAAAUCUUUCAUUGUCGGCACCUGCUUGAAGAUGCCAAAAAGAAACAUUUCAGGUUCAAGAACACAGAGAGCCAUACUUGAUGGAGAUUUCAUCAAUAUAGAGAGGCAUUUCAAGUCUGAAAUCCACCCUUCUCAUUUCUUAUGGCUUCAUUUUGAUUUAAUUUCCUAAUUACAUGAAUUCUAUAUCUGUAAUCCCAGUAUGUAUUAGCACAUAAGUCAAAAGUGAUUUUGAUUUUUUUUAUGUCCACACCUUAUUCAUUUGAUGAAAUGCUUAAACAAGUUUGAAAUUUUUUCCCUUCAAAUCAAUUUCUAAUGCACCAUGAAUUGGUAAUUGAAGUUUGGAAAGAUGUUGGGUUGAUUUAAUUAUUAUUUUGUUGCAGAUUUCAACUUGCUUAAGACGCUUGUGAUUAUUUCUUCUUGGCUCAACUUGAAAUCACUGCCUACGUUCUUCCAUUUCCUACCUCAAAAUCACCUACCAAAAGUUUUGGAUUGGUUAAAAAUUUUCUCAUGGCCCAUAAAUUCGUAUCUAUCAGAUGGCUGAUAUACAAAGGUCCUGCUUUCCUUAGAAAUCAGGUCUACUCUCUGCCAUAUUUUUCAGGUAAUCUGUUGCCUGCUUUUAAUCUCUACAUCAUCUUUCGUUUUGAUAUCAAUUUUUGUCAGGAGUGUCAUACAAGUUGUAAUUAUAUUUGUGAACUUUCAUAUGCACUAUCAUUUUUUAUUGUUUUUUAAUAUAUAACUCCAACCAAACAUAUCAUAGACCAAAAACUUAUUAUGUCUGUCAAGUAGUUUGUUUUUUUCCCCCUUCAUUUGGUGAUGUUGUUUUGGGCCUAGAUAAUUUUUUAGAUUAAUUAAUGCAAAUGUAAUGUUGUCUAAUCAAUACAAAAACUAAUAGUUGUGAGGCUUGGAUACGUGGCUUCCUUGAUCAGUAACUGAAUUGAGUGUUUCUGUAGGCUGGUGUCUCUAUAUUUGGAAAUUCAGAGAGUUGCAAAUUCCAAGGAAUUGGAAGAUUGAGUCGCUGUCUCUACCAUUAGGGCUUCAAUGAGUUACCAUUCUGGAAAUUAUAAAAAAAAAACAUCAGAUUGCCUCAUAUCUUUGAAUCGAAAUCACUGCUAGAAGGAUGUGCUUCCCAACACUCUCAUGGGCUCUUUGACUUUGCCAUCUACAAUACAUCAGAGGUUCAUGAUCCAUCCUCUAUUCCUGCUUUGGGGGGCUUCAAUUUUUAUAUUAUUUUUCCGUUAAUACUCUAAAAAUGUUAUAUUCUAUUUUUAAUUCUUUUUACCUGAGUCUUAUGCAUUAGCACACAAGAGAAAAGUCAUAUAACACUUUCAUAAUGCAAUCAUUUUCCAUUGUUAGCCAUAUACUAUUUUUCUUAUAUAUAGCUAAGGCAUCCAAUAAAUAUGCCUACACUCACCAGAAAAAUACCCAUCUCGUCAUCUCCAACUCUGCUCUUUUGAGUUGCUGCUCAUGGCUCCAAAAUGAUGGGUGUUUUUCCAUUUUGUUUUUGUCUUCAGUGAGCUUAGAAGACGAGAUUUGAAGGACAGUGUUAGUGGGUUUUGGUGGGAAUGUAGAUUUGGUGGACCUAAUGCUACUGCUGUCUGGUUUUAAGAAAAGAGGGUUGCGGUGACGAGAAUGAGGUAAUUUUGGGUCGUGAAUGGAGAAAGAGACGAAUUUGAGGUUGAGGGUUUGAUGAAGGAAGCUACGUUGUGUGAGAUUAUGCUCUGAUCCUUGUUUAGAAUUUUGGGUCUAUUAAAUUCACGUAUAUUGUUUGCCAUUCCAACCCUCUUAUUGCUUUUGAAGACAAUAUUAUUUUUGUAAAAUCCUACCUUCAAAGAUACCAAUUCCUUGUAUUUUUACUUUAAUGGUUAUAAUCUGUAUGUGAUCUUCUUAUUUUAUAUUUGUAUUUUACAUGUUCGGAAAUUUUAGUUCAGGUGUUUAAGUGUUGCCAAGUCAAAGCAAUGCCAGAUAGUGAUGUACUUGUGACACCUUACUUCUCUAAAGCUACUCGAAAGUGGGGAUUGUUGCCUACCACAUCUCAUUUCUCUCAAGUCGUCGAAAAUUCAGUGAUGUGUCAAUAGCCUAAUGUCUUUGUCACAAGUGAUUUAGGGAUUCAGAUUGUUUCUCUGAAUUGACAUAAAUAAUAUGUUCUGGUUUGGUAACAUUAUCACACUCAAUGGACAACCUCCAUUUACUAACAUCUUCAAGUUUUUUAGGGAAAAAAACUGUGGAAAACUGUGUUUUGGCUCGCCCAUUUGGGCCUAAUAGCUUUUUGGUAACCCAACUUUCCAUAACCCAAAAAAUGUCCACUGUUGCCCAAAAAAAUAUCCCUUUCAUGCACUAUCCACUGUUUUAUAAUUUCAUUUCCAAAAUUACCCCUCCAGCCUUCCAUAUCAGCAGCCAUCUCCCUCUCCAUGUCACGGGUUGUGCUUUUAAAUAAACACAAAAAUCUUAAACAAGUUAGCAAAACCCACGCAAGACCCGACUCUGAAAUUUGGGGAAACCAGGUUAGGGCAAAAGGAGAGAAAGUCACAGAGAGUCCUUAGCUCCUUUCUCUUCUCUCUCUUUUCUCUCUGUUGUGUGAAUUUUUCAGUGAAAAAUCGAAAGCUUGUAAGCUGUAAUCGAAAGUUAGGUUCAGUGCUUUUUUGGUACUUUGUCGGAUGGCCCAAGCAGCCAGUAGCAGAUACUCAAAUUUUAUGCUUGGGUUUUACUUGAAUGCUCAUACAUUAGCUGUCAUCUUCAAGGUCCAUUUGGUUUUAAUGCAUCUGGAUCACGCAGCUGAGCAGAGGAAAGAGGAAAUGAAUCUGUUACUGGUUUGAUAUUUUUGGGGCUUAGGUGCUUACGAGUUGUACGGUGUAAGCAAAAUCCUCGUUAAAAGUCUAACUUAAGACAACUGGCUCUAAAUAGCAUAUGGCCUGGCGUUGAAAGUGGCUGUAGCCUACAAUCUCAAAUCAAGGGGUGAGUCCCGUACCAUUUAAAAGAAUUGUGACCUUCAGUGUCAGAAAUUUUCAGUUAAAUACAAAUGAAUUGCAUCUUCUUCACUGAAUUUUCAGCCUCCGGUUUCAUCUUUGCGAGGUGAGAUUCACAUUCAUUUUCCAUUGAUCGAAUUCCCCCUCCUCUGCCACAGCCUGGCUAGGGACUCGGUUAAGUUAAGAUGCUAACACUGAAUGAAAAUUGAUUCCAACAAUUUUCAUCAAUCAAUUCCUCAAGUACAAAAGCAGAUGGUGUAUGGUGGAUUGCAGUAAUAGACGAAGUUGGUUUAGUUUAUCCCUCCUUUGAUGGGCACAAGGAUAAAACCAUCUAUUGCUGGGCAAGGUAGCUAGAUGCAGCUUUCCCCAGAAGGCUCGAGGUAGCAGAAUGUCCAUUUUGGUCUCAAGUCGCUCAACAUUGCUGAAGUUCCUUUGCAAUCCUAAUGGAGACUGCCAUUGGGCAGUUUGUCUUAAUUGCGUUGGAGGCAAUGUGUGACCUGCUAACAGCAUAUCCCUCCUGCAACAACCAAAUCCAACAGAUGGACUGCAUCAGUUUCUGUAAACCAUUUGUUGGAGCUCCAGACCAUAGCAAAUAUCUCCAACUUCAAUUGGGAGUGAUCAGCUUCUAUAGAACAAUAAAAUGCCAUACCAUAUUAUAAUUUCCCCUUAUAUUUUUCCCAUUCUCCUAAGCUGGGGCUUGAUGAGUUUUUAGACCAAAAGACUUGUGCAAGUAAACAUCAUCUGGAUCAGGCAACAAAAAAAAAAAUUACCUGACUCUGUUUCUUGGCUAAUGACAAUUGAAAAGCCUCUAAAAGAGAACACUAGGAGGAUACCUUGUUCAGGGCGCUCAUCAUGGUCAUGAGGGGAGGAGAGUUUAUUUUUGCACGGCUUGCUACCUAGGAACAUAAGAGGAAAAUCAAUAAUGAAAUUGCAUUCAAUUUCCAAGCCAUGCAACAGAGCUUGAGAAUUAAUUCACAACCAAAUCAAGAAUCUAAAACACAAAAUUAUGUUAUUUGCAAGUAAACCUCAUCCAAUUUGAUGUAUCCAAAUGGUAAUUUAGGGUCACUCUCAUCGAUCAUUUGCUUCAGAAGUUUUCCCAGAUGAGUUUCAGUGUCAUUGCCAGUCCAUCCCCAUUGUUCAGCUAAAUUUAGCAUUUCUGUAAGGUAGGAAGCAUUAUGGCAGAGAUUAUCAAAUACAGUGGUUUUGCUUUUAAGUUGCUUAGGUACUACCUUAAUGACCUUUAGGUACUACCUUAGUGGCCUUCAGGUACUACCUUAAGGGACCCUAGGUACUACCUUAGCUAAACUUCAACCCAACCUCUCCCAAGCCUUUGUUCUUCAUUUGUGACCCUUAGACCAUGCCAUUAUAUGCUUCUCUUGAGUCCUCAAGUGGUCCACCAAUGGUUUUUUGCUACUGUUCCUUAGGUACUACCUUAGUGGCCUUAAGGUACUACCUUAAUGGCCUUCAGGUACUACCUUAAGGGACCUUAGGUACUACCUUAGCUAAACUUCAACUCAACCUCUCCCAAGCCUUGGGUCUUCAUUUGUGACCCUUAGACCAUGCCAUUAUAUGCUUCUCUUGAGUCCUCAAGUGGUCCACCAAUGGUUUUUUGCUACUGUUGCUUAGGUACUACCUUAAUGGCCUUUAGGUACUACCUUAGUGGCCUUCAGGUACUACCUUAAAGGACCCUAGGUACUACCCUAGCUAAACUUCAACUCAACCUCUUCCAAGCCUCGGGUCUUCAUUUGUGACCCUUAGACCAUGCCAUUAUAUGCUUCUCNNNNNNNNNNNNNNNNNNNNNNNNNNNNNNNNNNNNNNNNNNNNNNNNNNNNNNNNNNNNNNNNNNNNNNNNNNNNNNNNNNNNNNNNNNNNNNNNNNNNNNNNNNNNNNNNNNNNNNNNNNNNNNNNNNNNNNNNNNNNNNNNNNNNNNNNNNNNNNNNNNNNNNNNNNNNNNNNNNNNNNNNNNNNNNNNNNNNNNNNNNNNNNNNNNNNNNNNNNNNNNNNNNNNNNNNNNNNNNNNNNNNNNNNNNNNNNNNNNNNNNNNNNNNNNNNNNNNNNNNNNNNNNNNNNNNNNNNNNNNNNNNNNNNNNNNNNNNNNNNNNNNNNNNNNNNNNNNNNNNNNNNNNNNNNNNNNNNNNNNNNNNNNNNNNNNNNNNNNNNNNNNNNNNNNNNNNNNNNNNNNNNNNNNNNNNNNNNNNNNNNNNNNNNNNNNNNNNNNNNNNNNNNNNNNNNNNNNNNNNNNNNNNNNNNNNNNNNNNNNNNNNNNNNNNNNNNNNNNNNNNNNNNNNNNNNNNNNNNNNNNNNNNNNNNNNNNNNNNNNNNNNNNNNNNNNNNNNNNNNNNNNNNNNNNNNNNNNNNNNNNNNNNNNNNNNNNNNNNNNNNNNNNNNNNNNNNNNNNNNNNNNNNNNNNNNNNNNNNNNNNNNNNNNNNNNNNNNNNNNNNNNNNNNNNNNNNNNNNNNNNNNNNNNNNNNNNNNNNNNNNNNNNNNNNNNNNNNNNNNNNNNNNNNNNNNNNNNNNNNNNNNNNNNNNNNNNNNNNNNNNNNNNNNNNNNNNNNNNNNNNNNNNNNNNNNNNNNNNNNNNNNNNNNNNNNNNNNNNNNNNNNNNNNNNNNNNNNNNNNNNNNNNNNNNNNNNNNNNNNNNNNNNNNNNNNNNNNNNNNNNNNNNNNNNNNNNNNNNNNNNNNNNNNNNNNNNNNNNNNNNNNNNNNNNNNNNNNNNNNNNNNNNNNNNNNNNNNNNNNNNNNNNNNNNNNNNNNNNNNNNNNNNNNNNNNNNNNNNNNNNNNNNNNNNNNNNNNNNNNNNNNNNNNNNNNNNNNNNNNNNNNNNNNNNNNNNNNNNNNNNNNNNNNNNNNNNNNNNNNNNNNNNNNNNNNNNNNNNNNNNNNNNNNNNNNNNNNNNNNNNNNNNNNNNNNNNNNNNNNNNNNNNNNNNNNNNNNNNNNNNNNNNNNNNNNNNNNNNNNNNNNNNNNNNNNNNNNNNNNNNNNNNNNNNNNNNNNNNNNNNNNNNNNNNNNNNNNNNNNNNNNNNNNNNNNNNNNNNNNNNNNNNNNNNNNNNNNNNNNNNNNNNNNNNNNNNNNNNNNNNNNNNNNNNNNNNNNNNNNNNNNNNNNNNNNNNNNNNNNNNNNNNNNNNNNNNNNNNNNNNNNNNNNNNNNNNNNNNNNNNNNNNNNNNNNNNNNNNNNNNNNNNNNNNNNNNNNNNNNNNNNNNNNNNNNNNNNNNNNNNNNNNNNNNNNNNNNNNNNNNNNNNNNNNNNNNNNNNNNNNNNNNNNNNNNNNNNNNNNNNNNNNNNNNNNNNNNNNNNNNNNNNNNNNNNNNNNNNNNNNNNNNNNNNNNNNNNNNNNNNNNNNNNNNNNNNNNNNNNNNNNNNNNNNNNNNNNNNNNNNNNNNNNNNNNNNNNNNNNNNNNNNNNNNNNNNNNNNNNNNNNNNNNNNNNNNNNNNNNNNNNNNNNNNNNNNNNNNNNNNNNNNNNNNNNNNNNNNNNNNNNNNNNNNNNNNNNNNNNNNNNNNNNNNNNNNNNNNNNNNNNNNNNNNNNNNNNNNNNNNNNNNNNNNNNNNNNNNNNNNNNNNNNNNNNNNNNNNNNNNNNNNNNNNNNNNNNNNNNNNNNNNNNNNNNNNNNNNNNNNNNNNNNNNNNNNNNNNNNNNNNNNNNNNNNNNNNNNNNNNNNNNNNNNNNNNNNNNNNNNNNNNNNNNNNNNNNNNNNNNNNNNNNNNNNNNNNNNNNNNNNNNNNNNNNNNNNNNNNNNNNNNNNNNNNNNNNNNNNNNNNNNNNNNNNNNNNNNNNNNNNNNNNNNNNNNNNNNNNNNNNNNNNNNNNNNNNNNNNNNNNNNNNNNNNNNNNNNNNNNNNNNNNNNNNNNNNNNNNNNNNNNNNNNNNNNNNNNNNNNNNNNNNNNNNNNNNNNNNNNNNNNNNNNNNNNNNNNNNNNNNNNNNNNNNNNNNNNNNNNNNNNNNNNNNNNNNNNNNNNNNNNNNNNNNNNNNNNNNNNNNNNNNNNNNNNNNNNNNNNNNNNNNNNNNNNNNNNNNNNNNNNNNNNNNNNNNNNNNNNNNNNACCAUGCCAUUAUAUGCUUCUCUUGAGUCCUCAAGUGGUCCACCAAUGGUUUUUUGCUACUGUUGCUUAGGUACUACCUUAAUGGCCUUUAGGUACUACCUUAGUGGCCUUCAGGUACUACCUUAAAGGACCCUAGGUACUACCCUAGCUAAACUUCAACUCAACCUCUCCCAAGCCUCGGGUCUUCAUUUGUGACCCUUAGACCAUGCCAUUAUAUGCUUCUCUUGAGUCCUCAAGUGGUCCACCAAUGGUUUUUUGCUACUGUUGCUUAGGUACUACCUUAAUGGCCUUUAGGUACUACCUUAGUGGCCUUCAGGUACUACCUUAAGGGACCCUAGGUACUACCUUAGCUAAACUUCAACUCAACAUCUCCCAAGCCUCGGGUCUUCAUUUGUGACCCUUAGACCAUGCCAUUAUAUGCUUCUCUUGAGUCCUAAAGUGGUCCACCAAUGGUUUUUUGCUACUGUUGCUUAGGUACUACCUUAAUGGCCUUUAGGUACUACCUUAGUGGCCUUCAGGUACUACCUUAAGGGACCCUAGGUACUACCUUAGCUAAACUUCAACCCAACCUCUCCCAAGCCUCCGUUCUUCAUUUGUGACCCUUAGACCAUGCCAUUAUAUGCUUCUCUUGAGUCCUCAAGUGGUCCACUAAUGGUUUUUUGUUAAUGUUCCUUAGGUACUACCUUAAUGGCCUUAAGGUACUACCUUAGUAGCCUUCAGGUACUACCUUAAGGGACCCUAGGUACUACCUUAGCUAAACUUCAACUCAACAUCUCCCAAGCCUCGGGUCUUCCUUUGUCACCCUUAGACCAUGCCAUUAUAUGCUUCUCUUGAGUCCUCAAGUGGUCCACCAAUGGUUUUUUGCUACUAUUCCUCAGGUAGUACCUUAGUGGCCUUAAGGUAGUACCUUAGUGGCCUUAAGGUAGUACCUUAGUGGCCUUAAGGUAGUACCUUAGUGGCCUUCAGGUACUACCUUAAGGGACCCUAGGUACUACCUUAAGGUAAACUUAAACUCAACAUCUCCCAAGCCUCGGGUCUUCCUUGGUCACCCUUAGACCAUCCCAUUAUGUGGUUCUCUUCAUUCCUCAAGUCGUCCACCAAUGGUUUGUUGGGACUGUAGCUUAGGUACUACCUUAAGGGCCCUUAGGUACUACCUUAGUGGCCUUGAGGUACUACCUUAAGGGACCCUAGGUACUACCUUAAGGUAAAUUUCAACUCAACCUCUCCCAAGCCUCGGGUCUUCCUUGGUCACCCUUAGACCAUCCCAUAAUGUUGUUCUCUUCAUUCCUCAAGUGCUCCACCAAUGGUUUUUUGGGACUGUAGCUUAGGUACUACCUUAAGGGCCCUUAGGUACUACCUUAGUGGCCUUGAGGUACUACCUUAAGGGACCCUAGGUACUACCUUAAGGUAAACAUAAACUCAACCACUCCAAAGCCUUGGGUCUUCAUUGGUGACCCUUAGACCAUCCAAUUAUGUGGUUCUCUUCAUUCCUCAAGUCGUCCACCUAUGGUUUCUUGGGACAGUAGCUUAGGUACUACCUUAAGGGCCCUUAGGUACUACCUUAGUGGCCUUGAGGUACUACCUUAAGGGACCCUAGGUACUACCUUAAGGUAAACUUGAACUCAACCUCUCCCAAGCAUCAGGUCUUCCUUGGUGACCCUUAGACCAUCCAAUAAUGUGGUUCUCUUCAUUCCUCCAUUAAAGAUUAAACUUGUUAUCUCUAUGAAUGAACUUAAACUUCAUAUGAGGGGGAACGGGUUUGAAGGUGUUGAGCUAAGAAACAUCCAUGAUGCACUAAUUUUCACUAAUUAUUUAAUUUUCACAAUUGUUAAACAUGGUUUUAGGUCUCUAUGAACACGUUGAUUCAUGGUGCUCAAUUUCCUUGAAAGGAAAAAGAAAAAAAUUCAUGGUUCUGUUUGUCUAAGAUUGCAUCUAAGGAUUUCAUUUUUCUUGUGUGCUUUUCGGUAAUUAUUUUCUGUAGAAAUUUGAAGAUCUAGAUAUGUGUACUCUAGAAGAAUUAUAGGAUUCGAUUUGUCCUGAUCAUGAUCAUGUGCAAAUUUUGGUUUACUGAUUUUAGUUUUCUUUCAAAAUUUUCUUGUUAGGAAAUCUCAAAUUUCUCUUUUUCAUGUGCAAGUAUUUCAUAAGCAUUGAGCAAAAGUCAUCAGAAACCCAACUUGUGAAUUGUGAUGGCAGGUACACCCAUACACUUAUCGGAAUGAGAACCAGUUCUUACACUUUAACUUCCAUCAAGACCCAUAUGCAGAAUAUGAUUAUUGGAUAAACAAGAUAGGAGUUGAUGGACUCUUCACAUAUUUCACUGGCAGCCUCCAUGACUUUCAGGAAUGGACCUCUCCUCUCUCUCAAGAUGAUGGUGAUGAUGAUGGCAAUGCUGCUAAAUUGUUUCAUAAGAUUGCAACUUUAGUCUCUCCCUACAAGAAGGGAUGAUAGUGUAAAAUGCAACUUCUCAAGACUGUAGCUUAGGGUAGAAAUCUCUNNNNNNNNNNNNNNNNNNNNNNNNNNNNNNNNNNNNNNNNNNNNNNNNNNNNNNNNNNNNNNNNNNNNNNNNNNNNNNNNNNNNNNNNNNNNNNNNNNNNNNNNNNNNNNNNNNNNNNNNNNNNNNNNNNNNNNNNNNNNNNNNNNNNNNNNNNNNNNNNNNNNNNNNNNNNNNNNNNNNNNNNNNNNNNNNNNNNNNNNNNNNNNNNNNNNNNNNNNNNNNNNNNNNNNNNNNNNNNNNNNNNNNNNNNNNNNNNNNNNNNNNNNNNNNNNNNNNNNNNNNNNNNNNNNNNNNNNNNNNNNNNNNNNNNNNNNNNNNNNNNNNNNNNNNNNNNNNNNNNNNNNNNNNNNNNNNNNNNNNNNNNNNNNNNNNNNNNNNNNNNNNNNNNNNNNNNNNNNNNNNNNNNNNNNNNNNNNNNNNNNNNNNNNNNNNNNNNNNNNNNNNNNNNNNNNNNNNNNNNNNNNNNNNNNNNNNNNNNNNNNNNNNNNNNNNNNNNNNNNNNNNNNNNNNNNNNNNNNNNNNNNNNNNNNNNNNNNNNNNNNNNNNNNNNNNNNNNNNNNNNNNNNNNNNNNNNNNNNNNNNNNNNNNNNNNNNNNNNNNNNNNNNNNNNNNNNNNNNNNNNNNNNNNNNNNNNNNNNNNNNNNNNNNNNNNNNNNNNNNNNNNNNNNNNNNNNNNNNNNNNNNNNNNNNNNNNNNNNNNNNNNNNNNNNNNNNNNNNNNNNNNNNNNNNNNNNNNNNNNNNNNNNNNNNNNNNNNNNNNNNNNNNNNNNNNNNNNNNNNNNNNNNNNNNNNNNNNNNNNNNNNNNNNNNNNNNNNNNNNNNNNNNNNNNNNNNNNNNNNNNNNNNNNNNNNNNNNNNNNNNNNNNNNNNNNNNNNNNNNNNNNNNNNNNNNNNNNNNNNNNNNNNNNNNNNNNNNNNNNNNNNNNNNNNNNNNNNNNNNNNNNNNNNNNNNNNNNNNNNNNNNNNNNNNNNNNNNNNNNNNNNNNNNNNNNNNNNNNNNNNNNNNNNNNNNNNNNNNNNNNNNNNNNNNNNNNNNNNNNNNNNNNNNNNNNNNNNNNNNNNNNNNNNNNNNNNNCAAUGCAACAAAACGCCAUGUAUGUCUGCAAAACAUAUAUUACAAUAAUGGUAUGUGCAUUCCAAGUUAGGAUUAAGCUUCCUCUAUAUUCAAUGGGAUGUGUCUUAAGAUAUAGAGGGAACUGAAGGCAUACUGACUAAAUAUCAUUAUCCAAAGAACAAAAUAAACUAAGGAGCCUAUUGUGAAGUCUUCAUCUUUGAUAUCUCCUCCAACAGUAAUCUGGAUUCAGCUGCAAAAUCAACUGGAACAACAGCCCUGGCUGUUAUCCUCUGCCUUUUCUCGUUCAUGUACUCAUGUUGUGCAACACUAAUCCGGAAAAGCUGAGGGACCCAAAUAGCUUCCUUCAAUUUCUGUUGGAAUAGGUUCUCUUCUCCCUCCUGCAGAGAAGAUUGGGUUUUUUAAACAUCAGAUUUUGAAUGGCAGAAGUUCAUCAUUUAAAAAAAAAAAAAAUACAACCCAACUAGGCUACCAAAUAAGUAACCAACUACAUAUGAAUUAAUGCAUCAAUGAGCAACUCUUUCAAGUUAACUAAGAUUUGGACAAACUCAUAGAUAUUUCAAUAUUGUCAAGAGUUUACCUGUGAUUUCAGCUUAUCAAGCUCAUCAGCAGAGCACCCAAAUAUUCUCUCUGCUUGGUCAUUGAACAGAGAAAGCCAAUAGAAGCCAUUGAAGCUCCUUUACAUUCAGAAUCAUACCUGUGAAGAAGAACAUAUGGUCAGAAACACUUACUACAAGAACUAACAAGGUAAUAGGUCACUGGAUGAUUCCUUACCAGGAUAUCAACUUUUUUUAUUCGCGUGUAUCUGGAUUUACCAGUACAAUACUUUCACUCAAUGUUGACAGUGAUACAACUAAAACAAGAUAUGAAGAGAACAUUACAAAGAGGACUUCUUAUCAUUCUCAUGUUUUUUAGAAUUGCCAUAAUAAUACCAAAAUUCAAGAAAACAAGGGGAAUUACCUUGGAAGUCUCCAACUUUGAGAGAUUUAAUUGCAACAAUUGGAAAUUAAUCAGCAUUAUCCAACAAUUCCUGCCCUACAUUAGUAGCAUGAUCAUUCCACAAAGAGACCACAACAGAGAGAAAAGAGAGAGAAGAGAGAGAAGCUAAGGACCCUCCAUUUGGCACAAAGUAAGAAAACCUUUUUUGCUGUUUGAUGUGAAGCUCUAUGCAUUAAAAAAAGGAAAAACAAAUUAUAAACUUAAUUUUAAAAUAUAUCAUAAAAAACAGCUCUCUAGGUGGCAGGAGAGGUGGGUUUUGGUUCAAAUAGCUUAUACUGCCUCUGGCAUCUGUUCUUGAAUUCUCCAACUUUGUCUCCCAAACAUGUCCUAAUUCCCAAGAGCUCAUAUUGCCACACCUACUCAUUAGGGUUUGCAUCAGUUUCCAUUAACAUUUAACUAAAAAGAGUUUAAAAAUUCAAUCAAGGUCAAACAAAAUCAACCAUCCCACAGAGCAGAAGUUACAUAGAUAUUCGAGAAAAUAAGUCAUGUCACAAACUAAGCAUCUAAUCACACAGCAGAAGUUCAGAAGUUCAGCUUUCCUCAAUCCAACCAGCUUUGAAUACAUGCUUAUAGGCUUCUAUAAUCUGCUCCUUACCACCUUUAAACAAAACCCUUGAACGAAUUAAACCAAAAAACCCAGAAAAAAAGAAAAAAAAAAAAAAAAAGAAGCACAGAAAAUUAGGAUUAAAAUCAAUCAAUCCACACAAAGUGCUAAAAAAACAUUAAUAAACAAACACCCAACAUAAAAACAACAAGCUUUUAUUAAAAGAACACAAAAACAAAUAAAAUAAAAACAUACCCACAACUUUAUCUUACCUCAAGAACCAAAUCCAAGAGCAAAAAAAGAGUUUAAAAAUUCAAUCAAGGUCAAACAAAAUCAACCAUCCCACAGAGCAGAAAUUACAUAGGUAUUCGAGAAAAUCAGUCAUGUCACAAACUAAGCAUCUAAUCACAGAACAGAAGUUUAGAAAUUCAGCUUUCCUCGGGUGCUAAAUUGCAAUUAAAAAUAAAAACACUAAUUAAUUGUCAAUCUCAAGAGAACCUAAAUCCCAAAAAUUAGGCCAGAAACCUAAAUUACGUGCAUUGAAUAGUUCCAGAUGCAUGAAAUCAAUGAAAAAAAUUACCAAACAAAAAUAGUAAUCAGGAAAGACCAAGUAAAGAAUACACAAAAAUGUACAUAUUUAUCGUUCAUUCGUGUGGUCGCCGGAAGAAAAAAAACGGGAAUAAAGAACAAAGCUCGAGAUUUACAGCUGCGCCUAAACAUUUGCUCUCUUUCAUUGCAAAGAAACCAACAACAAUAGAAAAAAAAAUAAUCAUAUAAGUUUCGCCUCAUAUUUUCCUCAUUUACCUCAGUUUUCUGAGCAACCAAACAAAAACUAAAAGAUGGACUAGAAAGCGAAUCUAACUUGAAUAGUGUAAGAGAGCUCAUAACAGAGUGGAAAUCUCUAAAUGAAGGCGAGAACCUGGAGAUGAAAUCGCUUUAUCUGAAGAAAUUUGCGGAUCAGUAGUACGGCGACACGCGUGAAUCGAUUACAGCUUACAAGCUUUCAAUUUUUCAUUGAGAAAUUCACACAACAGAGAGAGAAGAGAGAGAAGAGAGCGAAGCUAAGGACUCUCUGUGACUUUCUCUCCUUUUGCCCUAACCUGGGUUCCCCAAAUUUCAGAGUCGAGUGUCGCGUGGGCUUUAUCUGAAGAAAUUUGCGGAUCAGUAGUAUGGAGACACGCGUGAAUCGAUUACAGCUUACAAGCUUUCGAUUUUUCACUGAGAAAUUCACCCAACAGAGAGAAAAGAGAGAGAAGAGAAAGAAGCUAAGGACUCUCUCUGACUUUCUCUCCUUUUGCCCUAACCUGGUUUCCCCAAAUUUCACAGUCGGGUGUUGUGUGGGUUUUGCUAACUUGUUUAAGAUUUUUGUGUUUAUUUAUUAAAAGCACAACCCGUGACAUGGAGAGGGAGAUGGCUGCUGACAUGGAUGUGGAGGGGUAAUUUUGGAAAUGAAAUUAUAAAACAGUACAUAGUGCAUGAAAAGGAUAAUUUUUUGGGCAACAGUAGACAUAUUUUGGGUUAUGGAAAGUUGGGUUAUGAAAAAGCUAUUAGGCCCAAAUGGGCGGGCCAAAACACAGUUUUCCCUAUAUUGUAUCAUAAGAAAAAGAAAGGAAAAAAAAAGAGUGGAGGGGGAGGGGGAGAGAUGGGGGGCUAUGUUGUAAACAACAGGGUAGCCUGUGUAAAGCCCCCAGUUUUUACUUAGAGACCUCAUUACCCAUUAGGAAAAGGGUCAGUGACCUAUUAUUAAUAAUGCAAAAUUACCCAAAGAUGGAUAUUUGAAUUUUUUUUUUUUUUUUGGAGAAUUUAAGAAUUGUUGACACAAUAUAGUGAAACUGCAUAUACAAAUAUUGGGGUCAUUAGUUCACAUGACUUAAGCGAUUAAGAACAUUGAAGAGGAGACAUGUUGCUUGAUAAGCCCACCUGUCUACAUCUUGAGCAGCCACAGUUUGUUGCUCAUGAGACUUUUUGGAAGACACCUCCAGGGAUAAGAUUGAGUAAUUUAAAUUCCAUUAACAGAGUUCCUCUCUUUCAUUAGCCUUUAGGCCCUUAGGAAUCAAGCUUAAACUCGAAAGAUUCUAAAAUCUUACUCCCUUCUAACCUCAGGAAAGUUUUGAGAGCUUAGGUAUCCACAAAUAUCUUGGUACAUUCUAACAAGUCCUAUACCACUUUCCACCAUUCAAUUUAUCCCAAAAUAGCAUAAAUGUCAAGGGGAUACAGGAGACCAGAACUAAUAAAGGCAAUGACAUUAAACGGGAGAAAAAAAUAUCAAAGCAUGAUAGAAGAGUUAAAUACUUAAACAAGUUAGUGUUGGUAUUUUAAUUAUAGUAUUCCAUUAAUACAGUACCAAAAUACUGGAUGCCAUAUACUUUUGUCUAACAAUGGAUGGAAUAAUAGAUAUACAAGCACAAGAAAUAUGUUUCACUAACAUGAAAAUGAAAUUUAUGAAAGGUGGCUAGAUUCGAGAAAUACAAACAGGAUAGAACACCUAUGAAGCAUGAAAUAUUUUUGAACACAAACUUUAACAAAUCCAUAACAUGAAUAAAUGUUUGGAACCACCACACUAGAUCAGCAAUCUGUAGCUUCUCAAUAUCAUAACUGUUACAGCUAUAUUCGACUUCUAACCAUAUAAGCUAAGCCUAUGUUUUGUUUCUAGAAAGUUUUAAGGAAAAAAAAUAGAGCAGAGAAAUAUAAGAAAAAAUUAUAAAAGUUUUCUUUUAUUUGAUUGUCCAUUGAAAAGUUGAAGGAAAGAAAAUUAAAUUGCUAAAGAAUGUAAUUUCCACUAACUUUCCUCAUUUUUUGUUAAGGAAAAUGGACACCACCACCACCCCAACCCUUUUCUUUCGUUUUUUUUUUCUUCAUCUUUCGCAUGGUACCCAAACAUGAGAAAACCAUUUUCACUAGCAUUUUUUCCUUUCCUUUUCUUAUUACUUUCCAAGAACCAAACAUAAGGUAAGUUUAUGACACCCUUUCUAACACAACCAUUAAUAGACGGCUCAAGGUACUUCUAACAGUGAAAGAAGAAUUUCACAAAUACUUAUAGUAAAUUACAGAAUAAGCCAAAAGUGAAGAUAACAUCUAUUAAUACCUGCCUUCUUCAUCUUCCAAAUUCUGAAGAUGUUGUUUUUCAUCUUCACUUAAGUCCAAUGCAACUUGGACGUAGGAAAAAUUAGAACAAAAAAAUAAUCAAGCAUUCUUUUCUCAGCAUCAUCAUGCAAAAUUUUCCACCAUAGCAUAAAAGGAAAUCAUGAAGAAAAAUAAAAAAUGAAAAAAUAAUACGCAUGCUCUCUACAAUAAUAACAAUAAAGGCAAACUACUCCAACAAAUUAUUAGAAAAAAUUGGAAAAAAUAAAAUUCAGAGAAUGGAAAUCCAUUUUCACCUCCAUAUAAAAUACACCAUGAAAAACAUUGGAAUCUAGUAAAGCUCUAGGUAAAAGAGGUAUUUCAGGCCAAUUUAAGAGCUCUAUCAGAAAUUCAAAUGCCCAUUCUGAAAUAGAAAAUUUAAAAUCUAAUUGAAACUUAACUUUGCAAUCCGAGUACCAUAAAAACAUUGAAAAAGUCACACAAAUACUCGCAUAAUCUUAUCAAUCGAAAGGUUAUAAUACAAGGUGCAAAACACCAGAAUCAGAAAUAAGUUUCACAUUCUACAAAACUUACACUAAAAAGAGAAAGUUAAAAGGUCACAGACAGUCGAAAAUAACCAGAAAAUAAAGGAAAAUAAAAGAAAAGGGACCUGUUUGGCGAUAAGUUCUCUCUUAGAGUGGGAUGGGAGUUGGGAGACACUCAUCUAAUAUAUAGGGAAAGUUGUGUUUUUUUUCCCUCCCUCUGUUUUCUGGAUCUAGGGGUCUCUUUGCUUUUGUGCCAUUUGAAUUAAAUUUCACAAACCCUAAACCCACGAUUUUUUUAGCCAGGCUGAAAAAUACCACCUUUGCCUGCAAAUCGUGAUCAGAUUACCAAAUAGCAUCUUAUUGUGCCAUUGGAAUUAAAUUUCACAAACCCUAACCCACGAUUUUUGAACCAGGCUCAAAAACACCACAUUUGCCUGGAAAUCGUGGUCAGAUUACCAAAUAGCAUCUUAUUGUGCCAUUGGAAUUAAAUUUCAAAAACCCUAAACCCACAAUUUUUGAGCCAGCCAGAAAAAUACCACCUUUGCUUGCAAAUCGUAAUCAGAUUACGAAAUAGCAUCUUAUGUUUUAAAUAAAAAAAAAAAUCAAAAAGCUUGGACAGCUCGUGAACAAUGCAAAACAACAUUUAGCCCAAAUUUUUUCUCAACAGCCAAACAAAUUGUUAAAUGGAAACUCACCUGCGAUUACUCCAAAAGGAAGACGAAGCUCCACCGCCGAUUCCAGAAACCACCCAUGAAAAUGCAGGCAAAAGGAGAGAAUAGGGCAAAAAGCGAGGAAGUCAGCGUUUCCCCAAAUUUUUGAGUCGGGUCGUGGGUUUUGCAAAUCCUAACUCUAAAGCUUAAUAUUUUUGUGUUCAAUUAUUAAAAACACAACUUCCCGUGCUGACACGGAUAAGGAGAUGGCUGCUGACAUGGUAGGCUGGAGGGGUAAUUUUGGAAAUGAAAUUAUAAACAGUGGAUAGUGCAUGAAAGGGAUAUUUUUUUGGGAGAAUUGUGUUUUGGGCCCAGCUGGGCCCAAAAAUUAACAAAUGGUCCAUCUAACUGACCUAAUUAAUGAUAAGGAUAUCAAAUGUUAACAGACGAAAAUGCCCUUUACAUUUCCAACUCAAAUUGUUGUAAAAUAAUGGGUUUUACAGCUGGUAAACGUGAAAUGCCAUGUCACCAGAGUGAAAAUUCUGAAUCUUCCUAAAAACCACUCACAUAUACCCUCUCCUUCUACUCUCUUUCUCGCCGGAGUUUCAGUUUCUCCGUUCAACCCCAACUCUUCUCCGGCCAAUUCUUACUCGUCCCACCAUUCUUUCCUUCAAUUCUCACCAGAGUUUGCCCCUUUUCCACCAAAGUUCACUCCUUUUUCACCAAAGCUCACAACUUUUUCCCACCCAAGAAACCAUUUUCCGCUCAAACAAACAGGAUUUUCUCCUUUUCUGGUUUAUGGGAUUUCGACAUAGUUCCUAAAAAGAGACACUUGAGAGGGAACUAAGGUUUUCUCUGUAUACACAAAAGGGUUUUUAGAGAGAGAAAACAGAGUGCAGUUUCACUGAGCCAUUUUUGUUUGCUUUGAAGGAAAUUUUUUAUGUGUUUUGGUGAAGAUUUUAGGGCCUAAAGCUUCAGAUUAUUUGUUUGGCAAUGCAGAAAAUAUAUUCUGGGUGAGUUUUUUCUCAUCUUCAUUUUUGAGAAAUUUUUUUCUCGUAUAUGGCUUUGAUUCUCAGAAAUUUAUUCUAAGGUUUGGAUUAUGUUGAUGAGAUUACCUUGAAGAACUAUGCUUAAUUACUGAAUAUUUUUAUGAAUUUAGGUUGUAAAUAUAUAAAUAUAUCAGUGAUUGAUUAAUUAAUUAAUUAAUUGAUUGAAUGAAUGAUUAAUUGACUGAUUGAUUAGGGGCUAGUUGUUAGAUUGUGUAUUCAAUGGGUGGAUUCAUGCAUGAUUUAAAUUUAUGAAAAAUGGGCCCACCAAAGUCAUUUCUUUAAUUCUUAGUUUUCAAUCACAUUCACCAUUGAUUAUGAUCAUUUUAAGAUCAUAUAUGCAUGGCAUACCCAAAAUUUUCUAUCCAAUUCUACCCAUUUACAAUUAUGUUUAUGGAAUCUAAUGAAAUUGAUGUAUUUGUUCAUGAAAAUGAGCUCAUUUGGUCUGAUUUGAUUCCAGGUCAUGGCAUUGCAGUGAGUUUAGGUGUGUUAUUGGUAUGAUUAUGUUAAUCAAAGAUUCGAAAUGGCCGAUUUCUUCAUGAAAAUGAGCUCAUUUGGUGUGAUUUGAUUUUGGGUCAUGGCAGUGUAGUGAGUUUAGAUGUAGUAAACAAACAAUUUGUUUGUGAAAAUGAACUCAUUUUAUUUGGUUUGAUUCCGGGUCAUGGCAUUGCAAUGAGUUUAGGUGUAUUAUUGAUUAUUUGAAUGAGGGCGAUUUGUUAUGGGAAAAUGAGCUCAUUUGGUGUGAUUAUGUGAAUCAAAAGGAUCUGAAAAUGCUCAGAUUGUUCAUGAAAAUGAGCUCAUUUGGUCCGAUUUGAUUCCGGGUCCUGGCAGUGCAGUGAGUUUUGGUGUAUUAGCAUGAUUGUAAUUUAUAUCAAUUAAACUAUUAGAAACACUAGAUUUCUUCACGAAAAUGAGCUCAUUUUAUGUGAUUAGGUUUCGGGUCACUGCAAUGCAGUGAGAUUUGGUGUAUUAGCAUGCGAUUGGAAAAAUGAUCUCAUUUCAUUUGAUUGAUCUCCGGCCAUGAUAUCACAAUGAGUCUAGGUCUACUACUGUGAUUAUAUCAAUCAAACGACUAAAAAUGCUUGAUUUAUUCAUGAAAAUGAGCUCAAUCCAUGUGAUUCCAUUUUGGGUCAUGACAAUGCAGUCAGUUUAGGUGUACCGUUCAUGCAUUGUGUAAUUAGUAGGUGAUUGGGUUUUUGAUUAAUUAAUCAAGCUUGUGUCAUUCNNNNNNNNNNNNNNNNNNNNNNNNNNNNNNNNNNNNNNNNNNNNNNNNNNNNNNNNNNNNNNNNNNNNNNNNNNNNNNNNNNNNNNNNNNNNNNNNNNNNNNNNNNNNNNNNNNNNNNNNNNNNNNNNNNNNNNNNNNNNNNNNNNNNNNNNNNNNNNNNNNNNNNNNNNNNNNNNNNNNNNNNNNNNNNNNNNNNNNNNNNNNNNNNNNNNNNNNNNNNNNNNNNNNNNNNNNNNNNNNNNNNNNNNNNNNNNNNNNNNNNNNNNNNNNNNNNNNNUAAUUGAUGUCUACCAUGUUCAUUCAUCCUAUUAGCUUCCCUAGUAAUGAUGAAUAUGAACCGAAAUUAGGGUCACCUUUUGUGUCAUUUUCCCUAGUCCAUGGUAAUGGAAACAUUGGUUACCCACCCAUAUUCACUUGGAAAUAUGUACCUAUUAGGGAUUUGGUGACUGGACAAGGCAUUUACACUAAGUGUACAAGGCCAAUGUACUAAAUGUACAAGGGUGUACAAGGGUGUGCAUCUUACUUUUUCCAAACGUGGGGAACAAUCCUCACACAUGUUGCUUGAUAACACACGCAUUGCAUGCAAUUUAAUUGAUGUCUACCAUGUUCAUUCAUCCUAUUAGCUUCCCUAGUAAUGAUGAAUAUGAACCGAAAUUAGGGUCACCUUUUGUGUCAUUUUCCCUAGUCCAUGGUAAUGGAAACAUUGGUUACCCACCCAUAUUCACUUGGAAAUAUGUACCUAUUAGGGAUUUGGUGACUGGACAAGGCAUUUACACUAAGUGUACAAGGCCAAUGUACUAAAUGUACAAGGGUGUACAAGGGUGCCUAUCUUGAAGGAUUUCAAAUGCAAAUGGUGGUUGCUCAUUGUGGCCGAUGUGCUGAACGUGUUGUGUUUGGCGAUGAGAUAACUGAUGGAGGAAGGGAUGACCUAGAAAAGAUCACGAAGGUAAUUGUACUUAACAUCAACUUGUUAUAAGUUCAAACUGAUCCUUCGAGGACAUGCUCCAUUGAUUAAAAAAAAUUAUAUUUAGCAGACACAAUACUAUUUGAGGCAGCACUUAAGGAGUUGCAUGCUUUGGUGCAUGAUUAUUUGCAUUUAUUAUGUGUUUGCUUUAAAAUGAACAAAUGGGGAAAAUAAGCUUCACUCAGGAAAGCAAAAUUCAUCAGGAUAAAAAUACAAAGUACAAAUAAAAGGAGGAAAUUUAUAAUAGAAGUGAAGACAGUUGCAUUUUGAACUUGGCUGUCUGUCAGUAGACUUAAGGUUCCUAAACCUCGCCCUUGAUAUGAGCUGGAAGCAAGGCUUACGAAAAUUCUUUGGGACAUGGAAUUCAAAUCUAGUAAUGCUCAUUCCAUGAUACUUGUUUUACCUUUAUGAUUUGCACUUUAUUUAGACACAUUGUUAUGAUUUUCAACUAACCCAUUACAUGGUUUCAUUACAUGUCAAUGUGGUUGAUGAUGGGAAACGGAUUUCCACAAUCCUCAAGGACCAUGUGGGAAGGAUUAUGUUGGGUUUUUUUCUAUUUAUAAAUCAAGUGUUUAUAUUCAAGAGAAAAGGCUUUCAUACUUGGUAUGUACCCAUAAGCAUCACUGAAAAUUCAACUUCUCUUUCUAUCUAGAUUGAUUACAGAAGCAGGCUACGUUUUUUUUCUAAUAGGAUCACAAUGUAAAUUAAUCAUGAAUGCACUUUAUAAUUUGAUGUGUUUAGAUUUAUGUACAAAACGGAUUUUUAUGCUGCUAGUAACUUCUGUUGGUGUUUAAAACAAACAUGGAAUUAACCAUAAUGUUCUCUGUGCUCUUUGCAAGAUACUGGUAUAUUGAGUUGUGGAUGAUCUUAUUUGGUUUAUAUGCCUUUCCAAUCCCUCAUGCUACUUGUUUUCUCACUUUGCAUGGUGCUUGUUUCUGUUUCUGAAACCUUCUUCCAUGGAGUUUGGCUCUAUUGUUAGUAGUGAUGGUAAUAAACGUCUAUUUCCUUGCAAUUUCUUCAGGAGGGACCCUUGCCUCACAACGAUCGGGUGAGAUAUCAGCCACUGGACCUAUAUCCUGCUCCACUCCACAUAUGUUAAAAGUGUUAACGGAACGACGCAGGGUUCUCCCUUCCUACCAUGUUGUCUUUGAUCCUAGUUUGGCUGCCAUCUAUCUGAGUCCAAGUUAGACAUUGAUUCGGGCUCCUGGGAGAAGAAAGAAACCCGGCUUUUGACACCAAUGCUCUGGUUCUUAGAUGCUGAAGCUAUUGAAUAUUGUCAGCUGACUCUUGAGUAGAAGGGUGAAAUGCCAAUGGAAUGUAUCUUAAGAUGAGGCUUAGGACUGUGGUUUACAACAGUUUUGUUGGCUUAUUUAUUACUGUUUUGAUGUUUCUGUACAAUGAAAUUGAAGUUAUAAGAAGGGUCGAUCUGUCUUCGUGUACAGAGAAAUCUGUAAUGAAAAUACUUUUUGCCCAUUAAUGUAUUGAACAUAGAAAAAUUGUGAAAUCUCGAGUUCUAGCGAACCCAUCCCUGUUGAAGUGAUCAAUACAGAAGUCCAAAGAGGAAACACCAGGAGUUUCUGAAAAUGUUUUUUAAUGUUUUGUAAAACAUUUUGUUUGAUAACUUGAAAUUUUUUUAACUUUUUUUUUUUAAAAAUUUUAAAUAUAUUUUUUUUAAAAAAUUUAUAUGUAAUGUUUUAUUUUUAAUAUUUUUUAUAUUUAUAUAAUAAUAUUUAAAAAACAAGUAAAAACAAUUAAAAUAUAUAAUUUAUAACUUUUCUAUCUUUAAACAUCUAAGAGUAUAAAAUUAUUUAUUGAUUGUCAAUUUUUUCCUAGAAAAUAAAAAAUUGGUUUUGAAAACAAUUAACAAAUAGGGUUUUAGAGUGAAUUUGACAACUGUUUUGAAAAACAAAAUUCUAAAAAAUAUAAAAUAGUUUUUCAACUUCAAAAACAACUAAUUAAAGAGUAAUACAUGUAACCGGUCGACCGGACAAUGAUAGGGGGUCGACCGGUUGUUGCAAAAACUCCUCAUAUAAUGUAGACCGGUCGCUGGCAACCGGUCGACCGGAUUACUUCAAAAAUUUUAUGCCAUCUCACUAUUACAAGAGACACAAAAUAUGCAAAUAUGUAAAUUUUUUUCAAAGUUAUUACUUCAAAAAUUUUAUCAGUUCUAAAACUAUUUUGAGAACUAACAUUUCAUGAGAGAAUGGAAUAUUUUUUCUUAUAUUGGAUGUUCUAAGAAAAUCAACUUGUUAAACAAUGCAAUGACAUGACUAAUAUUGGUAAUGUGGGAUUAGUUCAAACUUAUCUAAUACAUCAUUACAAUGUAGCCUUGAAAAACAUGACAUUAUGAAACAGUAUAUUAUUUCAUUUAUAUUUAUGCUUUUGGUAACCCUUUACUAUUAUAUUUAUGUGUCUUAAUUAUUUUGAACAUUCAAGUCUACUUCACUUACAUUACACAUUUGGGUGCGUGAUAAAUUGCAUAAAAGGUCUAACUCCUUCCAAGUUGAUGAGUUGUUCAUUGCUUACUCAUGGACUUAGGUAAUUUGCCGAAUGUUAAAGUUCAGUACCUCCUAAUAUGGAUGAGAUGACUUGGCGAUCUUGUAAAUAUUACUAAACAACAUAUAAUAAAGUAAAUAGCUGCUUAUAUAUAUAUAUAUAUAUAUUGAAUCCAAAUUAAAACGAAAUCAAAAACAUUUGCAUGCUGACACAACUCUAAAUAUACGUAUGCUAAUACAAAAUAUAUAUGUCCCAGUUUUGCAAGCUAAACAAAAUAACGACGUGGUCUCAAUGCAAUCAAGGUGCAGCGGGUGGCGGUGGGAACACGGCGCGGAGGUACGCCAUUAACUCCUCAUGCUGACGCUCUUGGCGAUCAAGCCUCUGUAGGAUAUGCUCAUGCGUAGCCUGCUGCUGAUCCAUGCGCUCCUCAAUACGAGUCCCAAGUGAGGUAAUCUGCGCAGACAACUCCAUCCAAGGCGCAUGCGCAGCGGCGUCAGGAGCCUGGCCAGGUGAUGUAUGGGUGUAAUGAGGCUCAGUAAAUGAUGGCUGACCAGAUGGUCCCGCUGUGUAACCCGUCUCAGUCAUCACCGCAUCUGAAAUAGUCGGGUCAAUGUGGCCACCCUUAGACUGGCGUGGAGGGAUAUCAAACUCAGCCUCUCUAUGCUCAAAAUCGGUCUGAGGGUGUACCCCACCCUCCAUCUCCCUAAUCUCCUCCUCUUCGUCUUCCUCUGCCUGUGGAUGUGGUACUGGUCGGUCCGCCCUCCUAAUCCAUGACCCAUCUGGGGCCUUCUCCAACUUCAUCCGCGCCAUCGACUGCUCAUCAUAUGUGUCAUAACUGCUGGGCGCCUCGACCUCCUGCUCCCUGCUCAAAUCCACCCCCGCAUCCUUGAACACUCGUGUCAUGAAGCGGCCAUAUGGGAGAAUGCGUUUGGGCCUCUCGCAGCAUGCCAUCAUGUGCAUCAUCAUGACAUACCCGACGUCAAUACGUCUCCCCGUCAUAAUCGAAUCAAUCAGAAAUGCCUCCAGAUAGGAAACCUCAUCUCGAUGACCGCCACGUGGUAGGAGGAUGUACGCUAUCAUGUGGUGAAGGACUCGGCAGGUCACUGUCAGGCUAUGGGCCGAUGGUUUGCCCAACCCCGGGGCAUCUGCAAGGCCGUAGAUCCUCUGAAUCGCCUCUCUCGGAUCGAAACCCGGCACCGUCGGCCAGGUCUUGGCAUCAUAUACUCGGAGUCCACCAGGAGGAAUGUCCAAAAUGCGGCAGAUGCUCUCCGGGUCCAGAUGGAUCUGAACCCCUCUAACGGUCGAAGUGAUCGGUCCUCCAUGUCCAAAUGUCACACGGGAAUAGAAUGCCCUGACUAAUGUCGGAAAAAUGGGCUCUGAAAUAGUGACUAAGGGCAGCCACCCCAUGCAUGCAAAGAGGCUCUCAAACCCGAAAUGUUGUAGAUGGGCGAAAUUUAUAUUUCUCCCUGCAACCACCUUCCUCUGGACGAAAUGCUGCUUGUACCUCUGGUAUUCGUCGACCGAAGUGAAAAGGCCGGUGUCGAACCUCGCCUUUCGGCGAGCCUCCGCCUGACCGUCCUGAGAAGCCUGAGCAGGGCGCUUGCCCAGUGCCUUCGACGCACCCCUAUCUCUCCUAGGCGCCAUGAAACACUACAAAGGGCUACCCCUAUGUCAAAACAAGGCCAAUGAAAGAGUCUGUGACGCGCGCGGGAAGAGAAGAGAACCCGCCUGUGACGCGCAAUGAAGGAGGACCAUUGCCAAACCUCACUCCCUAGGUCCGAAAUGUGAAGCCGCACCCCUCAAAACUCACUCCGAAGGCUUGCAACAGCUGGAAUCGCGUCCAAAGUGGGUGUGUGGCAGCUCAAUCGGUGGAUCCCUUCGACUGCCAGAGGAUAACACUGAAGAAAUUAAGCGCGGAAUGGUUUUUUAAACGUCACCCCGGCCGACCGGAUAUGAACCGGUUGACUCAGUAACAUGUUCCAUGGUGUUUUGCACUUUUUAAUAGGUAUAAUGCAAAACACUUGUGAUAUUCACUUUUUGUGGGGUUGCCUUAAAUAUUUUCUCCGUAUAUUUUAAAUAUUUUUAUAAAAUAGUUUUUAUAAAAACAAUAUAUGCAUUUUCUAUAAAAUAUUUUUAUUCUUAAAGGUAAAAAAUAAAAAUAUAUAUCCAAGUGCUACCUUAAUAAUUUAUUUUCUGUCCUCAAUUUUUCCACAAACAACCAUAUAAAAUUUCUUUAACUUUUUCUCUUUCCUUAUAUUUUCUUUUUUAAUUUUUUGGCUUCAAACUUUUUAGGAAUCCAACAUAAUAAAAGAUGGCGCUUUAAAGGUUUUUUUAAAGCAAUCCUAAAAACUUCUUAUUUUUUUAAGUGAGUUUUAUUAGCUUGAAUUUUAAAAUUUUUAGAAAUAAUUUUUGAAAAUAUAAGGUUUUUAAGUUAAUACCUUUUAUAAAAAGUUUCUAUUUUGUACAUAAAAAAAUUUUAUUUUGAAAAUUAGAAAUCAGAAAAUAUAAGGUUUUUAAGUUAAUACCUUUUAUAAAAAGUUUCUAUUUUUUACAUAAAAAAUUUUUAUUUUUAAAAAUAGAAAUCAGAAAAUAUAAGGUUUUUAAGUUAAUACCUUUUAUAAAAAGUUUCUAUUUUUUACAUAAUAAAUUUUUAUUUUUAAAAAUAGAAAUCAGAAAAUAUAAGGUUUUUAAGUUAAUACCUUUUAUAAAAAGUUCCUAUUUUUUACAUAAAAAAAUUUUAUUUUUAAAUAUAGAAAUCAGAAAAUAUAAGGUUUUUAAGUUAAUACCUUUUAUAAUUCCUUUGUCUAUUUAGCCUAUUUGAUUAUUAAUAUUUGUAUAUGAAGAAUUUAUUCGAUUUAUAAAAAAUAAAUAUGAAUAUAAUUAAAAUGUAAAUUCAAGAAAAAAAGAUAUUUAAUUAAAAAAUGAAAACAAAUCACAACAAAACAAUAUCACACAUCAAGAACAUGUUACUUUGUCAUAAUAUUUAUUGUUUUUGUUUUAGUUUUCAUAAAUUGAAUGGUUUUGGGUUUGGAAAAAUAUAAAUUAUGGUAAUAUAACUAAAAAGAUAAUUUUUAUCAAAAUAAUUUUUAAGGCUUGAAUGUUAUAUUAAUUGAAUUUAGGUGUUCUCCCACUGAGUAAUUUAUCCAAUAAGCAACUUGGCUUGGGUUUUGCUUCUGGUUUUUUUCAUUGACUUGAGGUUGACUUGAGGUACCAUUGCAACCCCUUCCCUGUAGGUAGGAAGCGGUCGCAGUAUAACACUAACACAAAUGUCCAUAUCUCUAUCCCAAUCAUUUACAUCUUUCAGAUCAUAUGAAAAAUUGCGACUAUAUGAAAAAAUCAACAUUAAAGGAAUGCGGGAGUUGGAAGAAUUACAGGAAUUGGGGGAGUACCCUUCCCUAGUUUUUUUAAAGAUCAGUUACUGCCGCAAUCUGAUGAAGUUGCCAUCCCACUUUCCUUAUUUAGAAGAUCUAAAGAUCAAACAUUGCGUCUCUCUCAACACCCUUGUUGUGACCCCACUUCUGAAAGUUCUCGUGCUAGUUGACAAUAUUUUUCUGGAAGAUUUGAAUGAAGUGAAGCAGUCAUUCUCUAGUCUUUUGGUAUUGAGAUUAAUUGUUGCCCAAAGCUGAAGGUAUUACCUCAAAUAUGUACCCCAGAUAAGAUGGAGAUUGGUGGGUCUAAUUUACUGGAAGCUCUCUCAGCCCGAGAUUACUCCCAACAUCUUGAGCACUUGAUCGUGGAUGAAUGCGAGGAUGAAACACUGGUAGUGGGGGCAAUACCAAGGAGGACUUCUCUAAACUCUUUGGUCAUUUCAAACAUCUCAAAGGCAACCUGUUUCCCCAAGUGGCCUCAUCUUCCUGGUCUCAAGGCUUUGCACAUCUGUCAUUGGAAAGAUCUGGUAACUUUAUCCCAAGAAGCAUCACCAUUCCAAGAUUUGACCUAUCUCAAACUGUUGUCAGUUGUCAAGUAUCUAAUCUAAAAUAGGUUCCAGCAUCGGAAAUUUGGCUGAAAAUUGUCCCCUUAAUUUAUAUAUAACCAUACUAUCCCAAUCAUUUAUAUUUUUCGAAAGUUAAAAAAUCCACUAUAUGAAAAAUUAGCAUUUAAGAAAAGAAAUCAUUUGUUUUCUAAAAAAAUUAAGUACUAAUAACUUGUAUAUUGUUUUAUCAUUUCUUAAAAUUUUGUCCAAAUUUAAAAAUAACCUCUUACUUUAAUUUGAGCCCCUUCUUAAUUAUAUUACAUUUUGAUUUUUUAAAUAAAACUAAGAAUUAUUUAAAAAUUUUAAAAUUUUGUCCAAUUCUCCAGGAACCGGUCGACCGAAACUGAUCGACCGGUCUAUAUCCGGACGAGGGUGCCAAAAUGCACCCUCUCUCAUCCAGUAGCUUGUCCAAACCUCCAAGAACCGGUCGACCGAAACUGAUCGACCGGUCUAUCUCCGGACGAGGGUGCCAAAAUGCACUCUCUCUCAUCCAGUAGGGUGUGCGCGACCGGCUGAAGAAAGGUUCGACCGGUUUACCAAUGGCUGAAGGACAAUAUCGACCGGUCGAACACUUUAUGCUUUCCGAUCCACGGGUCCAUCUAGACCGGUUCCUGGGUUGGCCAUAUAUACACCUGCAUUGUACUGUAUAAAUUGUAAACGAUAUGUACGAGAUUGUUGAUGAAAAGGUUUGUUAUAGGUUGUAAUGCCGGUGCCUUUUAUUAGAUGUUUUGAGAUAGUGAGGGAAAAUGCGACUUCAUCACAACCUUCAUUAAAUAUAUAAGCCAUAAAAUUGGCAAUACAAUGUCAGGAGUUGGUUUUUCCUGUAUAAUGUACAAUCAUCUUUAAUUCGCCCUAUUUACUUACAAUGCAUUGACAAGCAACUUAAGUAAAAAAACAAUCAAAUUCUGACUAAUCCCAUAAUCCCAGUGUUCAUUUCCGCAUAUGUCCACCAUAAAUUACAUACAAAUGUGCUAAUUUUAUACAGUUUUAUCACAAAUUACAAUCCCCUUUAAUCUCUCCGGACACGGUCUCGGUGUGCAUUUUGUGCUGAGAACAACAUACUCCCCAUGAUCUUCAACCUGUAAUGUUUCAAUUUCCCCUGCGUUCAUUCACGUUGAUAGCAACAAAUCAGCAAAUUAAUUAAUUAGGUUUUUCUAACUAUUUUAACAUUAAUGAGAUAGUCAUAGAUAAUUCCUCCUACGUACCACAUCGAUUGAUUUGGAGAACCCCCCCAUUGACCACAAUUCCAUGAAUUUCAUUACAAAAACUCCACAAUCGUGCCUACGUCAAUAUAAUUACCAAAACGUUAAUAAGUGUGGAAUUAUAAAUAAGAGAUGAACUUCAAAUAAAUUGCAAUCUUAUACAAUAUCCCGGACUGCAAGGUCAACACUCACUCAUUAGUUUGGAGGGGUACAUCAGGUGUUAUGAAAUUGAAUGUCCUCAAAUCAUAAGGUGAUACCUCUUUUUUGUGGGCAGCCAACCACAGGACAACCUUGGCCUGAAACAUUUAGUAACACAACAAUUGAAAUUUUAAUGGGAAGACAUACCUAUCAAAUUAUUACUUGUUGCUUGUUACUUUACCAGAUUUUGUUGGACUCCACUCAACAUUGUCUUCUUUCUACCAGGACGAGAAUCUAGCAGUUGGAUUCUCCUGUUUUCUAGGUCAUAUACAUACAAUGUCCAAUGGUUCUUUAUGAGAACCGGUAAGAAGACCUGCACCAAUAGACUGCCAUUAAACAUACAUCUAAAUAUUGUACAUUCAUGCAAUAAAAAUACAAAUCCAAGCAUUAAACAUAUGAAUCCACCUCGUUAACAUUGACAUAUGGAAUAUCAAUCUGAUACAGAUGUGGUUCAAAGCGUCUAAUAACUGCCUCCCUAACUAAGUUUUUUGCCUGGGAGUGGAUUACCAUUUCCUGCAUGUUAGAUACGGGAUAAUAUCAGGUUUCUCAUUGUAGGUGAUGCCUGGUUCAAGACAAAAAAUAAAGAUAAGCAAGGAUUUAAUGGAAUAGUCAUCAUUAUAGCUAUGUAGGGGGAUAGAAAAAGUUUCGACUUCGGUUCAUGUUGAUACUGCAACAAUCUACAGUAGGAAUCGACGACCUGAUUUCGUAUAUCAUAAAAGUGUAAGCAACAAAUUAAUUUAGAACCACACUUUCAUUUUCAAACUUAAAAUAAUGCAUAAAGAGGGAUAAGAAAUGAUAUGCACGUCGUUUCCUAUCCACCCAUUCCCUUGGAAGCAGCCCAAAUUGGCUCUGGUUAGAAUAGUGUCAUGCAUAGACACUAGUUCCUCACUGUUACAAAAAAAUACAAUUUAGUUUUUGUGUUUUAACUAUCAUACAAUGAGAGGAGUGUCACUCAAGUAUGUUACCUUGCAUCCAAAUCGUCUCCAAAUACCAGUGCAGCUCCUUGUUUUAGGUCGAUUUUGAUGGCAGAUUGUUUGGUUUGUGGUUGGGAUAUGUAUGGGGACAACAGGUUUGGAGCCAUGCGACGCACUCGACAUCUCCGGACGUUUCUAUUUGUGGGGACAACAUUACCUUCUGGUUGUUCUUCAGCAUCUGCAAUACGAGAUUUAGAACUAGUCAGCAAAGGUAUACAUUAUGAUUGGGUACAUGGGUUGUUAACCAUAUGGGUGUUUGCAUAAAUUUGAUCACUUACCGCUUACUACAUUAAUGGGUACACUGGGCUGCAACUCAUACUCAGGGGCGACAACGCGAUCUGGUGUGUCUAGCACAUGGUAUGCAGCAUGCGAAGCCAUGUACUCAUCACCAGGAAAUGCAUGGUCAUCGGCUGUGGGAGGGCUGGCUGGUGCAUAGCUAGAGUGACCACCCGCAUCUGAAUUUACCCCACUAUGUCUGCGAGUCCCUAACUUAUGCAUAAGGCCAUGCAUUAUUCUCAGCUGCUGCUGAAUGCCCCUUUGAUAUUGGUCGAUUGCUCGUUCUGCAUCAUGAUAUUGAUGCCAUAUUUCCUAUGACAUGAUAUUGUUGUCAAUCUUUGAGAACAGAAUGUGACAACAACAUAUUUCUUUGUAGUUAAGAAGUAAAAAUAAAUUACAAUGACAAUGAAAUGAACAUUUAUUAAGUUUUUGAAAAAUUCACAGCUUACAUCACUAUUUUCAGCAUCAACAUUUGUGUCAUGGUCCACAUUAGUCUCUGGCUCCAUAGUUCUCUCUACGGUUGGAGAUCUCUGGGACGCCUAUAAUUAGCACUGAAGAUUAGUACUUAAAUAAUGAGUGUUAUGCUAGUAAUGACAAUAUAUUUAUGCAUGCAUAACUUACAAAAUCACUCUCAGCAUGUCCGAAUGCUCCAAACUCCUUUAUCUCAGCGACUAGUCGUCGCUUAAUCAAAUCAUCAGUCCAUGCCAAUGCUGGGGGCACUGUAAUGGGGACUUGGACUGAAGGAAUUUGGAAUUUAAUGACAUAAUGCAGCUGCAAAAUAAAUAGAAACAUCAAUAAGCAAAUGUGAAUAUGUUGUGCAAUAAAAUUAGAUAAGAAAAUGGAAGACAAAGACUGAAUAAGUUCACUACCUGAAGAAAUAAAACGCAGCCAUGUACCCAAGAGGUCUUAGAUUGUUGGAAUCGCCUAAUUCCCUCAACCAGUUGGUCAAGCACAAACUGGGCCCAAUUAACAUCAUUUCGGAAUCCAUCCUCAUGGAUGGUAUGCCACAAGUUACGGCAACCAUUGAGCCUAGACGUGGGGGCCAACAAUGUGGCACAUGUGUAGUAAAUGAAUGCUCUACGGAACUCCUCGCCUACAGGUAAGUCUAGGAGUUUCUCCUCGCAUGCCCGAAUAGUCCCAAAUGGAUGAUCUGAUGAUGUGGAGGUCACCUGCAAAUUCCGUCCUUCUGUUGGGAGGCCUAAAAUGAGGCCAACAUCGGUGGCUGUAACAGGAUAGUGUUUAUGGGCUGAGAACUCUAUCCGUCUAAAUCCAACAUUGAAAUGUUGGAUUAGAAAGAUACAGAGGUUGUGGCGUACCUCUGUGCAGUUUAAGUUUAAGAGACCUCCAAAUUGGAGGUCUCUUAUGGCUUGAAUUUUUGCCUCUGGUAAUCGGUUGCACAGUUUCUUAAAUCUUGCAGCUGAGCAUCGUGUAAACAUUGAUGUGCCCUGCAUGCAAUGUUAGAAAACAUGGACAUGUUAGGAAUAGCAACAUUCUUGCAGUUGGUAAUGCAAUAAAAUAAGUGAAAAAGUAAAGCUGUCAUUUCUCAAAGUUACAAAGAUUUGUCUGCUUGUAUUUAGAAAUAAUAUACAGCAGGGUAAGACAUUAGAUGGGGUUGGGUGCUACUAACAGUGAGAUAUCCUGUAAGAGGGAGGAUUGAAAAUUUAUGAAUAAGGCUAUAUAGAAUAGGCAAUAACAGUCAAAAUGUACAGAAUAGACUAUAAAAGAAAAAAAUAAAUAUGAGAAUACUACAUGAUAUAUAAAAGAAAGAAAUCAAAUCAAUUUAUGUAAAUAAAUUGACUAAUUAUAUUAGAGAAAGAAACCAUCAACAAAUCAAUGAAUAAUCCUAUUUAACCUGCUCCUUUUGAUACUUCUGACAUACACAAAAUCUAGAGGAACUGCUAGAGCAAGCACUUUGCUACUGCCAUUGAACAUGGACAAGGUUUGGAAUCCAAGUUUCUGUUGAGAGUAUUCCCACAUGGUACUAACUAUCAGUGAAGAAUUGUACACUAUCAUUUGAUACCACGAAUCAUGUGUUUGACCAAAGUUCAUGCAUACCUAAGUUGUUAGCUGAGUGAGGAUUCAUGGGAAAAUAAAUGUAACAUAGGACUAUUAAUCUAAACUUGUGAAAGUUUUGAGGCUUGAAUCUGAUUCAAUGGCCAUAAUAAUCUAAAAUUUGCAGAAAAGAGGAAGUGGGCAUUUAAAAUAAGGUAAUGAUACACUAUGAAAUGCUACUACAUACUUUUUUGUAGAAUAGUAAACAAAGAGUAUGUUUACGCUUGAAAACAAGAAUAAAUAAGAUGAAUCCAUGAGUGUUGGAGAAUUAAAUGAAUGAAGAGGAGUUUGGAAACCAUACUUUAUGUUGGAGAAUAAAAGUUAUGUGCUAUGACUUUAUGUUUUUUUUUUCUGUUAACUUAUAGAAGUAUUUUCAUUGUUGUAAGGAUUCUGCAAGAAGAUAUACAUGAGCAAUUUUAAAUGUCUGUACUGCUCCUGGCAAAAGCCACAUUGGGUACAAGUUUGCCACAUCAGUUUGCUUGGUCAGUGCGUGAAUCACCGUAAAUGAAUUUAUGUAACUGGUUCAAAAUACUGGUAUAUGAAGUGUGUAGAGAGCUAUGCACCUUGCUUAAGUCAAUUGUUUGAAUCUUAGAGACAAAAAAUAAUACAGAAUUUGCCACCCGAAAAAAAUGUAUGUCCAGAGUCCAAGGCACUGAGAAAUUGGCAAGGCAUGGCUCUCCACCUUCAUAUUUAAAUCACUUAGAAAGUGAAGCAAAAAGAAGCCUAAUGUCUCAAUACCAUUGAGGUCCCCAUAAAUAAUUGUGAUCAUUUAACCCUGGGGACCUGGCUAAAGUGGCUACAGAGGUAAGGGUUACCUAUAACUCAAGUGGCUAAAGAGUUAAUCCCAUCCCCAUCACCAUUCCUACCAGAACACCUCUCUUUAUCCCUUCCUCUACCCUCCUCCCUCAUCAUAGAGGACAUGGUUUUUGCCUAUCCCCAUAGCUGUAUAGCGAAGACCAUUAGAUCCCUAAAGCAUAAUUGUAUAUGGUGUUAGUGAACCACAUUUUCUAUAUUACCAAAUUGAACACAAAUAUUACCCGACAACUUACAAAGCUGAUAUAAUAGUAUUUAAUAAAUAAACGUUGAAUUGUUAAAACUUCAAUAUUAGAGAACUUUCCAACAUAACUGAUACAUGGUAACUAUAAUAAGGGACAUGAAGAAAUCACUUAAAUUUAAUGCAUAAUAUAUAUAUAUAUACUAACUUAAAAGGUANNNNNNNNNNNNNNNNNNNNNNNNNNNNNNNNNNNNNNNNNNNNNNNNNNNNNNNNNNNNNNNNNNNNNNNNNNNNNNNNNNNNNNNNNNNNNNNNNNNNNNNNNNNNNNNNNNNNNNNNNNNNNNNNNNNNNNNNNNNNNNNNNNNNNNNNNNNNNNNNNNNNNNNNNNNNNNNNNNNNNNNNNNNNNNNNNNNNNNNNNNNNNNNNNNNNNNNNNNNNNNNNNNNNNNNNNNNNNNNNNNNNNNNNNNNNNNNNNNNNNNNNNNNNNNNNNNNNNNNNNNNNNNNNNNNNNNNNNNNNNNNNNNNNNNNNNNNNNNNNNNNNNNNNNNNNNNNNNNNNNNNNNNNNNNNNNNNNNNNNNNNNNNNNNNNNNNNNNNNNNNNNNNNNNNNNNNNNNNNNNNNNNNNNNNNNNNNNNNNNNNNNNNNNNNNNNNNNNNNNNNNNNNNNNNNNNNNNNNNNNNNNNNNNNNNNNNNNNNNNNNNNNNNNNNNNNNNNNNNNNNUACCCCAAACAACUCCGAAACACUACGCAAUAUCCCUUAAUGUCUAUCUGAUAUAAUAAUUACUUCUUGACCAUCUAGGAUCCCCUUCAAUUUCUCCAAGAACCAAUACCAAUCCUCAUAAUUUUCUGAACCAACCACACCCAAGGCUAGAGGGAACAUUCCAUCAUCUGCAUCAUAUGCAAUGGCAGACAAAAGAGCUCCUUUGUAUGGACCACUUAGGUGGCAAGAAUCAAUAGCCAAUACCGGUCGACACCCCAUGGUGAACCCUUGAAUUGAAAAUGCGUGGGCAAUGAACAAUUGCUUGAAGUGACCUUCAUGAGAAGUGUACUCGGCAAUAGUUCCAGGGUUAAUUUCCCUUAGUCUAUGGCAUAACCAAGGCAAAUACGCGUAGGACGCACGUGGAGAUCCAUAUACACGCUCUUUUGCCUUCUCUUUAAGAUGCCAUGCUUGGUUAUAAGUCAAUUGAACUCCAUGAUCACUUUCAAAAUCCUUGCAAAUUUGUCGAGGAAGGUAUUCUGGAGUUGUUCUAAACACGUCUUCAACAACAACAACACCUCUCUUGGAAGAAACCCGUACCUUAGAUGAACACUCAUCUUGAGCUAUAUGAUUAUGAUUAACUUGGUAAGUAUAAACUCGCAAUAUUUCAUUUCCUUCAACAGCAUGAGCUGUUAUCUUCCAAGGACAAUCCUCAACCGAACACUUUACUGACAUAUGAGUGGGUGAAUUUUUCUUGUACUUGUAUUGAAACCUUCCAGCUAAUGACAUUUGGUAUAUUGCAUUCCGAAACUCAUCUACAUUCUUAAAUGUAUGUCCGGAACCUAAUAUUGCCUCACGAAACCGAUUCGAUUCCAAAGGGGUGUACUCACUAUAUGCACAACGCGAUGCAAAACCUCUUGAUAACAUCAUAGUAUUAGGAUUUGCAUCGCAUGAUGCAUUAGACGAAGGAAACGUAGGAUGUGGACCUCUGCAUUUACAUUCAUAACCAAAAUUAGACUACAUAAUGCGUAAAAUUGAUAUUCAUAAAAUUUUAAAUAGACAUCCAAGUGAAAACGCAUUACCCAAGUGCCAACUGUGUAUUCGGUAUAUUUGCCUCUAUGGCUUCCACACCGGGUGACUCGACUAUGUACACAUUUGCAAAGUCAUCAUUGUGGGAAACCACGUUAUCCAAGUCAUCCUCAUCUUCUAAAUCUUGGAUGACUCUAGGGUUAAACUUGAGGGUGUAGUGCAUCCUCCUCACAUGAAGGGAAAUGUCGAAUUUUUCUAAGACCUUCUGAGUGAAUUCUUCAAAUGUCAUUCCUUUAUAAAUGUGAAUACCUUUGCUUCUUCCACCAACAUAUUCCCAAACGCCAUCAUUUUUUUGGACAAGUUUCCCUCCCACGAAAAUAUAACAGUAUAUUCUAUUUGUGGCAUCCAUCAACCUAUUGAAAUAAAGCACAAAUUUAUAUUGUUGAACAAACAAUAAUGCAUAUUCAAUGUGAUCUUAAAAGUUUUUUCAUUUCACAAUAUACUAUGUUCCCAUACGAAAAAGUUAUAUUUUAAAAAAUGUAUAUACAAAAAAAUGUAACUUUAAAGUCUUAAAAAAGAAUUUUUGUUGCUCUUUUUGAUUAUUCUAACCAUUGUCAACGGUAAGAUUAUUUUAAGAUAGGCACUAAUAAACAAACGCUGAGUUGAACUAAGAUAUGAAGACCGAGCUUCUCUCUUCUCUUGGACUAAUAAAUACUACCUAACCUAAACAAAACUAAAAAUAAUAAUAAAAAUAAAAAACAAAAAUGAGAAAUGUAAAACUGAAAUGGAAAUUAAAAGAUUGAAAUUAAUAGAUUAAAAAAAAUCAUUAAAUUAAAAACUAAGAAAGGCUAUAAAAGGAAAAAAAACAAAUCUCUAACUUAUUUUCCCUAUCAUUCCCCUUUACUUAUAUAUUCAUAGUUCACAUUUUUAUAAGCAAAAACCUCUCUCUCCAACUACUUUAGUGCUACCCAAUUUGACACUACUACUUACCUAUGCUAAUAAUCUAAUCGUGUCAAUACUUGGAACUUUAAGACAGAACAUCACAACAAUAUCUACUAAAGUAGGAGGAUUUUGUGUCUGAUUCGACUUAAUACUCCAGAACAUAUAUAUAUAUAUAUACACCAAAAACAUUGGAAUUAUGGAAGUAUAAGACAUUCAAUAGGAAAUAAUCCCCCACGUUUUAUUAAGCUCUGGCCUAUACUUACACUAGGUAGAAAACAAAUUCUCAUUCUCACUCAAACCCUUAGACAAUUUCUGUUGGUACUACUAUAUUAGACAUGCCUACAAACUUAUUCAAAGAGAAUGGAGAUAUUUAAAUAUUAAUUAUAAAGCGUUGCUUUUCAAAAUAAUAUGAAGAGAUAAUAGCCUAAAAAAUGUAACAAAUACAGAAUUCUCUUCUAAACUAUCAUGUCCUACUUUAGAUGAUUCAUACAAAACCAUAAGCAAUAGUUUAACACAUUUAAGGUUUAAGGGUCAAAAAAACUAAUAGAUAAAACGAGAUAAAUCUGUUACUUGUGCCUACAUCUCAAGCCAAUGCACCAUAAGAAAACUUUAGGGUUUUUAGGUUUUCCAUUUCCCCUUUCCAUUUUUCCUCUCCUGCUUUUCUAGCAACCAAUUAAACAAUUAUAAAUUAUUUUCAAGUAUAUAUGACAAAUUUUCACAAAUAUUUUUUUGAAUUUAAAAUAUACAAAUAGCAUGAAAAAAAAAAUCUAAAAAAAAUUACAAAAAUAUAAUCAGAUCGAUUAAGCCAUGAAUUAUGAGUUGCAGGUAAAGUGCAUUUUCUGUAUUCUCAAGGCUUAAAGAAAAAAUUAUGGUUCAAAAUUUUUCCUUUCUUUUUCUCAUUAUUUUCUCAGCAUCCAAAUAAUAGUAGCAAACCAAGAAGUCAAUUAUUGAAUGGAAACAGUAACUUGAACUCCGGAGAUCAAGUUGAACACAGUUUAGAGAUUUGGACUAAGAAAAUUUAGGUCGAGAUUUAGGCAAUCUACUAACCUCAAAUAUGCAACAACAGAGACCCAACUGAAAUCCAUACCUUAUUCAAUUUUUCGAGAGAGACGAAUGCGAGAAAAAAUGAAAGAGCCGCAGAGAUUGAGAUGCAAGAAAGCGAUGGAAGUGCUCGGGAGGAAGAGAAGAAAACGGUUUCUAGCCUUGAAAUGCUGAAGAGAGAACAAAAUUAGGGCAAAAUUCCAAAAAGCCACAGAGAUUGAGAUACAAGCGAUGGAGAAACUCGGGAGGAACAGAAAAAACGGCUUCUAAGCAGAGAAGAAAAUGACUUCUAGGCAGAGAAGAAAACGGCUUCUAGGCAAAGAAGAAAACGGCUUCUAGACAGAGAAGAAAACGACUUCUAGGCAGAGAAGAAAAUGGCUUAUAGGCUUGAAAUGCUGAAGAGAUCAAAAUUAGGGCAAAAUUCCCAAGAGCCGCAGAGAUUGAGAUGCAAACGGCUUGUAGGCUUGAAAUCUGAUGGAGGAACUCGGGACGAAGAGAAGAGACACCGACGCAAAGAUUGAGAUGCAAACGGCUUGUAGGCUUUAAAUCUGAUGGAGGAACUCGGGAGGAAGAGAAGAGACACCAAAUUUAGGGCAAAAUUCCAACCUGGAUUUUUUUGUUUAUUAUUAUUUUUUUUUCAUAAUCAGCAAAGGUUAUUUUUGGAAUUAAUAAAAGUGCAUAUCCUUCUUUUUAAUUUUGACACUUCCUAUGGGUUUUCAACUUAAAUGGGUCGGUUAGAUGGACCAUUUGUUAAUUUUUGGGCCCAGCUGGGCCCAAAACACAAUUCUCCCUAUUUUUUUGGGCAACAGUGGACAAUUUUUUGGGUUAUGGAAAGUUGGGUUACCAAAAAGCUAUUAGGCCCAAAUGGGCGAGCCAAAACACAGUUUUCCCAGUUUAUAAUUGUCCUGAACUGACAUGGCUGUCGGAAAACAUGCAUGUCCUCAACACCCUCUGGACACUCGUAAUUGAGUACUUUUUGGUUUGGCAACAUUAAUAGACUCAAUAGGCUUCCUUGCGUCACUUCAGAACUUCAAAUUCAUGAGUGCCUUUAAUUGACAUAACUUCUAGAGGAGAUGGCUCACUCAAUUCUCUACAAACACUUACAACAUUAACGGACUUUAUAGGCAGUCUUACCUCACUUGCAUGCCUUGAAAUUGAUAGCUACCCUGAAUUGACAUCAUCUCCUAAAGAGAUUAGUUUCUUCAGAUCCAUAUUGCCACAAUCUCUUAUUGUCCAUGACUAUUGGACAGAUAUGAGAGUGAAACAAGUGAAGAUUGGUCAAAGAUUGUUCACAUUACAGAAAGUUAUUCAGGUUUCAAAUCCCUGUCUUUCUUCUCAUUUGCUAUGGUUUCAUUUUAUCAAUAAGCUUUGUUUACCUUCUUUUUUGACAAUUCUAGUAUGCAUUAACAUAUAAAGCAAAAAAAAAAAAAAAAAAAGGCUGAGAUAAUAUUAAACAUAGUUGUUAUUUGGUUAUUAAAGACCAAACUAUUCAUGUUACUUUAAGUUUUGCACACUAAGAGUUUGGGAAUAAGCUAGUGUUAUGAAAAACGAGAAUAGGCAACAAAAAAUAAAUAAGAACACACACAGAUUUACGUGGAAAACCGUAGGCAGGAAAAACCACGAACAAAGGAGAAGAAUAAUCCACUAUGUCAAAAAUUGGUACAAAAGGGGAGAACAUUAAGCGGCUACAAUAUAAAUCCCUUAGAACCUAUACACCAUCCCCAUAUAUAUAUGGGAGAGAAAAAAAAAAAAUAAAGCUGAAGAAAUCUAUAAUUUUUUCUUCACCAUAUAUAUUGCAUCGUGAAGAUUUCGGGUUGGACCAAUAAAGGAAAUUAGGUCACCAAGCUCUAACUAUCUCCACCUUGACAUGAAUUCCAAUGUAAGGAAUAGGAAAAACAAACUCCAAUCUUCAACAAAAAAAAACUCUUCACCUCUUCCACAAACCCCAAAGGGUAAUUCAACAACGAAUACUAACCAAGUCCAAACAAUGCUCAAACUUGGAAAGAGGGAGUAUCUUCAUCAUCAUAUCAGUAGGAUUAUCAUGGGUGCUAAUUUUGGCCACAACAAUAUCACCAUGAGCAAUGAUAUCACACACAAAAUGAUACCACACAUCAAUGUGCUUUGUCUUCUCAUAAAACAUCUGAUCUUUUGUGAGGAAAAUAGCACUCUCUGACAAUCACAAAAAACUAUGGUAAUUUUCAAGUUGUCACUAAGUUCACUAAAUAGUCCUUUUAACCAAAUAGCUUCCUUACAAGCCUCUAUAAUAGCCAUGUACUCAGCCUCGAUAGUAGACAAAGCAACUAUAGUCUACAAAGUAGCUUUCCAACUGAUAGCACAACCACCAAUAGUAAAAACAUACCCUACAAGAGAUCUUCUUUUAUCAAGAUCACCAGCAAAAUCAUAAUCAACAUACCCAACAACUCCAUCUCUAGUUCACCCAAAAUGCAAAGAAACAUCAGUAGAACCACACAAGUAUCUAAAAAUCCACUAAACCGCUUUCCAAUGUUCUUUACCAGGAUUUGUCAUGUAUCUAUCGACUGAACUGACUGCAUAUGAUAAAUCUAGACGUGAACAAACUAUAGUAUACAUGAGAGACCCCACUACACUAGAAUAUGGAACUCGUGACUUAUAAUCAAUGUUAUCAUCUGAUUAUGGAGCUAAAACAGAUGCAAGUUUGAAAUGAGUCGCUAAUGGAGUACUAAUAGGUUUAGCAUUCUACAUAUUGAACCUGUGAAGAACUUUCUCAAUGUACCCUUUUUGACUUAGGUAUAAUUUACUUGUCUUUCUGUCUCUUAGAAUCUCCAUUCCAAGUAUCUUCUUUGUUGCUCCUAAGUUUUUCAUCUCAAACUCCUUAUUGAGUUGGACUUUUACCUUUCUUAUAUUUUCCUUAUCCUGGGCUACUAUUAACAUAUCAUCAACAUAUAAGAGGUUUGACUCAUUCAUGACCACUCAUGAUAUUAAUUAUUGUUUAUACCUAUUCCCUGAUGAAGUACAAAAUUUUGAUAUUAUGAAGUGAUGGAAAUCUCAUGAAUCCACUUUUUCUAAACUAUCUAAAAUGGAAUGUGAUUUACUAACCCCACCGGUGUCUACUGUAACUUUGGAAUAUUCUUUUUUUAUAGUAGCAAAUGUAAUAGGAGACAGGAGGACAACUCUUACAACAAAGAUGCUAGAAGUUUUGACAUGUUUGAAGGAUUAGGAAGAUGGAAGCAUGAGACUUCAAACUUUAGAGGAUGAAAUUAAAGAAGCCUUCGAGAAAUUGCAUCUCAAUGCAGACAAUGAUGUUUAAGAGAUUGAUGAUGAUUGAAGAUGUAAAAAAAGGAAUGAAGAUUGAAUAAGAAGACAAAAGUGAAUAUGAUAAUAGAAGAAUUAUAUGUUGUUCGUUUCUUUUAAAUCUAUUAAAUGUAACUAAUUUUUAAAGGUUGAGUAAUACAUAUGAUUGAUAGUUGGGUGGGUGCCAACCUAGUUGGGACGUGGUCAAACUAUAGUGAUGCAAUUCUCGCCUUUUUAUUUCUUCUUAUUUUUUAAUGUAAUUUGUUGAAAUAUUGAAUAAAAGAAUUAUUUUUUAUAUUUCAUUUCCUUUUAUAUUCCAUUAUUUUAAAUUUAUUGUUAUUUUGAUAAAAAAAAAUUCAAAUAUAACUUUUUUACUAUUUUUAAAAACAAAAAACUAACAUUUCUAUAAAUUUUACAAUUACAAUUAAAGAGUUUGAACUAUUAUACUGUGGAUAUGAACAAAUUAGCUGAUUUAAAUUUUUAUUAAUAUGAGCUUGCCCAUUUGGUUUUCUUCCCAAGUUUUAUCUGCACCCUUGUGCUUUAUGUGAAGAACUAAUUAAUUGAUUACAUCAAUAUGUUGUUUCUUCUCAUGCAUUAAUUUUCUCUAAAAUAUUGAGUGGUUCUAAAUUUCAUAUGAUAAGAAAAAAGAGAUCGACUUAUGCANNNNNNNNNNNNNNNNNNNNNNNNNNNNNNNNNNNNNNNNNNNNNNNNNNNNNNNNNNNNNNNNNNNNNNNNNNNNNNNNNNNNNNNNNNNNNNNNNNNNUGAAAGUUAGAACCACUCAAUAUUUUAGAGAAAAUUAAUGCAUGAGAAGAAACAACAUAUUGAUGUAAUCAAUUAAUUAGUUCUUCACAUAAAGCACAAGGGUGCAAAUAAAACUAUUGAGUGGUUCUAAAUUUCCUUACAAACUAAUAUUUUAAAUUAUGAAAACUUUGAAAUAUUAAUAUUUCUUUUUACUCAACCCUUAAUAAAUAAAAAGAAUUUGGCCAAUUUAAUUUUUGUAAUAUAUUAUGUUAUGUUUGAUUUCAGAAAAAAUACUAAAGAAACAAUAUAUAUAUAUAUAUAUAUAUAUAUUUUGAGGAAAAUAAUUUUCUCAUGUUUUUUUUUUGUUUUUUUAUGGAAAAUACAAAACAAAAUAAAGUAUUAUUCAAAUUAAUUAAUAAUUUUAUAUUUUAAUUUUUAAAAUUUUUGUAUGAAAUGAGAAAAAUAAAUUUAAUAAAUUUGAAGAAGUAUAAAAAAAUUAUUUAAAUCUUUAUUUUAUUUUCUUUCAAAUGUUUUCUUCAUGUAAAAAUUAAAUAUAAUUAAAAUUAGUUCAAAAUUUAUGUAUUUUCAAAAUUAGUUUAUUAUUAUUGAAAACAAAAAAAGAAGUAAAAUGAGUUUAAAAUGGUAUGUAAAAAUAAUUUAUUAAUUGUAAUUUUUUUUUUUAUUUGUCACUUUUUUAAACGCAUGCAAUAACUGGUUAGAGUCUCCUCACUUAAGGUCCCUGAAUAAUUUAUUAUUUGUCACUUUUUAAAAAUUUAUUUUUCUAUUUUUUCUAUGGCAUUUCUCUUAAAUCUUCCAACAACAAAACCUAACUUGGGGGUUUCAAUUUUUGCAUCAUAGCAUGUGUUUGAAUCGACCAAACAUCCAUCACAAAAUACUGAAUGUAAAGAAAAAUAAAUGAAAGAAGGACAAAAGUUAUAUUACAACUUGCAUGGCUUGUUGACUUGUCCGCCUAUUAAUCCAUAAUAAUAAUAAUUCACAUUUUAUAUUAGUACCAUGUGAUUUCCCCAAUGCUCACAAGCCCUAUAUAUCACUACUUUGCCCAGUAUUCUCCCCUCACAAUUCUCUUUUGAGUUCUCCUUUUCUUACUAUAUUUCCUUGCUCUUCUGCACUUCGAAUUCUUCUAACAUAUGGCUGACCAAAUUCCAUUCGGUGUUGUGGAUCACAUUUUGAUCAAGUCAGGGUCCCUGGCUGUUCAAGAAAUUCGAUCCAUGUAUGGUGUUCCAAAGGAGUUAACCAAGCUCUGUGGGAAACUUGGCACCAUCAAGGCUGUGCUUUUGGAUGCUGAGGAGAAGCAGCAGCAGAACAAUCAUGCAGUCAAAGAUUGGGUCUGGAGGCUUAAAGGCGUUGUGUAUGACGCAGAUGACUUGCUGGAUGACUAUGCAACCCAUUAUCUUCAGCGAGGAGGAUUGGCAAGGCAGGUCAGUGACUUCUUCUCAUCUGAAAAUCAAGUUGCUUUUCGUUUAUACAUGAGUCACAGACUCAAGGAUAUCAAAGAAAGGAUAGAUGAUAUUGCAAAAGACAUCCCCAUGUUAAAUCUUAUUCCACGGGACAUAGUACUACACACACGGGCAGAGAAUAGUUGGAGAGACACCCAUUCAUUCGUGUUAACAUCUGAAAUUGUAGGAAGAGAAGAAAACAAAGAGGAGAUAAUAGGGAAGUUGUUGUCGUCCGACGGUGAAGAAAAUCUUUCGGUUGUUGCCAUUGUAGGUAUUGGGGGGUUGGGUAAGACCACCCUUGCUCAAUUGGUAUACAAUGAUGGAAGAGUGAAAGAACAUUUUGAGCCUAAGAUAUGGGCUUGCAUUUCUGAUGAUUCUGGUGAUGGUUUUGAUGUUAAUACGUGGAUCAAAAAAGUUUUAAAAUCUGUGAAUGUUCGGUUUGAGGAAAGUCUGGAGGAUAUGAAAAAUAAGCUUCAUGAAAAAAUAAGUCAAAAGAGGUACUUGCUAGUCCUCGAUGAUGUUUGGAAUCAAAAUCCUCAAAAAUGGGAUGACGUGAGAACUUUAUUAAUGGUUGGGGCUAUUGGUAGUAAAAUUGUAGUGACCACCCGAAAACCAAGAGUUGCAUCAAUCAUGGGAGAUAAUUCUCCCAUUAGUUUGGAAGGUCUGGAACAAAAUCAGUCCUGGGAUUUAUUUUCAAAAAUUGCAUUUAGAGAAGGCCAGGAGAAUUUGCAUCCAGAAAUUCUAGAAAUUGGAGAAGAAAUUGCAAAAAUGUGCAAGGGAGUUCCUCUCAUCAUUAAGACUUUAGCAAUGAUAUUGCAGUCUAAAAGAGAACAGGGCGAAUGGUUGUCUAUUAGAAACAAUAAAAAUUUGUUGUCACUUGGCGAGGAAAAUGAGAAUGUUUUAUCUGUGCUAAAACUAAGUUAUGAUAAUUUGCCUACUCAUUUGAGACAAUGCUUUACAUAUUGUGUUGUAUUUCCAAAAGACUAUGAGAUUGAGAAAAAGUCGUUGGUACAACUAUGGAUAGCACAAGGUUAUAUUCAAUCUUCAAAUGAUAAUAAUGAGCAACUAGAAGAUAUAGGGGAUCGAUAUUUUCAGGAAUUAUUGUCAAGGUCAUUGUUGGAGAAGGCGGGAAACAAUCCUUUUACUGCUACAUUAAGGUAUAAAAUGCAUGACCUUAUACAUGAUCUUGCACAAUCAAUUAUAGGAUCUGAGGUCCUCAUUUUAAGAAAUGACAUAACAAACAUUUCAAAAGAAAUUCGUCAUGUAUCAUUGUUUAAAGAAACGAAUGUUAAGAUAAAAGAUAUAAAGGGAAAACCCAUAAGGACCUUUAUAGACUGUUGUGGACAUUGGAGAAAGGAUUCAUCAGCUAUAAGUGAAGUUCUUCCAAGCUUUAAGUCCCUACGUGUGUUGAGUGUGGAUAAUUUGGCUAUAGAGAAGGUGUCAAUGUGGGUAGACAAAUUGAGCCACUUAAGGUAUCUUGAUCUUUCUCUUCGUGAUUUUGAGGCACCUCCAAAUGCUAUUACAAGGUUAAAGAAUUUACAAACACUAAAACUCAAUGAGUGUUGGAGUUUGAAGAGAUUUCCAAAAGAUACAAGAAAAUUGAUCAAUCUUAGACACUUGGAGAAUGGUGGGUGUGCUAAUUUGACUCAUAUGCCACAUGGAAUAGGAGAAUUGACAUUACUUCAAAGUUUACCAUUGUUUGUUGUUGGGGAAGAGAAAGAGUUGUCCAGGGUUCAUACAAUUGGCAGCUUAAUUGAAUUGAAGAGGCUAAACCAACUAAGAGGAGGACUACUCAUAAAAAAUCUUCAAAAUGCACGGGUAUCAGAAGGAGAAAUUUUGAAAGAAAAGGAAUGCCUUGAGUCUUUGAGAUUAGAAUGGGCCCAAGAAGGUAACUGUGAUGUGGAUGAUGAGUUGGUGAUGAAAGGCCUCCAACCACACCGAAACCUAAAAGAGCUCUAUAUAGGUGGCUACCGAGGUGAAAGAUUUCCAAGUUGGAUGAUGAAUAGCCUGCUUCCUAACCUAAUUAAAAUUAAAAUUGCGGGAUGUUCAAGGUGUCAAAUUCUACCACCCUUUUCUCAACUCCCUUCUCUCCAGUCUUUGGAUCUUUGGAAUAUGGAAGAGGUGGAGGGCAUGAAAGAGGGUUCAUCAGCAACAAAUGCCGAAUUCUUCCCAGCUCUUCAAUUCCUCAAACUCAACAGGAUGCCGAAGUUGAAGGGAUUGUGGAGGAUGGAGUCAGGAGCAGAGCAAGGUCCCUCAUUUCCUCAUCUUUUCAAAUUAGAAAUUGAAGGAUGCCAUAACUUGACAUCCUUUGAAUUGCAUUCAUCUCCUUCUCUUUCUACUUCAAAGAUCAAAAAAUGCCCUCACUUGACAUCCUUUAAAUUGCAGUCCUCUCCUCGUCUUUCUACUUUAAAGAUUGAAGAGUGCCUUCUCUUGUCAUCCUUUGAAUUGCAUUCAUCUCCUUGUCUCUCUGAAUUUGAGAUCAGUGAUUGCCCAAACUUGACAUCCUUGGGACUGCAGUCAUCUCCUUCUCUUUCUAAAUUAGAGAUCCAUAGUUGCCCAAAUUUGACAUCCUUGGAAAUGCCUUCAUCUCUUGGUCUUUCUCAAUUACAGAUCAGAGAUCGCCGAAACUUUAAAUCCUUGGAACUGCAGUCAUGUUCUUCUCUUGCUAUAUCAACCAUACAGUCUUACGAUAAGCUGAAAUCCUUGGAAAUGCCUUCAUCUCUUGGUCUUUCUCGAUUAGAGAUCAGUGAUCGCCGAAACUUGAAAUCCUUGGAACUGCAGUCAUUUUCUUCUCUCUCUAUAUUAACCAUACUGUCUUGCGAUGAGCUGACAUCCUUGGAACUGCCUUCAUCUCCUCAUCUUUCUAGAUUACAAAUCAGUUUUUGUUGUAACUUGAAAUCCUUAGAACUGCCUUCAUCUCCUGGUCUUUCUCAAUUAGAGAUCGAAUAUUGUGAUAACUUCACAUCCUUGGAACUGCAGUCAGCUCCUCGUCUUUGUCAAGUACAGAUCAGACAUUGCCAAAACUUGACAUUCUUAAAAGAGGUUUCAUUACCUAGUCUUGAGAAACUAUUCCUAUCUACAGUCAGAAGGGUGGUGCUCAUAAUGUUUGUCUCUGCUUCUUCUUCACUGGAGUCUCUGUUUAUUAACAACAUAGAUGAUAUGGUAUCUCCCCCAGAGGAGCUGCUUCAACAUCUUUCCACUCUCCACAAUUUGAAGUGCUCUGGUUUGGCAACAUCACCACACUGGAUAGGCAGCCUCACCUCACUUUCUGAAUCAGAGAUCAGUGAUAGCCCAGACUUGACAUGCUUAGAACUGCCGUCAUCUCUGUGUCUUUCUAGUUUAAAGGUCAAUGAUUGCCCAAACUUGACAUGCUUAAAACUGCAGCCAUAUCCUUGUCUUUCUAGUUUAAAGAUUGGAAAAUGCCCGAAGUUUGCAUCCUUUGAAGUGGCUUCAUUACCUUGUCUUGAGGAACUAAGCCUGGGUGGAGUUGGAGCAAAGUUACUGUCAAAGUUAGUGUCCAUCUUUGCUUCUUCUUCAUUGAAGUCUCUGUAUAUAUGGGAGAUACAUGAUAUGAGAUCUCUCCCAAAGGAUCUGCUUCAACAUCUUUCCACUCUCCAAACUCUCCACAUUUUGAAAUGCUCUCGUUUGGAAACAUUAUCACACUGGAUAGGCAGCCUCAUCUCACUUAGAGAGCUUGGAGUUCAUGAAUGCUGUCAAUUGACAUCACUGCCAGAAGAGAUGCGUUCACUCAGAAACCUGCAGGAGUUAUAUCUCUGUGAUAGUCUAAUUCUACGGAUAAGAUGCAGUGUGACAACAGGUGGAAACUGGUCCAGGAUUGCUCAUAUCCCACAUAUUCAUUUCUUCGAUGAUAAGGGAAUAAAGUUUAAGGUCCGAAAUUCCUAACCUUUAUCCUCAUUUUUAUUAUUUUACGAUCAAAAUGCAAUGUUUUCCCAUUUGGUUUUGGUAAUUCUUUUAUAUUGACACUUCACAUGUUUGUUAAAAUGCUCACAUCAAUAAAUUUGAUUUCUUUUUGCAGACUAUAUGAUAGAUGAUGUGCACUAAACUGAUCAUUUUACUAGGUUCUACAUUCUAAGGGUUUGAGGAAAUACUGAGAUCUGAUAUGAUAUAUCUCCCAGAGGAGCUGCUUCAACAUGUUUCCAUGAUCUAAACUCUCACCAUUAGACAUUGCUGUUUUUGCAACAUUACAACACUGGAUAGGCAGCCUCCCCUCAGUUAUAGAACUUGGAACUCAUGGCUGCCAGAAGGUAUGUUCCCUCAAAAACUUGCAGAUGCUCAAAAUCUGCAUUGAAGUCUUAAUGAGGGCUGAGGUGCUGUGUCAGUCAAUGUUUCUCUCCACUUCUUCAUUGAAAUCUCUAUCUGUUGGAUCCUCAGAUGCUAUGAUGUCUCCCAGGGGAGGUACCUCAACAUGUUUCCAGGAUCCAAACUCUCAAAUUGAAUUAUGCUCUGGUUUUGCAAUAUUGCAGCCCUGGAUAGGCAGCUUCACCUCACUUAUGGACCUUCAUAUUUGUGACUGCGCUGAAUUGACAUCACGGUCGGAAGAGAUGCAUUCCCUCAAAAGCCUGCCAACACUCAAAACCUUUCAUUGUUGGAACCUACUUGAAGAUGCCAAAAGGAAACAUUUCAAGUUCAAGAAUAGAGAGAGCCAUGCUUGGUGCAGAUUCCAUCAAUAUAGAGAGACAUUUCAGGUCUGAAAUCCACCCUUCAAGUUGUAUUAGCAUAUAUAUCAUGAGUGAUUUUGUUAUUUAUGUCCACACCUUAUUCAUUUGAUGAAAUGCUUAAACAAGCAAGUUUUAAAAAAAAAAUUCUUCAAAUCACUUAUCAAAGAAAAAAAAAAAAAAGUUUCUCUUCAAAUCAAUUCUAAUGCGCCAUGAAUUGGUAAAUGAAGUUUGGGAAGAUGCUGGUUUGAUUUAAUUAUCAUUUGGUUGCAGAUUUCAUCUUGCAUUAGACGCGUGUGAAUAUUUCUUCUUGGCUCAACUUGAAAUCACUGCCUACAUUCUUCCAUUUCCCAGCUCAAAAUCACGUGGCAGAAGUUUUAAACUGCCAAAAAAUUUGUGAUGGCCCAUAAAUUCUUAUCUACCAGAUGACUAAUGGAGGAAGGUCCUGCUUUCUUUAGAAUUCAGGUCUACUCUUUGCCAUAGAUUACAGGUAAUCUGCUGCCUGCUAUUAAUUUGUACAUCGUCUUUCAUUUUGCCAUCCAUUUCUGUCAAGAGUGUCAUUCAAGUUGUGACUAUAUUUGUUGACUUUCACAUGCACAAAACUAGUAAACAGAUUGAACAAGUAAGCAAUAUGUGUCACUGUGAGUUUCGUUGUUAUUUAAAAUCACUCCAACUAAACAUGACAUAGACCAAAAACUCAUUAUCUCAGUCAAGUAGUUUAUUUUUUGUCCUUCAUUUGGUGAUGUUGUCUGGGUUUUUUAUUUUCUCUCUCUUCAUUGAUAGGCUUGUCCUCUCUGCAAUAUUAAUCACUGCAGAUGUAAUGUUGUCUAAUCAAUACAAAAAGCGAUAGUUGUGGGGCUUCCUUGAUCAGCAACUGCAUCGAGUGUUUCUAGACACUAAUGUCUCUAUAUUUUUGAAAAUUCAGAGAGUUGCAAAUUUCAAGGACUUAAAAGCUCGAGUAACUGUCUCUACCAUUAGGGCUUCAACAUGUUACCAUUCUGGAAAUUCUAAAAUACGUCAGAAUGCCCCACAUCCCUUAAUCGAAACCACUGCCAACACACUCAUGGGCUCUUUGACUUUGCCAUCUACAAUAUAUCAGAGGUUCAUGAUCCAUCCUCUAUUUCUGCUUUGGGUGGCUUCAAUUUUUUAUCUUACUUUUGUGUCAAUAUUCUAAAAAUGUUAUAUUCAAUUUACAAUUUUUUUUUAUCUGAUUCUCAUGCAUUCGCACAUGCUAAGAGACAAGUAAUAUAACACUUUCAUAAUGCAGGCCUUUUCCAUUGUUACUUCAUGUUUUUCACUUUACGAAUUUGAGAAAAUUUUGGGGUUGAUUUAAUUACUAUUUUCUCACAGAUUUCACCUUGCUUAGAAAGCCUAUGACUAUUCAUAUCUACUAGAUGGCUAAGGCAUCCAAUAAAUAUGCUUCACUCACCAGAAAAAUACCCAUCUCCUCAGCUCCAAACCCCUCUUUCUUCUCCUUCUCUUUUACUGUUUGCCAUUAUACCCUCUUACUGCUUUUGAAGACUGUAUUACUUUUGUAAAAUCCUUAGAUUAGUAAAAUUUGAAAUUGUAUUUUUAGUUUAAUGAUUAUAAUCUAUAUGUGAUCUUGUUAUUUCAUAUUUGUAGUUACAUGUUUCGAAAUUUUAUUAGGUUAACUACUUUGUUACAGAUGCAAGUGCUGCUGGGUCAAAGCAAAAUACCAGAUGGUAAUGUAGUUGUGACACCUUAUUUCUCUAAAGCAACUCAAAAGUGGGAAUUGUCAUAGAUUAAUAUUCUCUCAGUGGCGGCCACACCUCAUUUCUCUCAAGUAUUGAAAAUUCAGUGAUGUGCUAGUAGCUUAAUUAAUGUCUCUGUCACAAGUGAUUCAACAUCUCAUCCCACUUGAAGCCUUGGAAGCUAUCUCUAUAUUCAGGGACUCAGAUUGCCGCCCUAAAUUUGGUAACUUUAUCACACUCAAUGGACAACUUCCCUUUACUAACGUCUUCAAAUUUAUUGUUGUCCUGAAUUGAAAUCAUUGUUGGAAGAAGUGCAUGUCCUCAGCAUCUUUUGGACACUCAUAAUUGGGUACUUUCUUGUUUGGCAACAUUAACAGAUUCAUUAGGAAUCCUUACAUCACUUCAGACCUUCGAAUUUAUGAAUGCCUUGAAUUGACAUCACUUCUAGAAGAGAUGGUCCACUCAGGUCUCUGCAGACACAAUUCAGGACUUUUCUUUUUUGGCAACAACAAGAGACUUUAUAGGCAGUCUCACCUCACUUGCAUACCUUGAAAUCAAUAGUUGUCCUGAACUAACAUCAUCUCCAGAAGAGAUUGGUUCCUUCAGAUCCAUGCAGCCACCCAUAAUCUCUUAUUGUCCAUUGCAAUUGGAAAGAUGUCUAAGGGAAACAAUUGAAGAUUGGUCAAAGAUUGCUCAUGUUAUAGAAAGUUGUUUCAGGUUUGAAAUCCCUGCCUUUGUUCUCAUUUGCUAUGGUUUCAUGUUUAUCAAUAAGCUCUGUUUACCUUUUGUUUCGACAAUUCUGGUAUGCUUUAGCAUAUAAAGAAAAAAAGAAAAAAAAGAAAAACUGAGAUAAUCUUUUAAAAUUUUUUUCAUCUUCAAAUCAAAAUUGUUAAUUCCAUGUAUUAUUAAAUAUAGUUGUUAUUUGGUUAUUAAAGACCAAACCGAUCAUGUUACUUUAUGUUUUGAACACUAAGAGUUUGGGAAUAAACUAGGCUUUAUUUAAUUUCUGUUUUUAGCAUAUUUCACCUUGCUUAAGAAGCUUGUGAUUAUUCCUUGGACCAAAGAUUUCUUAUGAGUCAGAAUUUUUGCUCUCUUUCAAAUUCAGCUGCUUUGUUUGUAAUUCCAAUCCUUUUCCUGCCUUUGAACACUAGCACCAUUUUUAGUUAUUUAUCAAUGUGUUAGGAGCAUUAUCCUCUAGUUUUUAUAAUUUGUUGCCAAUUAUCAUAUAUAACAACACAUUAACCAAGUAGUGCAAAUGAACAUCUAUAAAGAGUCCAAUUAUGUUAAUUAGCAACUAUUAGAUAAAGUAGUUAUAGUAUUAUUUUUUUUGUUUGCUUCACAUGCUCUAUAAAAUCCAUAGAUUAGUAAUGUUUGAAUUUGGUAUCUUCAAAGAUAUCAAUUGCUACUUUGAUGGUUAUAAUCAAUGAUUUAACUGUCUGCCAAAGUGAUUAUAUUGUUAAUAACUUCGUGUUUCCAUUUUACAUGUUUGAAAAUUUAUGAAGUUAACUAUUUUAUUGCAAAUGUAAUAGUUGCUAAGUUAAAGCAAAAGUGGUAGUGAUGUGGUUGUGACACCAUACUCAUAUGAAGUAAUUGGAAAGUGAAGAUUGUCAUAGACUAAUGUCUAUUUUGGUGGCUACCACACCCUCGCUUCUCCUAAGUUAUUGAAAAUUCAUAAAUGUGGUAGCCAAAUGUCUCUCCCUCGUGUGAUUUAGCACAUUGCCCUCGAAAAUUUGGAAGUAUGUAAAUUCACUUUAGUGCCCUUGAAGAUUUAAAAGUUCUCCAUAUAGGUAGGGUUAACUGUUUUGGUUUUGCAACUUUGUCAAAUUAGAUGAGUUAACUUCAGAUCGAUAACUACCUUGUGUUGAAAUUAAUGCUAGAUGGGAUGCACCCAUGAGCACUCUAUAGAAAGUCAAUAACUUUCACUCCCAAAUCUUAUUAGAGAAAUGCCAAAAAGGAAAAGGUGAAGAUUAGCCAAAGAUGAUUUUAUGGUUGAUUCAUGCACUACUAUUGCAAUCCUUAAUUCAAGCAUGCAAUCUACAAUAUGUUUUAGGCUUGAAAUCCAACCUUUCUCUCAUUUUUUUUAUGGCUUUGGUUUAUUUUUAUACAUUGUUUAUGAUUCUAUUUUCUUGAUUCUCAUGUGCAUUAAGAUAUAUAAAGAAAAAAAAUUUCAUUGUUUGCUUUCUAUCUACUAUGUGUCGAUACAUAUAUGUUUUAAAAACCAAUUUCUAAUAGCGGUGCAACUUAGGCGAGUUGGCCCAACCUAGCUAGACCUUUGAGUGAGUUUGGACGAUCAUUUUUAAUGUUCGGAUUGAGUUUAUCUUAAGUGUUUUUUCAACAUAAAUUCAAUUUGGUUGGGCUUAAGCCAAGGUUUAGACAACUUAAGCCUAACCUAAACCUAAUUUAAUCCUUUUAUAAUACUUAUAAUUUAUAUUAUCCUAUAUAAUAAUAUUUAUAAUUUUUAUUUAUUUAUUGUUAUAAUUAAAAAAAAUCAAAAUAUAAUUGUAUCAUAUACUUUUUUGUUUCUCCAAAAUGAUAUAUUGAUUGACUUAUUAUUAUUAUUAUUAUUAUUAUUAUUAUUAUUAUUAUUACUAUUAUUGUAAUCUUGAAAAUUUGUCAUAUUUACUACUUAAAUUUGUGUGUGUGUGUGUAUGUGUAUGUGUAUAUAUUAAAAAAUAUUGUGAAUGCAUUUUGAAUCUGUUAGCCCAAAGGUUCUCCUAAUCGGGUUUUGAUGAUAACAAACUAUGGUUAAGUGACUAAUUGUUUUAAAUGAUAAAGAAUCUCAGGUAUAAAUUCGGAAAUUCAUUAAAGGACCAAAUAGAUACAAGAUCAAGACUUUGGGAAGACUUUUGAUCAUAGAAAACGAAUGUAAGAUGAAUGCAUGGGUGCACUUGGGAUUUUCAUACCAUUUCAUGCAUCUUAGAAAACUCGGUUUAUCCUUUAAAACUUCGAUUUCAUUAAAACUCGAGUUUGAUCAAAUGUACCUUAGGCAAAACGUUUUAAAAUUGACAUAUUAUUUCACCUAAAGACCUUGCUUAAGUGUUAGAAAAGAAAGGAAUUGAAAAAAAUAAGUUUUCGGGGCCAAAAGACCGAACCGAUCGAGGCUCUGGCCAACCGGCUCAACCGGUUGGGGAACGGUCGAGGAGUGCCAAAAACACUCUCUCUCAUCCAGUAGUUUCCUCUUCCCAGUUGAGGUUCACCCAUUCCCGGUUGAGGUCCAGUUGAGGCAAUGGUAACCUGCCAAGCAUUAAAUGCUCCAACAGCUAGCGAACCGGUCGACCCCUAGCUCGAUCGAUCGAGACUCCCUUUUGCCUUUUUUGACUUCCGAGCUUAGAAGCCUAUAAAUUGAGAGCUGCACUUCAUUUAUGAACAAGAGAACACUUGCAAUCAAUUGUCUACCUACCUAUUCUUGACCAAAAAACUCUCAUUUCUUUCUUAGUGCAUUAAAUCAUCACUUGCAUAUCCUUUAGUGCACCCUUGUGUGUUAUCCUAGUUUUGUCUUGUAUUUGAGCUAUCCUUAAGCUAGGCUGAGGGAUUCAUUCUUGUAAAAACUGAGUGUUAAAGCCUUUAAGAGGUUUGAAUCUUGAAGAGAUUGUGUAAGAGCCCAUUGGAGCCAGAAUCCAAGUGUAAGAAGAUUGGAAGCUUGGUUGAAGCUUCAAGUUAGUGGAACCCUCACUUAGUUAGGAGAUUGAGAAGAGUGGACGUAGACAAGGAAGUUUCGAACCACUAUAAAACCUGAGUUUGAAUUCUCUAACUCUAUCUCUUUAUUUUUGUUUAUAUUGUGCUUGAACUUAUUGUGUUUGAAAAGAUUUUUAAAAACCCAAUUCACCCUCCUCCCCCCAUUUUUGGGUGUUUUUCUUAAUUAAGUAUAGUCUUUAUUUUCUUAAUUGGUAUCAGAGGUAGACCUCUUGUUUAAGACCUAAUAGUCUAAGAGGAAAUGGCUAUUCUAUCAAGCUCAUCUCACACUAAAAUUUUUGCAAAACAUAGAGCUCCAUUUUUUAUGGGAACCGACUAUCCCUAUUGGAAAACUAAAAUGACUUGGUUUUUACAAUCAACCGAUUUAGACGUAUGGGAUGUUAUUGAAGAUGGCCCAACUUUUCCUACUAAACUAGUUGAUGGAGUUUUGGUUCCAAAACCCAAGCAAGAAUGGAAUGAGCUUGAUAGAAGAAAUUUUCAAUUAAAUGCUAAAGCUGUUUUUACUUUGCAAUGUGCUACAGAUAGAAAUGAAUAUAAUAGAAUAUGUCAAAUCAGCUAAAGAAAUUUGGAGAUUACUUGAGCUAACUCUUGAAGGAACAAAUCAAGUGAAAGAGUCAAAAAUUAAUUUACUUGUUCAUAACUAUGAAUUGUUUUCAAUGAAAGAAAAUGAGACUAUUGUUGAGAUAAUUACUAGGUUCACCGACAUUGUUGUGUUUGAAAAGAUUUUAAAAAACCCAAUUCACCCCCUCCCCCCAUUUUGGGUGUUUUUCUUAAUUAAGCAUAGUCUUUAUUUUCUUAGAAUCAUAUAAUGAACCAACCCGAACCCAACAAAAUGAGAUUAUGUUGGGCUUAGGUUAAGUAAAUUGGAUUAGAGGUUGGGUUGGGUUGGGUUGGUUUGGCUUAGGGUUAAGUGUUUCUUAGGUUUGGCUCGGAUCAAGUUGACCAUCAUCCAAACUCAACUCACCCAACUUGCAACCCAAAUUUCUAAGAAUAUGAUAUAUAUUCCAUUUACAAAUCUUUUUUUUUUGGUUCAUAUGGCUACUAGAACAUCAUGUUAAGUGCCUGAGAAACAUUUCCUAGUUGAUAUUUAGUUGUAGGUUAAUCUUCAAGUACCCUAGAGCUAAAACAUUUUAUAUUGUUAGGGUUUGAUGAUUCUUGUACUAGUGGUUGGGUCUCAUGUUGGAUUUCAGUUCAAGCGACUAAAUAAUCUUUUUCAAAUUAUUUGAUUGUAAUUAUGAUUACAUUUAUAAUUAUUAUUAUUUUUUAUUUUUAUAUCUUGGUAAUUGAUUUCAAUACCUUUUUAAUUAUUUUAUGAAAUGUCUAGCCUGCAUUUAGAGUCAAGGAUGUGUUUGUUUUGCAUGUUGGAUUGGAUUUAACUUUUCACUACUAGUAUUCUUUUAAUAGAGCUUCAAUGCUAAAAGCCUAAAACUAAAUCAUUUUGGUUGUUGAUAUAAGUUUACAAGAAGUACAAUACCUUUUGCAAGUGACACUGCCUUCAAGCCCUUUGAAAAUUUUGUGUAGUUACUAAUUAACUCUUUGUUGCUAAAAUAUAAUAUGUGAAGUUAUCUUAUAGUCAUAUAGCUAAUAAAAUUUUAAUGUUAUAUUACUUGAUUUAGUAUUUAAAAUAUUUAAGGUUUUGUGAAUUAAAGACCACCAUGUUAUCCAUAACAAAAGUUUUCUAUGGUUAGAUUGUAAUUGUUUUCUUGGUUAAUUUGACAAUUUAAUUGUGGAGUUCAAUUGAAUAUUCCUCGAGUUUCAUGCCUUAUGUAUCUGAUUUGUUUGUCAAGCUUCAAUGAUAUUCACUACACUUGCGAGUUGUGUUUGUUUAUAGUCUUCUACUCUAGAAAACUGAUAUUAGGGCCUAAGUUUAUAUUAGAUAAGGAAAUCAACCUUUUAUCAUUAAGUUUAGUGAUUAAAUGUAUUUCUUUUUACUCCACCCAUAAAGUUUCUAAGUGUUGCCUUGGACUUCCUAACUCCAUUACUGUUUGUAAAGAAAAUGGUUAAUUUUUUCAUUUUAUGUAGAAGUUAACAAAAGUGGUCAUUUUGACAUGAUUUGACAUUGUUAUUAUUAUCUUUUUAAAUUAGAUAUAAUAAUUUUCCAAAGUCAAUAUUUUGUUUGCAUGAUGCUCUUUUUAUAUUGAUAUGUAAUGGAUGGCUAAAGUGGAGAAAACUUACUUUAUUUAAGUCAAAUGUGUCUUCCACCAAAUAUUUAAGGUUUGUGUGGCAACCUCUCUUUCUAUUUGUUGCUUCAUCUUUACUGUUUUGAAGUCAAAGAAAGAAAAUGCUAUCUUUAAUACUCUUCAUGCAAAUAGGCUAGACAUGCAUGCUUGAAUACAAUAUUUUCUCUAUUGUUUGUUUAUUUUCUUGUCUUUAUUCUAUUCCACUUGUUAAUGUUAUUUAAAAUGACUAUCGUGAUGAUUAAUUGCAUAUUGUGAAAGUACUUGGCUUAACCAAUUAUUAAAUUGGAAUUAAGUUAAUAUCAUGACAAAUACCAAAAGAAUAAUUUUUAGUCUUACUUGAACAUUAUUCACUAUUCCAAAGUUAAGUAAUGUUGUCAAACAAGUUAUGGAUGGUUGAUGGAUAUGCAUCACCAAUAUUUGUUUAUAUUGAAGGGAUGGUGGAGGAGAGAUGUUGCAACUGCAAAGUCCUUGUCUUUCUCAAUUAGAUAUUAGUUAUUGUCAUAUGUUAACACAUUUUGCACUGCAUUACUUAACAUCCUUUUCCAUUAAUUACAUCUCAUUUUUCUAAAAUAGAGAUCAAAUACUAAGGUAAUUAGACAUACUUAUUUAUGCCUUCAUUUCCUUGCCUUUCUCACUUACUUAUCAAUGGAUUCCCUAACUUCAAAUCCUUCCCACUGCUUGUAGCUCAUUGUCUUGUUCGCAUAGAUAUUAGUAAGUGCCCUAACUUGAUAACCUUCAAAGUGCAUUUAUUAAUAUAAGUUGUUGGCUUUUUUGUUCUUCAUUGAAGUCUCUAUUUGGGACAUUCAUGAUUUGAUAUCUCUUCUAAAAGAAGGCUUGGCUUCAACAUUUUUCCAAUCUCCAAACUCUCACAAUUAAGAACUAUCAUGGUUUGGUAACAUUAUUGUGUUGGAUCUACAACCUUCAAUUACUUACCAAGCUUCAAGUUGAUCACUAUCUAGAAUCGAUAUCAUUGAUAGAAAUGAUACAUUCUCUCAAAAACCUUUAAAGACGCAAAAUCUAUUGUUGUCCACACCUAUUAGAAAGAUAUCAAAAGGAAACAAUUGAAGAUUAACCCAAGAUUGGUUGUCUCACAAAAUGAUAUUUAGUUGAGAUUAGAUUGAUAAAGAAUGUCAUUUUAGGCAUGAAAUUCCAAUCUUUCCUUUCAUUUUUUUAUGGAUUUAUUUAUUUUAAAAUUAUAUAUAAUCCUUUGUUUUCAUUUUGCUUUGGUCAAAUGCUUAGAUCAUUAAGUUUUUAAAGUUUUGUAUCUUUAAAUUACUAACCGCUAAUGAUGUGUAGCAACUUGAUUAUGUCUGUUACUUUCAAUUUUGCAUUCUAAGGGUUUGAGACAUGCCAAGGUUUGAUUUAAUAAUUAUUUUUUCAUGGUUUUUAACUUGAAAUCAUUGUCUAUUCAGGUUCAUUGCCCAGACUUAAAGUAACUGUCAUAAGAAACAAACUUCUAAUAGGCCUAAUGAUUUCUCAUGGCUAAUUCACAUCCAUUAGAUGCUUGAUAAUGAAAACACUUUUGCUCUCUUCUAAUUUCAGGUUUCUCUGCCUUAUAUUUUAUGUUCCAACUUUACACAUUUAUUAAAAUUAUUAGACUAGUUGAAAUUUAUAAUAUAUUUGUAAUAAUUCUAAGAGUUUGGGACAUGCCAAGGUUUGAUUUAAUAAUUAUUUUUUUCAUGGUUUUCAACUUGAAAUCAUUGUCUGUUUAGGUUCAUUGCCCAAACUUAAAGUCAUUGCCAUGAGGAAACAAACUUUUGAUAGGCCUAAUGAUUUCUCAUGGCUAAUUCAUAUCCACUAGAUGCUUGAUAAUGAAAACACUUCUGCUCUCUUCUAAAUUCAGGUUUCUUUGCCAUAUAUUUUAUGUUCCAACUUUACACAUUUGUUAAAAAUUUAUAACAUGCUUGUAAUAAUUCAUUGUUGACUAUUUGCACUCAUUAUGUUACUUGAUAUUUUGUUCUCAUACCAAGCUUAUACUAAAACGAUAAUGUUGAGAAUUGACUAAAUACGAUUCAAUAUUCCCACUAUAAAUGUUCACAAGUUAUGGAAAGUUGAUGCAUAUGGAAAGAGUAAUAUCAAUUUCCUGUUGUCUAUAAUAUGAUUACUUCAUCUCUUUCUUCGUUUAGUGUCAUGCUCAAUAACUUAUAACUUUCCAUUCAAUUUGUUAAGAAAUAUUGUACUCUAUUUGGAGUUAUGAUCUUAUGAUUCCAUAAUAUAGAAAACCUUGAACAUAAAGUAAUGGGUUAAGUUCGUAUAAGUUAUAGUGCACCUUAUCAAAGGGAAAUUCAAAGUCUUUAGUUGAUAAAAAGAAAUGGAGUUUGUAGCUCUUCCUUAUUUGACAAAUACUACAUAUUGAUUUACCUUUUGUCUUAGAUGAUACCAUUAAUAAUUGUUCUAUCUCUUCUAGAAAUUUUAAAUAUUUUACUUACAUCAUUUAUCAUGUUCAUCAUGACACCUAAAUUAGCAUAAAAGGCGGGGUCAAUUUUAUCUUCACUUAUUGUAGCCAAUGCUUAAGGAAUUUCUUUUGUGUGAUGUAAAUAGUCAAACAUGUUUUAACUAUCUUUUGGAAAUGAUUAGUCUUGUUAAAAAUUUGACAAACGAUAAUACCUCCAACUUUUGAGAGUUGUCACUUCUAUCAUUCUAGUUGAUUUGUUUUUCCAUUGAUUGUUGUCACACCAUUUGUUUUUGUUAUUCUAGUUUCCUCAAUCAUUGCCUCAAGAUCUUCUUGCAGGAGUGAAAACUCUUCCUCUCUAAUUAAAAUUAUUAUCAUGAUUUCUUCUACCAUGUUUGCUUAGAAAAACUUGCUCAUGAAUAAUUUGAUUUUUCCUAUCUUCAUCUUCAUUGAUUAGAUUUCCUAAUGUGAUCAUUAGAAUGAAUUAAUUGAAAGAUAGAGAAGGUGGUUUUGCAAGCAUGAAAACCCGAAAAAAGUAGUAUUUUGGUCGAAGUCCUCGAGGGAGUCGAAGCACCUUCUCAACAUUUUGCAUUAGAUUCUAAAUAAGUACUAAGUUAUCACUUAUGCCUUUAAAUUUUCAAAGAUUUUCAUCUAUAGAUAGAACCUCAUGAGGAAUCUAUUAUUUAAAAGGAUUUCCUUUUCAUAGGUAGCAAUCAUUUUGAGUCUAACAAGCCUCUCUAAGACUUCCUCUUUCAUAUUCCAAGAAGCUAGGGGUAAGAAGUCAAUUUGAUUGAGAUAUUGUAUAUCUUAUUGACAACCUUUUUUUUUUAUUCUUUUGAAUCUUAAGUUUCUUUUGGUCAUUUUCUACAUUCAGGGAGAUGAUGGAAUAUGUCAAGAUUCUAAAAUGAAGGAAGAACUUUCAAGCACCCAAACAUAAACUUUCAAGAUUUGUUCAUUAAUCAAAAGAUGAAAUGCUAGCAGUAUACCAAAAAGAGGUUAUUGGAUUUCUAUAUUAUUUCAUUAUUUUUAUAUAGACACUUUUCACUCAAUUCCUAGUCCUUGCAUUUUUCAUGUUUAGAAAUUUUCUUAGGUUAGGCUAUUUUGCUAUAGAUAUGAUUGUUGCUAAGUUUAUGCAAAAAAGCAUGCAAUAAUUUCUUCCAUAGUGAUCUUGUUGCCUUCUUGAAUAAGUGGAUGUUUGAUUUAUGUGGAACUGUUGAACUCUUUAAUUCAAGCAUGGUAUCAACAAUAUAUUUCAGGUUUUACAUCUAACUGUUAUCUCUUUUUUAUGACUUGGUUUUUUAUUUUCUUAUAUGGAUAUUGUAAGAGGUUAUGCUCCUUUUUAAUUCUAUUUUCAUGAUUCUCAUAUGAAUUAACACAAAUGAAGGAAAGGUUUUUUUAAUUAAGUUAAUUUAUUGAUGUUGGAAAAAUUAAUUGUUAGUUAUAUUCUAACUUUACAUGCUUGUUAAAAUGAUUAGACUAGUUAAUUUAAAAAUAUAUAUCAUUCUUGUAAUAAUUCACUAUUAAUUGUGUGGCUAAGUGAUCAUGUUCUUUCAUGUUUUCUUUUCAUAUCAGGUUGAUACUAAAGGGGUAUUAUUGAGAAUGAGUUGAGCAUUGUUCAAUUUCUCAAGAUAAAUGUUCAUAAGGUAUGGAUGUCUGAUGCAUAUAGAAAGAGUUAGUUCACUUGCUUAGUAUCUAUAAUAUGUACUCAUUCUUGAUGUUUGUGAUUACUUAAUUUCUAUCUUUCAUCUUUUGGUGUCUUGCUUGUUAAUUUAUACCUUUACAUUCAAUUUGUUAAGAACUAUUAUACUCUAUUUGAAGUUUGAUUUUAUGAUUCUCAUACACAAAAGAAUACCAACAAUUUGGGCAAGGACAUGAUACUAAAUCAUUUAUCAAUUUGGUUAUCUAUCUUUUCUCUAAUUUCUUAAGCUUGGGAAUCAAAAUGCUUUGGAAUACCAAGAAACAAUGGGGAUGAGUCUUUUCUUCAUCAUCUUGAGUUUUAUUGAUAGUCAACUUGUAGUAUCAUCCUUCAUAUUCCCUAAAGUACUCAAACUUGAUAGUUUGAAAUACUUAACUUGUUUACAAAAAUAUUCUUACUUCAUGUUUAGGUUUUGUAUAUUUGAAAAUUUAGUUAUGUUAAUUAUUUUAUUAUAGUCAUGACCAUUUUCAUGUCAAUGCAAAAGAGAUAGUGGUGAAGACUAGCAAAAUGUUACUCAUACCUUGAACAUAACUAUAAGUUAUUAACGGCUGGUGCACUGGAAAUGUCUCUCCCUCCUCUACUGUCUUUAGUUAGAAUAAAGGGUUCAUAUUAUGUUUUCAUUAUUUAGUUUUGUAAUUUCUACUUAUCAUCCCACUUUUUGUCUCUUAAUGAUUUAUCACUUAACAAUCAAAUUUUAAAAACAUGUUCUUAUAGGUGAUAGUGCAAUAACAUGUUAAAUUCAUGAAAAUUUUUCCAAAUUGAUAUUCAAGGUUUAGUUUAUCUUCAAGUGCCUUCUAGAUGUGGCUUUUGUGUUUUAUAAACCAAAACAUUGAUCUAUGUUCUUUGUGGCUAAGGCUUGGUGUAUUUUCAAGUACCUUGUGGUAGAAGCUUAGGCUUUCCUUCUCUUUCUUUUUGAGAAAAUAUAUUGAUGAUUGCUAGAGGAUUAGGUUGUCAAAAUUCAAUAUUGUAGAAAAUGUUUGGCGUUUUAAAAUUAUUUAAUGAAUUUGGUUGAGAAGUUACUUAAUAUAGAAAAACAUAUUUAUUUGAGAAACAGGGAAAUAAAAAUAUUUUUUGCACUACUUGCCUUAUGUUUGCAUGAUGUGUGCACACAAACAAAUCAUAGAAUUAAGAAUACAAAUUGUUUGCUCUCAUUUUUAUAAAUUAAUAAAACUAUAACCAAAAUGCAAUGUAGCCAAGUCACAUUUAUUGUAUUAGUCCUAAAAUAAUGUUUGAACUAUGUUAACUAGUAAGUAUUGGAAAAAGGAAUUAUGCCAUCUUUAUUUUCUAUUUACCUGGUUUAUAAAAUCCUUAGAUCAAUAAAGUUUGAAAUUUGUAUGCAGUUAAUUGCUAGAAUUAUAAAUUUUUGUAAUUAUAAUUAUUUUUAUGAUUUUAUUUUAUUUUAUUUAUGUUUACAUUUUUGUUUGAAAGUUUCUCAUAUAUGUUAGUCUUUCUAUCAUUAAUAUAAUAAUUAUCAAGAUUAUUCAAAAAGGAUAGAGGACUAGUGGUAUAUUGUUCACAUUUUAUAAAUAUAUGUUGACAAUGUGGUCUUUAGGUUUACAUUUUAAACUUUUUUCCUCACUAUUUAUCUUUUUAUCAUUUAUUACAUGGCAGUCAAUUUCUAAUACACAAUGAGUCUUCUCUUCCCUUUUUCAAGACCAUUCUUCUCAUUUUCAAAGGUACUUACAUUUAAAAAACUUAAGAUAAUGUUGAAGGGAGUUUCAUUAUGAGGACAUAUUACAACAACACUUGUUAAUAAUAUUGUUUUAUGAGUUGACAUCCAUGUCUAUGCAUUUACACUUAACAGGAUUCAUUAUACAAGAGUAUCUUAUACAUUGAACUCAAUGCAAGUUUAGAAAAAUGAUAUUAGGUUGGGUUUAGGUUGAGAAUUAGGUUGGGUUUGGCUAUGGUUAAGUGUUUCUUAGGUUUGGUUUGGAUCAGAUUGAGCAUCAACCAAACUCAACUCACCCAAGUUGCAACCUUAAUUUCCAAGAAAUUGAUAUAUAUUCCAUUUACAAAUAUUAUUUUUUUUGGUUCGUAUAGGCACGAGAACAUCAUGCUAAGUGCAUAAGAAACAUUUCCAAGUUGAUAUUUUGUUGUAGGUUAAUCUUCAAGUGCCUUAGAGCUAAAACAUUUUAUAUUAUUAGGGUUUGAUGAUUCUUGCACUAGUGCUUGGGUCUCAUGUUGGAUUUCAAAUCAAGUGACUAAUUAAUCUUUUGAAAAUAUUUGAUUGAUAUUAUAACUAAAUUGAUAAUAUUUUUUUAUAUAUAUUGGUAAUUGAUUUUAAUGUCUUUUUAAUUGUUCUAUGAAAUGUCUAACCUAUUCUUGUUAGGGUCAAGGAUGUGUUUGUUGCACAUGUUGGAUCAUAUUUAACUUUUCACUAUUAGUAUUCCUUUAAUAGAACUUCAAUGCUAAAACUAAAUCAUUUGGGUUGUUGGUAUAAGUUUACAAUGAGUACAAUACCUCUUGCAACUGAGAUUGCCUUCAAGCCCAUUGAAAUUUUUGUGUUGUUACUAAUUGAUUCUUUGUUGCUGAAAUAUAAUAUGUGAAGUUAUCUUAUAAUCAUAUAACUAAUAAAAUUUGAAUGUUAUAUGACAUGUUUUAUUAUUUUAAAAAAUUUAAUGUUUUGUGAAUUAAAGACCACCAUGUUAUCCAUAACAAAAGUUUUCUAUGGUUAAACUGUAAUUGUUUUCUUGGUUAAUGUGACAGUUUAACUGUGGAGUUCGGUUGAAUAUUCUUGAGUUUCAUGCCUUGUGUAUCUGAUUUGUUUGCCAAGCUUCAAUGAUAUUCACUACACUUGUGAGCUGUGUUUGUUUAUAGUCUUCAACUCUAGAAAACUGAUAUUGGGGCCUAAGUUCAUCGUAGGUAAGGAAAUCAACCUUUAUCAUUAAGUUUAGUGAGUAAAUGUAUUCCUUCUUACCCCAUAAAAUAAAGUUUCUAAACCUUGCCUUAGACAUCAUAACUCCAUUACUAUUUGUAAAGAAAAUGAUUAAGUUUUUCAUUUUAUGUAGAAGUAAAAAAAAAAAAAAAAAAAGUGGUCAUUUGGACACGAUUUGACAUUGUUAUUAUUUUCUUUAUAAAUUAGAUAUCAAUAAUUUUUCAAAGUCCAUAUUUUAUUUCCAGGAUGUUCUUUUUAUAUGGAUAGGUAAUAGAUGGCUAAAGUGGAGAAAACUUACUUUUUUUUUAAUUCAAGUACCUUCCACCAAAUAUUUAAGGUUUGUGUGUCAACCUCUCUUCCUAUUUGUUGCUUCAUCUUUACUAUUUUGAAGUCAAACAAAGAAAAUGCUAUCUUUAAUACUCCUCAUGCAAAUAGGCUAGACAUGCAUGCUUGAAUGCAAUAUUUUCUCUAUUGUUUGUUUACUUUCUUGUCUUUAUUCUAUCCCACUUGUUAAUGUUAUUUAAAAUCAUUUUUGUGAUGAUUAAUUAUCGAUUGUAAAAAUACUUGGCUUAGCCAAUUAUUGAAUUGAAAUUAAUUUAAUAUCAUGAAAAAUACCAAAAGAAUAAUGUUUAGUCUUACUUAAGGAUUAUUUACUAUUUCAGAGUUAAUUAAUGUUGUCAAACUUGACAAGUUAUGAAUGGUUAACGGAUACACAUCACCAAUAUUUGUUUAAAUUGAAGGGAUUGUGGAUGAGAGAGGUUGCAACAACAAAGUCCUUGUCUUUCUCAAUUAAAUAUCAGUUAUUGUAUAUGUUGACAUAAUUUGCACUGCAUUACUCAACAUUUUUUCCAUUACUUCCAUUUCCUCAAUUUUCCUAAACUAGAAAUCAAAUACUAAGGUAAUUAGACAUACUUAUUUAUGCCUUCAUUUCCUUGUCUUUCUCACUUACUUAUCAAUGGAUUCCCUAACAUCAAAUCCUUCCCACUGCCUUUAGCUCCUUGUCUUGCUCACAUAGACAUCAAUAAGUGCCCUAACUUGACAUCUUUCACAAUGCAUUCAUAAUAGAAGUUGUUCUAUUUUUGUUUUUCAUUAAUGCCUCUAUCUAUUUAGGAUAUACAUGAUUUGAUAUCUUUUCUAAAAGGAGGCUUAGCUUCAAUAUUUUACCACUCUCCAAACUCUCACAAUUAGGAACUAUCAUGGUUUGGUAACAUUACUAUAUUGGAUCUAAAACCUUCAAUCACUUACCGAGCUUCAAACUUAUCACUAUCUAGAAUUGAUUUCACUAACAAAAGUGAUACAUUCUCUCAAAAAUCUUAUAAGACUCAAAAUGUAUCAUUUUCCACAUCUAUUAGAAAGAUACCAAAAGAAAACAAUUGAAGAUUGGUCCAAGAUUUCUUAUGUCCCACAAAAUGAUAUUUAGCUAAGAUUAGAUUGAUAAAGAAUGUCAUUUCAGGUAUGAAAUUCCAAUCUUUCUUUUCAUUUUUUAUGGAUUUAUUUAUUUUAAAACCAUAUAUAUGUUGAAAGUAAGAACUAUAAAGCUAUGAACUCAUACAAAUCUAGAAUAACAUUCCCAGUUUUAUUGAACACUUAUUGGUGGCUUAUAUAGCCUUACAAGACAAGGAAUUAGAAAAACAUUGCAGCCCACAUCUUAUACCUAAAGACAUGGUAUUAGUUACUAAAAGAAUCAAAACCUAUCUACUGGUUCCUAACUAAUAGGAACUUAUCAACAGAACUUUCACAAAGCCAAACUUAAUAGAAACAAAUAAAUCCCAACAAUAAUUCCUCCCAUAAACUAAAACAAUAUGCAUUCAGUUUAAGUUUGGUACCUCACAUACCCCAAGCUUCUCACGCAACUUCAAGAACACUUCAAGCUUCAGUGGCUUUGUCAGGAUAUCAACCACUUGAUCAUUGGUGCCACAAUGAACCAACUUCACUACUUCCUCCUUAGUGAGGUCCCUCAAGAAAUGGAACCUCACAUCUAUAUGCUUGCUCCUACCAUGCAUAACCGGAUUCUUGGAUAACUUGAUCAUUGAACUGUUGUCACACAUAAUAGUAGUACACUUACUCUGUGAGUGCCCAAUCUUUUCUAACACUCUCCUCAUCCAUAUACAUUGACAAGCACAGAAAGCUGUUACCACAAAUUUUGCUUCAGUGGUACACAAAGUCACCACUGGUUGCUUCUUUGAGGCCCAAGAAACUGCUAUGCCACUCAAUAAAAACACAUAACCAGAUGUGCUCUUCUUAUCAUCAGUGUCUCCAGCAUAAUCGCUGUCAGUGUAAGCCAAUAGUUCUUCAACAUCUUCUCAUCUCUUAUAAAACACACCCAACUCCACAAUUCCUUUUAAAUAACGAAGAACUCUCUUUGUUGCUUGCAUAUGUAGGUCAGUAGGAUUGGCUAUAUACCUGCUCAAGAGACAUACUACGUACGUUAAAUUAGGUCUUGUUGUAGUAAUGUACAUGAGACUCCCAAUUAAUUGCUUAUAAACUGUAGCAUCAAUCCUAGCACCUUCUCCUUCCUCUGAUAGCUUGAAACCGGGCACAAUAGGAUUCUCCACUGAAUUGGCAUUUUGUAAACCAAACUUCUCAAGUAAUUCACAAGCAUACUUCUUCUGACUUAAGAAGAUACCCUCUGAAGUUUGCAAAACUUCAACACCAAGGAAGUACUUCAUCUUCCCUAAAUCUAUCAUAUCAAACUCAUCCUUCAUGGAACUCUUGAAGCUUUCAAACAUGCAUGCAUCAUUCCCAAUAAAGAUUAAGUCAUCCACAUACAAACUCACAAUUAAGAACCUCUUACCUCCUUCUUCUAUUUUGACAAAGAGAGUGUGCUCGUAAUCACAUCGUUCAAAUCCCUCAUUAACAAAAUAAGCUUCAAUUCUGCUAUACCAAGCACGUGGUGCUUGCUUCAACCCAUAUAAUGCCUUCUUAAGCUUGUAGACCUUUUUUUCUUCACCCUUUCGAAUAUAACCUAGUGGUUGCUCCACAUACACAUCUUCUUUCAACUCACCAUGAAGAAACACACUUUUGACGUCUAAUUGAUACACACUCCAUCCCUUUUGUGCUGCUAGGGCUAGAACCAUCUGAAUUGUGUCCCACCUUGCUACUGGAGCAAAGACUUCAUUAUAAUCAAUUCCUUGUCGCUGAGCAUAACUUUUAGCUACCAACUGGGCUUUGCACUUAUCAACCUCACCCUUUUCAUUCAAUUUGGUCUUAAAAACCCACUUCACACCAAUCUUCUUAGCACCUUUAGGCAAAGUAGUAAGCUGCUAGGUUUUAUUCUUCUCAAUUGCUUCAAUUUCCAAGUCCAUGGUCCUUCUCCAUUUCACAUCCCUCUUAGCUUCUUCAAAAGAUCCCGGAUCUUCAUGAGAGAUAAACAUUGCAAGAUUAUUCACAUCUGCAUCUUCUGACAGUUCUUCACCUGUUACAUAGUCCUGCAAGUAAGGAGGUGCUCUUCGAAUCCUUGUUUCAUCUUGAACUGGUGCAACUUCAUUGGAUGAUUCAAUCGAUGUUGGAGUUGUUGCUUCUGCUUCUUGAUUUGUAACCACUACUUCAAUACAUUCCACAACUUAUUCUUCACUCUCAGAGAAAGCAUCUUCACCUUCAACACUAUCUUCCCAGACCAGUAUAUCACGCUUCACUUCUUUAGUUGUCCUCCCCCAAUUCCAACCUUUAUCCUCUUCGAAACUCACAUUUCUGCUCACUAUAAUUCUUCUAGUAGCUGGAUCAAACAACCGAUAAGCUUUAGAUUCAUGACUUACUCCAAGUAAGACACACUAAAGACUUUUAUCAUCCAAUUUUGUUCUCUUCUGAUCUGGCACAUGUACAUGAGCUAGGCACCCAAAAACCCUUAAGUAGUCCACUUUGGGUUUAACUCCACUCCACAUCUCUUCUGGGGUCUUGUCUUUCACUACCAAUGUUGGACUCCUGUUGAGAACAUGCACUAUCCAUCUUGCAGCUUCUAGCCAGAAUGCUUUUGGCACUUGUUUGUCACAAAGCAUGCACUGAACCAUAUUCAUGAUAGUUUGAUUUUUGCGUUCAGCUACCCCAUUUUUUUGUGGGGUAUAAGAUGUUGUCAGCUGCCUGCUUAUACCAUUGAUUCUACAAAACUCAUUAAACUCAUUGGAGGUGAAUUCUCCUCCUCUAUCAGUGCUUAAACAAUAGAUAAGUUCACUCGACUCCUUCUCAACCAAGCUCUUACAGUUUUUGAAAGUUGUAAAUGUUUCAGACUUUGCAACCAAAAAAUAUAUCCAUACCUUUUUACUAAAAUCAUCGAUGAAGGUUAUAAUAUACCUUUUGCUACUGUUGGAUUCAGGAGUAAUAGGGCCACAUAUAUCAGCAUGAACGAGCUGCAAUUUUCGGGAAGCUCUCCACUGACUCUUCUUUGGAAUAGCAUUUCCGUGUUGCUUUCCCACAAAGCAUUCAUUGCAAGCUAUAGUUGACGCUCUGAGAAGUGGAAGACCCUUCACCAUCUCUUUGUAUUGCAAAGUCCUCAACCCUUUGUAACUCAAAUGCCCAAACCUACGGUGCCACAACUUUGAAUUAUCUUCUGUGACUGUUUACAGGCAUGUCGAGGUCUCAAGCACCACAUUAGCCAAUAACACAAACAUCCGAUUUGUUGUCAUUUUUGUCUGCAUAAUCAAUCCUCUUCUAGGGUGGUAUAACUUACAUUCCCCAUUUUGUAUAAUUAUAGCUAAACCCCUUUCUUGAAGUUGCCUUAUACUCAGCAAAUUAUUCUUCAAAGCAAGAACAUAGUAAACAUCAGUGACUACCUAAGUUGAGCCAUUAAUCUCAAGUCGGAUGUUGCCUUUGCCCAUCACUCCCAUCCUUGUAUUAUUGCCGAGCUUCACAGAGUGUUUGAAAGCCUCAUCAAUGUUAGAGAACCACUGCUUGUUCCCGCACAUGUGAUUGUUGCAACCUGAGUCGAGGAACCACACAUCUUCUCGUUUCGAGUUGUUGACUUCAACAUAAGACAUGAGGAACAUCUCUUCUUCUUCAUCUAACUCAGUAUAGUUUGCACUCUUCUCCCAACUAGGACAUUCGUAUUGGAAGUGCCCUAGUUUGUGGCAUUUAAAACACUCCAGUGUGGCCUUGUUUGCAAAGUAACUUCCUCUGCCUCUCCCGCGGCCUCGAACAUAACUUUGACCUCUGCCUCUUCCUUCAUACCUUUCUCCAUACAAAACCUUUAAAGCUUGUUCAUCCCUUGCAUUUCCAUUAUGACAAUUCAUUCUCUGUUCAUGAACCAAAAGGCUGCUUUGAAGCUCGUCAAUGGUCAUCGUGUCCACAUUAUUGGACUCUUCUAUUGAGCAUACCUCAUAGUCGAACCUGGGAGUCAUCGAUCUCAAGAUUUUCCCCACAAUCACGUUUUGCCCCAUUCUUUCUUCAUGUACUUUCAUCUUGUUUGCAAUAGUCAAAGCUCUGGCAAAGUACUCAUCAACCUUCUCACCCUCUUUCAUCUAUAGGAUCUCAAACUCUUUUCUAAGGGCUUGUAGUUGAGCUCGUUUAACUCUGGUGGAGCCCUGAUACUUCUGCCUCAUUGAAUCCCAUGUACUCUUUGUUGUGUUCUUAUCAAGAAUUGUCUCCAUAAUGGUCCUAUCAAUCGAUUGAAACAUGUAGUUCUUGAUCUUCAUAUCAUUUAGCCUCACCUCUUCAACUUCUUUUCUUUAUGCUUGAGUAGGCGUUGAUCCUUCGACUAUUGAAGGAAUUCCAUUUUCUACUAUGCUCCAGUACUUCUUUGAAUGGAGAAAAUUCUCCAUUAACAUGGCCCAAUGGUCAUAAUAAUCAUCAAAUCUUGGAAUUGCCGGAUGAGCAAAGUUUUCUGUCGCCAUGUUCACUCACUCCACCUUCCUUUCUUCUCUAUUCUCUCUUCUCACACUCUGUAAGAAAUCUGUAGUUUCUUACUUUCUUCAAUCAGGCCUCUUAGCGGAGCUCUGAUACCAGAUUGUUGAAAGCAAGAACUAUAAAGCUAUGAACUCAUACAAAUCUGGAAUAACAUCCCCUGUUUUAUUGAACACUUACUGGUGGCUUAUAUAGCUUUACAAGAUAAGGAAUUAGAAAAAUAUUGUAUCCCACGUCUUAUACCUAAAGACAUGGUAUUAGUUACUAAAAGAGUCAAAACCUAUCUACUGGUUCCUAACUAAUAGGAACUUAUUAACAGAACUUUGACAAAGCCAAACCUUAACAGAAACAAAUAAAUCCCAACAGUAUAAUCCUUUGUUUUCAUUUUGCCUUGGUAAAAUGCUUAGAUCAAUAAGUUUUGAAAGUUUUGCAUCUUCAAAUUACUAACUGCUAAUGAUAUGUAGCAACCUAAUCAUGUAUGUUACUUUCAAUAUUGCAUUCUAAGAGUUUGGGACAUGCCAAGGUUUGAUUUAAUAAUUAUUUCUUUCACGUUUUUAAAUUGGAAAUCAUUGUUUGUUCAGGUUCAUUGCCCAAGCUUAAAGUCUUUGCCAUAAGGAAACAAACUUUUGAUAGGCCUAAUGAUUUCUCAUGGCUAAUUCAUAUCUACUAGAUGUUUGAUACCGAAAGAACUUUUGCUCUAUUAUAAAUUUAGGUUUGUUUGCCAUAUAUUUUAUGUUCAAAUUUGUUAAAAUGAUUAAACUAGUUAAUUUUGAAAUUUAUAACAUGUUUAUAAUAAUUCAUUAUUGAUUGUUUGCACUCAUUAUGUUACUUGAUGUUUUCUUCUUAUACCAGACUUAUACUAAAAGGAUAAUGUUGAGAAUUGGCAUAAUACAAUUCAAUAUUCCCACUAUAAAUGUUCACAAGUUAUGGAUAGCUAAUGCAUAAGGAUAAAGUUAUUUCAUUUGCAUGUUGUAUGGAAGGUUGAUGCAUAUGGAAAGAGUAAGAUCAAUUUGUUGUUGUCUAUAAUAUAUAUGAUUACUUCGUCUCUUUCUUUGUUCAGUGUCAUGCUCAAUAACUUAUAAUUUUUCAUUUAAUUUGUUAAGAAAUACUAUACUCUAUUUGAAGUUAUGAUCUUAUGAUUCUCAUAAUAUAGAAAACCUUGAACAUAAUGUAAUGGGUCAGGUUCCCAUAAGUCAUAAUGCACCUUAUCAAGGGGAAAUUUGAAGUUUUUAGUUGAUAAAGAAAAACAAAAUUUGUAACUCUUCCUAAUUUGACAACUACUACAUAUUGAUUUAUCUUUUGUCUUUACUAAUAUCAUCGAUAAAUGUUCUAUUUCUUGUAAAAAAUUUAAAUAUUUUACCGAUAUCAUUUAUCAUGUUCACCUUGGCAUAGGCAAGGUCAUUUCGUCUUCAUAGACUUAUUGUAGUCAAUGCUUGGGGAAUUUCUUUUAAGCUAUAUGAAUAGUCAAACAUGUUUUAACAAUCUUUUGGAAGUGAUUAGUUUUAUUAAAAAUUUGACAAACAAUAAUACCUCCAGCUUUUGAGAGUUGUCAAUUCUAUCAUUCUAGUUGAGUUGUUUUUCCAUUGAUUGUUGUCAUGUCAUUUGUUUUUGUUAUUCUACUUGCCUCAACCAUUACCUUGAAAUCUUUCGCAUGAGUGAAAACUCUUCCUCUCUAAUUAAAAUGAUUGCCAUUAUUUUUUCUACUGUGUUUGCUUAGAAAGACUUGCUCAUGAAUAAUUUAAUUUUUCCUAUCUCUAGCUUCAUUGAUUAGCAUUUCUUAAUGUGAUCAUUAGGAUGAAUUAAUUGGAAGAUAGAUAAGGUGGUUUUGCAAGCAUGAAAACCUGAAAAAACUUGUAUUUCGGUCCAAGUCUUGAAGGGAGUUGAAGCACCUUAUCAAAAUCUUGCAUUUGUUUCUAAAUAGGUACUACAUUAUGACAUGUGCCUUUAAAUUUUGAAAGAUUUUCUUUUAAAGAUAGAACCUUAUGAGGAAUUUAUCAUUUGAAAGGAUUUCCUUUUCUUUCUUUUUUAUAUAGGUAGCAAUCAUUUCGAGUCCAACAAGCCUCUCUAAUUCUCACUCUUUCAUAUUCCAAGAAACCAGGGGUAAGAAGUCGAUCUAAUCAAGAUAUUCUACAUCUUAUUAACAACUUUUUUGCCUUUUGUAUUUUAACUUUCUUUUGGUCAUUUUGUGUAUUUAGGGAGAUGAUGGAAUAUUUGAAGACUCUAAAAUGAAAGAAGAACUCUUAAGUACCCUAACAAAAACUUCCAAGAUUUGUUCAUUGGUUCAAAGAUUAAAUGUUGAUAGUUGGUUCUUUGUUAAACAUGAUUGGUUGUUGAUAUCAAAAAGAGGUUAUUGGAUUUUUUAUAUUAUUUCAUUAUAUUUAUAUAGACACACCUCACUCAAUUCUUGGUGCCUGAAUUUUUCAUGUUUGGAAAUUUUCUUAGGUUAGGCUAUUUUGUUACAGAUAUGAUUGUUGCCAAGUCAAUGCAAAAUACAUGCAAUAACUUCUGUUACAAUAAUUUUGUUACUUUCUCGGGUAAAUGGAUGGCGGAUUCAUGUGGAGUUGUUGCACUCUUUAAUUCAAGCAUGAUAUCUACAAUAUGUAUUUUAGGUUUGUCAUCUAACUUUUAUCCUUUUUUUUAUGACUUAGUUUUUUAUUUUCUUAUAGGGAUAUUGUAAGAGGUUAUGCUCCUUUUUAAUUCUAUUUUCAUGAUUCUCAUAUAUAGUAGCACAAAUAAAGGAAAGGUUUUUUUUUAAUUAAAUUAAUUCAUCAAUGUUGGAAAAAUUAAUUGUUAGUUAUGUUUUGACUUUACAUGCUUGUUAAAAUGAUUAGAUUAGUUAAUUUUAAAACAUAUAUCAUUCUUGUAAUAAUUCACUAUUAAUUGUGUGGCUAAGUGAUCAUGUUCCGUCAUGUUUUCUUUUCAUAUCAAGUUGAUACUAAAGGGGUAAUAUUGAGAAUGAGUUGAGCAUCGUUCAAUUUCACAAGAUAAAUGUUCAUGAGGUAUGGAUGGUUGAUGCAUAUAGAAAGAGUUAGUUCACUUACUUAAUAUCUUUGAUAUGUACUCAUUCUUGAUGUUUGUGAUUGCUUCCUAUCUUUGUUAAUUUGGUGUCUUGCUUGUUAAUUUAUACUUUUACAUUCAAUUUGUUAAGAACUAUUAUAUUAUGUUUGAACUCAUUCUUGAUGUUUGUGAUUACUUCCUAUCUUUGUUCUUUUGGUGUCUUGCUUAUUAAUUUAUAACUUUACAUUCAAUUCAUUAAGAACUAUUAUAUUUUGUUUGAAGUUUUGAUUUUAUGAUUCUCAUACACAAAAGAAUGCCAACAAUUUGAGCAAGGAGGACAUGAUACUAAAGCAUUUAUCAAUUUGGUUAUUUUUCUUCUCUCUAAUUUCUUAAGCUUGGGAAUCAAAAUGCUUUGGAAUACACAAGAAACAAUGGGGAUGACUCUUUUCUUCGUUAUCUUUAGUUUUAUUGAUAGUCAACUUGUAUUAUCACCCUUCCUAUUCCCUAAAGUACUCAAACUUGAUAGUUUAAAAUGUUUAAUGUUUACAAAAAUAUUCUUACUUCAUGUUUAGGUUCUAUAUAUUUGGAAAAUUUAUUAUGUUAAUUCUUUUAUUCUAUUCAUGAUCAUUUUCAUGUCAAUUCAAACAAAAAAAAAGAUAGUGGUAAAGAUUAGCAAAAUGUUGCCCAUACCUUGAACAUAGGUACAAGCUAUUAAUGGUUGGUGGACGGAAAAAGUCUCUCCCCACUCUUCUACUAUCCUUAGUUAGCAUAAAGGGUUCAUAUUAUGUUUUUAUUAUUUAGCUUUUAAAUUUCUACUUCUUAUCCUACUUUUUGUCUCUUUAUGGUUUAUCACUUGACAAUCAAUUUUUAAAAACAUGUUCUUAGCAUCCAUAUAUAUAACCUUCGUUGUUCAAGUUUAUAAUUGUUCAAGUUUAUAAUCCCUAUCUCAUUUUUUUUUUCUUUUCAUUUCUUUAUUGUUUAUAAUUUUUGAAUUGAUUUGUUAAAAAUUUUUAAACUUUAUUUGCAAUACUGAUUUUUUUAUUCUCAUGUGCAAUAGAAUAAUAAGUUGAAUAAGAAGCAUAUACUACUUAAUUGGUAUAACCGUUUAGUCAAUUCUCUUGUCAAAUCUUUUUUGUUUUCAUCAUUUUUCUUCAAGGUAAUCAAAGUAUAAUUCUUUCUAUUUCUAAAGGUCUUGAACCCAUCUUUGAAAACUUAAAGACAAGUUAAAGUACUGGAAAACCAUUCCCAAAGCAAGUAAUAACUAUAGUUGGGUUCUAAUAUCAUAUCCUCGAUUGACAUCUAUGUCAUUGCAUUUGCAUCUAAACGAUUUAUGAUGAAAAAAAAACUAUCUUCUUCAUUUCCAUUUUCCUCCCUUCUUUUGACCAUAAUUUAUGUGCAUAUUGAAAGCAUUCAUAGCCCAAUAUAUUUGCUAGCAUAUAUAUGCAUGUCAUAAUCUAUUAAUUUUUUUGGCAUAAGAUCUUAGAGUAUUCACAUAUAUCUAGGUUCUAUAUAUUUAUAAUUUUUCCAACAUCAAAUGAAGUAUAUGAACCUUAUCCUAAAGGUGAAGUCUCUUUAAAAGGAGCUUCAACAUGUUAGUGGUUACCAAACUUUAUAAUCUAAUAACUUGACACUAUAUAUCACUCUGCAACUCUUUCAUAAAGUAAUUGUACUACCUCUAUUUACAUUUUCUAUCUUUAUUUAUAUAUAAAAUAAAAUAAAAAAUUGAUUUGGUAAGUGUGUGUUAAAUCAUGCUUACAAUCAUUAAUUAAUAGGUACUUAUAUGCUAAAUUGAUAAAGUUAUUUUACAAUUGUUUCAACAUGUUCGAAAAAAAAAAAGAUUAUUAAGUAUAUUUUUCUAGAUGUAAUCACUACCAAGCCAAUGUGAAAAGCUAUAGCAAUGAAGAUAUAAGCUUCAGUUAUGUUUUGGAGAUUCAUAUUGAAAGUUGUAGAUUGUGGAUGUAUAGUAUAGGAGUUAGCUUGAGUUUAUCAUUCUAUCUUUGAUAUCUUAGUUAUCAUCUAUUCUUUACAACCAAUUUUUUAAGGACUUCUAUGAUUUGUUUAUAAUUUAUAUAUUUGUUAUUUGUACUAGAACAUCCUGAAGCUACUAAAGCACCAUUACAGUGUACCCACCACAAGUCUAAUGGAGCAUGCUUCUCAACCUUCACAAUUACUUGUAAGUUGCUGAUAAGAUAAUUUUCUCUAUAAUUAGGAAAUCUUUGUUGCACUUAAAUCUUUUUACUGAGUCAAGCAUUAAAAGGUUGUGUUUGGUUAAAAAAGAAAAAGAAAAACUGAAUAAAGGAUUUAGAGUAAUAAGAGUUUGCCACAUAAAGUUUAUGAAGGUGAAGGCUAAUAAUAGGAGGGAAGUUAAAACUUCACAACCUAUUUGAAAUUAUAAAACAUGAUUAGCUAACAAUUCGUUAAAGGUUGUAUUCAUCUUGAGCUUCUCCAAUUACACUAUAAAAUGGCUCGAGAAGAAUGAGGUUUCUCCAUUGUUAAUUGCUUACGAGUUUUACCAAACAAAGCAGAAGAGAGGGACAAGGCAAAGAUGGGCCUAAAAAUGAAUAUCACAGCAACCUCUCUUCUGCUAUUGCUAGCAUCUUCUACAGAAGUGUUCGGUGAUACCAUUUUUUACGUUACCAAAUAUGAGGCCAAGGCUGAUGGAAACACUGAUAUUACCCAGGUGAGGGCAAUGCAAUUAUAAUAUUUGUAAGAUGUUAAAAUUGAAUUUUUGCUUAAUGGGUUCUCUGUGGAAUGUUUUCUUAGGCCUUACUUAAUGCUUGGCGAGAUGCUUGUGCGUCGCCUGUGGUGAGUACAGUUAUGAUUCCAGAUGGGACAUAUGCCCUAGGGCAAAUAACCAUUGGAGGCCCUUACAAGGCUCCUAUCAAUUUCAAUGUCCAAGGCACUGUGAAGUCCUCGAUGGAUACCAGCAGGUUCAAGGCUGAAGCUGGUUGGAUUGCUUUCCAACAAAUCGACCAGUUCAUAUUGUCUUAUGGUGGAGUUUUUUAUGGCCAAGCAAAACCUGUAUAGGGUAGAAAAUGCCCCAUUUCUGCAUAUUGCAACCAACUUCCCAUCGUAAGUUCAUGUGUAUAUAUAUAUAUAUAUAUAUAUAUAUAUAUAUAUAUAUAUAUGCUUACGUAAUUCUUUCAUUUUGUGUUCGUAAUGAGGACACUAGCUAACAGUAUAAGCUUUGGUGUCUUUUUUUUUUUUUUUUUGUUAAUUCAAAUAUCUAUAACAGAAUCUGAGAUUCAACUUCAUCACCAAUAGCAUGGUCAAGGACAUAACUUCAAGAGAUAGCAAACAGUUUCAAAUGAAUCUUUUGGGGUGCAAGAAUUUGACUUUCUACAACGUUGGAAUUAGUGCACCAGAAGUGAGCAUUAAUACAGAUGGAAUUCACAUUGGACGGUCCUCAGGGUUCAAUAUAACCAAUUCAACUGUAGAGACCGGAGAUGAUUGUGUCUCAAUUGGUGAUGGCAGUGAGCAAAUUAAUAUCCAAAGCGUAACCUGCGGACCCGGCUAUGGCAUCAGUGUGGGAAGUCUAGGAAAGUGCCCCAAUGAAGAACCUGUGGUUGGCAUUAGUGUCAAGAACUGUACCUUCACCCCCAGAAUGGCAUGAGAGUGAAGACAUGGCCUACGUCCCAUCAAGGCACUGCUUCUAAAAUGCAUUUUGAAGAUAUUGUCUGAAUGAUGUUGCCAAUCCCAAAAUCAAAGAUCAAGAGUACUGCCCCCAUAACCAAUGCAACUUGAAGGUACAUUUAAAGGAAACGAAAAAUUCCAUUUUUAUUGUUUACUUUCCCUCUUUUUCCCUUCAUUUUCAUUGGUCUGGAACUUAACUUUCCGUUGUUUUCAGAGUCCAUCACGCAUUAAGCUCAGUAAGCUUCAGAAACAUCCGGGGCACUACCUCAACUCAGGUUGUUGUCAAGCUUGUUUGUGAUCAGGGAGUCCCAUGCCAAGACGUGGAGCUUGGUGACAUCAACUUGAAAUACAACGAAAAUGAAGGCCCAGCCAUGUCAUAAUGCAAGAACAUUAAACCAAAUCUACUGGGCAAGCAACUGCCAAGGACUUGUGCCUAAGAUGCUUAAUCUUCUUUCGAAGUCUGAAAAAUUGUACUGCUUCUAUUAUAUAGCUACCUCUUCAUGCUUACGCGUCUGCUAGUUUAUUGGUGAAUAAACUACAAUGAACACACAAAAAUACAACACUCGUCUAUUUUGGAAGGUAUGUGCAGUUUGAUCCCAUGAGAAAAAACAAAUGUCUAUUCAGUCGUUUUUUACAUAAGCAUCCAAGUUUAGAUGAGGAUUGAGCUGCCGUAGUACAAAUUGUAGCUCCAAAGAAUAAUCUUAAUGUUAAUGCAGUUUGGAUUACCAAAUGUAGUCAAGUGAAUUAAAAUUCCUUUAGGGUGUAUUAUUUGAAAUUUAAUCUUUGGAUUACUAGAACCAAGAAAAAACUAUAGAUUGGUAUUUGGUGUGUUGGAAAUGCUUGAUGGUCAGUGAUCGAACUAAUGACUUCGAGAAAAGCUAAGAAUGAUAAACACAAUAGUAAUAAAUGGCAAGAACCGACAAAAAUAUUGAAGUUGUAAUUCUCUCAAGGUGUGUAGUUUGGGAUUUGAAUUAUAUGUAAAGAAGAAAUGCUCUUGGAAACUGCAGCACGAUGAAUCUUGAAUGGUUUUCCAUCAUAUGGCUUUGUUGUUUGGAGAUGACUAAGUAAUAUUAGUUUUACCAAUCCUCCGGCCUUAAGCUAGCAUGUGAAAGUUGUAGCAUUAGCGGAGAGUUGAUAACAGUUUCUCGGUAGUUGGAAGCUUGAACCCUGACAUAUUAGUGCAAGGACAUGAAGAUAUUAAAUCAUUCAUACAAUUUAUUGUCUGAGAGGAUAGAAAAAAUAUAUAAAACCACUUAAGAUCUUAAAAACAUCCUAUAUUUCUCCAUUUUUUGUAUUUACACUCUGAUCCAUGGACUUUCACCCCACAAAAUGUCUCACAUUCUUUUUCAAAUUUCUACCUACAUUUAAACUUCUCAUGUCUAUUUUCAUCUCAUAACUUUUUUCUCCUCAUGACCUAAUUAAAAUAUAUAUAGAGAUAAUCCUACCAACUUUUAUUUUAUACGCAAACCUAUUUAUAUAAGGAAUUAAUUGUAAAAUAUCCUAUAUAAGCUACCUUAGCAUAGUUGAAUUAGGUUAUAAAUUUUAUUUUGAUACAAUAAAUAACAAAAAUCCAUUUAUAAAAAUAUAUAAAAAUCCAAUAAUUGUAUAGGAGAAACCACACUUAUUUUAAAUAAAUAAUAAAGUACAUGCUCCAAGUAUUAAAAGGUUAUCUUUGGUGUGUAUGAUUUGGAGAGUCCCAGAUAAUGUGCAAGUAGAUGAGACCUUGAGUGAGAUGUUUUCUCUUUCAAAUCAAUUUCAAAGUUGCGAAAUCCAAAAUUUCAAGCUCUUUUUAGAAGUGUUUUAGAAAAUAGUUCAAAAAAAACACUUCUUGAAAAUAGCUUUUGAAAAUUAUUCUCUAAUAUUUUAUACCACAUAUGUUUGUUUGAGAACCUACAAUAUUCUUAACUUAUUUUGUAUAUUUUUAAAUACAUUUUAAAAAUAAUUUUCAUAUGCAUUGCUUUAUUUUUAGUCGUUCUCCAUAUUUGUAUAAUUAUUUUUAAAACAACCCUAGAAAAAAGUAAAAUGAAAUGAAAAUAACUAAAAGAUGUUCUUUUGAAACAUUGUAUUUUCUAUUUAAAAUCUUUUUUUUUCUAGUUGUUAAACAUACUUUCUUGUUUUUUUUUUUUUUAUAUAUUCUAGAUAAUUAAAAACUAUUUUCAAAGCAAGACCUGAAUUUUUACUAUGAAAAAUCGAAACGGUGCUCAAACUUAGACUUCAAAUUGAUUUUAACCAAAAUAUGUUUUUUCUCUUUUUUUUCCUAUCAAAUCAAAACUCCAAUUUCUAUCGUUGGACUAAGAACUUUAAAUCAUUUUCUAUUGGCAAUAGAGUCUUUGAUUUAAGGACACAAAAUACACAUGAAAAAUCUCAUAGCUAUGUCUGUGCGUGUACAUAACUCUGUGUGUGUGUGUGAUAUAUAUAAAAAAUGAUGGAUGAGGAAAUUGUGGAUAUGGCCAAAUCUGAAUCACUUGUAUUUAACAAUAGCAUGUGAUUUACAUGGAAACCUGUUGGUGGAAAGAGCCUAUAAAUAAAGGCCUUCUCUCCUCAUUCUAUUUAUCCUAGAAUUGAAAGAAAAAGAGUGGUCUAACUUUGAGUGAAAAAGUGAGGUUCUCUUGAGAAUUAAAGAAUUAUUAUUCUCUCGGGUGUAAUAGGGAUUUGGAUUGUGAGAAGUGAGUGCUUAUAAACACUUGUAGGGAGAAAAAUAACUACGUAAAUUUCGUGUUUUGUUUUGUCUACUCUAUUUUAUUAUCAUUUCCAUGUUUUUUUUUUAUUAACGACAUGUCCUAUGGUGUUCUAGGAGCUUAGUGGUACUAUAAGGAGGUUUUGUCUAAGGAGGUUGGAAUUUAAGAGGAACAAUUGUGACCCCUCCAAUUUUUCUUAGGAACUUUUAUUUAUGUCUAAGGAGACUAGGUCUUAAAUGGGAUCAUUGUGAUCCUUCCAAUCUUUCUUGGGAACUUUCUUACUAGUUUAAAGCUCUAGGUAGAAGUUUUUCUAUAAUUUUUAAUAGGUAUAAAGGUACUGUAAAAAGUACACUUUUUGUUGAAUUCCUAAGGAACCAGAUUUGAGUGGGAGUGAUGGCAACAGAUGAAGAAAGAACAUCAUAAUUGAGAAGUUCGAUGGUGAACAUUUUACCUUCUGGAAAAUGCAAAUUAAAGAUUAUCUAUAUAUGAAAGACAUGCAUUUCCCUUUUUUUUUUUUUAUGAGAAAAGCCAACCGAUAUGAAAGAUAAAGAGUGGGCUUUACUCGACAAACAGGCACUUGGAGUUAUCCAAUUAACGUUAUCUUGGAAUGUCGCUUUCAACAUAAUGAAGAAGAAGACCAUGACGGGUCUUAUGGCAGUUCUCUCUGACACGUAUAAGAAGUCAUAUACUUCAAAUAAAGUGCACUUUAUGAGGUUGUUAUUCAAUUUGUGAAUGACAUAAGGUGCAUCUGUAGUAGCUCAUAUCAAUGAAUUUAGUACAAUCACAACACAACUAAGUUUAGUGGAAAUCAAGUUCAAUGAUGAAGUUUGAGCUUUGAUCCUCCUAUCCUCUAUCUAAAAGUUGAAUCGCAAUGGUAACAAUAGUGAUCAAUUCUUUUGCGAGGAAGAAGAUGGUAUUUAAGGAUGUUCAAGGUCUAAUUCUAAGCGAAAAAAAUACACCAAAGAGAACUAGGGGAAACAUUAAGUUCCACCUUAAACAUCAAAUCUAGAGGUAGACACAAUGAUAGAAACUUAAAUCGGAGCAAAUUAAAUUCAAGAUGAAGCAAGUAUAGAUCUAAGAAGAAAGAGAAUAGCUGCUAGAACUGUGGUAAAAUGGUCACUUGAAGAGAGAUUGCAGAGCACCAAAAAAGAACAAUGGCAGUGCAAAGGAAUCCGUGAACGUGGCCGAAGAUACUGGCGAUGCUCUAAUCCUAAGUGUCAAUAGUCUAGUUGAAUCUUGGAUUUUGGAUUAUAGGGCAUCAUAUCACUACACCUCACAUUACGAAAUCAUGGAGAACUACAUCAAUGGUGAUUUUGGGAAGGUUUAUCUGGUUGAUGAUGGGACCAUGAAGAUUAUGAGGAAAGACGAUAUUCAAGUGAAGCGACCAAAUGGGACUGUCUGGAAGUUGAAAGACAUGAGAUUAAUUCCUAGUCUAAAAAGAAAUUUAAUCUCAGUGGAUCGACCUGAUCAAGAAGGUCAUCAUACAACCUUCUUAGGGAGUGAAUGGAAGAUCACCAAGGAAACUAUAGUCAUAACUUAUGAAAAGAAGAAUGGUACUCUCUAUGUUACUUCUAGCAUGGAGAAUAUUGUUGCAAUUGUAGAAUCAUAUGAGAAAUAGAAAAUCUAGCAGUAGAGACUCAAUCAUAUGAGCGAGACAAGGAUGAAGGUUCUUGUUUCAAAGAGGAAGCUGCCAAAUCUAAAAUCAGUAGACAUCGGUCUAUGCAAGGAUUGUAUUUUCGGCAAACAGAAAAUGGUCAAUUUCUCAAAGAUAGGCAAGCCACCCAAAGUAGAGAAGUUAGACCUAGUUCACACAGAUGUGUGGGGGUCAUCACCAAUUUCAUCUAUUGGAGGCUCAUAUUACUACGUCACCUUCAUUGAUGACUUUACUUGGAAAGUAUGGGUUUAUUUUCUGAAAAAGAAAUCAAAAGUUUGUGAUGUUUUCAAGAAAUGGAAAGCCAUGGUAAGAGCAAGACGGGCUUGAAAGUGAAGCAUUUGAAGUUCAACAAUGGAGGAAGGUACGAAGACGAGAAUCUUAAUGAGUUUUGUGUAGCCAAUGGAAUUAAAUUGGAAAAAACUAUUCCAAAGACACCUUAGCAUAAUGGUAUAGUACAACGCAUGAACAAAACUCUCAAUGAACAUGUUAAAAGCAUGAGAAUACAUGCAGGCUUACCUAAGAUGUUUUGGGCUAAAGUUGUUAGCAUAGCGACCUACCUUAUCAACCAUGAGCCUUUAGUGCCUUUUGGAGAAAAGUUACCUAAGGAAGUAUAGAGCGAUAAAGAGGUGAAAUUUUCACUUUAGAGAUUAUUUGGUUGUAUUUCUUUUGUGCAUAUUGACUUAUCUAAAAGGAGCAAGCUCGACACAAAGUCUAAGAAAUGUGCUUUUAUUCGAUAUGGCAUUAAUGAAUUUGGCUACUGAUUUUGGGAUUUUGAAAAUAAAAAAAUCAUCAGAAGCAGGGAUAUCAUCUUCAAUGAGAAAGCAAUGUACAAGGACAAGUCAUUUGUAGAAUCUAUCAACACAAAAGUCAAAACUGAAAAAAAAAAAAAGAGUACAUUAAGUUUGAGGAAAAAUCUAAGAAGGAAAUACAAUCAGGGGAUCAAAAGAAUCCUAUAAAUGAAGUAUCUCAAGAAAAACCACACACUCCUGUAGCAGAAGUGAGACACUUCUUGAGAACUCCUAAAUUGAUAUAAUGUUAUUCACCUUCUUUGCAUUAUUUAUUGUUGACUAACAAUAUAGAACUAGAGUGUUAUGAUGAAGUAAUUUAGGUUAAGGAUUCGGUCAAGUGGGAUUAUGCCAUAAAAUAUGAGAUGGACUCCCUGAUGUCAAAUAAGACAUAGGAUUUGAUUGAACUACCAAAAGGAAAGAAAGCUUUACGUAACAAAUGAGUUUUCAAGAUCAAAGAAGAGCAUGAUGGAAGCAAGCGUUACAAAACUAGGAUGGUAGUUAAAGGAUUUCAAUAGAAAGCAAGAAUCGAUUAUGCUGAGAUUUUCUCUCCAAUAAUGAAGUUGAUGACAAUCAGAUUGGUGCUAAAGAUGGUAGCUGUAGAAAAUUUGCAUAUUGAGCAGUUAGAUGUGAAGACAAUGUUCCUUCAUGGUGAUUUAGAGGAAGAGAUUUAUAUAAUGCAACCAAAAGGCUUCAUGAUCGUAAGCAAAAAAAGCUUUAAGUGCAAGCUGAAGAAGAUUCUAUACGGUCUGAAACAGGCUCCAAGAUAGUGGUACAAAAAGUUCAAUAGCUUCAUGAGUAGCAACGGUUUUACAAGAUGUCAAGUAGAUCAUUGUUGUCAUAUAAAAAAGUUUGACGACAACUUUAUUAUUUUACUUUUGUAUGUAGAUGAUAUGCUCAUUGCAGGUUCUGAUAUGCAAGAGAUAAAUAACUUAAAAAGAAAAUUAUUGAGGCGGUUUGCAAUGAAAGAUGUAGGUGCUACAAACUAGAUUCUUGGAAUUAAUGAGGAUUAGCAGGGACAAAGUAGCAAAGACUUUGAUGUUGUAACAAGUAGAGUACAUCAACAAAGUACUCUCUAGGUUCAACAUGUAGAAUGCUAAAUCAGUGAGCCUGUCUUUAGGUGCCUAUUUCAAAAUUUCCAAAGAGCAAUCACCAAAAAUAGAGGAAGAACGUGAUCACAUCAAAAAAGUUCCUUAUGCUUCAACCAUUGGAAGUUUGAUAUAUGUUAUGGUUUGUAUGAGACUAGAUAUUGUGCAAGUAGUAGGAGUGGUGAGCAGGUACAUGAACAAUUAUGGUAAGAUGCACUAGGAAGCGGUUAAAUGGAUCCUUAGAUAUUUUCAAAAUACCUAAAAAAUGUCACUCUAUUUAAGAAGUGGGGAUAUGAAAUUGGAAGGCUUUGUUGAUAGUGACCUAGGUGCCGGAGAUGUCGAAAACAGAAAGAGCACUAAAAGAUAUGUGUAUACUCUUAAAUGAACUAUAAUGAGUUGGGUUUCUCAAGAAAGUUGCAACUCUCUCCACUACCGAAGCAGAAUAUAUUGUUACUACGAAAGCCAAUAAGGAGAUGAUUUUCUCUUCAAGGUUUCUUGGAAGAGCUAGGAGAAAAAUAGGAGAACAAUGUCUUUUAUUCAAAUAAUCAGAGUGUGUUUCACUUGUGAAGAACCAUCCUUCCAUGCCAGAAUGAAGCAUAUUCAAACAAAGUAUCAUUUCAUUUGAUCUCUUUUGGAGGAAAAAGUUCUUAGACUUGAGAAGAUUGAUGGAAAUGAAAUCCCAGAUAUAUGCUAACAAAGACGGUGACAAUUCACAAACUAAAGUUAUGUUCGAUUUCAAUUGGCCUACAAACAUAGAAGAAGAAAGAUGAGUUGUUGCAUUGAUCUUGUGUGAAGACAUAAAGUAAGUACUCUUCAAGUGAGAGAACCACGUAAAGUUUGAGUGAACCAUGUAAAUUUUCAUAUGUUAUUUUUUCUACUCUAUUUUGUUAUUAUUUCCACAUUUUUUUAUUCGCUUCAUUAAUUUGGUCUUUUGGAAGGUUUAUUUCCUAACAUUUUUCAACUCAAUUUCUUAUCUAAAAUUGAAAUGGGAAUUGGUUUCAUCCUCAAUUCAAAUAGAUUUUUGGAACACUUCACCAUUCCCCUUCCACACUUUCCACCAUCCAAACAAUAAAUAUAAUUACUUAACUCAAUUACAUAUUUUUGCUUAUUUUCAUUUACAUUCAAAACUUGUUAGAAAGGAACCUUGAGUUUAGGAAGUUCCCAAUUAUUAGGAUUUGAUUUUGUUUUAUAAAAGUAAAUUAGAAUAUUUACAAAUUUGAGUGGUUGAUUUAAUUAUAUGUUUAUACAUAAGUCCUGCAAGUUAUUUUUUAUACUUUUUGUUAUUAAGAGUCUAUUUGUUAGAUAAAGGUGUCCAUAAAAAAAAAAAAAAAAAAAAAAGGAGUUAGUAUGAUAGUUGAACAAGAAUGGUGGAAAGUAAUGUCAUUUUCUUGAUUUUUCUCCAUUACUUAUUUCUCUCUAUGGAUUUGUUUAUGUGUUCUCAACUUUAUUCCUUGAACAAAUUAGGUCGUGAGAAAAAAAUGACAAGUAGGAUAUAUUUGUUAUAAGUCUUUUAGCUCAAUAAAAAUAAUUACAAUAAUUGGAGUAUGAAGAUAAAGACUUUACUUGAUUCACAAGAUGUAUGAAAGGUUGUAGAUGAAGGCUAUAAACAAAGAGCCUUGACAUAAAACCACUAUUCUAAAAUCAAAGUAAUUUUUUGAAAGGUAUAUGGAAAACAAAAAAAAAAAAAAAUGCCAAAAGGGAGGGAAGAAGAAAGCUCUUACCCUUAUCUAUCAAGCAAUAGAUAAAGGCAUGUUUGGAAAUUUUCCAAAUGCAACCAUGCACUACCAAGAAAGCAUGGACGAUAUUAGAAAAUGCACAUAAAGAAAUUGAUUAAUUAAGAAAAGUAUGUCUUUGUACCCUUAGAGGAGAAUUUAAAAGUUUGACCAUAAAAGAAGUAGAAUCAAUCUCCCAUUAAUUUUUCAAGAGUUAUAGUGAUCAGCCAUGAAUCAACUAAAAUGAAACAAUUAAAAUUUUAAAUCAUACUUGUGUGACUGAACAAAUAAUUCAGUCUAUUAGAUUCAAAGUUUGGUUGUUGUGCUCAUUAGAUAGUAAAAUGAUUUUCAUUGUAGCAUGAAGACAGAUUAAAAAAGAACCAAGAAAAAGUUCUUCAAACAAAACUUAAAUGACAAGAAACUGAAGAAAAUCUUAAUAAUAAAAGAAGUCAAAACGAUCGUGGAGUGGUUAUGACCAAGUAAACAUAGAAAGAUGUGGUUUUAUUUCAUCAAAUAAUCAAGAACACUAAUGUCAAAACCCAUAUUUUUUAAGAAGAUGUGAAAGAGAGCACAACUAAAGACAAAAUGAAAGGAGAAGUUAUGAGAAAUCUCAAGUUCAACCUUAUAACUAUAAAAAAUUUGGUCAUUAUGUGUAUGAAAUAAAAAGUACUACUAGCAAUAUGGAAAGAAAAGCCAAUCAUGUUAAAACAAAUAGGUAAAGAAAAACCUAGCCACUUUAUUUUUGGCAUAUAAAACACAAAGUAAUAAGGAGAAAAAUACAUGGUAUUCACUCGAUGGUGAAAACAGCCAUAUAUGUAGCUUCAAAAGUAUUUUCUUUGAAAUUGAUCAAUAUUCAAACACUAAUAAUGUUACUUUUGAAUCUAUUCAAAAUUCUCAAAAAAGGCAAAGGUAAAAUCUUAAUUUGUUCAAAAAAUGGAAGAUAUUAAUUUAUUUCAAAUAUCUAUUAUGUGCAGAUUAUGAAAAACAAUUAAUUAAGUUUGGAUUAACUUUUAAAAAAGAUAUAAUAUUCAUAAGAAAAAUCAAGUUCUCUCAAUAAGAUAUCAAUAUGUUGACUUCCUUGCAAAUGUAGUCAUGACAAGAAAUAUAAUGUUUCUGUAAUUAAAAUUGCUAAAAUUUUGUGUCAAUGUUCCCAUCUAGAUUUUCCACUUAAGAUAUCAACAUCUUAAUUUAGGAGGAUUGAAAUUGUUGAUCAAGAAAAAAAUGGUAUAAGGAUUGCCCUCUACAAAUCAUUUGGAUCAAUUAUAUAUGUGAAGGAUGCUUACUUGGAAAAUAUUCCUAUGAAAGUUUUCCAAAAGUUGGAAUUCAAGGUUUGGUAACUCCUUGAGGUUGUAAUGAUUUGCAGAUCCAGAGUUAUAGAAGAAAUUAAGAAAAUUUGGGAGAAAAAUGCAAAAUGUAUGAAGAAUAAAUUAUAUCUUCUCUCUCUCUAAUACAAUUGGAACUUAUCACAUUAUAUGGUACAAUGCAGGUUUUAAAUGGCAUGUAUGCCUAGACAUUGUUUUUACUUGGAACCAUUAAAAUAUAGUAUUACUAAUAGCAUUGUAAUAAAAUGGCAGAAGAUAGAUAUCAAUACAAGUCUAAUUAAGAAAGUUUCUCAAAGGCCACCUUCACAAUUACUUGUAAGCAGCUAAUAAGAUUUCCUCUAUAAUUAGGAAAAAUCUUCAUAUCAACUAUUCUUUGCACUUUAAUCUUUUUACUUAGUCAUUGAGAGGUUGUGAUCAGCCUUAAAAAAACUCGUCAAAAAAGGAUUUAGAGCAUAAAAUUUGAGACAGUUAAGGCCACUAAUAAGAGGGAAGUUGACCCAAACAUCACAACCUAUUUGAAACUAUAAAACUUAAUUAGAUAGUAAUUGUUUAAAUGUUUUAUUGGUGUUGAGAUUCUCCAAUUACACUAUAAAAUGGUUUGAGAAGAAUGAGGUUUCACUAUUGUUAAUUGCUUACAAGUUUUACCAAACAAAGGAGAAGAGAGAGACAAGGAAAAGAUGGACCUAAAAUUGAAUAUCACAGCAACCUCUCUUCUGCUAUUGCUAGCAUCUGCUGCAAAAGUGUCUGGUGAUAUCAUUUUUGAUGUUACCUGUUGGAAAUCAAGCCAGCAUCCUCUGUUUACUUCCCUAAUUAGUGUAAUGUACAACCUUUAUUAUAAUUGAUUUAGGAGUAAUUCUAGCAAGGUAGUUUAUUCACUUUCCAUGUAAGAGUAGUUUAUUCACUUCCCAUGUAAGAGUAGUUUAUUCACUUCCCAUGUAAGAGUUUAUUCACUUUCCAUGUAAGGGAAAUUCCAUUCCGGAAUUGUCUCAUAUCCGUAGGCUAUUUAUUUAUGCUUUCAUUCAUUGUAAAGUGAGGUAUCACAGAAUGAAUUGAGGUGUUCCUCCAUAUUUUGUCUUCAAAUUCUUCAUAUUUUUCUUCAAAUUCUUCAUGGUAUCAGAGCAGGUUUAAUCCUGUCUCAUCGUCUUCAUCUUUAAUGGAGAUGCUUCAGAAACUACUGUCUCCUCUUUUGUCAGUACAGUCACAAACUGGCUCAUCUUCCAACCAGGUCAUUGGUUCCGGAACCUUGGCUCACAAAGGUAAUUUUUUGAGUGCCUUCACUGCUGGUAAGAAACGUAAAAAACCUUGGAUAGUGGACUCAGGAGCAUCUGAUCAUAUGACGGGAGAUGCGACAAUUUUUGAUACAUAUAGCUCAUGUCCAAAUAAUUUAACAGUCCGAAUAGCAGAUGGUUCACUAUCAAAGGUUGUCGGAACAGGUUCAGUUGUGCUAUCAAGGGAUCUUACUCUCAACUCUGUUCUCCUUGUUCCUAACUUGGACUGUAAUCUAUUGUCAAUUAGUAAACUCACUAAGGAAAAGAGGUGUAUUACUAAUUUUUCCUCCACUCACUGUGAAUUUCAGGAUUUGGAUUCAGGGAAGACGAUUGGCAAUGCUGAGGAAUGCUCUGGACUCUACAUCCUUAAGGAGCGCCACGAUCCACAAGAACAACCUCAAAUGACAGUUGGUAGUAAUUCUUUUUCGGUUUCAUGUCAAAAUAACGAUAGUGCAAUUAGGUUGUGGCACUAUCGCUUAGGUCAUCCAAAUGUUAUGUAUCUCAAGCAUUUAUUUCCUUCAUUAUUUAAUAAAAAUCCAAAAUCCUUUGAGUGUGAAAUCUGUCAAUUAUCAAAGCAAGUCCGGUCUCAUUUUCCCAUUCAACCCUAUAAAGAGUCUAGUCCAUUCUCAAUGAUUCAUAGCGAUAUCUAGGGUCCGUCAAGAAUAAAAAAUGUAACUGGUACUAGGUGGUUUGUCUCAUUCAUAGAUGAUCACACUAGAUUAACUUGGGUAUUCCUCAUGAAAGAAAAAUCUGAAACGAGUCAAAUUUUCAAAAAUUUUAAAAAUAUGAUUCAGACCCAAUUCCAGUCAAAAAUACAAAUUCUAAAGUCUGAUAAUGCUAGGGAUUAUUUCAACUCCAUUCUAGGAGAAUUUCUAGCACAAGAAGGGAUAGUUCACUUAAGUUCAUGUGUUGAUACCCACAACAAAACGGAAUCGCUGAAAGGAAAAAUAGGCAUUUGUUAGAGGUGGCUAGAUCACUAAUGUUCUCCAUGAAUGUUCCAAAAUUAUUCUGGGGGCAAGCUGUCCUUACGGCAGCCUACCUCAUCAAUAGGAUGCCGUCUAGGGUACUAAAAUUCCAAACACCUUGUCAAACACUCCUAAAAUCCUUUCCGACUACUCGUCUCAUCUCCACCGUCCCACCCAAAAUUUUCGGGUGCUCUGUCUUUGUUCAUAUCAAUCAACAACAUAGAAGUAAACUUGAUCCUAGGUCACUCAAGUGCAUCUUUCUUGGAUAUUCUUCAAAUCAAAAAGGGUAUAAGUGUUACUCUCCGGUCACAAGAAAAUUCUACAAUUCAAUGGAUGUCACCUUUUUUGAAACCCAGCCUUACUAUCCCAAAAACGAUAUUCAGGGGGAGAAUUCAACCCAGGAAUAUCAAUUUUGGGAUCUUGAGUCAUUCAGUGAGUCACCCAUCACCACUGAAAAUCACAUUCCUCCAGAGUCAUUUAAUCAACCCGAGUCCAUUGUUGACUUGUGGGAUAAGGAGCACAUCCAAGAGGAAACGGAGGAAAGAGCACUUUCUCAACAAACCCAUGAGGCAGAACCGGGUCCUAAUCCAAGCAAACUUCCAGGUAACAACGCUCCUGAUGGUACUGUUGAUUCCGAGUUAGAAAAUGAUAUUCUUAAUAUGCCCAUAGCUUGGAGGAAAGGAGUUAGAUCAUGCACUCAGCAUCCCAUUGGAAAUUUUAUUUCUUAUGAUAAGUUAUCACCUACGUUUCGUGCAUUCACUUCUAGCAUCACAGAGAUACAAGUUCCUCAGAAUAUUCAGGAAGCUUUCAAGUAUCCUAAGUGGAAGGCGGCAGUCGAUGAGGAAGUUUGGGCGCUAGAAAAGAAUGGUACGUGGGAAAUUACUGACCUCCCAAGAGGUAAGAAACCAGUUGGGUGUAAGUGGAUUUUCACAGUAAAGUACAAGGCAGAUGGUAAUGUGGACAGGUAUAAGGCUCGGUUGGUUGCCAAAGGAUUCACCCAAUCUUAUGGCAUUGACUAUCAAGAAACUUUUGCUCCAGUUGCCAAGCUCAAUACUGUUCGUGUACUUUUAUCCUUGGCAGCUAAUCUCGAUUGGUCUCUUCACCAACUUGAUGUGAAGAAUGCCUUCCUCAAUGGUGACUUAGAGGAAGAAGUUUACAUGGACAUUCCUGCUGGACUUGAGACGACAUCAAAUUUCAACAAGGUUUGCAGACUCCGAAAAUCCUUGUAUGGUCUCAAACAAUCUCCCAGGGCCUGGUUUGAACGGUUCACUAAGGUAGUGAAAGGGUACGGAUUCGUUCAAUGUCAAUCCGAUCACACAUUAUUUGUGAAACACUUCCCAAAAGGGAAACUGGCAAUUAUCAUUGUAUAUGUGGACGACAUAAUUUUGACAGGUGAUCAUGAAGAGAAAAUUGACUUACUUAAAAAAUUACUGACAAAGGAAUUUGAGAUCAAGGAUCUUGGAAACCUCAAGUACUUUCUCGGAAUGGAGAUUGCUAGGUCAAAGAAAGGUAUAGCAGUCUCACAACGCAAAUACGUUCUGGACUUAUUGAAUGAAACAGGAAUGCUAGGAUGCAAGCCGGCAGAAACACCUAUGGAUACAACUGUCAAACUGGAAGAAAGUGAUGGAAGUGCGCCAGUUGAUAAAGGAAGAUAUCAACGUCUUGUGGGGAAACUCAUCUAUCUUUCUCAUACAAGGCCAGACAUCGGCUUCUCCGUUAGUGUGGUAAGUCAAUUCAUGAAUAAUCCAACCGAAAAACACAUGACUGCUGUGAUCAGAAUAUUGAGAUACCUCAAGAUGACACCGGGAAAGGGUCUCUUCUUUCAAAGAACAACAAAUAAAGAGAUUGAGAUUUUUUCAGAUGCAGAUUGGGCAGGUUCAGUGACUGAUCGGAGAUCAACUUCAGGCUAUUGUUCAUUUGUCUGGGGGAACUUGGUUACAUGGCGAAGCAAGAAACAGUCAGUGGUAGCCCGUAGCAGUGCUGAGGCAGAAUUUCGUGCUAUGGCACAAGGUAUCUGCGAAGGAAUCUGGUUGAACAGGCUGUUAGAAGAAUUACGGGUUCCAUUGAAGCAUCCCGUGGUGUUAUACUGCGACAAUCAAGUUGCCAUCAGUAUCGCUAAGAAUCCGGUUCAUCAUGAUCGAACUAAGCACGUGGAGAUAGAUCGACACUUUAUCAAGGAAAAGAUUGAAGAAGGAGUUUUCAAAGUCAGCUACACUCCGACAAACUGUCAAACGGCUGACAUUCUCACAAAAGCUCUUGCUCGAGUUAACUUCGAAGAUCUGACAGAAAAACUUGGAAUGAUCAACAUCUACAACGCGGCUUGAGGGGGAGUGUUGGAAAUCAAGCCAGCAUCCUCUGUUUACUUCCCUAAUUAGUGUAAUGUACAGCCUUUAUUAUAAUUGAUUUAGGAGUAAUUCUAGCAAGGUAGUUUAUUCACUUUCCAUGUAAGAGUAGUUUAUUCACUUCCCAUGUAAGAGUAGUUUAUUCACUUCCCAUGUAAGAGUUUAUUCACUUUCCAUGUAAGGGAAAUUCCAUUCCGGAAUUGUCUCAUAUCCGUAGGCUAUUUAUUUAUGCUUUCAUUCAUUGUAAAGUGAGGUAUCACAGAAUGAAUUGAGGUGUUCCUCCAUAUUUUGUCUUCAAAUUCUUCAUAUUUUUCUUCAAAUUCUUCAUUACCAAAUAUGGUGCCCGGGCUGACGGAAACUCCGAUAUCAGCCAGGCGAGGACAAUUCAAUUAUAAUAUUGUAAGAUAUAUCUUAAACUUAAAUUUCUGCUAAAUGGGUCCUCUAUUGAAUGUUUCUUAGGCCUUACUUAAAGCUUGCGGAAAUGCUUGUGCAUCGCCUAUGGCAAGUACAGUUAUGAUUCCAGAAGGGACAUAUGCACUAGGCCAAAUAACCAUUGGAGGCCCUUGCAAGGCUCCUAUCAAUUUCAUUGUCCAAGGCACUAUGAAGGCCCCGGUGGAUACCAGCAGGUUCAAGGCUGAAGCUGGUUGGAUUGCUUUCCAACAAAUCGACCAAUUCACGUUGUUUGGUGGUGGAGUUUUUUAUGGCCAAGGAAAAACUGUAUGGGGCAGAAAAAGCCCCCGUUCUGCAUAUUGCAACCAACUUCCCAUUGUAAGUUCAUGUAUAUAUAUUCUUGUGUAAUUCUUUCAUUUUGUGUGCAUAAUGAGGACAUGACAGUAUAAGCUUUGGUGUCUCUUUUUUUGACUUGAAAUAUCUAUAACAGAAUCUGAGGUUCAACUUCAUCACCAAUAGCAUGGUCAACGACAUAACUUCAAGAGACAGCAAACAGUUUCAUAUUAAUCUUUUAGGGUGCAAGAAUUUGACUUUCUACAACAUUGCAAUUAGUGCACCAGAAGAGAGCCUUAACACAGAUCGAUGGAAAUCACAUUGGACGUUCCUCAGGGAUCAAUAUCACCGAUUCAACCAUAGAAACCGGAGAUGAUUGUGUCUCAAUUGGUAAUGGCAGUGAGCAAAUUAAUAUCCAAAGUAUAACCUGUGGGCCUGAACAUGGCAUCAGCAUGGGAAGUCUUGGAAAGUACUCCAAUGAAGAACCUGUGGUUGGCAUUAGUGUCAAGAACUGUACCUUCACCAACACCCAGAAUGGCGUGAGAGUGAAGACAUGGCCUGCUUCCCAUCAAGGCACUGCCUUUGAAAUGCAUUUUGAAGAUAUUGCUAUGAAUAAUGUUGGCAAUCCCAUAAUCAUAGAUCAAGAGUACUGCCCCCAUAACCAAUGCAACUUGAAGGUACUUUUAAAGGAAAUGAAAAGUGUCAUUUUUAUUGCUUAUUUUUCCCAUUUUUCCCAUUUUUCCCUUCAUUUUCAUCGGUCUAGAAAUUAAGGGUUCAUUUGGUCAUGUUUUCUAAAACUUAUUUUUAAAAACUGUUUUUAAGUUAAAGAACAAAAAAUAGUUUUUCAAACUAAUGAAAACGAUUUCUACUUGUUCUCUAAAAAUUGUUCUCUAUCUCAUUUUAAAAAAAAAAAAUUAUUUCUAGAAAACAAUAGCUAAACAAUAUUAGGAAUUUUUCAAAACAUUUUUCUAUUUUUAAAAACAAAAAACUGUUUUUAAAUCACAUAGUCAAACAGGCUGUAACUUUCCAUUGUUUCUAGAUUCCAUCACGCAUUAAGCUCAACAAUGUUAGCUUCAGAAACAUCUGAGGCACUACCUCAACUUAGGUUGCUGUCAAGCUUGUUUGCAGCCAGGAAGUACCAUGCCAAGACGUCGAGCUUGGUGACAUCAACUUGAAAUACAAUGGAAGCGAAGGCCCUACCAUGUCACAAUGUAAAAACAUUAAGCCAAAUCUACUCGGCACGCAACUGCCAAGGACUUGUGCCUAAUUAAGCUACUUAAAUCUUCUUUCAAAGUCUGAACAAAUUGUACUGCUUCUACGAUUUUUAUAUAGCUACCUCAUGUGUUUUCUAGUUGAUUGCUGAAAAACCACCUCCACAUAGUAAAAGUAAAACACAAUAAAUAGGGAUUUAUAAAUUAUUAAAGAUUAUUUUUCUCCAAAAGAGGUUACAUUUUAUGUUUUUAAAAAAGGUUAGUCAUUCUUCCGAAUUUGGUUUUCUAUAGGAAUAUUUAAUUAAAAGGGGUAAGUAAAAUAACCCAUAAUUUGUAAAAGUAGCCUUCAUUAUCUCUCAAAUCAAAUAGAAAAAAUAUAUAUAUAAUAAAGAACCUUCUAAAUUCAAAUCCCUUUCUUCUUCUCUCUCUUCACCACCUUUGAAAUCUCUUUCUUUCUUUCUCUUCAUUGCCUUUUUUUAUUUCUGUGUGGUAGCCACAUCCUGCCACAUCCAAUUCACCUUCCAUUGAUGCAAUGACUCCUUUGAUUCGUCACAAUUAGUCAAAGCGCUUGGCUAAUGUACUCCACUUGGAGGCUAUUUAACCACAUCCUUCAUACCAUGGCAUCAUACUAUUUAACCACUUCAUCUUUGCCACAUUUCAAAAUCACUAUAUAUGAGAAAUAACACUUAUUUUGAAUAAUAAUGGACAUACUCCAUAUAUCAAAUUAUCACAAACAAACAAUUGACCUCAUAUUUCUAGACCCCUAAUUUUGUUCUCUAGUAUUACAAUACAUACAUACUCCACAUUUAUCCCCAUGUAUUUGAGUUGAUGAGGAAUAUUGAUCAUAUAUUUCAAGUGUUUUGAAGUUUUAAAAGGUUCUAGAUAAUUUGGAAAAUAAAAAUGAACUCGAGUUUCAAAUUUGAGAAAAUAAAGGCUAAUAUUAAAAGAGAAAAACACCCAAGAGAGGGGUGAAUUGGGUUUUUCAAAAUCUUUUUCAACACAACAAAUUCAAGCACAAUAGAAGAAAAUAUAAAGAGAUAAAGUUAGAGAUAUCAAAGUAAGAUUUUAUAGUGGUUCGGCACUUCCUUGCCUACGUCCACUCUCCUCAAGCUCCUAACUGAGUGGGGGUUCCACUAACUUGAAGCUUCAACCAAGCUUCUAAUCUCUUUUACACUUGAAUUCCGAAUCCAAUGGGCUCUUACACAAUCUCUUCAAGAUUCAACUCACUUGAAGGCUUUAACACUCAAUUUUACAAGAAUGAAUCCCUCAACCUAGCUCAAUGAUAGCUAAAAUACAAAUCAAAGCUAGGAUGAAUCACAAAGGUGCACUAAAGGAUAUGCAAGUGAAGAUUUAAUGCACUAAGAAAGAAAUGAGAGUUUUUAAGGCAAGAACAAGUGAGUAGACAAAUAAAUGCAAGUGUUUUCUAUGUCAUAAAUAAAGUGGAGCUCUCAAUUUAUAGGUUUCUAACCUUGGGAGCCAAGAAAAACAAAAAGCAGCCUCAACCAGUCAAGUUGAGGAUCGAUCGAUUCACUAACAGUUGGAACAUUUAAUGUUUUGGCAGGUUACCGUUGCUUCAACCGGACCUCAACCGGAGGUCGACCAGGAAGGGAAGGCUACUGGAAGAGAGAGAGUGUUUUUGCACUCCUCGACCGGGCAAAGGGAACUAGUCGACCGGUACCUUGGCCGAUUGAGCCGAUUGGCUCAGUGCCUUGAUCGGUUCAACAUUUUGGCCUCAAAAACCUAUUUUUUUCUAUUCUUUUCUCUUCUAACACUUAGGCAAGGUCUUUAGGUUAAUUAAUAUGCCAAUUUUGAAACGUUUUACCUAAGGUACAUUUGAUAAAACUUGGGUUUUAAUGAAACUGUAACUUUAAAGAACAAACCGAGUUUUCCAAAUAUGCAUGAAAUGAUAUGUAAACCCUAAGUGCACCCAUGCAUUCAUCUUACAUUUGUUUCCUAUGAAUAAAGGUCUUCCAAACGUCUUGAUUUUGUAUCCAUUAGGUCAUUUGAUGAAUUUCCAAAUUAAUACUUGAGAUUAUUUACAAAUCAAACCAAUUAGUAACUUAACCAUAGUUUGUUAUCAUCAAAACCUAAUUAGGAAAACACUUGGGCUAACAAAAUUGAUUAUCAAGUAGAUUCUCGAUUAGAAAUCAAAAUCCAAAUAUGUUUUUCUCUUUUACCCUGACAAAUCAAAAUUCCAAUUUAUCUCUUGUACAAAUAUGAAAUUUAUGCUAUUCGAAUCAAAACUCCAAAUCAUUUUCUAAGUCAGAUUCUCUUCUAAAAUUAAAAUGGAAAUCUAUUUCAUCUUUGUGGUUCAAAUUGAUCUUUGGAAUACUUGCACAUUCGAAAGGAAAAUAGUGUCACGAGUUUUGCAGUUGGAGUUCAUGGAUCAGGCAUUUUAGGAGUUCUUGUACCUAAUGAGAACGUUUACCUUGAUUAAUUUAACACUUAUAUUGCAAAGAUCUACAUAGGAGUUCUAUAGAUUUAUUUAAACAUUUAUGGGCAUAUUUAUCCUAUUUGUAGCAUAUUCUAAUGAUAUUUUUAAACAUUAAUAUAAAUUGUUUGCUUGAAGGUUUCAACUAUUGAAAAUUAUUGUUCAAGCCUAAUGUUAAUCUUUUUCUAUGGUGGAUUUCAAAUAAUUAAUAAAUUCUUAUUUGAUUAUUUGUAGGGAAAAUAAAUACCUUCUAUGUUUGAUAGGAAAGAAGAUAGAGUAGAUCACUUUCACAAUACAUGGAUGCUACUCUUUCUAUACUUUUAAAGAUGGUUACAAUUGGCUUUAUGAGGGAUAAUGAUUUUCUAGUUCUUUUAAUACUUACUAGUAAAGGCUCACAUGCCAUGCACAUACAUUGAGUAUAAUUUCUCAAUAGAUGUAGGGAACCUUGCAAUCAUGCUUAAAAUAUAAAAUUAACCAGUAUAUUAAAUGAAAUUUUUGUUUAGGAAAUAUGAUUACACAAGAAAAGGAAAUAAGAUUGUUAAAGUGUUGGAAACCUCUCUGGUUCAAAGCCCUAAGCAUCAAAUGGAUGAUAAUAACAAUUAUCAUAGGAAAAAUAGGAAAGGAAAAGAAUAUAUAAAUAUUUUUUUUUCCUAAACAAGGGAUUUCCCAUUUUAUAAGAAUGACCAAUAUAUAUAUAUAAAAGAAUUGUUUAAAUUACUAUAAAAAAUUUAUGUACUUUACAAUAAUUAUGUAAUCUAUAACUAUGCGUUAAAAUAUAAAAUUAAUAUACUUAUAAUGUAAAAUUAAUGUCCUUAUAUAAAACAUAUCACUCAAACUAGAUUAAAAAAAAUUCAAAACAUAGACAAACCAUUUAAAGAAAAUACAACAUUAACAAACUAAAAUAAUGUUCUAUGGAAUAAUAUUGAAAAAGCAACAUCCCUGAUAAAAUAGGUUAUCUCUAAACAUGAAGAUUAUCAUAUUUCUCAAAUUUGAAGAUGGUCAAGAAAAAUUUUCUGUAGACCCCUUUUGCAGACGACCUGGGAAUUGAAAAUUUUUCAUUUUUUGAAGUGGGGGGACCUCUUUCUGGAGGGGGCGAGCCGCAUGGGACAUGUGGCAAAGAUGGCAUGGUGGUAGCAGGGAGCAGGUGAAGACUCGUGGGAGAAGAAAAACAGAGGGGAGUGUCUUCAUGUUUUUAGGGGGGUGAGCUAGUUUUCGUGGGGGAGGGGGUCCGGAAACAGAGAGAAGAAAGAAGAAAGGAUAGGAGGUUUUUCUGGCGUUUAAGAGGAUUCCGAAAAUUUUUCGGGGCUUGGUUGGAGAAGCAAUCUUGCCUGGAGGAAAAUUUGAGGAGCUUGAGAAGAAACUAGUGAGGGUGGAUAGCUUGGGGAUAGAGGAUUUCCUGGAGGGAGCAGAAAACAGAGCUCAGAGUCAGGCGAGCUUUCCUUUGAAAAGCUGCCCUUCAGGUGAGAUUAGUUUUUGUUGAAUUUGAUAACUUUUCCAGCGCAAUACAUCCCGAUAUUUUAUUUCGAUUCGCUGCAUCGAUUGCCUUGCCGGUGAAUUUUACAUUCGUAGCCCCUUUUGUGCACUCAAUUUCCUAUAUUUUUAUUCCCUCUGAUGCUUUCUUUAUAUGUUUCUUCAACUGUAUGUGUUUUUGCCUGAAGAUUUGAUUGUGCCAGUGAAAUUUGUGGCUCAUCUGUGUCUCUAAAGUGUCGGGUACCUUAAGUGUCUUUCUUACUUCGACCUGUGAAAAUAUAUACUCUGGAGUUUACACAUCUUGUAUGCAUAUACUAUUAUAGUAUCAUAAAAUGAAAAAUUAUGUAUAUCCAAUUUUAAUUGAUCUCAAUUGAUUCUUCGUUACUGCUCAGAGGAGAAGUAAUAGGUAGGGAUGACAGGAUUUGAACCCGUGACAUUUUGUACCCAAAACAAACGCGCUACCAAGCUGCGCUACAUCCCUUUCAAUUGGUCUACAGUGUCAUUGUAGAGAAUACCUGUCUUGUUUUCCACAUCCUAGCAUUGAAUAGACUGGGUAUUCACCUUAUCAAUAUCUCAAAAUGAUGGGUUCUAUUUGGCGCUUAAAUUAAAUGGGCACCCAAAUCGGACCGAAUCAGUUCCGAUACGUAGACCAAAUGAUACAAUGCAAGCAAAAGUUCCUAGAUUCAUGGAGAUAUAGAACAGCAUAUAAGUUAUCAUGCUUGCAUAUCCACCAUUUAAGUCUCCAACAAUUAUUCCAAAUUGAGGCUUUUUUACAGUGAAAACCUCAAAAGGGGGAUUUUGGGGAAUAAGUGUUUGUGUAUUUUUUUUUUUCUUCCUAUGGAGAAGGAAGAGUGAAGAAUUUGUGAAAUGGCAAACCGUUAUUGGUCUGUUUCUAUUGAGCGGCGUUUCAGCUAUGUGGUUCUCAUCCCAUUUAUGCAGCAUUGAGUUUGAAUGCCGAGAAAUAUCUCUUUGAUCGGUGUGGGGAAAAUAGGAAAGGGGUUAGAUGGCCCCUAAUUGGUCAUUGCUCCUCUUUCUACUCUCUCAAACUGGGCAAAUGAAAUAGCAAGGUUUGUGCCUUCAAUAAUUGCAAUCAUCUACCAUGGCAAUAGGAAAGAAAGAGAUCAAAUACGAAUGAAGUAUAUGCCAGGAAAAAUUAGCCCCAAAUUUCCUAUAAUUCCGACUUCUUAUGAGGUUGCAUUAAAUGAUGCUAGAAAAUAUCUAAGGCAUUACAAUUGGAAAUAUCUUGUAGUUGAUGGUGGGGCCACGGAUGUAAAUUCAUGAUGUGCACCUUGCAACACUCUGUUUUAUUUUUCUUUGGGCUGCCAGGAUGUUCAAACAUCAUUUGAAAACCUUUUUUUUUUCACUUUGGCCACCUCUAAGUGUGGUCACUUUGGCACAUGGCCCUAGUAAGUUUUUGACUUUUUAUUUAUUUUCUUAUGAUUUUAACAGUUUUCCUUACUCCAAUUUUCCAAAAUUCAUUUCAUGAUUCCACUUUUCAAAUAAUUUUUAAAGCUUUCAUUUUAGAUUAGUCUUCCGGAAUUCCCAUUUCCAUAUUUAUUUAUUUAAUCAUUAUUCUUUUUUUAUUAUUAUUAUUUUAUUUAUUCACUUUUAAAAUUCUAUCUUUAAGUAAUUCUUAAAAUUCCGAUUUCCGAAUUUAAUUUCCAAUCAUUAAAAUUCAAUUCUUCAAAAGUCUGACUUCCAAAUUUAAUUUUCAAUCUAAAAAAUUUCACUAUUCACGUUCAUUCGUUUAAAUAUUAUUUUUGUUAUUAUUAUUAUUAUUCCAUAUUUAUUUAUUUAUUUUUUACAAAAGUUCCAAUCAUUAAAGUUCAAUUCUUCAAAAAUUUGACUUCCAAAUUUAACUUUCAAUCUCAAAAAUUCCACCAUUCACGUUCAUUCGUUUAAAUAUUAUUUUUUUUAUUAUUAUUAUUAUUCCAUAUUUAUUCAUUUAUUUAUUUUAAAAAUUCCAAUCAUUAAAGUUCAAUUCUUCAAAAAUCUGACUUCCAAAUUUAAUUUUCAAUCUAAAAAAUUCCACUAUUCACGUUCAUUUGUUUAAAUAUUAUUUUCGUUAUUAUUAUUAUUCCAUGUUUAUUCAUUUAUUUCUUUUAAAAAUUCCAAUCUUUAAAAUUCAAUUCUUCAAAAAUCCGACUUCCAAAUUUAACUUUCAAUCUCAAAAAUUUCACUAUUCACGUUCAUUCGUUUAAAUAUUAUAUUCGUUAUUAUUAUUAUUAUUCCAUAUUUAUUUAUUUAUUUAUUUAUUUAUUUAUUUUAAAAAUUCCAAUCAUUAAAGUUCAAUUCUUCAAAAAUCCGACUUCCAAAUUCAAUUUUCAAUCUCAAAAAUUCCACUAUUCACGUUCAUUCAUUUAAAUAUUAUUUUUGUUAUUAUUAUCAUUAUUUAAUUUAUUUAUUUGUUUAUUUCCUUUAAAAAUUCUAAUCAUUAAAGUUCAAUUUUUCAAAAUUCCGUUUUCCAAAUUUCAUUUUCAAUCUUAAAAAUUUUACUAUUCAUGUUCAUUCGUUUAAGUAUUAUUUUUUAUAUUAUUCUUAUUAUUCCGUUCACUUACUUAUUUAUUUCUUUUUAAAAAAAAAAAUAUCCGUCUUUAAACAAUUCUUAAAAAAUCUGACUUCCAAAUCUAAUUUCCAAUCUCAAAAAUUCAACUAUUCACAUUCAUUUGUUUAAUGAUUAUUUUCGUUAUUAUUAUUAUUUCAUUCAUUUACUUAUUCACUUAUUCACUUAUUCAUAUAUUUAAAAUCGCAUCUCUAAAUAAUCCUUCGAAUUUCCAAUCUCUAAAUUCAAUUUCCAAUUUCUAAAAUUCUAACUUUCGCAAUUAUUUAUCCAAUCAUUAUUAUUUUCGUUAUUCUAUUCAUUUAUUUAUUCAUUUGUUCGUUUAUUUAAAAUUUCAUCUCUAAAUAAUUCUUUAAAUUUCCAAUCCCUAAGUUCAAUUUCCAAUUUCCAAAAUUCUAACUUUCACAAUUAUUUAUCCAAUCAUUAUUAUUUCGUCAUUAUUAUUAUUUCAUUCAUUGAUUUAUUCACUUAUUCAUUUAUUUAAAAUUCCGUCUUUAAAUAAUUCUUCAAAAUUCCAAUUUCCAAAUUUAGUUCUCUGAAAUUCCAAUUUUCUUAUCACCGAACUUAAUUUUCAGUUUCCAAUAUUUCAAUUCUCGCAUUUAUUCGGUUACUCAUUUAUUAUUAUCAUUAUCAUUUUAUUCAUUCAUUUCUAAAAAUUCCAUCUUCGAAUGAUUUCCAAGAUUUCCAAUUUUUAUAAUUCAAUCUUCAUAGUUUCUACUUCUCAAAUAAUUUUCAAUUCUAAUUUCUUUCAAAAUUUAAUUUCCAAAGUCCCAAUUUUUGUAAUUUAAUUUUUUUAAAAUCCCAAACUCUCAAAUAAUUUUCAAAAUUCCAAUUUCUUUCAAAUUUAAUUUCUAAAUUUCUCAUUCUUACAUUUAAUUUCUAAAAAUCCUAUUUUCAAAUAAAUUUCAAAAAUCUAGUUUUCCCUCGAAUAGUUUUAAUUUCUAUUUGGUGAUGCAUGUGAUAUUUUUUGUGCUCUUUAUUGUACAUUGACCCCAUUUUUAUGAUAGCGCAUUGCUUGUUCGUGGCCCAGGUACGCAUCCAUUCCCAUUCUAGUCAUUCUCUAUGCAUGUUUUGAUUCCCAUAUGUGCAUGAUCGAUUUGAGUAUCCAUUGAUUUUCCUAUUGAUUGUUACGUCAGCUUCAUUUUAUUAGUAGAGACCCGACUUUAAAGACUUAGAGGGGUGCUACGGUCUUUACCGUACCUUCUUGAUAAGUAACCUAACCCUUGAGCCCAAUCCGGUUUUUCACAGACCAUAUUUUCCAAAAUAAGGAGUCACACUUAGAGUUUUCUUUUUUAUUUUGUUUAUACCCUUUUAAAAAUAAAACAAAAAUAAGUGGCGGCUCCAAGUCAUUUUUUUUAAUAAAUAAAAUCAUUUUCAAAUAAAAAUCGAGUUCGUCAUCGAGUGAAAAAUGCAUGAGCCGAAAUGCGGGGUCCACAAAAUGGCGACUCCACUGGGGAACGUUUAGAGGGUCAAGCUUGAACUUAAGAUGAAGUAAAUGUGGCAUUUGAUGAGUCGAUUAGUGGGCACCUAUCUCUUGAUUACAUAUUGAGAGUUCCCGAUACCAUUGGAUGCAUGCUUGGUUGUUUGUUUUCAUUUGGGACAUUGACAUGUUGAUUGUGUUGGUUGAUUAUCUUGGUUGGGGACUUUAAUAUAGUGAUUUUCUCUAUGCUUCAUUGGUAUAUUUGUUUGAUAUAUUUGACAUGCUGAUUGUGAUGAUUGAUUUGUCUUGAUUGAGGAUUCCGAGAUAGCUAUUUCUUCAGUACUUCAUUGUUAUAUUUGCUUGAGAUAUUGACAUUCUAAUUACAUUGAUUGCUUAUCUUAUUUUGCUUGGCAUAGUAACUCUGAUUUUGACAUGUUUAUUCUCAUCUCUUCCCAUAUAUAGACUCACCAUUGCAUAUCGCUUGACUUGCCAUAUUGUUUCUUUGUAUUGUAUAUUCUCUUGAUUGUCUUCGAGCAUGAUAUCUGCAUCAUUUCUCAUCUAAUUUUCAUAGUUUGUAUGUGGAUAUGAGCUAUAUAUUCUGUACUCUACUUGACUGUAUGUCACAUGACUGCCCUUCUUAUGCGUGAUUGUAUGUCGUUUGUCCGUGUGGGCCGCACAUCUAUCCCCUUACCUCCAACUCUCUUGGUUUUGGUCAUUCCCUUCAUUCUAGUUUUCACUUUUGCAAGUGUGAGGUCUUUUGUGUGUUUGUUUCUUUAACCGAGAUAGCGAUUAGGAGUAGGGUCUAGUGACGGGCUAUACCGAUGUUUGGGAGCAUCCUGUAAUUGAUCGACACUUUGAUGUCAAUUAGAGUUCGAUUGUUGAAAACUUGUAUAGCCCAGAGCUAGGUUUCAUGGAUAUUUGUACAGCUAGUAUGUUUCAUAUUCUGUAUUAGCUUCAUAGGGUUAUCGGAUGCACCCACACCGUUUAUUGUGCACUCUAAUUGACCACUGAGCGUUGAGAGUUCGAGAGGUUUCACCAUAGGAAACCCCCAUGGGAUGCCGAGAUAGUGUAUGUGUGGAGAUGAUGACCACCUUGCAUGGAAGCGCCCCGUUUCUUCAGAGGCGUGCAAAGGGUUGCAUACCACGGGAGGGUAUGAUCACUUCUGCUAGGGAUCCUUUAAAGUCCACAAAAUUUCUUUUUAGAGUCACCUUGACAUUGUAGGUUAAGCCUUAGAUCCUUCGAUCAAGACUUUCUUCCCUACACAUGGGUGCAUCUGAGGGCCUUUAGAGUCUCUUUAGUUACAGUUUGGAUCCCAAACUCCAUCUUUUGGUCUCCAGUUGAGAGUGCUUAGAUAUUAGUGCGAGUUUGAGUAUUAAUUGGACCACCUCUUGUUGUAUGAUUUUGGUUUCUUCCUGUCACUCAUCGAGUUUGCCACACUUUCUUCUUAGGGGUUUUAGAUAGAUUUCCUUUCUUGAGUUAGCAUUAUUUCCAUUUGUUGUCACUUUCUACUUGACGUUUUGGGAUAUGCUCAUUGAUUAUGCUCACUUUUUCACAUUCUCCACAUGUCAUGCGCUCAAUACUUCAUUCUUUGGUUGAUUUGCCUAUUUCAAUUUUCAACCCAAUAUUUUCAUUACAGAGAGGUGAAAGGCAUGUUUUCACAUUCACACCAGUUUUGAGAGGUUCGCCUUUGUCACCUUAUCAUUUUUCUUUAUGGAGCUCGGGUUGAAAGUGAAUCAAGGAUAUUUUGUUAUAGAUGGAAUAUCGAUCUAAUGACAGUGUUGUUUUUUCACGCCUCAUUCAUUUUCUGGAUUACUGAUAAAGAUUAUUUACUCACAUUUGUAGCCAUCUCACAAUGGACACCUCUAUGACUUUAGAGUUUUUGUCAUUUAUCCAGUUUUAGAUUGCUACCACAGGACCAUAUAUCAUAUGAUGUGUUGUACUUUUGAUUUGAGACAUCUCUUCACUUGCACCUUGAGGUCUUAAGGUUUGACCUAUCAUGGAGGACAUUGAGCCUAUUAACCUAGGAUCGGAGAUUUGACUUAGGAAGUUUCAGACUAUGACCCAUCUUCUUAUGAUCAGAGCAGUGUCUUACCCACUCUCACACCUUGACUUUGUUUUGACCUACAUCCAUCCAUUGUGAGCGUUACACAGCGUCACCCUUGAGACCAUUACAUGACCUUUCCAUCCCUAAUUGUUCUAGCUUUGUAUAUUAUUUCUUUGAUCCAACCAGGUAGAGUGUGAGGAGUUUGAGCCUAGGGUUGAUCUCGCGUGGCGAGGGAUGGCUUACGAUUUUUGGGUGGCUUACGACAUGAGGAUUGGUCGAUUACUUGAUGGACUGUCACUUAUUCUGCCAUGAGUAUAGAGAUUGAUAUUGUAUGAUGAGAGUUAGCUUGUGAUGAGCAGUUGUGCUUGAUGAGAUCGUCAUUUACUUUGCUUUGAGAGGAUUACCUUUGAGAUUAUUAUGGAGCAUUUGCAGUAUGGUUUGGCACAUGAUUCUAGAGGGUUGAUGUGGUUAUGUCAGAUGGAUAUUGAUCUUUAGUAUAGAUCAUUUAAGGGUUUGAGAGCACAAUGUUUGAGACUAUGGUUGCAAGAUGUGUGGCCUGUAUUUCGGUUAGCCAUGUACCCUUUCACCCUUUUGAUAUAUAUAGUCUGUUGCUAGCCCAUUGAGCCUCGCACGUGCAUUAUAACCUUUCUUUCUUAUCGCCUUGCUCACAUUUUUCACACCGGGAUAGGGGCCUUUUAGUAUAUGCAUUCAUUGUUUGGGAGUUCCAUGAGCCUUAGACCUAAGGGUGCAUUCUUCUCAUUAUCUCUUCUCAUCAUUGCAUCACUGCAUUCCAUUGUAUCUCAUUGUUUGUGUUCUUCGUCUCUUCUUCUUUAUUUUAUCUACUACUUGUUUUGCUUCAUAUUCUUUUCACCCUGAGAUGGUGUCUAUCCAUUAUCGACAUCAUCCUUGGGGUUCAUUUGUUCAUGUUCAGGGUAUGUACAUCUGUAUGUUAAAAAAAUGAAGUGAAAAAAAAAAUGAAAUGAAAAAAAAAACGCAUGUGUGUAUUAUUUUUUAUCAUUGAGUGUGUAUAUCAAUAUUCUAGGGUCACUUGAUUGAGUAUGUUUGUUGAUGGGAGUUCGUAUGUAAGCUUUCCGAGACCCUUCAUGCUUUGUAUUCAUCUUAUUGUAUAUUUUGAGAGCGAGAUGAGUGACCUUCUCUUAAGAGUUCUAGGUCAUUGUCCCUUCCAUCAUUACGUUCAUUGUUGAUGUGACUUCACUCCAUGUCUGAUUUGAGUUGAUCACUACUCCUCUUUAUGUUAUUUGUUUCAUCAUUAUCCUCGUUUUCGCUUCUGAUUCAUCAUUUUCACUUCACGUCUUAUUCUUUUCUUACAGCAACCCAUCUAGGGUUUGAUACUCUCUUCGCGUCAUCAUUACACAUAUCACUAUCAAUUCAUUUUGCUUCAUUGGUCUCCUCAUCGACAUCUUAUUCACGUUAGGCAUCCUCAUGUCCAUGGCUCACGGGAUUUACUAUACAUGGUGCAUUUCAUAUAUGAGGGCAUGGGUUUCUGAUCAUUGGGUAUUUGAGCCCUGUUUCCUUUCAUUUCUUUCACCUUAUUACCUUAGCCUACAUUACGUCCUAGGUCUUAAGAGCACCCUGAGGCCAUGAUAUCAUGCAUCGUGUUUUGAUAGCUCUCAUGUGGGCGAUACUUGGAAUUGGUUGGAGAGCAUUUUGAUUAUGAUAGGCCAUGAGUUGUGGUAUGACCCUAUACUGGGGCAUAGCCACCUCAGAGAGUUUUUUUUUUAUCGGGUAUGCAACCAUUCUGUUUGAUACAUCGCAUUGGGGCACACCUUUCUUGGUUGAGGUUUGAUUUUUUAGAUGGCCAUUAUGCCAGGGCAUACUUCUCUCAGUCGAUGAUGGAUUUUUGAGUCAUGGCCACCCUUCAGAGGAGAUCAAACAUCAUUUUUCACAUUGGAGCAUGAGGCAUGAUUGGUAUAUUUCAUCUGGUGUACUUUGCAUAGGGGCAUAUUUCUUAGUCGAUGAUGGUUUUUGAGGCAUAGCUGUUCCUUGGGGGUGAUUAGAUUCCUUUCACAUUGGGGUAUGAGAUAUGAUUGGGUGCUUUGAAUAGAUGUGUUUAUAGGAGCGUAACCUUCUCAUCGUUGUUGACAAAUGUUUGAGAUGAUUGGAUCAAGAUACUGACACUUAUGAGAGCAUGCAGCGGAGUUUAGUCAUUUUAGAGAUUGCAUUAUACUGGGGCAUAAUCCUUUCAUUGGUGAUUGAUCUUAGAGAUAUCAACUUACAUUUGGGCAUGAUCAUGUCAGAGCGCAUUUUGUUGAGGCAUGUCACUUUGAUUGAUCUUUUUCAUAUUGGGACAUGCUCUUUCUUUAGAUGAGGUCGGAUACUCUCUUUAUACCACCACGAUGACUUUGAGGAGUGGAGAUUCAUUUUGAUUAGAUGAUGUAUGAUUGGUUGUACUCCUCUCAUCGAUGUUUUAUUACAUUGGGGCAUUGCCCACCCAUCGACGAUGGAUUUUGUGAGAUGACGGUUUAUGCCAAACACAUGUUAUUCGGAUAUUAUCUUGCAUUGAGGGCUUACCCAUUUUGAGAGAAUGCAUUCAUACUGGGGCAUAGCCACCUUGCUGAUUUUGACAUUGAGACUCCACCUCCUAUUUAUGAUAGCUAGUUUUGAUGGAUCGUAGAGUUGUUGACACUUUGGGUUCAGACUUCUUAACAUACUUGGUUCGACUUGGAUACCCACUUUCCUUUGUUACACACUCAUACAUCUUACAUCCAGCACCAUUAUACCUGCAUCCAUCUUGUCAGAGUCUCACAUCUUUUGAGUUUCAUCUAGGGCAUACCCCAUUUCCAGAGAUAGUUGUGUCCUCAUUUUUUAGUGAGUUGAUCAUCCUGAUUUUAGUCACCCUUCAGUGGUUUGACUUAGAGUCAUAGACUACAAUCUCCCAUUUUGGGCGUACAAUGCCCCUCUUCAUGGAGUCACAUGACUCUCAUCACUCACGAGAUCAUGUCGAGUUGAUAGCCAAUUGUUAUCUUAUCAUGAUCCCCUAGUGGAGUCUUUCUUAGGCCAUUUAGUCAGACUCACACUUUUUAGCAUUUAGAUAUCAUCAUGCUUUUUCUUCUGGGAGACGUUUAUUUGAUCUACAAAUUCGAUUAAGUUGUGGACGUGGGUGGUUAGGAUUACACACUUGGUGAUGGAUGAUUUGAUGACAUCUAGUUUUCUGAUCUACCAUGCAUUUGAUGCCAUACUGGGGCACAUUCUGUUUCGGAUGAGAUUUAUGGAUUUUCAUGGAAGUUGCAUGCUUAUCUCCACUUUUGAGUUAUGGACGUGGAUGACCGGGAUUGCAUAGUUGAUGAUUUGGUGUCACCUGACUUUUGGAUCUACCACACAUUUGAUGCCAUACUGGGGCAUAUUCCAUUACAGUUGAGAUUCGUAGAUUUUCAUGGAGUUGCGCGAUCAUCAUCACUUACUGGUCGCACACUGAGAUGCUGACAUGUUCGUUACCUUAUCAUGAUACCUCGGUGGACCCUCUUUGGAUCCAUUUAGUCGGACCCUCAUUUUUUGACAUUUGGUUUCCGGCAUGAUACUUAUUCCGAGAGACAUUCCCUAGAUAUAUGGAUUUGAUUUAUAUCACAGAGAUCACAUGUUCGAUGAUAGAUAGUCUCAUGUCAUCUGAUUUCCGAUUCGUCAUACAUCUGAUGCCAUACUAGGGCAUAUUUCCAUUUUGGGUGAGGUUUACAGAUCUUCAUGGGGUUGUAUGAUCACCCCCACUUACGGGAUGCGCACCGAGGCGAUGACGUGCUCAUUAUUUUUACGAGGAUUUCUCGGUGGAGCCUCUCGGGAGUCAUCCAGUUAAGCCCGCACUUCUUGGCACUUAGAUUUCAUCAUGCUUCUCCAUCCGAGAAAUACCUCUUGGAUUUGUGGGUUUGAUUCUGUUAUGGACAUGGAUGACUAGGACCGUGCAUUUGAUGACAGAUGAUUUGAUGUCAUCUGAUUUUUCGACCCGUCACACAUUUGAUGCCAUACUGGGGCAUAUUUCCCUUUCGAUUGAGAUUUGUACAUCCCCACCGAUUCGCAUGAUCAUCCCUAGUUAUGAGAUACGCGCUAGGUUGAUGAUUCGAUUUCAUUUUGUCAUGACACUCUGGGGAGCCUUUCUUGAGUCAUUCAGUCAGGCUCAUACUUUUUGAUAUUGUUGUGAUUCUUAGACAGAGUUAUCUCAGACGCAUGGAUUCCCACAUCACCAUUUCAGUGGAGUACAUGUUAGAUCUCUUGCGCAUCCCCAUUGAGUUAUUUGCGAGUCAUCAGGGCAGACCUGGUACAUCUGAUGCCAUACUAGGGCAUAUUUCCCUCAUUCAGCUGUAGAGAUGAUGGUUUUCUCAUAGAUCUGAUGCAGCCGCCUUCAUCGCUCCACCGAGAAAUAUUUUAUUUGCUUUAUUGGCCACUAUUCCCGUGAUUUUCGUCGAGAUAAGCCUUCAGUAGAGCACAACAUUCAGGUUUUGACUGUCUCGCUAUCCAUGAUUCUUUAGUAGAUUGUUGUGAUGAGAUCAUGGUGGUUACCCCAACAAACUAUUCUCUUGAGACUCCCUAGUGGAUCAUUCGUUUCAGAUGACGAUGGACUCCUACAGUAGAGUAUUUCGAGUUAGAGUCAUCUAACUCGUCAAGCAUCGCGGUCCAAUCAGAUGGGUUGUGAGACUAUGUUCACAGUCGAUUUAAUCAUUCUAACUCGCUAGUAGAGCAUAUUUCGAGACUCAUGGAGUCUUUUUCAGACCUUUCUAGUGGAUUGAGAGUUAUGACGACAUGCUACACUGGGGCAUAUUCCCCCUUCAUCAUUUCCUUGCAAUUCUGGCGUUCAGAGCCACCAUACAUGCUCGGUUACGACAUUCAGAGUCGCCCUUUUUUAGCUUGGCAUUCAAAGCCACCAUGUCUUCUCGUUUAUGACCUUCAGAGUCGUAUCUCUCGGCUUGACUUUCAUAGCUACUGUUUCAGUUUGGUGCUUAGAGCCACCAUGUCCUCUCAACCAUGACGUUCAGAGCCUUUCUCAGAUUGGCAUUCCUAGUUAUCAGUUUAGUUUGGUGUUCAGAGCCGUUGUUUCUGCUUGGGAUUCAUAACUAUUAUCUUCGGUUUGGUGUUCAGAGCCACUUUCACAUUUCGACGUUCAUAGCUGUUGUUUUAGUUUGGCAUUCAGAGCCAUGGUUUAGGUUGACAUUUAGAGUUGUCAUCGUCUUUCCAUUCGGUGUUCUGAGCCACAUUUUUUGUUUCGGCGUUCAGAGUCAUUCUUCAUUUUCAUUUUGGCGUUCAGAGCCAUUGUUCAUUUUUCUUUUGCCAUUCAAAGCCACAUUUUCGUUUCGGUGUUCAGAGCGAUCGUUCAUCUUCCGUUUGGCAUUCAGAGUCAUUGUUCGUUUUCCGUUUGGCGUUCAAAGCCGUAGUUCAUCCUCAGUUUGGUGUUUAGAGUCGUUGAUCAUUUUUGUUAGGCGUUCAGAUUCAUGUCGUCAUCUUGGUGUUCAGAGCCGCAUUGUCAUCUUGGCAUUUAGAGUCGUAUCUUCAGUUUGGCAUUUAGAGUCGUAUCUUCAGUUUGGCAUUCAGAGUUGUUGUUUAUCUUUAGUUCGAUAUCUAGAGCCAUUUUCAGAUUGGUGUUCAGAGUCGUUAUUCCCUUUAGUUCGAUAUUCAGAGCUACACCUUCAAUUCAAUGUCUAGAGUCACAUUUUUUUCGUUUGGUGUUAAGAGUUGUUGUUCACUUCAUUUUGGCAUUCAGAGCCACAUCUUCAUUUUGGUGUUCAGAGUCGCAUUUUUAGUUUGGUGUUCAGAGUCGUUGUUCAUCUUCAUUUUGGCGUUUAGAGCCGCAUUCUCAUCUUGGGAUUCAGACCCACAUCUUCUUUCGGUUUGGCGUUCAGAGCCGCAUUUCCAUUUCGAUGUUUAGAGCUACCAUCAUUCUCAGUUUCGGCAUUCAGAGCCACUGUCUCUUCUCAAUUCGCCGUUCAGAGCCAGAUCUCCAGUUUCAGCGUUUAGAGCCACUAUCCCUUCUUAUUUUGGCAUUCAGAGCCACCAUUUCUGCCCAAUUUCAGCGUUUAGAGCCACCAUCCCUUCUUAUUUUGGCGUUCAAAGCCACCAUUUCUACCCAGUUUGGCGUUCAGAGUCACCAUCCCUUCUCAGUUUGGCUUUCAGAGCCACCGUCUCUUUUCAAUUUGGCGUUCAGAGUCACAUCUUCAUUUGGCACUCAGAGCCAUUACUUGUCUUCUAGUUUGGUGCUCAGAGCCACAUCAUUCAUUUCAGCAUUCAGAGUCACAUCUUUAGUUUGAUGUACAAAGUCGAUGUCUUCUAGUUUGGCGUUCGGAGCCACAUUCUCAGUUUGACACUCUAAGUCCUCAUGUCUAUCUUUCAUUCAAUCCAUCACCACUUCCCUCUAUUCUGGCAUUCAAAGCCAUUAGGCACACUCUUUCGGGCCUUUUUGAGUCAUUUCUUUUUUUUAAUUUUGGUGUGCAGAGCCGUUUUUUAUACCCAUUCAUGCAUCUUGAGUAAUUUCUUUUCUUAGUUUUGGCAUUUAGAGCCAUUGUUUUGUUUAGCAUUCGACGCCACCAUCUUUCUUCAGUUUGGUGUUCAGAGCCAUUGUACAUAUCCGUUCAGGCACCUUGAGUCACCAUCUUUCUGUGUUUUUGAUGUUUAGAUUUCCCCUCAACUGUCCAUGGCAUUCAUAUUCACUGGCAUUACACAUCUUGCCUUCAUAGGUUUGCAUUUAUCCUUAUUUUUCUCACCUUGUUACCCUGUGCUUAUCGUUCAUUCGUCAUUGCUUUUCUAGAUUUCCCUUUUCACUGCCCAUGACAAAGUCCUUUGAGUUCACGACACAUACUUCAGUCAUGUUGUUGGGCACCCUGCACUUAGCAUUCUCAUGUGGUUCACAUAUGAUAGUCUCAUUUAGGCACAUUCGUUCUUACACUCCAAAGUGGUUCGACCAUUACUCAUCUGUGAUAUGGUUUUCCAAGUCACUUUUGGAGACGUCUUAGAGGGAGUCUAGAUCCUUAGUGUGGCUUCAGAGGCACUUUGAGAUAUCAUUUUCUUUUAGGAUUAGAGCAUUUGUGUUCAUUCCUUGGUUUGGGCGAGUUCGUGUUCUACUUGUGCACCUUUAGGGGUCUUUCUUUUUCUUUGGUAGAGUUUACUCCAUUCCACUCACUAUUCACACUUUCUUUUCACUCUAGUGUUCAUAUUUCUUACGCUCGUGAACUCUACCGAAGAGGGGCAUAUUUGUAGAACCCUUUUGCGGACGACCCGGGAAUUGAAAUAUUUUCAUUUUUGGAAGUGAGGGGACCUCUUUCUAGAGGGGGCGAGCCACAUGGGACAUGUGGCAAAGACGACAUGGUGGUAGCAGGGAGCAGGUGAAGACUUGUGGGAAAAGAAAAACAGAGGGAAGUGUCUUCAUGUUUUUAGGGGGGUGAGCUAGCGGUUGUGGAGGUGGGGGUGUCUGGAAACAGAGAGAAGAAAGAAGAAAGGAUAUGAGGUUUUUCUGGCAUUUAAGAGGAUUCCGAAAAUUUUUUGGGGCUUGGCUGGAGGAGUAAUCUUGCCUGGAGGAAAAUUUGAGGAGCUUGAGAAGAAACUAGUGAGGGUGGAUAGCUUAGGGAUAGAGGAUUUCCUGGAUGGAACAUAAAAUAAAGCUCAGAGUCAGGCGAGCUUUCCUUUGAAAAGUGGCCCUUGAGGUGAGAUCAGUUUUUACUGAAUUUGACGACUUUUACAGUGUAAUUCAUCCCGAUAUUUUAUUUCGAUUCUCUGCAUCGAUUGCCUUGCCGUGGAAUUUUACAUUCGUAGCCCCUUUUGUGCACUCAAUUUCCUAUAUUUUAUUCCCUCUGAUGCUUUCUUUAUAUGUUUCUUCAACUGUAUGCGUUUUUGCCUGAAGAUUUGAUUGUGCUAGUGAAAUUUGUUGCUCAUCUGUGUCUCUAAAGUGUUGGGUACCUUAAUUGAGGCAUUUUUACAGUGAAAACCUCAAAAGGGAGAUUUUGGGGAAUAAGCGUUUGUGUAUUUUUUUUUUUUUUCUUCCUAUGGAGAAGAAAGAGUGAAGAAUUUGUGAAAUGGCAAACCGUUAUUGGUCUGUUUCUAUUGAGCGGCAUUUCGGCUAUGUGGUUCUCAUCCCAUUUAUGCAGCAUUGAGUUUGAAUGCCCAGAAAGAUCUCUUUGAUCAGUGUGGGGAAAAUAGGAAAAGGGUUAGAUGGCCCUUAAUUGGUCAUUACUCCUCUUUCUACUCUCUCAAACUGGGCAAAUGAAAUAGCAAGGUUUGUGCCCUCAAUAAUUGCAAUCAUCUAAGAUGGCAAUAGGAAAGAAAGAGAUCAAAUACGAAUGACGUAUAUGCCAGGAAAAAUCAGCCCCAAAUUUCCUAUAAUUCUGACUUCUUAUGAGGUUGCAUUAAAUGAUGCUAGAAAGUAUCUAAGGAAAUAUCUUGUAGUUGAUGGUGGGGCCACAGAUGUAAAUUCAUGAUGUGCACCUUGCAACACUUUGUUUUAUUUUUCUUUGGGCUACCAGGAUGUUCAAACAUCAUUUGAAAACCUUAAGUGUGGUCACUUUGGCACAUGGCCCCGGUAAGUUUUUGACUUUUUAUUUAUUUUCUUAUGAUUUUAACAGUUUUCCUUACUCCAAUUUUCCAAAAUUCCUUUCAUGAUUCCACUUCUCAAAUAAUUUUUAAAGCUUUCAUUUUAGAAUAGUCUUCUAGAAUUCCCAUUUUCAUAUUUAUUUAUUUAAUCAUUAUUCUUUUUUUAUUAUUAUUAUUUUAUUUAUUCACUUUUAAAAUUCUAUCUUUAAGUAAUUCUUAAAAUUCUGAUUUCCGAAUUUAAUUUCCAAUCAUUAAAGUUCAAUUCUUCAAAAGUCUAACUUCCAAAUUUAAUUUUCAAUCUCAAAAAUUCCACUAUUCAUGUUCAUUCGUUUAAAUAUUAUUUUCGUUAUUAUUAUUAUUAUUAUUCCAUAUUUAUUUAUUUAGUUAUUUAAAAAAAAUUCAAUCAUUAAAAUUCAAUUCUUCAAAAAUCUGAUUUCCAAAUUUAACUUUCAAUCUCAAAAAUUCCACUAUUCACGUUUAUUUGUUUAAAUAUUAUUUUUGUUAUUAUUAUUAUUAUUAUUCCAUAUUUAUUUUAAAAAUUCCAACCAUUAAAGUUCAAUUCUUUAAAAAUCUAACUUCCAAAUUUAAUUUUUAAUCUAAAAAAUUCCACUAUUCACGUUCAUUCGUUUAAAUAUUAUUUUUGUUAUUAUUAUCAUUAUUUCAUUUAUUUAUUUGUUUAUUUCCUUUAAAAAUUCUAAUCAUUAAAGUUCAAUUUUUCAAAAUUCCGUUUUCCAAAUUUCAUUUUCAAUCUUAAAAAUUUUACUAUUCAUGUUCAUUCGUUUAAGUAUUAUUUUCGAUAUUAUUAUUAUUAUUCUAUUAAUUUACUUAUUUAUUUCUUUUUUAAAAAAAAUAUCCGUCUUUAAACAAUUCUUCAAAAAUCUUACUUACAAAUCUAAUUUCCAAUCUCAAAAAUUCCACUAUUCACAUUCAUUUGUUUAAUGAUUAUUUUCGUUAUUAUUAUUAUUCCAUUCAUUUACUUAUUCACUUAUUCAUAUAUUUAAAAUCUCAUCUCUAAAUAAUCAUUCGAAUUUCCAAUCUCUAAAUUCAAUUUUCAGUUUCUAAAAUUCUAACUUUCGCAAUUAUUUAUCCAAUCGUUAUUAUUUUCGUUAUUCUAUUCAUUUAUUUAUUCAUUUGUUCGUUUAUUUAAAAUUUCAUCUCUAAAUAAUUCUUUAAAUUUCCAAUCCCUAAGUUCAAUUUCCAAAUUUCAAAAUUCUAACUUUCACAAUUAUUUAUCCAAUCAUUAUUAUUUCGUCAUUAUUAUUAUUCCAUUCAUUGAUUUAUUCACUUAUUCAUCUAUUUAAAAUUUCGUCUUUAAAUAAGUUUUCAAAAUUCUGAUUUCCAAAUUUAGUACUCUAAAAUUCCAAUGUUCCCAUCACUGAACUUAAUUUUCAAUUUCCAAUAUUUCAAUUCUUGCAUUUAUUCAGCUACUCAUUUAUUAUUAUCAUUAUCAUUUUAUUCAUUCAUUUCUAAAAAUUCCGCCUUCGAAUGAUUUCCAAGAUUUCCAAUUUUUAUAAUUCAAUUUUUGUAGUUUCUACUUCUCAAAUAAUUUUCAAUUCUGAUUUCUUUUAAAAUUUAAUUUUUUUAAAAUCCCAAACUCUCAAAUAAUUUUCAAAAUUCCAAUUUCUUUCAAAUUUAAUUUCUAAAAUUCUCAUUCUUACAUUUAAUUUCUAAAAAUCCAAUUUUCAAAUAAUCUCUAAAACUUCAAUUUUCAAAUAAUCUCUAAGACUCCAAUUUUCAAAUAAAUUUCAAAAAUCCAAUUUUCCCUCGAACAGUUUUAAUUUCUGUUUAGUGAUGCAUCUGAUAUGUUUUGUGCUCUUUAUCGUACACUGACCCCAUUUUUAUGAUAGUGCAUUGCUCGUUCGUAGCCCAGGUACGCAUCCAUUCCCAUUCUGGUCAUUCUCUAUGCAUGUUUUGAUUUCCAUAUGUGCAUGAUCGAUUUGAGUAUUCAUUGAUUUUCCUAUUGAUUGUCAUGUUAGCUUCAUUUUAGUAGUAGAGGCCCGACUUUAGGAACUUAAAGGGGUGCUACAGUCUUUACCGUACCUUCUCGAUAAGUAACCUGACCCUCGAGUCCAAUCCGGUUUUUCACAGAUCACCUUUUCCAAAAUAAGGAGUCAUACUUAGGGUUUUCUUUCUUAUUUUGUUUACCCUUUUAAAAAUAAAACAAAAAUAAGUGGCGACUCCAAGUCAUUUUUUUUAAUAAAUAAAAUCAUUUUCAAAUAAAAAUCGAACUCGUCAUCAAGUGGAAAACACAUUAGCCGAAAUGCGAGGUCCAUAGUUUCCCAUCAUGUUUCUAUUUUGUUGGAAUUUGAAUAAGUACAUAAUAAUUUUGUUUUAUUUUAUGGAUGAUAACUUCAUUUAACAUGUUAGUAUUCAUCAUCUUUCAUUUUGCCAUCCAUUUUUAGAGACUUUAAAUGCUUUCUUUAGAUACCCAUUUUUCAAUUUCAGUGAAUAAAUUGGGUAUAAGAGAUUUGCUAACUUCACUCAACAACUUCUAUUUAAGAUUUAGAAACUUGUGAACCUCAUGUUUUCCCCUUUGAAAACAUUGAAAUUUUGAUAUGGAAAGUUAAAAUAUCACAUAAACAAUCAAUUUUAAUUAUUUAAAUUCACUUCUCAAAAUUAAAAUUAAAAAUCCCUCUUGUAUGAUCUAAAUUAUCUUAGAUUUCAACUUUUUAAUUCACUUAAAGUAUUGAAUAAGUUAAAAAAAAUAAAAUAUUAUUAAUUAUGAUUAUAUAUAUAUAUAUAUAUAUAUAUAUAUUUGUUUUUGUUUAACUAUUAAUAAUUAUAAAAAUAGAGAGAUAACUAAAAUGACAUGACAUAAGUGAUAUAAAAAUAGAUAACAACUACAAUGAUACAAGUGAGAUUAAAAUUGGGAAUUCACUCAAGUUGGAGAAUUAUUUAUUCUAAUAAAAAUACUAAGAAAAUACGUUAAUUAUUGUAGCAAAUUCUUUUUUUCUUCCACUCUAUUUGGGCAUCUAUUAUAUUGAAAAAAGAAAUAAAAGAAACCUCAUACAUAUUUAAAAUAAUUUAUUUGAGAAGAUUCUAUCAUUAAAAAUUCCACAAAAGUUCCAAAAAAAAAAAAAAGAUGCCAGAAAUAGUAUGUAUAGAGAAAAGAGUACAAAAGACAAAUAUAUAUAUAUAUAUAUAUAUAUAUAUAUAUAUAUAUAUUAAUUUAAAUUUAAAGAGAAAAGGUAAGAGUAAUAAGUCAGCAUUGAAAAAAAGAAAGUUUACUUUAAUAAAAUUAUAAUCUCAUAAAUUAAAAACUUCAAAAGUAUCCAAUCAAAUCCUUUAAAAUUCUUUCCUUCUAAAAAUUCCCUCUAUUCCAAAUCCAUUAUUUCCUUUUUCAUUUAAAUCCCUUCAUUCCAGAGUGUAAAAAGAAAUAAUAACAAUCUUCCUAAUAAGUUAUUAAUAUAUAAAAUAAAAAAUAAAAAAUAACACUUUUUUAAUAAUUUAGGAUAUAUUAAUUUUUUUUCUUCAAGAAAGAUGUAAUUUUUUCUUUUAUCUAAAUAUAUUACAUUUAGAAAUAAUUGCUCUUCUAAUAUCGAAAAUUAAGAAAUAUUAGAAGAUCGAGUAAUUUUUUAAUAAAUUAUAAAAAGAUCCAAUAAAAAAAAAAAUUAUUCCUUUAUUCAGGCAUAUUAAAAAAAGACAAUAUUCUAAAAAUAGGUAAUAGAAAAAAUAUCACAAUUAAAAGGUUUAUUUCUUUUAGUUAUAUUAAAAAAAGAAACAAGGUUAUUUCAAAGAUAGAAAAAAAAAAAUACAUUAGAAAUAUUAUCAGUUUUUUAGUUUUAUUUUCAUAUUCAUCUUGGGGUUUUGUGAAUAAUUAUUAAACUGUUAAUUAUUUAUUUGGUGGUAUUAUAAUCUGAGAUGGUGAGAUUAGGGGAGUAAAGCACAGGUCACUUCUGAUGAAAUAUAUCUUUUCUCUUCCAACUAAGGCCCAAAUAAAUAAUGGGCUUGGGGCAAAGCCCUAAUACUCAACUGAAUGGACUGGGCUUGGUUAUCUAAGAAUUUGUUGCUAGUGCCAUCAUCUUUAUUUGUGGGUAUCUAAGAAUUUCAUUUAACCAUGAAGAUAUUUCUUUACAACAAGGGAUUGGAAGAGUUUUUUAAAAGCAAGCCUCUGGUAGUUUUUUCUAAAAUUAUAUACCUUCCAACUAGUUUUGUAUUGUGCUAUUUUUAAUUCCACUUUCAAUAUAAUGCUUCUUAUCAAUUUUUUUUUUCAAAAAAAAAAAAAAAAUUAUGGUAGGAAUCGUUUAACAUUGAAUACAUAUUCAACAAAACUUCAAUUAGGUGAAUAUGAAAAAUUAUAAAUUGAAUGGGGCCUAGAUAUUGUCGAACCCUUGUGAAAAUACAAUAGGAAGGUAAUACUAUUGUAAUCCUCUCCUUUUUAUAGGUCGGAUCAUACUCAUACAAACAUAAAUUAAAUUUGGAUUGGACUUUCCAAAAUAUAAUUUUUCAUCAUUANNNNNNNNNNNNNNNNNNNNNNNNNNNNNNNNNNNNNNNNNNNNNNNNNNNNNNNNNNNNNNNNNNNNNNNNNNNNNNNNNNNNNNNNNNNNNNNNNNNNUAAUCAUUAAUAAAGUGGAAAGAAAUUUUAUUUUUUUAAAAUAUCAAGAUGAGAAAGAGAAAAUUAAAGUCAUGGAAUUACUUUUAGAGCUAAUCCAAUUGAUGGAAAUUUGAGAAAACCUCCUAACAGGCAAAGUAAUCAACCCUAAACAUAAAAAUAAAGCAUUAAGGGCAUGAGGACUUAAACUUCACUCAGGCUACUAUCUAGAUUUUUGUCCCUUGUGAUGUGAUCACCAAGACAAAUUGCUUCCAAGUCUUCUACUCUAAGUCAUCCACUGGCCCACAUCUUUUAUGGAUAAGGCUAGACUUUUACACUUACAAGUCAUGUGCAUACACUUCUAUAUAUAUAUAUAUAUAUAUAUUUCACUUUUCCUUCAAAUAAUCUUUAACAAAACUUUUAUCAUAUUUAUUUUUUCAAGUAUUCUAUCAUGCCCAUUUAUAGUAUACAGUUGAGACAAUGAUUGAAUCACUAUUUUUAAUUAUUUCCUACGAAAUGUUACCUGAAACCCAUCUAAAGUAUUGAAAUUUGUUGGGUGUGGAUCAAUAGUGGGUUGACAUGUGUUUGAUUUUUUAAAUUUUGUAUUUAUUUUUACUAUCUUUAUUGGAUUAGAUAGCUCUUAAGGAUUUUGAAACAUAAGAUGUUGAUUGAAUGAUAAGAAAGUAAUUUUUUUCUUCCACGACUCUGUAUCCCAUAUUUAAUAAAUAUUUGUGUGGUCUAGAUCUAACAAAAUAAUUGAAGUUCCGUGUUAUAAAAGGAAUAAAUAAAUAAAAAGACAAGGACUUGUUGAUAUUCUCGAGGUCUUGAUGUUUGAUUGAUGCAGACUGGAAAGAGAGAAAUAGAAGAACCUUCAAGAUUGUCGAUAAAUUAAAGCUCUUGGUGAAAAAUAUAAUUCUUUACUCGUUGCCACCAUCAAAUAUGCUUAUGAUGUGAUUGGUUUUUAUUUUGUAAAAAAUUACGAUACAUGGCAUUGAAUAAUACUAUGCACAAAAUAUUUUUCUAGCACAAAUACGUAUUUUUGUAUGCAUAAGAUACUAUUUAAGUAUAAUAUAAUUAUUAUUAUUAUUUAAAUAAUUUGCCUAAAUAUAAUAUAUCAUUUGUAGAUAAAGAAUUGAAAUAUCAAGAAAAAGUGAUCCUAAUUUAGGGUUAUAUAAAUUACUCUUUCAUUAAAUGUCUUGAUAAAGAUUGAAUAUUGUUAGGAUUAGGACACCCAACAAAUAUUGGUUCAUACAAGCCCCAAAUCAAUGCCAUUAGUUGGCCUUUGAAAGAUCCAAACAACACUUAUAAUUUUUUAAUUAUAUUUUUAUUUAUCUAUAGGUCAAAUACUUGCUACACAAGUGAUUUCAAAUAUAAUAUUAGUAUGGAAUGGUUUAUAUUAGAAAGUUUACAAUAAAUUUAUUUAAGAAAAUAUAUCUAAAGAAAAAUUAUAAAUAUACAUGAUAAAUGUUAAGAUUCCUACAUCGAUACAAGUACAAAACAAACAAUUCAACAACAAAACUUUCUCCCUUUGAAAGUGAAGAUUAUUUUUACUUGGAAACAACAUUUAUAUACAAUGAAGUUUUUCAACCUUAAGUUUUUGUCUCUCAAUCUAAUCCACUAGACACGUUUGUGCUUUAAAAGUUAGAACUACUUUAUAGGGAAGACCAAGACUUCUAGCUAUUGAUAUAGAGUUUUCUUUAAAAGAUAAUACUAAGACUACAUAAUUCUUACUUGUAGAUUUGUACACAAAUCAAUCACAUGAAAAGGUAGAAUCCACAUUGUUAACCAAACUUUCAUAAACUUUAUAUGAAAAUAAUUAUUUUGAAAAUAAUUUUGGAUACAUAAAACAAAAUAAUUUAUAAGUGCUAAAAUAAUAAUUAUAUUCUUGCAUUAAUCCAUGAAGUGAGAUUGAGUCACCUUGUAAAUUGUAUUGUAAAGGUCUUCAACUCACUACUGUCAUAUAGUGGAUGGGUCAUUUGUGUGGUGUAUGUUGUUAAAAAUAAACAAUAAGAAAAAAAAAGAUAUAAGAAUGAGAGUGUGGCUUGAGACCUCAAUUUAUAAUAAGUUGUACAUCUCUUAGUCUUCCCAUUAAAGACUAUGUGGGAGUUAUACUCAUUAUUUACACUUAUUAUGUAUAAAUUAAUGGGUAAUGGUGGGUUAUGAACUUGAAUACAUCUAUAUAAUUGCAUAGGUUAUACAUUUUCAUUUUCCUCCAUUACUCAUAAACAUAAUGUACAAAUAAAUUUCAUAAUGAUGGGGUUACAAAAGUUGUAACACCACAUUCAUAUGAGUUAAAUUUUAUAACUUUCCAUUUGUAAUUUGAGUCUUCCAUACAUAAGACUUUUGGAUGCCCAAUCAAUUGAUUCACCUACCUAUCAAUUGAUACCCUUAAAUAAUAUUCAUAUAAAUAUAAUUAUAUAUGACCACACAUUAUAGGAAAAAAGCUAACACACACAACUUUGUGGAUGGAAAUCAAGAUUUUCGGCUCCUUUCUUUUUCUUUCUUUUUAGUGUCUAAGGUUUAAGUUUGUGUUUUAGAUACAUAACUUAAAACACAAAAUAAAUGACCAACCAAACUAUGAUUAUCUAGAUAGUAUUUUAAAAAAUAUAUAAAUUUAUAAUUUAAUCAAUUUGAUCUCAAUUAUGUAUAGGCACUUUGAAUCACAUUCAUCUUUGUCAUCCAGAUAAAAAAAAAAAAAAAAUUCAAAUCCAUAAUUAUGCAUCCUAAUCUCUUUUUAAACAUGAGGGAUUUAUAACCCCCACUACUUGAUGGACCCUUUCCUAAAGGUGAUUCAAUGCCACUUUGUUUGAUCUUCACAAUCUUUAUCACAUUCUUUGAUCUUUUGCAUUCUUUGAAUAAUUCAAUAUUAUUGAGGGGUCAUUCUCAUUAAAUGAGAAUAUUGAAAAAUCUAACCCUUUUGGAAGGGUAUGAAGAAGGUUUCAUAUCAGGGGACCCAUGUCUUACUUUUCCACCCAAAGCAUCGUAAUGCAUUCUAACUUUUUUUUGGCAGGAAAAGUAUUUGUAAUGUCAAUCUCUAACCGUGGCCAUAAAAGGGUGAGAUUUAGAGCCACACAAGUCAUAUCAUAUUCUGCAGAUUGUAGCCUCACAAGUCAAGUCCACAGGAUAUAUAUCAUCUAUAUAUUCUGCAGAUUCUGUCAUAUUUUUUUCUUUCGUGGACAGCCCAGUCACCAAUGAGUAUCACACUUUCAUAUCAUAUUUCUUUUUAAGAAUCCAAACAUUUUAAAACGGGUUAUGGGUGAUCCAGCAAAAAUUUACUAUGGUGGCAUUUUUUUUUUUUUUUUUUAAUUUGAAGUUUGAAAUCUAAAUAGAAAAUGAUGGAAAACUGUUAUUUAGACUUGAAAUUUCAUUAAAAAAAAUUAUUUGAACAAAAUAUCUAAAAAAAAAUUAACUUAAAAAGGAAAUGGUUUUGUCAUUAACUUUAAUAAUAUUUAAUUUUAUAUAACUAAUGGUAAUUGGAUCAUGGAUCCCACCAAUCAAAUAAUUUUUUGGAUUCAUUCAUUGUGCUAUUUGAUUAUAAAAAUCAAAUAUUUAAUUUUUUUUAUAUAUAUACUUUUUAUUGUAAUUUUGUAUUACUUUUACAAGGUUGAGUUUUUUUUUUUAGAAACUUUUCAAAAAAUACAAGAGAAAAAAAUAAAAAGAAAAAUAAAAUAUAAAAAAAGUAUAUAAAAGUAAAAAAAAAAAAGAUUUAAAACUAAUAAAUUAUUUUUAAUUGAUUUCUCAAACUCAUUUUAUGUAUUUUCUUUAUUUAUAUAAAAUUAAAUAAUUUAAAAAUAUACAAUUAUUUUAAUUAUUUUGAUUUGAUUUUUCUAUUAUAAAUCAAAUACAUAAAAUAAUUUUUCUUAGUUUCUAUAUAUCUUCCAUGUGUUUGUUCUUUUUUAGAAAUAUCCCAUAAAAUAUGGACCUUUUCUAAUCAACCAAACACCCAGGAGGAACAAAAAGGAAAAGAAUGAGAGAGAGAGAACUUAGAGAAAAAUAAAAUGAAAAAACCGCUAAAGAUAGUAUACAUUUUAUAUAAAGUUGGAAUAUAAAUCAAUGGAGCCACACCCCUUCAACAACCCUAAUCAUGUUGUAUCCAUAAUAAUAAUUCACAUUUUUUUAUUUUUUUUUCAUAUCAGUACACAUUUGACCUGAUCAUGAGCAAUAAUAAAUGUCCACAUUUUAAUAGAUUUGAAAUCUUCACCCAUUAAUUUAAGUUCUUCAUCUAAUGAAUAAUAAAUGUCCAUAUUUUUCUACGAGGCCACAUAGGACUUUGAAUAGUUUAAAGUGAACAUGUUACCUCAUUAAUUUGGAGACUUUACAUACUCUAUAAUACUAUAAAAUGUUGGAUAGAUCACUAACCUCAUUUAAAUAAUAAAAUCUUCUAAUUCUUUUUUUUUUUUUUGUUCUGAUUUUUACAUGAUUGUGCUUUAUUUUAUAAAUUAAUUAAUAAUUAUAUUUAUUUAUCUUGGCUUCCCGUACAUAUUUUACGAAAAUAUUAUCCAUGUAUGUAAUACACAAGAUGAAUGCACCCUUACAACUAAAUUCAUCUUUUAAAUUUGAAAAAAAAAAAACUAAAAAUUAAUAUUUUUUUAAUUAACAUUUAAGUAAUAAAAAUAACAUAACCAAUUUAAUUUUUGGUUUUUCAUUUUUAAAAUAUUACUCUUAUAUUUCAUAACUUUUCAUCCUUAAUGUGCUACAAAUCUUUUUACCACUAUAAGGGUUAUGACAUGAAAAUUAUGUGUAUGGAAUAAAUAAGAAAAAGAAAAUUAAAUUGUCUUAUUAUUUUGCAAUGUAGUUUCGAUUCCCAAACUUUCCUCAAAUCUCUUUGGUUAUAUUUGAUUAUUGGAAAAUGACAAUAAAAAAUAUAAAAAAAAAUAUUAUUCUCUAAUGUUUGGUUUUCAUAUUGAAGAUAUCGGAUAUAAUUAAAAUUAGUUAAAAUUUUUGGUAUUUUUAAAUUAUUUAUUUUUUAUGUUGAAAAGUUAAAAUAAAUAAAAUGAGUUUAAAGAACCUACAAAAUAAUUUAUUAAAUUAAAAACUAUCUUUAAUUUUUAUUCAUUUUUUUCUUCACAUUUUCUAUUAAACUUACGGAGAACCAAACACAUCCUUAGUAUUUUCCUUCUUUUUUUGUUAAUGUUGUUUUCCCUUGUCUUUUUCCAUAGUAUUUAAAAAUAAUAAAUUUGUUCCCCUUUCUUUUACAUGUAAAAAUAUUUACAUAAUCACAUAGAUUAAUCAUACAUGAUUAAAGGAUACUAACAAUAGGAAAUCACUAUAAAGAACAUACCUGUUUGAGCCAUGAUAAAAAAAACGUGAUUGAUUGUUGUAACCAAGUCUUCCUCUCUAUGAUCUUGAUAAUAGCUAUGGUGGCUCUAUGGGAAAACAAAUAAACCCUUUUUAUCUAGAUUAGAGAGGGGACUUAGCAUAACUCAAAUUGGAUUCUCAUUGGGCCCUCCCAUAAUGGGCUUCAAUGAGACCCAUAGCCUACACUUGCCACUCAACUGAGCUUCUACUCAAAAGAUGCAAAACCCAAUCCAAAAUGUGAUCACUAGUUAAUUGGGCACAUUAUAGAAUAUACUAUCCAUUAACCCGUUUUUGCAAAUACAAAUUAUUCAAUUAAUGUUAGCCCAUAUAAAAAAUUUCCAACAUUCUCCCACUUGGGCUACAUUAAUUGUUUUUGAGGAUUCAUUAAAUUCAUUUUGAAAAUAAGACUCUCGGGUUAAGUACAAAAAAGUUUAUUUUGUGUGGCCACACCUUUUUUUUUUUUGAAAGAAAUGAUAGUCUAUAAGUAGCAUCUUGUUAAACUUUUCUGGUCCAACAUAGUCUUAAUAUUAGACUAUAAUGGUCUAUAUGUUAAUCUCAACAAACAUAAUGCCCCUUAUAGUCACGAAUAUUUAUAACCAUAUCGACAUGGAUCGUAAACUCAGUAGUGUAGUAAGAAAUCAAUGCCAACAUGUGAUCAUCAUCUAUAUGCAUUGUUUCUUAUCAGUCCUCAUUACAAUUUACCAACAAAAUGAAAUUGUAAUUACAAUUUCUCAACAAAAUGAAAUUGUUGCAAUUUCUAAACAAUAUGAAAUUGCUUGACUUUAACAAGUCAUAUGUCACCAACAAUGCACCACAAAAUCUCAAAAUAGUGGUAUUUGUGACAUCCAAUAGUAUACAACUGUAAUUCUUAAGGUUCAAUAUCUCAAGAUACCAUGUUGUACGUAAUUCAAUUACGACAUGCUAUAAUAUAAUACUUAAUUAUGAUGAUCAUAAUAAAAAGAUUUUAAUUUUGCAAGUUGCAGAACAAUAAUGAUCAAUGUUUGCAUAAAACAAUAAUUGAAAUAAGGGAAAUCACAAAAGCUCCCACUAAACCAAAGAAUCAAAAGACUUAAUGACACCCAUAUUCACAACAUGUUCCUUGAACGUUAUGGGCUUUAAACCUUUGAUUAGAGGAUCAGCUAGCAUGGACUCAGUUCUUAUGUGCUCAAUCACAAUAUCUCCUUUCUUCACUAAGUCCUUGACUGUAAGGUACUUGAUUUCCAUAUGCUUAGAACCCGUACUAAUCUUAUUGUUCUUAGAGUAGAACACAACUGCAUUAUUGUCACAAUAAAUCACAAUAUCCAUCAUUCCUAAAACAAACUCUAUGUCUAAUCUCCAUCUCUUAUAGUUCGACCCACUUAGAAUUUCAAUUGUAGCAUUAUUGUUGUUCACAGCAAAGGAAACUGAUUGACAAAAUUUUGCAACUAGAUCAAUUAUGGGCAAUAGGUAAAAAAAACUUAAAUAAUCAUAAGCAAUACAAUACAAGAAUCAAUUGUACUAUCAUAAACUCCCCUUUGGGCAGAGUCCACAAUAAACAACUAUUCUCUAAGCAUGAAGAUCAACAAAUAAUUCAUUAAAAUUUAUUUCCUUUGGGCAAAUAAAUUUAUCAAAUUAUUUAUCUCAUUAAAUAUCCUCAUGUUGUUAAAUUAAUUUGCACAAUAACCCCCUUUGGGCAGGCGAUUGUACAAAUUAAUCUAAAAUUUUCCCCAUCAACAAAAUAGGAACUCAUAAACUUGCAAAUUUUGAUGGUUAAAUCACUUUGGUAAAAUAACCUCAACAAUUCACAGGCAACGUUCCAAAAUUGGGUAAAUUAAAAAAAAUUGCCCAACAACAAUAGUGCAUAUUUGCGAUAUAUAUGCAUAUGAUCAAUUAUAGUUGCAAGAAUUUGAACAACAAUUUUUAUUUAUUUAUUACACUUUAAAUUAAUUAUUAACUAGUUUAUGUGAUUUAGAACAAGUAGGAGAGUAUGCAUGAAAAAGUUUCAAUCUAGAGAGAGUGAGUACUACACUCCUAUUCCAUAUAUAUUAGCAUAAUUUCUGGUAAAUUCUCAACAGAAAAUUAUACCAAAAAAUAAUUUUAAGCUAAUUAAAUCACAUAAAUAAGUAAUAAUUAUUUAAUAAAUAUUUUUGACCCCCCAAAAAUAAAAUAAUAUAUCUAGAAAAAUAUAUUACAAAAAAACGAGCGCACAGGAAAAAACGGAGCUCAAAAUGGACACUGGAUGAGGUUAUACGCACCUCACACACUUGACCUGCGAGUGGGGAACGUGUGGCACAUGUGGCAUGUGUGGCAUGUGCUGGAGGUCAUCUUCAACCUCCAGCAUUGGGUCCAAAAUUCUGCAAUACGGGUCAAAUGAGCCGGUUGCAACCUGGAUUGCAAACAAUUGAAAAAAAUGUUUCUUUUGAUCGGGAUCUUGAGGGCUUUUAAACUUUAGGUUGUUUCUAACAAUUUUAGGACAUUUAAUCAUAAAAAAAAAACAACUUAAAGAUCUCCAUAAUUGAUUAACAAAAUUCGGUUUUUCUUACCUCCAUAGCUAAGAUUCAAAAACUCUAUUUUAACACCUAUUUCGGUCUCAUUUUACAUGUAUUUUUACAUUAACAAUAUAAGAAGUCUCUUUACAACAAUUAAUUAAACAAAAAAAAAAAAAAUUCUCAAUCUUGCUCAAUUUUUUUUUUUUUUUUAAAAAAAACGAAUUUUCUAGGGUUCAUACCCAUAUUUUCAAAUUUUCAAUUUUCACCAAAUUGAGCCAAAAAACCGAAAUUAAUGCUACAUAUCAACUAUAAUAUAUGUAAACAACAAAAUCUAAGAGUUUAAUUUGAGUAUAACACAAUAAUUUGAUCAAAUAAAAUUUUUCUUGAAUCUUUAAACAAGAAAAUUCCGAAAAUUUAAAAAUUUAGUUACUCCCAAUUUAAACAACGAAAUUGCACAUAUGAUAUAUCAAUUUGAAGUUUGUGACAAGAGGAACAAAAACCCUAAAGUUUCACAAUCAAAAGAAACUAAAAAAAAAACAUGCACAUUCAUGGAUCACAUAUUUGGCUUCGAAAAGAAAAUAAAAUAAGAAACUAAAAAUUUUAUUUUCGAUUUCCAAAUGUAGAUCCUAAAUCAUGUAAAUCAGACUCUGAUACCACAUGUAAAAUAUUUACAUAAUCACAUAGAUUAAUCAUACAUGAUUAAAGGAUACUAACAAUAGGAAAUCACUAUAAAGAACAUACCUGUUUGAGCAAUGAUAAAAAAAUGUGAUUGAUUGUUGUAGCCAAGUCUUCCUCUCUAUGAUCUUGAUAACAGCUAUGGUGGCUCUAUGGAAAAACAGAUAAACCCUUUUAUCUAGAUUAGAGAGGGGACUUAGCAUAACUCAAAUUGGAUUCUCAUUGGGUCCUCCCAUAAUGGGCUUCAAUGAGACCCAUAGCCUACACUUGCCACUCAACUGAGCUUCUACUCAAAAGAUGCAAAACCCAAUCCAAAAUGUGAUCACUAGUUAAUUGGGCUCAUUAUAGAAUAGACUAUCCAUUAACCCGUUUUUGCAAAUACAAAUUAUUCAAUUAAUGUUAGCCCAUAUAAAAAUUUUCCAACAUUACCAUGUAAAAUAUUUACAUAAUCACAUAGAUUAAUCAUACAUGAUUAAAGGAUACUAACAAUAGGAAAUCACUAUAAAGAAAAUACCUAUUUGAGUCAUGAUAAAAAAAACGUGAUUGAUUGUUGUAGCCAAGUCUUCCUCUCUAUGAUCUUGAUAAUAGCUAUGGUGGCUCAAUGGGAAAACAGAUAAACCCUUUUUAUCUAGAUUAGAGAGGGGACUUAGCAUAACUCAAAUUGGAUUCUCAUUGGGCCCUCCCAUAAUGGGCUUCAAUGAGACCCAUAGCCUACACUUGCCAUUCAACUGAGCUUCUACUCAAAAGAUGCAAAACCCAAUCUAAAAUGUGAUCACUAAUUAAUUGGGCUCAUUAUAGAAUAGACUAUCCAUUAACCCGUUUUUGCAAAUACAAAUUAUUCAAUUAAUGUUAGCCCAUAUAAAAAUUUUCCAACAUUCUCCCACUUGGGCUACAUUAAUUGUUUUUGAGGAUUCAUUAAAUUCAUUUUGAAAAUAAGACUCUCGGGUUAAAUAUAGAAAAGUUUAUUUUGUGUGGCCACACCUUUUUGUUUUUUUUGAAAGAAAUGAUAGUCUAUAAAUAGCAUCUUGUUAAACUUAUCCGGUCCAACAUGUUCUUAAUAUUGGACUAUAAUGGUCUAUAUGUUAAUCUCAACAAACAUAAUGCCCCUUAUAGUCACGAAUAUUUAUAACCAUAUCGACAUGGAUCGCAAACCCAGUAGUGUAGUAAGAAAUCAAUGCCAACAUGUGAUCAUCAUCUAUAUGCAUUGUUUCUUAUCAGUCCUCAUUACAAUUUACCAGCAAAAUGAAAUUGUAAUUGCAAUUUCUCAACAAAAUGAAAUUGCUGCAAUUUCUAAACAAUAUGAAAUUGCUUGACUUUAACAAGUCAUAUGUCACCAACAAUGCACCACAAAAUCUCAAAAUAGUGGUAUUUGUGACAUCCAAUAGUAUACAACUGUAAUUCUUAAGGUUCAAUAUCUCAAGAUACCAUAUUGUAUGUAAUUCAAUUACGACAUACUAUAAUAUAAUACAUAAUUAUGAUGAUCAUAAUAAAAAGAUUUUAAUUUUGCAAGUUGCAGAACAAUAAUGAUCAAUGUUUGCAUAAAACAAUAAUUGAAAUAAGGGAAAUCACAAAAGCUCCCACUAAACCAAAGAAUCAAAAGACUUAAUGACACCCAUAUUCACAACAUGUUCCUUGAACGUUAUGGGCUUUAAACCUUUGGUUAGAGGAUCAGCUAGCAUGGACUCAGUUCUUAUGUGCUCAAUCACAAUAUCUCCUUUCUUCACUAAGUCCUUGACUGUAAGGUACUUGAUUUCCAUAUGCUUAGAACCCGUACUAAUCUUAUUGUUCUUAGAGUAGAACACAACUGCAUUAUUGUCACAAUAAAUCACAAUAUCCAUCAUUCCUAAAACAAACUCUAUGUCUGAUCUCCAUCUCUUAUAGUUCGACCCACUUAGAAUUUCAAUUGUAGCAUUAUUGUUCACAACAAAGGAAACUGAUUGACAAAAUUUUUCAACUAGAUCAAUUAUGGGCAAUAGGUAAAAAAAACUUAAAUAAGCAUAAGCAAUACAAUACAAGAAUCAAUUGUACUAUCAUAAACUCCCCUUUGGGCAAAGUCCACAAUAAACAACUAUUCUUUAAGCAUGAAGAUCAACAAAUAAUUCAUUAAAAUUUAUUUCCUUUGGGCAAAUAAAUUUAUCAAAUUAUUUAUCUCAUUCAAUAUCCUCAUGUUGUUAAAUUAAUUUGCACAAUAACCCCCUUUGGGCAGGCGAUUGUACAAAUUAAUCUAAAAUUUUCCCCAUCAACAAAAUAGAAACUCAUAAACUUGCAAAUUUUGAUGGUUAAAUCACUUUGGUAAAAUAACCUCAACAAUUCACAUGCAACGUUCCAAAAUUGGGUAAAUUAAAAAAAAAAAUUGCCCAACAACAAUAGUGCAUAUUAGCGAUAUAUAUGCAUAUGAUCAAUUAUAGUUGCAAGAAUUUGAACAACAAUUAUUUAUUUAUUUAUUACACUUUAAAUUAAUUAUUUAACUAGUUUAUGUGAUUUAGACCAAGUAGGAGAGUAUGCAUGAAAAAGUUUCAAUCUAGAGAGAGUGAGUACUACACUCCUAUUCCAUAUAUAUUAACAUAAUUUCUGGUAAAUUCUCAAUAGAAAAUUAUACCAAAAAAAUAAUUUUAAGCUAAUCAAAUGACAUAAAUAAGUAAUAAUUAUUUAAUAAAUAUUUUAGACCCCCCAAAAAUAAAAUAAUAUAUCUAGAAAAAUAGAUUACAAAAAAACGAGCGCACAAGAAAAAACGGAGCUCAAAACGAACACCAGAUGAGGUUAUACGCACCUUACACACUUGACUCGCGAGUGGGGAACGUGUGACACAUGUGGCACGUGUGGCAUGUGUUGGAGGUCAUCUUCAACCUCCAGCAUUGGGUCCAAAAUUCUGAAAUACGGGUCAAAUGACCCGGUUGCAACUCGGAUUACAAACAAUUGAAAAAAAUGUUUUUUUUUUAUCGGGAUCUUGAGGGCUUUUAAACUUUAGGUUGUUUCUAACAAUUCUAGGACAUUUAAUCAUAAAAAAAAACAACUUAAAGAUCUCCAUAAUUGAUUAACAAAAUUUGGUUUUUCAUAUCUCCAUAGCCAAGAUUGAAAAACUCUAUUUUAACACCUAUUUCAGCCUCAUUUUACAUGUAUUUUUACAUUAACAAUAUAAGAAGUCUCUUUACAACAAUUAAUUAAAAAAAAAAAAAAUUCUCAAUCUUGCUCAAUUUUUUUUUUUAAAAAAUAAAAUAAAAUGAAUUUUCUAGGGUUCAUACCCAUAUUUUCAAAUUUUCAAUUUUCACCAAAUUGAGUCAAAAAACCGAAAUUGAUGCUACAUAUCAACUAUAAUAUAUGUAAACAACAAAAUCUAAGAGUUUAAUUUGAGUAAAACACAAUAAUUUGAUCAAAUAAAAUUUUUCUUGAAUCUUUAAACAAGAAAAUUCCGAAAAUUUAAAAAUUUAAUUACUCCCAAUUUAAACAACGAAAUUGCACAUAUGAUAUAUCAAUCUGAAGCUUGUGACAAGAGGAACAAAAACCCUAAAGUUUCACAAUCAAAAGAAACUAAAAAAAAUAGGCACAUUCAUGGAUCACAGAUUUGGCUUUGAAAAGAAAAUAAAACGAGAAACUAAAAAUUUUAUUUUUGAUUUCCAAAUGUAGAUCCUAAAUCAUGUAAAUCAGACUUUGAUACCACAUGUAAAAAUAUUUACAUAAUCACAUAGAUUACUCAUACAUGAUUAAAGAAUACUAACAAUAGGAAAUCACUAUAAAGAACAUACCUGUUUGAGCAAUGAUAAAAAAACGUGAUUGAUUGUUGUAGCCAAGUCUUCCUCUCUAUGAUCUUGAUAAUAGCUAUGGUGGCUCAAUGGGAAAACAGAUAAACCCUUUUUAUCUAGAUUAGAGAGGGGACUUAGCAUAACUCAAAUUGGAUUCUCAUUGGGCCCUCCCAUAAUGGGCUUCAAUGAGACUCAUAGCCUACACUGGCCACUCAACUGAGCUUCUACUCAAAAGAUGCAAAACCCAAUCUAAAAUGUGAUCACUAAUUAAUUGGGCUCAUUAUAGAAUAGACUAUCCAUUAACCCGUUUUUGCAAAUACAAAUUAUUCAAUUAAUGUUAGCCCAUAUAAAAAUUUAUGUUUGGUUUUUGGAAAAUUUGAGGGAAAAAAAAUAAAGAGAAAAAAUAAAAUAAAAGAAAAAAUAAAUAAAAAUAAAUAAAUUUAAAAUUAAUAAAUUAUUUUUAUAUGUUUCUUCAAAUUUAUUUCACUUAAUUUCUUUCAAAAUAAUUUUAAAAUGCAUAAGUUUUUAAUUAUAUAUAUAUAUAUUUUUUAAAUUUAUAGUGAAACCAAAGAGAAAACCUUUAUUUAUUUAUUUUCCCUAAGAACCAAACCUAACCUUUGCAUUUUUCCAAAUUUCGGAUCCAAAAGUAACUGAAUGUUACGAAAAAAAAAAAGGAGAAUUGUGUUUUGGGCCCAGAUGGGCCCAAAAAUUAAUAUUUGGUCCAUAUAACUUCCAUAAUUGAUGGAAAUGAUAUAAAAUGUUAAAAGACCAAUAUAUUUUUCAAAUUUCUAUAUAUUAUCUUUUAAGGAUAUAAAAUAGUGAUGGACUAAAAUACCCAAUGACUUUUCACAUAAGCUUUUUUUGUCUUUAUUGUGUCACUAUUCAUGCAACCAUAAUAAUUCUAUUUUAACAAUUUGGAUUUUUCAUUGUUUUUAAUUUUUUUUAUAAAUAAUUGAAAAUCAGCAUUAUUUUCUAUUUUAAAUUAUAAAUAAAGAAAAAUUAUGUUUAAAAACUAUUUUAAAAAAUACUUUCUAAAAAAAUGGUAAUACGAUUUAUAUUUUUUAUAUUUUCUUUUUGAAAAAACAUUUAAUUAAAAAAUGAAAACUAUUUUUAAAAAUAAAAAUUGAAAACCUUGUUUAACACUAUUUUUUAUAUGAAAAUAAUAAAAAGAAUUAAAUUUCAUUAAUUGAUUAUCCAAUUUUUUUUCCAUUAGUUAUUUUAAUAAUAAUAAAAAAUAUAGUAUGUUUACAAUUAAACAAAGAAAUUGAUCAAUUAUGGGUUUUUUGUGGAACUAUCUUUUACAUGAAAAAUAAUUAAAUAAUUAAAUUAUAUAUAUUUAUUACUCUUUUUAACUUUAUUUUCUUUAUUUAUUUUUUGUCUAAUAGAAAAUUUUAAUAUAUCCAUAAUUAACAAAGUAAUAAAUCAAUUUUGCACAUUUUAAUCUAUUAAAAUAAAUUACUUUCUAAUUUAAAUAAAUAAAAUGAAAUAAGUAAAUAAAUUUGAGGUUAUUUCUAUUUUUUAACAUAUCUUAUAUCAAUAUUUUUUAUGGUUAAAUAAAUUUUUUAUUUUUUAUUUCUUUAAUUCCAAAAAUAAAAUGAAAUAAAUAAAUAAAUUUGGUAUUUUCCAACUGAUCUUAUAUUCAUAUUUCUUAUGGUUAAAUAAAAUUUUUUAUUCUUUUUUCUUUAUUUCCAAAAAUAAAAGGAAAUAAAUAAAUAAACUUGGCUUAAAUAAUAGUUUUUAAGUAAUUUCUUUGUCUUAUUUUUAAUUACAUUUUGCAUUGAAAGUAAAAUAAAAUAACGUUUUAUUUGAGUCACUGUACAAGAUAUUUAUAUUAAGUGUACAUGACAAAUAUACUAACUGUACAAGGAUGUACAAGACUAUUAUUUGUGAAGGAUUUUAAGUGAUACUGAAAAAGUUGUUUGUUUAUUUCCCCUAACCGAGGAUAAAUGACAUUCUUUACACACAUUGGUUAAGCAUACAUUCAUCUCAUGCACUUUAUCUAACUUGUAUAUAGUCAUUUGAAUAGGUACCUCACUUAUGAUGAUUGUAAAAUAAAAUUAUACAACAAUUUUUCUUCUUUUUUAAAAUCAAACCAAUGCAACACAUGAUUAACCGAGCUAUUAUUAGAUAUUCAUGAGAUGAUGUAUGAAAUUUGAGUUAUUGUAUAAGGGUAUUACACUAACUGUACAAGAGAAAUUUACUAAUUGUAUAAGGGUGUACAAGACUACUUUUUGUUAAGGAUUUCAAGUGAUUUUGAAAAACUUUCCCAUUUUUUUCCACUCAAAGAUUUUUUCCCCACUCAAAUUCUCUCACUCAAGAAUUGUUUCGAAUUUUAUUUUUAAAUUUCAUCAUCAAAUUUUUGUAAUUGCAUAUUUUGUUUUUGUAGUUUUAGCAAUGUUUUUUCUUUCCACUAUUUUUUUAAAAAAUUUUUAUCCAAAUGAAUCUAUAUUUAAAAUUAUAAUCAUAUUUAUCAAUUUUUUUUUACUAAGAUUAUCUUUAAUUCUUCUAAUAUAUUUAUACUCAUUUAUUUAAAAAAUGAAAAACCAAUUUUUUUUUGUAAACAUAUUCUAUUACGGAAGUAAAAAAUUAGAUAAGUUUGAAAGUCAAUAAAAAAAAAAUUAAAUACCACUUUUAAUAAUUUUUAGAUAAAAUUUUAUAUAAUAUAUUUUAUUUGAAAUUUAAUUUCUAAAGUUUUACUAAAAAAUUGUAUUGACAAUUUUCUUGUUGUGAAUUAAAAUACUUUGCAUUAGUCUAUCUAAAUAAGAAAAAUUAUUAAUAUAAUAUUAGAACUUCAUAUCUUAAUUAUUUUUUUUCAAUAAAUUUAUCUUUUUAAAAAUUUUAAAAUAAAAAUAUUAAAAAUUAAAAAGGUAAAAGGAUAUAUCUAUAUAUAUAUAAUAAAUUGAAGUAAUAGUCAAGUUUAAAAUUUUUUAAAAUAUGGUUAAUGUAGAAAAUAUAAAAAAUAAUUAAAAAUAAGAGAAAAAUAUAAAUGAAAAGGUAAUAUAAAUUUAAAAUAAAAAAAUGAAAAAUUAAACUAAAAGAUAAAUAUAAAAAAAGAUAAAAAAUAUUUGGAUGAAAAAUCCCAAAAUUUUUAUCAUUGCUAAUAAGAGCAAAAAGAUUCAAUAUCUUUAAAAAUGAAAAACAAAAAAACAUUAUUACUUUUUAUUUGAUAUAAAAUAGAAAUAUAGAUUAGAAGAAAAAGAAAAAAAAAGUUAGAAAUGAGUAAUAUUUAAUAGGGAAUAGAAAAAGGAAAAAAAACACAAAAAAAUUAAAAUUCACACUCACUUGUGCUAUGUAAGGAUUAAGGGUAUUUUAGAGAUUAACUAAGGACAAUAUCCUUCAUCUUAAUUUUCAUAUUUUAUUUGAGUCUUAGGCUUAAAUAUGUAUGAUAUAUGUAUCAAAUGUUAAUUUUUGAGUUUAAUUGGAUAACACGAUUCUUCAAAAAAAAAUAAAAAUAAAAUGAAUGAAGUACAGGAGCAUAAAUGGUACAUCAAUUUUAUAUUGACUACCUUCUGAACCUUUAAUUGCAGCGUGUUGACUUGUCCACCGAAUCCAUAAUAUCAGCCAGUACCCAUGUGACUUGGCCCAUCCCAUCCCAUAUCUCUUACUUUGUUCCCUAUUCUCUCACAAUUCCCUCAGCUUCUCAUCUUGUACGUGCUGUAUUUUCUUGGCUUUCUGCAACUUUGAGUUGUUCCAAAAUGGCUUACCAAAUUCCAUUCGGUGUUGUGGAGCACAUUUUGACCAACUUGGGGUCCUCGGCGUUUCAAGAAAUUGGAUCCAUGUAUGGUGUUCCAAAGGAGAUAACCAAGCUCAAUGGGAAACUGGGCACCAUCAAGGCUGUGCUUUUGGAUGCUCAGGAGAAGCAGCAGCAGCAGAGCAAUCGUGCAGUCAAAGAUUGGGUCCGGAGGCUCAGGGGUGUUGUUUAUGACGCAGAUGACUUGCUGGAUGACUAUGCAACCCAUUAUCUUCAGCGAGGAGGAUUGGCAAGACAGGUCAGUGACUUCUUCUCAUCUGAAAAUCAAGUUGCUUUUCGUUUUAAGAUGAGUCAUAGACUCGAGGAUAUCAAAGAAAGGCUAGAUGAUGUUGCAAACGACAUCCCCAUGUUAAAUCUCAUUCCACGGGACAUAGUACUACACACAGGGGAAGAGAAUAGUUGGAGAGAAACCCACUCAUUCUCGUUGCCAUCUGAAAUUGUGGGAAGAGAAGAAAACAAAGAGGAGAUAAUAAGGAAGCUGUCAUCUAACAAUGAAGAAAUUCUUUCCGUUGUUGCCAUUGUUGGCUUUGGGGGAUUGGGUAAGACCACCCUCACUCAAUUGGUAUACAAUGAUGAAAGAGUAAAACAUUUCGAGCAUAAGACAUGGGUUUGCAUUUCUGAUGAUUCUGGUGAUGGUCUUGACGUCAAACUGUGGGUCAAAAAGAUUUUAAAAUCUAUGGGAGUUCAGGGUGUGGAGAGUAUGACCUUGGAUGGUUUGAAAGACAAGCUUCACGAAAAAAUAAGUCAAAAGAAGUACUUGUUAGUACUUGAUGAUGUUUGGAACGAAAAUCCUAGAAAAUGGUAUGAAGUGAAAAAAUUGUUGAUGGUUGGUGCUAAAGGUAGUAAAAUUAUAGUAACCACCCGAAAACUUAAUGUUGCAUCCAUUAUGGAAGAUAAGUCUCCCGUUAGUUUGAAAGGUCUAGGAGAAAAGGAGUCUUGGGAUUUAUUUUCAAAAUUUGCAUUUAGAGAACAGGAGAUUUUGAAGCCAGAAAUUGUAGAAAUUGGAGAAGAAAUUGCAAAAAUGUGCAAGGGAGUUCCUCUCGUUAUCAAGUCUUUAGCAAUGAUAUUGCAGUCUAAAAGAGAACUGGGGCAGUGGUUGUCUAUUAGAAACAAUAAAAAUUUGCUGUCACUUGGAGAUGAAAAUGAGAAUGUUCUAGGGGUGCUGAAAUUAAGUUAUGAUAAUUUGUCAACUCAUUUGAGACAAUGUUUUACAUAUUGUGCUUUAUUUCCAAAAGACUAUGAGAUUGAGAAAAAGUUGGUGGUACAACUAUGGAUAGCACAAGGUUAUAUUCAAUCUUCAAAUGAUAAUAAUGAGCAAUUAGAGGAUAUAGGGGAUCAAUAUUUUGAGGAAUUAUUGUCAAGGUCAUUGUUGGAGAAGGCGGGAAGCAAUCAUCUUACUAAUACAUUAAGGUAUAAAAUGCAUGACCUUAUACAUGAUCUUGCACAAUCAAUUAUAGGAUCUGAGGUCCUCAUUUUAAGAAAUGAUGUAAAAAACAUUUCAAAAGAAGUUCGUCAUGUAUCAUCGUUUGAAAAGGUGAAUCCUAUAAUAGAGGCUCUAAAGGAAAAACCUAUAAGGACCUUUUUAUACCAAUAUAGAUAUAAUUUUGAAUAUGAUAGUAAAGUUGUGAAUUCAUUUAUUUCAAGUUUUAUGUGUUUACGUGUGUUGAGCUUAAAUGGCUUCCUAUCAAAGAAGGUGCCAAACUGUUUAGGUAAAUUGAGUCAUUUAAGGUAUCUUGAUCUUUCCUACAAUACUUUUGAGGUACUUCCGAAUGCUAUUACAAGGUUAAAGAAUUUGCAAACACUGAAACUCAAAGUGUGUCCGAAUUUGAAAAAACUUCCAAAAAAUAUAAGGCAACUUAUCAAUCUUAGACACUUGGAGAAUGAGAGAUGGAGCGACUUGACUCAUAUGCCACGUGGAAUAGGAAAGUUGACUUUACUUCAAAGUCUACCAUUGUUUGUUGUUGGGAAUGAGACAGGGAGGUUAAGGAAUCACAAAAUUGGUAGCUUGAUUGAGUUGGAAAGCCUGAACCAUCUAAGAGGAGGGUUAUGCAUAAGUAAUCUUCAAAACGUGAGGGAUGUUGAACUGGUAUCCAGGGGAGAAAUUUUGAAAGGAAAACAAUAUCUUCAGUCCUUGAGAUUGGAAUGGAAUCGGUCGGGCCAAGAUGGGGGGGAUGAGGGUGAUAAGUCAGUGAUGGAAGGCCUUCAACCACACCCACAAUUAAAGGAUAUCUUUAUAGAAGGUUAUGGAGGUACGGAGUUUCCAAGUUGGAUGAUGAAUGAUAGGUUGGGUUCCCUGCUUCCCGACUUAAUUAAAAUUGAAAUUUCGGGAUGUUCAAGAUGCAAAAUUCUGCCACCCUUUUCUCAACUCCCUUCUCUCAAGUCUUUGAAGCUGGAUGAUAUGAAAGAAGUGGUGGAGAUAAAGGAGGGUUCAUUGGCAACGCCACUUUUCCCAUCUCUUGAAUCGCUCGAACUCUCUCACAUGCCAAAGUUGAAGGAAUUGUGGAGGAUGGACUUACUAGCAGAGGAAGGUCCUUCAUUUGCUCAUCUUUCAAAGUUGCAUAUUCAUAAAUGCUCUGGUUUGGCAUCACUGCAUUCUUCUCCUUCUCUUUCUCAAUUAGAGAUCAGAAAUUGCCAUAACUUGGCAUCCUUGGAACUGCCGCCGUCCCAUUGUCUUUCUAAAUUAAAGAUCGUAAAAUGCCCUAACUUGGCAUCCUUCAAUGUGGCUUCAUUACCUCGUCUUGAGGAAUUAAGCCUGCGUGGAGUCAGAGCAGAGGUACUGAGGCAGUUAAUGUUUGUCUCUGCUUCUUCUUCAUUGAAGUCUUUGCAUAUACGGAAGAUUGAUGGUAUGAUAUCUAUCCCAGAGGAGCCGCUUCAAUGUGUUUCCACUCUCGAAACUCUCUACAUUGUUGAGUGCUCUGGUUUGGCAACAUUACUACACUGGAUGGGCAGCCUUUCCUCGCUUACGAAACUUAUUAUUUAUUACUGCUCUGAAUUGACAUCACUGCCAGAAGAGAUCUAUUCCCUUAAAAAACUGCAGACAUUUUAUUUCUGUGAUUAUCCACACCUAGAGGAAAGAUACAAGAAGGAAACAGGCGAAGACCGGGCCAAGAUUGCUCAUAUCCCACAUGUUCGUUUCAACAGUGAUUCCUAUAUGGAAUUGGAGGUAGGUCCGAAAUCCCUAACCUUUCUUCCCAUUUUUAUUAAUUUAGAAUCAGAAUGCUAUAUUUUCAUUUUGUCUCUGGUAGUUCUUUUAUGUUGGCACCUCAUGUGUUUGUUUAAAUGCUCACAUCAAUAACUUUUCGAAAUUUUUUUCCAGCUUGACUACAUUUUCUGAUGCUGUGCACUAAACUAAUCAUUUUACUUGGAGUUCUACGUUCUAAGAGUUUGAGGAAAUACUGAGGUCUGGUAUGAUAACUCUCAAUCUUAAACGUUGUUUUGUGUUUGGAAUAUUACUACACUUGAUAGAUACCCUCACCUCACUUACAGAGCUUGGAAUUCAUGGCUGCCCUGAAUUGACAUCACUGCCAGAAGAUAUGUUCCCUCAAAAACCUGCUGACACUUGACAAUCUGCAUCUGUUCACACUUAAGAGGAAAGAUGCCGAAAGGAAAGGUGAAGACUAACCCAAGCACAAAUUGAUAUCAUACAUCCAUGAAGAUUGAACUGAUAUAGAAUGCCUUUCAGGUCUGAAAUCCCUAACUUUUCUUCUCAUUUUCUGUUACUUCAUUUGUAUUAUCUUACAUUUAAAAUGCUCUGUUUUCAUUUGUUUUGGUGGUUCUUUGUAUUUGCACCUUGUUUGAUUAAAUGCUUACUUCAGUAAAUUAGAAUUUUACUUGAGUCUUUUACAUCCUAAGAGUUUGAGGAAAUACCGAGCUCUAAUAUAAAUAGUAUUGGUCACAAAGUCCACCUUUCCUAAGAAGCUUACCAUUGGCCUAAUGCCCAAAGGAAACAACUUUGGAUUGGCUUGAAGAUUUCACAUGGUCUAAACAUUUGUAUUUACUAGAUGCCUGAUACAAAAAGUAGUUUCAAUUUAGCUCUUUGAUAUAAAGAUUAAAUAAUUGGAAAAUGUAUAAAUUUUUAUAUUUUACUUCAAAUUCAUUUCACUUAUUUUAACUCUUUGAUAUAAAGAUUAAAUAAUGGGAAAAUGUAUAAAUUUCUAAUUAAUCUUAAUAAUAUUUUAUUUUCUUUGAUAUUUUUCAUAGAACAACCAAACAUGAGAAAAUAAUUUUCCCUAUCAUUUUUUUCUUAGUACUUUUUGGGAACCAAACAUAAACUAGAUGUUUUACUUUAGUAGCUUCAUCAAAUUAAAUAGACAACCUCACACCUCUUAUUGAGCUAAGGUGUUAUUUGAGUUAAUGUUUUGUCUUUACUUAUUCAUUGAAGCCUUUGUCUAUUGGAUGCACAGGUGAUAUGAUCCAAACUCAAAUUGAACACCGCUCUUGUUUUGUAACAUUACUACAUUGGAAAGGCAACUUCAGCUCACUUAUAGACCUUUCUAUUGGUGAUUGCACUAAAUUGACGUCACUUUGGAAAAGAUGUGUUCUAGAUGGAAAAUCUUUCAUUAUAUGCACCUACUUGCAAGAUACCAAAGGGAAAUAGGUGAAUACUUGCCCAAGAAUAUAGAGGGCCAUACUUGGUUAAGGUUUCGUCAAUACGGAGAACCAUGUCAGGUAUGAAAUCCUCCUUUCUCAUUUUCUGAUGACUUCAUUUUUAUUCAAUAACCAUUUGAUAUUAUUUCUGUUGAUUUUAUUUUGAUAUUAGAUUUUCUUGCUUGCUCAAUAAUUUCAUUGAAGUUCUUUGGAUAUCACAUUUUCUUUGAUGUUUUUCUUUUCUUUUUAGAAUAAUUCAAAAUAUCAUUUUUACCUGUUCACAAAAUUUGAUCACAGUUGAGUGAUUAAAAUUCAAGUUUAUUAUUAUUAUUAUUAUUAUUAUUAUUAUUAUUAUUAUUAUUAUUAUUAUUGUUAUUAGCUAUUGGACAUAUUCGUUUUCUAAUACAGACAUAAGACUGACAGGUAAUGUGCAUAGAAUUUGUAGAAGAGAAGAAAGAUUUGAUCCAAGAUAUUCCUAAAGACCAAAAACUUUCAAAGUCGUCUAAGAUCCCAUAGGUUGAAUUUGGAUUCAUCCAAUUUACAAUCCACUAAUUCUACUUAUGUCAUCUUUGUUAUGUUACAAUUUGCUUUUACUUGUUAUGCAGCCUACCUUAAUAAUUUGGGGAGACCAAGAUACGACGUUCCUAAUAGAACCAGCUUACAAAUUGAAAAGGUAAACUUGUAUCACUUGCCUACAUGCCUACAACAAUACAAACACUAGCUUAUGUCUUUCUCAAUAUUGAGAUUGUUACUGCAUGCAAGCAUUUUGGGUGAGGAGGCCCAACUUGUGAUCAUCAAUAACAUAGAGCAUACUUUUAUUAUAGAGAAGCCCAAGGAAAUAUUUAAGCACUUGAAAUCCUUUCUCAUUGAUUUGCUUCCACCUCCUAGGCAACACUUGGAACCACUCACACCAUGACAAGGUGAAAAGAAACUAAUGCAACAUUCUCAAUAUAUCAAAGGAAAGGUCAAAUUUUAGAUUUUUGUGUUUUUCCUAUCACUGUUUCUAUACUAUUACUAGUGCACCUUAUUUGUCAACAUGAUUAAAAUAGAAUUCCCUAGGAUAACUAGUGUCUCAGGUGAUCUUAAGGUUCAUAAAUUUUUGGUUUCCACAAGAUAGGUGCCAACUAAUUUUAUUUUUUUCUACAUCCAUGCAAUAUUCUAGUCAUCUAUUAACAAGGGAUAAAAAUUCUUGUAGAGAAUAGAAUAAAGAACUAGAUUAAAUGAAAAUAGGACAUUAGUAUUCUAUUUACUAGUAAGGGUAAAAAAUUCUUGAUGGCCAUCAAGCACAUUGUUCCUAAAAUAAUAGCAUCCAUGUCGUUGAGCAAAAGUUUAUUGUAAUUGCAUUUAACAUAUAAAGCAAAACUGAUUUUUUUAUUUUAUUUUAUAUUUACACCUUAUGCAUUUGAUAAAAUUCUUAAACAAGUAAGUUUGAAAAUUUUCUCUUCAAAUCAUUUGAUAAUUGAAGGCCAAACUAAUCAAAUUGAUUUAAAUUUUACAUUCAAAAGUUGAAUUUAUUAUUAUUAUUAUUAUUAUUAUUUUUUUUUUUUUUGCAAAAUUUACUUCACUUUAGAAGUUUGUGAUUAUUCUCUAGUCCAUCUUAAAAUGAGUGCCUCCAUUAUUCCAUUCCUCUAUCACUACAAAAAGUUUAGAUUGACCUAAAAUUUUCUCAUGACCUAGAAACUCAUAUCUACUAGAUGGUUAAAGCAAAAAAAGGCUUUUGCCUUAUGUUUUAAGUAAUCUCCCUAUUAUCUAUUUGUUGAGAGCAUCAUACAAGAUGUAAUUAUAUUUCUUAAUUUUUUUUUAUGUAAUAAGAACUAGAUUGAGAAAGAUGCAACUUGUAGAGAAAAAAAUUUCUUUACUACUUCCCUUGUAUUUGCUUUGUGUGUAUCAACUGUGCUUUUCAUUAUUUUAAAAAAUAUCACUAACAAAAAACUUAUUAUUGUUAUAUAUCAUAAUUUAGCAAUUUUUUUAUUAUUUAGAAAUCAUGCUUGUCAUUGUGUUAAUUAGUAGGUAGCCUAAUAACUAUAUUGUUCAAGUUAUUUUGUGUUGGCAUUCUUCAUGUUUCAAAAGCUUGUUAGACUAGCAAUUUUAUUGCAAAUAUAAUGUUCUCAAAUCAAUACAGAAAUGGAUGAUUGUGGGGAUUAGGCAUUGACUUCCUUGAGAAGUUCAAUUGAGGGUUUUUUAAACUAGGUCUCUACAUCAACAAAUGCUACAUUUUAUCACUCGAGACCUUAGAAUAAAUAUUGCAGAAAGCUUCAUUUGCUACAUAGUAAGGAUGAGGUUGGCAUAUAAAUCCUAAGGACUUAAAAGCUUGAGUUGUUGUCUCUUCCAAGGGGCCUUUAGAUUUAUUAAUGAGUUCCAAAUCAUUGUCUACCUUGAAUUUGAAUCACUGCUAGAAGGAUGUGCCGCUAAGCAUUCUCAUGUUCUUGAUAUGGAGUAGAAAUGGACUUCUAAUUCAUGAAGAACUGAUGGGCUCUUUGAUUAUGCCAUCUAUAAUGUACUUCAGGUUCAUGCUUCAACCUCUCUUCUUGCUUUUGAUAACUUCAUUUUAGUUUUACACUGCUUUCCUUCCCUCUUAUCUGUGUUUAUGUAUGUUUGUGCAUAUAAUGUGAACCUUUUCCACUGUUACUUUAAAGUUUUUUCAUUCUUGGGCUUGGGAAAUUACUAAAUUUGAUUUUAAUAUUUUCCUGUAGAUUUCACCUUGCUUAAAAAGCUUUUGAUUAUUCAUAUUUGCAAGAUGGCUAAGACAUCUGAUUGUGCUCAGAACUUCUGGUUUCUAUUAAAUAUAGGUAUGUUGUUUGCAAUUCUAACCCACUUACUCCUCUUGAAGACUACAUAAAUUGCUAGUGUUUUUACUUUAAUGGUUAUAAACAAUGUGUGCCCUUGUUACUUCUUGCUUGCAUUCUAUAUGUUGAAGAGCUUUAUUAGGCUAAUUAUUUUAUUGAAGAUAUAAUUGUUGUCAAGUCAAAGCAAAGCCGAAUGGUGAUGUGGUUUCAACUUCUUAGAAGUAACCAAAAAGUAAGGAACUCUCUCUAUGGUAGUACUUUGAUGUCACAUUGGGCUUUCAGAUUGCUGCCUUGAAUUGACAUAAAUAACAUAGCAUCUUUCCCAAUUGAGUCGUUUCAACAUGUUACUAUGCUUCAAACUCUCUCAAUUAUGUCUUGUUUAGGUUUGGCAACAUUAGAACACUGGAUAGGCAGCCUCAACUUACUCACACAACAUAAAAUUCAUCUUUGUUGUUAACUGACAUCACUGCCACAAGAUGAGUUCACUCAGUAUUUUACAGACAGCUAUAGUUUGGGACAAUUCUGGUUUGGCAACAUUAUUAGACUUGAUAGGUAACCUAUCUUCACUUACAAACACCUUCAAAUUUAUAGUUGUCCUAAACUAGCAUCACUACUAAAAGACAUGUGUGUCCUCAACACCCUAUAGGCACUCACAAUUGGAGAUUGUUAUGGUUUGGAAACAUUCAACAGACUUGAUAGGUAACCUUACACCACUUAUAGAGCUUCAAAUUCAUGGCUACCCUGAAUUGACAUCACUUUCAGACUAGAUGUUCACCCAAACCUCAAUUGACACUCACAAUUCAAGGCUUCUCUAUAUUGGCAACAUUACCAGACUUGAUAGGCAUCAUCACUUCACUUACAUACCCUGGAAUUAAUAGCUACCUCAAAUUCACAUCAUUGUCAGAAGAGAUUGGUUCACUCAUAUCCCAACAGAGAUUCAUGAUCUUUUAUUGUCAAUGUCUAUUAGAAAGACUUCGAAGGGAAAUAGGUGAAGAUUGGGCCAUUAAUCUUCAAUCCUAGAUAUUGAUAUUUUGGUGAAGAUUGGAUUAAUAUAGAGUUCGUUCAAGUUUGAAAUCCUAACCUUCUCAUUUGUUAUGGUUUUGUUUUUAUCAAUAUACCCUGUUUACAUUCUAUUUGGUAAUUAUGGUAUGUAUUAGCAUAUAGAUAAAAAAGGACUUAGAUGGUUAAUUUGAAAAGUUUGCAUCUUCAAUUAAUUAGUAAUUAAAGACCAAACUGAUCAUAUUACUUUAAGUCUUGCAUUAUAAGAGUUCGGGAAAAAUGUUAGGGUCGAUUGAACUAUUAUUUUGUAACAAAUUUCACCUUGCUCAGGAAUCUCAUGAUUAUCCCUUGGCACAAACAUUUCUCGGUGUCUGAGAAAUUCAUAUCUACUACAUGGCUCAAGAAUCUAGUAGCAUUCAAAAUUUCUGCUCUCUUUCAAAUUAGGUGUGUUGCUUGCAAUUCCGGUCCUUUUCCUAUUUCUAAAUGCUAUAUUUUUAUUUUACUAUCAAUGUGUUAAGAGCAUUAUGUUCUGUUUUCUAUAAUAUUGUUUUCUUACUUAUCAUAUAUAUUAAUUAUUUCACUACAAAUGUAUUUGUUGCCAAGUUAAAGCAAAAAUGGAAAAUGACGAUUUUUCAUAGAUCAAUGUCUUUCUCAAUUGCUGCCACACCUGACUUCUCUCUAAGUUGUUGAAAAUUUAGAAGUGUGGUAGCAUAAUGUCUCUGGCUCAAGUGCUUUAGCGCCUCAUUGUCCUUGAAGCUUUAGAAGUUGUCAAUACAAUUGGUGUUUCAACAUGUAACCAGUUUGGAAAUUCUAAGAAGUGUAAGUACUAUGGUUUUGCAACUUUGUUAGAUUGGAUAGGCAACUUCAAAUUAUUGAAUGCCCUGAAUUGAAAUCACUACUAGAAGGGACCCACAAGCACUUUAUAGAAACUCAUAAUCUACUAGUCGUACCACUUAUUAAGAAUGCCAAAAGGAAAAAGUGAAUAUUGGCCUAAGCAUGGUUGAUUAAUAAACUACUCAUGGUCUCCUUAAUUCAAGUGUGUCAUUUAUUAUAUGUUUCAUGUUAGUAAUCCUACAUUUCUCUUGUUUUUGUUGGCUUUAUUUUUUUGAAUUAUUUUACAAUCAAUAUUUUAUCGAUGUUCUUCCUUUUGUACAAUUCUAUUUCUUGAUUCUCAAAUGAAUUAAGACAUAUCAAGAAAAAAAUCACAUUGUUUGCUUUCCAUAUACUAUAUGCUUAUAUGUACAUGUGUUAAAAACUUUUGAUUUUUAAUUGAUUACUUUCUAUUUAAUUUGUUAAAAAUUGUUAGUCUAUUUGGAGAUGAUUUUUUUUUUCAUAUGUAAUAGGAUACCAACAAAUUGAGUGAGGAGCACAUCUUACUAAAUCGUUUAUCAAUUUAUUCACCUUCCUAAUCUCAAGCUUCUUCAUGUUUGAAUUAAAACACCUUGGAGUACACAAACAAAAAUGAUGGUAAUAAGUCUUUCUCAUCAUCUUUAUUUUCAUUAGAAGGCAAUUUGUAUCAUCCUCAUUCCCAAUCCUAAAAAUAGGUUUAGAAAUUAGACAUGUUUUCUUAAAUGAUCUUCUUGGUCCAUGCAUGCUUUCUAUAUAUUUAAAAAAAUUUUAAACUAAGUACUUAAUUGUAGAUAUGAUAGUUUUCAAGUUAAUGCACAAAUGGUGAUGGUGAGGAUGCUAAAUAUAGUCCAUGCUCAGCCUAUUUGUUGACAAACUACCGAGGGCUAGUGCUAAGGGAAACACUUAAUGCACUUGUAUCAUACUCUCUUUUCUUUGCCUUCUCUAGUCGUUAUCCAAGGUUCAUAUAUAAUAUGUCUUUAUCAUUAAACUUUUCAUUUUUAACCUUUUGUCUUUUUAUGGUCUAUUACAUGGCCAUCAAUUUCUAAGAAAGUGGUGUACACUAUUAUAAAUCUUAUCUCUUUGUUCUUAUAGACAAUAGAACAACAUGCUAAUUGCAUGAUAUACAAUUUGUAAUAGAUGUUCGGCUAUCAGGUAACCUUUAAGUACCUUGGAGCUAAAACAUUUGAUGUUAAUAAGGUUUGAUGAUUCUCACUUUGGUGCUUAGGUGCUUUGUUGGAUUUCAAUUCAGGUGAUUAAUUAAUCUUAUUAUGAUUAUUUGAUUGCUAUAAUAACUAAAUAAUCAUUCCUAUUUUAUCUUGGUAAUUGACUUCAAUGACUUUUUAACAAUUAUAUCAUGCAUGAAAUGUCCAACCUAUUAUUGUUAGUAUUUCAAUAACAUACCUCUAAUGCUACCACUAAUAUACUUCAUGUAUUCAUAUUUAUAAAAUGUUUCAUUAUUUUAUAUAAUUUAAUGUUUUCAAAUUUCUUUUUUGAAUGGGAGAAAUGACCAUUAAUCUUGACAACAACACAAGUAUCAUUGGUCUAAUAUUGCUUUCUUGAGUAAUUUGGCAAUUUAAUUAUGAAGUUUAGUUGUACAUUACUUGAGAUUCAUGCUUUAUGUAUAUGGUCUAUUGUCCAAACUUCAAUGACAUUUAGUAGACUUGUGAGUGGCGUUUGUCUAUGAGUUUCAACUCUUCAAAACUAUUAUUGAAGCCUAAGUUCAACUUCAGUAAGGAAAAAAAAUCAACAUUUUCUUCCAUUAUGUAAUUUUAUUCACUAUUGAUCUCCCGAAAUAUUGUUUUUAAAACAUGCCCUUAAAUGGAAUUCAUGGCUUCGCUAUUAUUUGCAGGAGAAAUUGUCAAGUUCUAUAUUUGUUUAGAAAGUUGGAAGAAGUAUUUAAUUUGACAUGGUUUGGACAUCUUGCUGCCAUCUUUUUAAAUUAGUUAUCAAUAAUUUUCCAAAGUUGACAUUUUUGUUUAUCUCAUACUCCUUUUAUAUUAGAAGGUAAUGCAUCGGUAUUGUGUAGACGAAUCAAGCCUUCUUUAAUUGAGGCGGGCCUUUUGCAAAAUAUUUCAAGUUUGUUUUCUUUCCAUUUGUUGCUUCAUAUCUAUUUUUUGUAAUCAACCAAGCAAGGGUUUCUUGUCAUGCCAUAAUGGUGACUUGUAAUAAUCAAUUAUUGAUUGUAAGGAUACUUGGCUUUAUCAAUUAUUAUAUUGAAAUCAAUUCAGUACUAUGGCUAAUGCCAAAAGGACAAUAUUUAGUUUCGAUUGACCAUAAUUCACUAUUCUAGAAACAAGUGCUCACAAAUUUUGCAUCUUUGAAGGAUGUGGGAAAGAUUGGCUUAACUGCAUCACCAACUUACAAGCUCCUUAUAGCAUCCAUAUAUAUAACCUUCAUUGUUAAGGUUUAUAAUUCCUAUCUCAUUUUUUUCAUCUCUUUAUUGUUUAUAAUUUUUGAAUUGAUUUGUUAAAAAAAAUUUAAACCUUAUUUGCAAUACUGAUUUGUUUUAUUCUUAUGUGCAAUAGAAUAAUAAGUUGAAUAAGAAGCAUACACUACUUAAUUGAUAUAACCGUUUAGUCAAUUCUCUUCUCAAUUUUUUUUUGUUUUUCUCCAUUUUUGUUCAAGGUAAUCAAAGUAUCAUUAUUUCUAUUUCUAAAGGUACUUGUACCUAGCUUGAAAAACUUUAAGAUAAGUUAAAGUGGAGAACCAUUCCCAAAACAAGUAAUAAGUACAGUUGGGUUAUUGAUAUCAUAUCCUCGAUUGACAUCUAUGCCAUUGUAUUUACAUCUAAAGGAUUUAUGAUGAAAAUAAAUAUCUUCUUCAUUUCCAUUUUCCUCACUUUUUUUUUCGUAAUUUAUGUGCAUAUCAUAAUCUUUUGCGAGCAUAUAUAUGCAUGUUGUAAUCGCAAUAAUCUAUUGCUAUCAUAAUUCAUAGCCUAAUAUAGUUGCUAGCAUAUAUAUGCAUGUCAUAAUCUAUUGAAUUUUUUAGCAUAAGGUCUUAGAGUAUUCACAUAUCUAUAGGUUCUAUAUAUUUAUACUUUUUAAAACAUCAAAUGAAGUAUAUCAGCCUUAUCCCGAAGGUGAAGUCUCUUUAAAUUGAGCUUCAACAUGUUAGCAGUUACCUAACUUAAUAAUCUAACAAUUUGGUAUUAUAUAUCAUUUUGCAACUCUUCCAUAAAGUAAUUGUGUUUCCUCUAUUCAUAUUUUCUGUCCUUAUUUUUUUUUAAAAAAAUUGAAUUAGUAAUUGUGUGUCAAAUCAUGCUUACAAUCAUUAAUAGGUACUUAUAUGAUAAAUUGAUAAAUUUAUUUUACAAUUUUUUCAACAUAUUUGAAAAACAAAAAAAAUAAAAAAAAUAAAUAAGCAUGUCUUUCUAGAUGUAAUCACUACCAAGCUCAUGUGAAAAGCUAUAGCAAUGAGGGUAUAAGCUUCAGUUUUGUUUUGGAGAUUCAUAUUGAGAGUUGUAGAUUGUGAAUGUAAUUGUGUGCAUAAUGAGGACACUAAUAGUAUAAGCUUUGGUGUCUAUUUUUUUUUUUUACUUGAAAUAUCUAUAGCAGAAUCUGAGGUUCAACUUCAUCACCAAUAACAUGGUCGAGGACAUAACUUCAAGAGACAGCAAACAGUUUCAUAUUAAUCUUUUGGGGUGCAGGAAUUUGACAUUCUACAACGUUGCAAUUAGUGCACCAAAAGACAGCCUUAACACAGAUGGAAUUCACAUUGGACGUUCCUCAGGGAUCGAUAUCACCGAUUCAGCCAUAGAAACCGGAGAUGAUUGUGUCUCAAUUAGUGAUGGCAGUGGGCAAAUUAAUAUCCAAAGAAUAACCUGUGGACUUGGCCAUGGCAUCUGUGUGGGAAGUCUAGGAAAGUACCCCGAUGAAGAAUCUAUGGUUGGCAUUAGUGUCAAGAACUGCACCUUCAUCAACACCCAGAAUGGCGUCAGAGUGAAGACAUGGCCUGCUUCUCUCAUCAAGACACUACCUCUGAAAUGCAUCUUGAAGAUAUUGUCAUGAAUAAUGUUGGCAAUCCCAUAAUCAUAGAUCAAAAGUAUUGCCCCCAUAACCAAUGCAACUUAAAGGUACUUCUAAAGGAAAUGAAAAUUUCCAUUUUUAUUGCUUAUUUUCCCUCUUUUUCCCUUCAUUUUUAUUGGUUUGGAACUUAACUAUCCGUUGUUUUCAGAGUCUAUCACGCAUUAAGCUCAGCAAUGUUAGCUUCAGAAACAUCCAGGGCACUACCUCAACUCAGGUUGCUGUCAAGCUUGUUUGUAGCCAAGGAGUACCAUGCCAAGACGUUGAGCUUGGUGACAACAACGGAAAUGAAGGCCUUGCCAUGUCACAAUGCAAGAACAUUAAGCCAAAUCUACUGGACAAGCAACUGCCAAGGACUUGUGCCUAAGAUGCUUAAUCUUCUUCCAAAGUCUGAACAAAUUGUACUGCUUCUAUUAUAUAGCUACCUCUUCAUGCUCACGCGUCUGCUAUUUUAUUGGUGAAUAAACUACAAUGAACAAACAAUGAUACGAUACUCGGCUAUUAUGGAAGGUAUGUGCAGUUUGAUCCCAUAAGAAAAAACAAAUGUCUAUUUAGUCUUUUGCUGCUAUAGUACAAAUUGAAGCUCCAAAGAAUAAUGUUAAUGUAAAUUAUUUAAUGUUAAUGCAGUUUGGAUGAGAAAAUGCAGUCAAGUGAAUAAAAAUUCCUUUGGAGUGUAUCAUUUGAAAUUUUAUCUUUGGAUUACUACAACCAAGAAAAAACUAUAGAUUGGUAUCUGGUGUGUUGGAAAUGCUUGAUGGUUGGUAAUCGAACUAAUGUACUAAUGACUUCGAGAAAAACUAAGAAUGAUAAAGACAAUAGUAAUAAAUGGCAAGAACUGAGAAAGUAUUGAAGUUGUAAUUGUCUCAAGGAGCGUAUUUUGGGAUUUGAAUUAUAUGUAAAGAAGAAAUGCUCUUGGAAACUGCAACAUGAUGGAUCUUGAAUGGUUUUCUGUCAUAUGUGUUUGUUGUUUGGAGAUGACCGAGUAAUAUUAGUUUUAUCAUGCCCCUUUAAGCUGCCAUGUGGAAGCUGUAGCGUUAGCAGAGAGUUGAUAAUGCUUUUUGGGUAGUUGGAAGCUUGAACACCAACAUAUUAGUGCAAGGACAUGAAGAUAUUAAUUCAUUCAUACGAUUUAUUGUUUGAGAGGAUAGAAAAAAAAAAUAUAAAACUAUUUAAGAUCCUAAAAAUAUCUUAUAUUUCUCCGUUUUUUGUAUUUACACUCUGAUCCAUGGACUUUUACCCCACAAAAUAUCUCAUAUUCUUUUUCAAAUUUCUACCUACAUAUAAACUUCUUAUGUCUAUAUUUAUUAUAUUACUUUUUUCUCCUCAUGACCUAAUUAAAAUAUGUAUAAAGAUAAUCCUAACAACUUUUCUUAUUUUAUAGGCAAACCUAUUUCUAUAAGGAAUUAAUUGUAAAACAUCCUAUAUAAGCUACCUUAACAUAGCUGAAUUAUGUUAUAAAUUUUAUUUUGAUACGAUAAAUAACAAAAAUCCAUUGAUAAAAAAUUUAUCAAAAUCCAAUAACUGUAUAGGAUAAACUACACUUAUUUUGGAUAAAUAAUAAAGUACAUUAUCCAAGUAUUAAAAGAUUGUCUUUGUUGUGUAUAAUUUGGAGAGCCUCAGAUAAUGUGCAAGUAGAUGAGACUUAGAGUGAUAUGUUUUCUCUUUCAAAUCAAUUUUAGAGGGACCAAAUCCAAAAUUUUAGUCUUUUUUUAGAAGUGUUUUAGAAAAUAGUUUGGAAAAACACUUCUUGAUAAUAGCGUUUGAAAAUUAUUCUCUAAUAUUUUAUAGCACAUAAAUUUGUUUGAGAGAAUAAAAUGCUCUUAACUUGUUUCCUAUGUUUUUAAAUAUAUUUUAAAAAUAAUUUUCAUAUGCAUUGCUUUAUUUUUAAUCAUUCUCUAUAUUUGUAUAAUAAUUUUUUAAAACAAUUCUAUAAAGAAGUAAAAAGAAACAAAAAUAACUAAAAAGAUGUUCUUUCGAAACAUUGUAUUUUCUGUUUAAAAGUUUUUUUUUUUUUUUUUUUUCUGUUUUCUAGUUGUCAAACUAUACUUUCUUGUUUUUUUUUUUUUUUUUUUUUUUUUUUAUUUUUUUUUUUUUUUUUAUUCUAGAUAAUAGAAAACUGUUUUCAUAACAUGGCCUCAACUUUUACUAUGAAAAUCGAAAUGGUGCUUAAACUUAAACUUCAAAUUGAUUUUAAUCAAAAUAUGUUUUUUUUUUCUCCUUUUUCCUAUCAAAUCAAAACUCAAAUUUCUUUCUUUUCUAUAAAUACAAAAUUUCAAUUUCUAUCGUUGGACUAAGAACUCCAAAUCAUUUUCAAUUGGCGGUGGAGUCUUUGAUUUAAGGACACAGAAUGCGCAUGAAAAAUCUCAUAGUUGUGUGUGUGCAUGUAUGAUAUAUAUAAAGAAUGUUGGAUGAGGAAAUUGUGGAUAUGGCCAAAUCUGAAUCUCUUAUAUUUUUGCAAUAGCAUGUGAUUUACAUAGAAACUCGAUGGUGGAAGAAGACUAUAAAUAAAGGUCUCCUCUCCUCAUUCUAUUUAUCCUAGAAUUGAAGGAAAAAGAAUGAUCUAACUCUUUGAGUGAAAAAGUGAGGUUAUCUUGAGAAUUAGAGGAUUAUUAUUCUCUUGGGUGUAAUUAGGAUAUGGAUUGUGAGGAGUGAGUGAUUAUAAACACUUGUGGUUAUUUUUCUCCCUAUAAUGAAGAUCUAUAGUAGCUCUGUGGGCGUAGCUUGUUUUGGGUGAACCACGUAAAUUUCAUGUUUUGUUUGUCUACUCUAUUUCGUUAUUAUUUUCACAUUUUUUUUAUUCAUUUCAUUACUCUAGUCUUUUGGGAAGUUUAUUUCCUAACAACUGGUAUCAAAGCGACAUGUCUUGUGGUGUUUUAGGAGCUUAGUGGUAGUUUGAGGAGGUUGGAAUUUAAGAGGACAAUUGUGACCUCUCUAGUUUUUCUUAGGAACUUUUAUUUUUGUCUAAGGAGACUAGGUUUUAAGUGGGAUUGUUGUGAUCCUUCUAGUCUUUCCUGAGAACUUUUUUACUAGUUUAAAGCUUUGGGUGGAAGUUUUUCUAUAAUUUUUUGCAAGUACAGAGGUACUGUAAAAAGUACAAUUUUUGCAGAAGUCCUAAAGAACCAGAUUUGAGUGGGAUUGAUGGCAACAAACGAAGGAAAGAGCAUCAUAAUUUAGAAGUUCAAUGGUGAAGAUUUUAGCUUCUAGAAAAUGCAAAUUGAAGAUUAUCUAUAUUAGAAAGAUGUGCAUCUGCAUUUUUAAUGAAGAGUGGGCUCUACUCGAUAGGCAGGCCCUUGGAGUUAUCUGGUUGACGUUAUCUCAUAAUGUCGCUUUCAACAUAGCAAAGAAGAAGACUGUGAUGGGUCUUAUGGCGACUCUCUAUGACAUGUAUGAGAAGCCAUUCACUUCAAAUAAAGUGCACUUGAUGAGGUUGUUAUUCAAUUUGUGAAUGAUAGAAAGCGCGUCUAUAGCAACUCACAUCAAUGAAUUUAGUACAAUCACAACACAACUAAGUUUGGUGGAAAUCGAGUUUGACGAUGAAGUUCGAGCUUUAAUCUUUGUAUCCUCUCUACCGAAAAGUUGGAAUGCGAUAGUGACAACAAUGAGCAAUUCUUUUGCAAAGAAGAAGAUGGUAUUUAAGGAUAUUCAAGAUCUAAUUCUAAGCAAAGAAAUACACCAAAGAGAACUAAGAGAAACAUCAAGUUCUACCUUAAACAUUGAAUCUAGAGGUAGACAUAAUGACAGAAACUCAAAUCAAAGUAGAUUAAAAUCAAGACAGAGCAAGUCUAGAUCUAGGAAGGAAGAGAAUAGUUGUUGGAACUGCGGUAAGACUUAUCACUAGAAGAGAGAUUAUAGAGCACCGAAAAAGAACAAUGGCAGUGAAAAGAAUCCACGAACAUGGCCGAAGAUAUUGGCAAUGCUCUAAUCCUAACUGUCAAUAGUCUAGUUGAAUCCUAGAUUUUGGAUUCUGGGGCAUUGUAUCACUGCACCUCUUAUUACGAAAUCAUGGAGAACUACAUCAGUGGUGAUUUCAGGAAGGUUGACCUGGAUGAUGUUGAGACCUUGAAGAUUACGAGAAAAAAAGAUAUUCAAGUGAGGCUACCAAAUAUGUGGAAAUUUAAAGAUGUGAUAUGUAUUCCUAGUUUUAAAAAUAAAAAUAAAAAAUCUCUGUGGAUUAACUUGAUAAGAAGCGGAUGAAAGAUCACCAAGGGAGCUAUGGUCAUAGCUCAUGGAAAGAAGAACGGUCCUCUCUAUGUUACUUCUAGAAUGGAGAAUAUUGUUGAAGUUGUAAAAUCAAAUGAGAAGUAGAAAAUUUGGCACGAGAGACUCAGUCAUAUGAGCGAGAAAUGGAUGAAGGUUCUUGUUUCAAAGACAAAGCUGUCAAAUCUAAAAUCAAUGUGAAGAUUGUAUAUUCAAUAAGCAGAAAUUGGUUAAUUUCUCAAAGAUUGGCAAGCCAUCCAAAGUAGAGAAGUUAGAGCCGAUUCACAUAGACACGUAGGGGUCAUCACCAGUUUCAUCUAUUGGAGGCUCAUUGUACUACAUCACCUUCAUUGAUGACUCUACUAGGAAAGUAUGGGUUUAUUUUCUAAAAAAGAAGUUAGAAGUUUGUGAUGUUUUCAGGAAAUGGAAAGCCAUGGGAGAUGCGAAGAUCUACUAGGGGCCUAUAAGUAGAGGUCUCAUCUCCUCAUUUUAUUUGCCUCAUAAUUGAAAGAAAAAGAGUGGUCUAAUUCUUUGAGUGAAAAUUGAGGUUCUCUUAAGAAUUAGAGAAUUAUUAUUCUCUCGGGUGUAAUUCGGAUUUGGGAUGUGAGGAUUCAAUGCUCGUAUACACUUGUGGUUAUUUUUCUCCCUAUGUUGAAGAUCUACAACAAUUUUGUGGACGUAGCUGGUUUUGGGUGAACCAUGUAAAUUUCGUGUGUUGUUUUGUUUGCUCUAUUUUAUUAUUAUUUCCACAUUUUUUUAUUUGCUUCAUUAAUUUGGUCUAUUGGGAGGUUUACUUCCUAAUAUUUUUCAAGUCAAAUUCUUAUCUAAAAUUGAAAUAAGAAUUGGUUUCAUCCUCAAUUGAAAUCGAUUCUUGGAACACUUCACCAUUCCCUUUCCACAUUUCCCACCAUCCAACCCGGCCAAUAAAUACAAUUACUUGGCUCCAUUGCAUAUUUUUGCUUAUCUUUCAUUCACAUUCAAAAAUGGUUAGAAAGGAACCUUGAUUUUAGGAAGUUCCCAAUUAUUAGGAUUUGAUUUAGUUUUCUAAUAGUCAAUUAGAAUAUUUACAAAUUUGAGUGGUUGAUUUAAUUAUAUGUUUAUACAUAAUUCCUACAAGUUAUUUUUUUUUUAAUACUUUUUGUUAUUAGGAAUCUCUAUUUUUUAGGUAAAGGUGUCCAUAAAAAAAAAAAAAAAAGGAGUUAGUGCGAUAGUUGAACAAGAGUGGUGGAAAAUAAUGUCAUUUUCUUGAUUUUUCUCAAUUACUUACCUUCUUACCUUGACUUUCCAUCAUGACUUAUUUCUCUCUAUGGAUUUGUUUAUGUGUUAUCAACUCUAUUACUUGAAUAAAUUGGGUUGUAAGAAAAAGAUGACAAGUAGGACAGAUUUGUUACAAGUUCUUUAGCUCAAUAAAAAAACUUACAAUAAUUGGAGUAUGAAGGUAAAGACUUUACUUGAUUCACAAGAUGUAUGCAAAGGUUGAAGAGGAAGGCUAUAAACAAGGAGUCAUGACAUAAAACCACUAUUUUAAAAGCAAAGUAAUUUUUUGAAAGGUAUAAGGAAAAAAGAAAAAAAAAAAGGAAGAAGAAAGCUCUUACCCUUAUCUAUCAAGCAAUGAAUAAAGGCAUAUUUGGAAAUUUUCCAAAUGCAACCAUGCACUACCAAGAAAGCAUGGAAGAUAUUAGAAAAUGCAUAUAAAGAAAUUGACUAAUUAAGAAAAGUUUGCCUUUGUACUGGGUAUUGUGUAGAGAAAUCAAGUCUUCUUUAAUUGAGGUGAGUCUUUUGCAAAAUAUUUCGAGUUUGCUCUCUUUCCAUUUGUUGAUUCAUGUUUUUUUUUUUUUUGGUAAUCAACUAGGCAAGAAUUUCUUACUUGUCAUGCCACAAUGGUGAACAUGCUUGCAUGAAUAGUAUUCUCUCUACUCUUUCUUUUUUAUUCUUUCUUUAUUAUAUUGAUGGAUAUACUUAGAAGUGAAUAGUUAAUUGGGUUUUUUAUUAAAAGAAAUCAAAUAUUGGUAAUGCUAUUUAGUAUCAUGCUUGUAAUAAUCAAUUAUUGAUUGUAAAGAUACUUAGCUUAAACAAUUAUUAUAUUGAAUUCAAUUUAGUACUAUGGCUAAUACCAAAAGAAUAAUAUUUAGUCUUGGUUAACCAUUAUUCACUAUUCUAGAGACAAAUGCUCACAAGUUUUGCAUCUUUGAAGGAUACGGGAAAAGUUGACUCAACUGCAUCACCAACUUACAAGCUCAAGCUUAUAUACAACCUUCAUUUAUCAGGUUUAUAAUUCGUAUCUUUUUUUUUUCAUCCCUUUAUUGUUUAUAAUUUUUGAAUUGAUUUAUUAAAAGGAAUUUCAACUUUAUUUGCAAUAAUGAUUUUUUUAUUCUCAUGUGCAAUAGAAUAAUAAGUUGUAUAAGAAGCAUAUACUACUUAAUUGGUAUAACCCUUUAGUCAAUUCUCUUCUCAAAUCCUUUUUAUUUUUCUCCAUUUUUGUUCAAGGUAAUCAAAGCAUCAUUCUUUCUAUUUCUAAAGGUACUUGAACCCAAUUUGAAAAACUUUAAGACAUGUUAAAGUGGAGGACCACUCGCAAAAUAAGUAACAUUAGUUGGGUUACUAAUAUCAUAUCCUCGAUUGACAUCUAUGCCAUUGCAUUUUCUUCUAAAGGAUUUAUAAUGAAAAAAAAUAUCUUCUUCGUUUCCAUUUUCCUCCCUUCUUUUGACCAUAAAUUUGUGCACAUUGAAAACAUUCAUAGCCCAAUAUUUUUGCUAGCAUAUAUAUGCAUGUCACAAUCAAUUGAAUUUUUUAGCAUAAGUCUUAUAGUAUUCACAUAUGUGUAGGUUCUAUAUAUUUAUCAUGUUUACAAUAUCAAAUGAAGUAUAUGAACCUUAUCUCAAAGGUGAAGUCUCUUUACAAGGAGCUUCAACAUGUUAGUAGUUACCUAACUUAAUAAUCUAACAAUUCGUCACUAUAUAUUAUUUUGCAACUCUUUCAUAAAGUAAUUGUGUUACCUCUAUUCACAUUUUCUAUCUUUAUUUUAAAAAAAUUGAAUUGGUAAUUGUGUGUCAAAUCAUGCUUACAAUCAUUAAUAGGUACUUACAUGCUAAAUUGAUAAAGUUAUUUUACAAUUGUUUCAACAUAUUCAGAAAACAAAAACAAAAGAAAAGAUUAAUAAGUAUAUCUUUCUAGAUGUAAUCACUACCAUGCCAAUGUAAAAAAAUAUAACAAUGAGGAUUUCAAAGAUUAAAUUAAGUCUUGGAGACUCAUAUUGACAAGUUGUAAAUGGUGGGUGAAGUCUCUUUAAAAUGAGCUUCAAUAUGUUAGCGAUUACCAAACUUAAUAAUCUAACAACUUGACACUAUAUAUCAUUUUACAACUAUUUCAUAAAGUAAUUGUAUUAUCUCUAUUCACAUUUUCUAUCUUUUUUUUUUUUUAAAAAAAUUGAGUUGAAAAUUGUGUGUCAAAUCAUGUUUGCAAUCAUUAACGGGUACUUAUUUGCUAAAUUGAUAAAGUUAUUUUACAAUUGGUUCAGCAUGUUUUGAAAACAAAAACAAAAGAAAAUUAAGAAGUAUAUUUUCUAGAUAUUAUCACUACCAAGCCAAUGUGAAAAGUUAUAAUAAUGAGGAUUGCAAAGCACCAGUUAUGUUUUGGAGAUUCAUAUUGAAUGUUGUAGAUUGUGGAUGUAUGGUAUAGGAGUUAACUUGAGUUUAUCAUUCUUUCUAUUUUCGAUACCUUAAUUUUAUAUGCAUUGUCCAUCAUAUAUAUUUGUUAUCAUCUAUUCUUUACAACCAAUUUUUUAAUGACUUCUACAAUUUGUGUAUAAUGUAUAUAUUGCUUUUAUUUGUACCAAAGCAUCAUCAAGCUACAAAAGCAUCACAAGUUUUUCUAUUGGGUCAAGUAUUUUAGUAGUUUUUGUACUUAUACUUGAAACUUUUUUAUGACACUAAUGAGGACAUUUACCUUGAUUAAUUUAACAUUUAUAUUGCAAGUAUCUAAAUAAGAGUUCUAUAGAUUUAUUUAGACAUUUAUGGGCAUAUUUAUCCUCUUUCUGACAUAUUAUAAUGAUAUUUUUAACAUUGAUAUAAAUUAUUUGUUUGAAGGUUUCAACUAUUGAAAAAUAUUAUUCAAGCCCAAUGUUAAUCUUUUUCUAUAGUGGAUUUCAAAUAAUAAAUUCUUAUUUGAUUAUUUGUAGCGAAAAUAAACAACUUUUAUGUUUGAUGCGGAAAAAUAUAGAGUAGGUCACUUUCACAAUAUAUGGAUGCUACUCCUAUACUUUUAAAGAUGGUUACAAUCGCCUUUAUGAUGGAUAAUGAUUUUCUAGUUCUUUUAGUACUAUUAUAUUAUGUCCAAAUUUUAAUUUUGAUAUGGUCCAUAAUCUCAUCGUAUGUACUAUUGAUAGAUUACAAUGCAACAAACGCAAUGUGAAUCUCAAAGAUGAUUAUUACGUUGAAAAGUAAGUUCCCCAUGUUUUAUUUAAAUUUUUUUUAUUCUCUAAGGAUUGUUUUAUUCUCUUUAUUUUUAAAGGCUCAAAUCAUCUUAAGUUUAUUUUUUCUCUUAUUUCAAUAGUUGUAGCCCAUAUGUAGGAGAAAUUUCUCUAAAUGAAGGGUAAAGAAGAACAAGUGCAUUUAACUUGUUACACUUGCAAACUAGAAGACAACCUCAUAUUUCAGAACCUGCACUACAUGAUUUCAAUAAAAAUUAAGAUUGUUGAUUGAGAAAGGAAUGGUGAAUUCAAAAUUCUCUAUAAUUUCCAUUGUUGGUGCUCUUGAAGAUUUUGGUAAAAGACUGAACAAUUGAGUUUAGCAUGUCCUUGAAAUGUAUUUGUUUUAUGAAUCAAUGCAACUUGGUUAAAGUCUCUAUAUAAGUCAUAUACAACAUAUUUUCCCUUUAAUAUCAGCUCAUCAAUUUUUGUUUCCAAGCUUUUUGUCAAUUAUAUUUUUUAAUCCUUUCUAUUGUUUUUUGGUCUUCCAAUGACUUUGUUUCUAUUUUCAAUACUUGAAUCCAAUGUAAGAUGUUUGCAUUUUAAUUUUAUAAUUUUCUUUAUUAUUUUGCUUUUUGUUUUUUUAUGGUGUUUCCUUUGUAAUCACUUACUAGAUUCAUACUUCUAAGAAAACAUGUUGAUGAUGAUGAAAACAUGUUUCUAUAGAAAUAUAUAUAUUAUGAAGACUUCUUAUGCUUCUAUUAACCUAAAAUGAUGAUAUUGAUAAGAAGUGUAUUUAUUAUCAUAUUGCAUUACAAGUUUACUGGUGGAUCACUCUUAACAAGUACAUCUUAGCUAAAAGUUAAAAAAAUGUUUCUCUUUGCACAUACCUUUACUAUUGUUUCAAUUGCUAUCUUAAUAUGUUAUGGAAAAACUACUACAAAUAACAAUAAUAGGGAGAAAAAAACAAAAAAACAAAAAUAGAAAACUUAUAAAGUAGGACGAUUUAUGUGGUUUGGCCUAAAACCUACAUUUAUCCAUGAAAAUGAAGAAGAAUUUCCACUAUUAUUAAAGGAUAUUGCAUCCUAAAGCUCUCAAAUCCCAUAAUUACACUAAAAAAGGACUUUUUUUUUAAUCAAAAUCUCUUCCUUUAUUUUCUUGAUUAUAUAAGAACAUUCCAUAGAGAAUUAAUUAUGUAAUUAUCAAAGAUAACUAUUCCUAAAAAAAAAAUCUUAUAAUAUGAUAUUUUCUUUAUAAUAUAAAAAAAAAUCUUUUAUAUAAAUAUAUCAUAAUAGGAAAAUAUUAAAGACUUAUAAAUUGACUUGAAAAACAAUUUGAAAUAUUUUUCAACAAUCUCCACAUUAGCUCAAAUUCCCAAGAUUCAAAUAAACUCAAAAGUCUUCCAUGUUACUUUGCUCUUAUACACCCUUAAGGGGACUUCAAGUAAUGUCAAUACCAAUUAAGUCUAAGCAAUGCAUGAACUUAAUCAUAAAGAUAAGUUUAGUCAUCAUAUAUAUAAAAUUAUCAACUAUAGGGAUCUUUUUCAUUACAUUAGAACCUUGUUCAAUCAUAUCUCUAAUAAAAUGCAUUCUAACAUUAAUAUGUUUGGUCCUCUCAUGUAACAUAUAAUUUUUAGUCAAAAGUAUGACACUUUGGUUACCAUGAUAACAAUAAUCAAUGAUUGGAACCAAAUAAUUACAUUUUGUGUGCCUAAACUUAGACAUGCGUAUUUAAUAUCCAAUUCUAGUUUCAUCCCUUUACUCAAUUUUAUUCCUAAGUCCUUAAUUUUGUGUUUAAAAAUGCAUGUACUGGUGGUUAAUUUUUCACUCCAUAGUUGUCAUAUCAUCCAAGUAAUAGUUGCUACAUUAUUCAACAACGGGUUGCCUAUAGACCCACAUUUUUCAUAUGCAUCCCCACUCAAUGGCGUGGUUGACUUUUUAAGUGAAAAACUAUGUUUUAUAAAAACUUGGAGUUGCCACUUAUUUUUAUUUUUUUAAGGGAAAAUAAAAUAAGAAACUAAAUCUUAAAAAAAAACGACUCCUUAAACUUUUGGAAAAACUUGUCUUUUAAAAAUCCAAGUCUAGAUCCAGGGAUUAGGUUACUUAUUGGGAUGGUACCUUAAAAACGGAGCAUCCCUCUAAACCUUCAAAAGGUCUCUAUUGGCUAGGUUGAGGGAAGUGUGACAAUUAAUUGAUAGAAUUAGGGUACAAGAAAGACUAAAGUGUUUAGCUAAAUUCUAACAGCAUAUUAAGUAUGCAGAGCAAUCAUUUCAAGUCAUAAGUAUAAAAAGAGAGAUAGGGUGCGUACCUAGACUAUAACUCAAACACUAUCAUAAGACAUCAAAGUUAGUUCAGAUAUCAUAUCACUCAACACACAUUAUCAUUCACAUCAAAGAAUCAAAUAACAAUCAAAGCAACCAAUAACAACAUCAAACAUAGAGAUGUUCAUACAUGAAACAUACACAUAUGUUGAAUUAAGAGACAAAGGGUGAUGGGUGUAUUUGAAUUGCAUAAAUAAUUUACAAUGCACUUCGAUAAGAUAACAAAGGUUAGAAUAAAUUAUAAUGGAAAAUAAAGAGAUCCUAAAUCCUAGCAUGCAUGGUAUUUACAUGGCAUAAGGACAGAACAUAGGCUCACAAAGACAUCAAUAUUCCUACAAGGCAUGCAUACAACUUCUAGAUGUAUACAUAAGAUAUAAGAAACAAUGAUUAAUUAUAACAAAACAUAUAACCAACUAAUCAAAAUAUAGGCAUCACAAGUAUAAUUCUAAAAUAUUAUGUAAGCAUCACUUGACUAGAUAAUAAAUAAAAGCCAACAUCCAUAUCCAUUAAUCAUGAAUUAAACAAUAUGAGCAACUAGUAUGCAAAAAUCCAACAUAUGAAUAUAACCACACCAAAGCACAGAGGAUAUCUCCUAUACGUUUAGAACAAAUAAAAAAUUCCAAACACUCGUUCAAAUAUCAAUUUUAAUUCAAAAAGACCAAAAGUUCCAGAAGGUCCAAAAUUGAGUAGAACACUGAAUUUUUAAAAAAAUAUCUAGGCCUUCUAAAUUCAUACAAAAAAUAGAAAAUGUCAUUCAAGGUGCCUAAAUUAUAUAAAAAAUAAAUCCAAGACAAGGAAGCACUCAAAAGAAUUUUAAAACACUCCAAUUGAUUAGUUGUCCAAAAUUAGUCAUGUAUAGUAAGUGCAACUUUGAAAAAUCAUAUCUCUCUCUAAAAAAAAUAUAUUUCAAUAUUUUAUAUGUCAAAAUUCAACUUCAUGAAAUCAAUAAUUUUGGAAAAAUAUUUAUCUAAAUUAAAAAGGUAAAAAGGUAAUUUAAUUUUACAAAAUUCUAUCAGAUGUACCAAAACAAAACAUGCUGAAAGAAUAUAUCAUAACUCAACUUUGAGAAAGACUUGUUGACUCAACUAACGUUCCAAAAUCAACUUCAAGAAGUGAACAACAUCAUAAAAGUUUUGGAAAAUUUUUUAAAACACUCCAAAAUUAUCAAAACAUUUUUUUUUUCCUAAAGGGUUAGUAGCUGAGUUGAAAAAUGAGUUUUGAUAACCUUUUUCAUGUAGGUGUUCCAUCAAGUCCCCAUUCAAUAUUCAUAGGUUUAACCCAUGCAUUCCCAACCUCAAAUGAAAAGAUUCACCAAUGCCAAAAAUACUCCCAUUAGUUUGGAAGCACGAGUUCAAACUUAUGUGAAUAAAAAACAAAGUUUUGGAAGACCAAGAAAUAGAUAAUGCAACUUAGAUGAAAUGAGUUGCAUGUUUUUUAACGGAGUAAGAUCUUUGCCUUAAACCUAAAACACAUUUUUUUUCAAAGAUUUUAGAUAGUUUAAAUUCUUUUGAAAAUGAUUAUAGAAGAAGCACAAGGAUCCAACUGGUUUAAGUAAUCCCCGAACAAUCGGAAAAAAAAAAAAUGGACUUUUAGUUUUCUAACUUAAAAGGGAUUUAAAAACAUAAGAGAUAUUAACUUGGAUCCCCUUUAUAGUUGAAGGAGGCACGUGCAUGAUGGAGAAAAUCCAUUUUUGGUAAAAAGAAAUUUUGAAUUAACUCAAAAUAACAACUAAGAAAGUUUUUUUUCUAACAAAAAAGUUUCAAACUCAAGAAUUCUUCAAAGAGUAAACAAAAUAGGUGUCAGGUUAAAGAGAACCUACAAUUUAACUAGAUAUAACAUCUAAUGAAUUUUAAAACAACCAUCCACAUGAAAAUUUAACCAAACACAUAUCUAUAAUUUUUUUUGAAAAACAAUCAAUAUGGAAAAUUAAGCAAACAUAAUUCAAUACAGUUUUUUUAAAAAAAAAAUCUAAAUAACACAUGAACUUCAAUAAUUAAAAUAUCUAAUGGAUUAUUAUUAUUUUUAAAAAAAAAAACCAACAUAGAAAAUUUAACCAAGCACAUAUUUGGAAUUUUUUAAAAAGAAUAAUCAUCACUAAAAAAUUAACCAAACAUAAUUUAAUAAAUUUUUAAAUAUAAAUAACACAAGAACCUAAACAAUUAUAAUAUAUAAUGGAUUUUUAAAAAUACAACCGAUAUGGAAAUUUUAAUCGAGCACACAUUUAGAAUUUUUUAAAAGAAUAAUCAACAUGAAAAAUUAACCAAACAUAAUUCAAUAAAUUUUUAAAUCUAAAUAGCAUAAGAACUUAAUCAAUUAUAAUAUCUAAUGGAGUUUUAAAAAUAUAAUCAAUAUGGAAAAUUGAACCAUACACAUUGAAAAUUUUUUACAAGAAUAAUCAACAUGAAAAAUUAAACAAACACAAUUCAGUAAAAUUUUUAAAUCUAAACAACACAAAAAUCUAAAUAAUUAUAAUGUCUAAUCGAUUUUUAAAAAUACAACCAAGAUGGAAAUUUUAACCAAGCACAUAUUUAGAAUUUUUUAAAUAAUCAACAUGAAAAAUUAACCAAACAUAAUUCAAUAUAAUUUUUAAAUCCAAAAUAACACAUGAACCUAAACAAUUAUAAUAUCUCAUGGGUUUUUAAAAAUACAAUCAACAUGGAAAAUUUAACCAAGCACAUAUUUAGAAUUUUUUUCUAAAAAAAUAAUCAACAUGAAAAAAUUAACCAAACAUAAUUCAGUAAAAUUUUUAAAUUUAAAUAACACAAGAAUCUAAACAAUUAUAAUAUCUAAUGGAUUUUUAAAAAUACAAUCAACAUGGAAAAGUUAACCAAUCACAUAUUUAGAAUUUUAAAACUUUUUUUUUUAAAAGAAUAAUCAAUACGAAAAAUUAAACAUAUAUAACUCAAUAAAAUUUUUAAAUCUAUUAACUAACAAGAAAAAAAUUAUCUAAUCUAACAAUCCAAUGAAUUUAACAUUUAAAAAAAAAAACUAAAAUGAGAUUAUCAACUUCAAGUACCAAUGAUUCAAAAAAAUAAACAAUCAUCAAGAAGAGAUUAAACAAAUAUCUAAGAUUUAAACAAAAAAAUAAUAAAUAAAUAAAUAAACAACUUUUGAUCAUCAACACCAAGAACCAAUGAUCCACAAAAAUAAACAACCAUCAAGAUGAGAUUAAACUAACAUCUAAGAUUUAAACAAAUAAUAAUAAUAAUAAUAAUAAUAAUAAUAAUAUAUUGCUGAAUUCUGAACCGUGAUUGACUUGUUAAUGGGAUUUUAAGGAUUCGUAUGUGGCGGAGGAGUUUUGCACUUGUUUAUCACAGAAUUGCGAGGUUUUCUGUUUAUUAUCUUUGAGCAAAUCGGGGGUUAGAUUUGAGCAGAAAACAGAGGAGGGUGAUUGAGCGGGAGGCUAGUGAUGAGCAGUUCAUCCAACUUCGCAUUUUCCGUGUGAUAGUUUCAGUUCACAGAACAAUCAAGGAUUGAAGUUCUAAUGAAGCCUCUGUCACAACUCUCAGAACCCAACUUCCUUCAUCUUCGACUCUUUGAUCAGAGCUUUCACAUCUAUAGCAGAAUUCUUCAUUCCGCUGGCUAUCUGGCCUCUGAUAAUUACACUUUCAUGUUCUUGGUUCGCACCUCUGCUCAGCUAUUGGCGCAUGUGACUGGUUCGUCUACACAUGGUGCCGUUGUGAAAUAUGGAUUUGAGCAUGAGCCACAUGUUCAAAGUGGCUUGAUUUACAUGUACGCAGGAUUGGGUGGUUUGGUUGCUUGCCAUUGGAUGUCUUCAUCAAUUUGUGAGCCAGAUUUGGUGUGUCAGACUGCAAUGGUCAGUGCAUGUGCCAAGGUGGGAGAUUUUUCUUUUAAGCCGUUUGAUAAAAUGUCCCACAAGGACCCUAUUGUAUAGAAUACAAUGAUUUCGUGAUGCGCAAUGCAGGCAAUCAAAAAAGGGAAUCGAAUUUAUUCAACUUAAUGCAAAGGUCGGGUGUUAUUCUAGGAGGAUGAGUUUCUGAGAUAUUCAUUCAACUCAGAGGCUUCACGUUCUAUAACAAAAGGGAUCGGGUGAUUUAUUUGAGUCUUCGAGGAAUUCUAUCACUGAGUGUGAAAAGCCGCCCUCAACGCAUGCUGGCUCUCCUGUGUGCAGUGGUUCUGGGAGCAUGAAUGAUUAGAUAUCGUAUGUUUCAGGACGUGAAACUUGCUGCAAGGAGAGGAGUGGGGCUUCUCGAGAUGCUCUGUCAUACAACAGAGUUGGUAGUGAAGAAAUCUAAUAUGAAGUAACUGAUUGUGGCACUACAUUUAGUUUUGCUGCAGGAAACUCUUUUGGUGCAACACCUGCAAGCUGAAGUUUAAGGUGUCCUUCUUCCAUUUGCUUCAACAGAUGAAGAUUCUGAUAUAGAAAUACAUGGAUCUAGUUCUGUAAGUAUUGAUGAGAAUGAUGUGGUUGAGGUCAUGUUGCCCAGAACUUCAGGUGUCAGUCAUUGCUUAUCUACUGUAAAUUCUAGUUCUGUAAAUGGCAUUUUGACAGGGACAAUGUCAUUUUCAUUGAAGCUGCCACCAAUUGUUUUCCGGAUAAAUUUGCAGACAAUAAAAGCAUUGUUGGAUCUUUCUACAAGAAAAUUCGACUCGCUCCCAACUCCAAUUCAUAUCCUCUUGAAAGAAUGAAGUUCUCUAUGGGCACCUCAAAAGCAUCCUUCAAGACUGAGAAAUCCAGGAGUCAGUUACAAAACGCAAGACAUGUCAUGCUCAGAAAGUGCUACUGUCAUUUAUAUUUUAUUGCGUCAACGCGGGAACGAAUGGGCAAACUUCGCUUGAGGUGAGAUGCUGAGAACCAAGGUCCUCGAUCAUUCAAAGCCAAAAUGAAAUCACAUCAAAUGCCUGAACAGAUUGUUUUCUGGAAGUGGAUUACCCUGAAGAUGCUGAGCAUAGUCACGUAGACCUCAGUAUAUCAUUGAUCAAUCAAAGGUGAUUCAGAACCUGUAAAAAUGUUUGAGAGAACUAUUAAUUUGAUAAACAAUCAGAUAAUUAACUAUCGAUAUGAUCCGUCUGAAAAGUGGUUGGUUUUGAUUGGAAUUGCUCCGGGUUCACCUGAGAGACCACAGCUUGUCAAAGGGAAUAUGCAGCUUUUCUCUGUUGAACAGCAUCGAAGUCAAGCUCUUGAAACUCAGGCUGUAUCAUUCGCCACAUUUAAAGUUCCAGGGAAUGAUCAAUCCUAUGCACUUAUUGGUUUUGCCACAAUAUCCUUUAAUGCCGGACAGAUUGUCUCAAAGCUACAUGUCAUUGAACUUGGAUCCAACUCAGGGGAACCAGGAUUUAUAGGGAAACAGGCUGAUCUUUUCUUUCCCCCAGAUUUUACUGAUGAUUUUCUAGCUGCAAUGCAGAUAUCGCACAAAUAUGACUUUAUACAUGUGAUUACCAAGCUUGGAUUGUUGUUUGUUUAUGACCUGGAGACGUCUUCUACAGUAUACAGAAAUAGGAUUAGUCCAGGUCUAAUAUUUUCUUACUGCUGAAGUUACAUCUAUUGGAGGUUUUUAUACCAUCAAUAGGCGAGGGCAGGUGCCAAUUGCUACUGUAAAUGAGGCAGCAAUCAUACUUUUCGUCAGCGGCCAAUUGAACAACUUGGAGUUAGCAGUCAAUCUCACAAAAAUGGGGAGUUUCUCUGGUACAGAGAACUUGGUUGUCCAGCAUUUCCAAAAAUUGUUUGCUCAGACAAAAUAUAAGGAGACUUAAGGAAUCCCAUGGUGGAACCAUGUCAACAUAGACUAGAACUGAUGGAAAUUUAUCUUCCUCACUGUCAGAUAUCACUGCUCUUGAGGAGUCUCUUACUGCUGCUGGUGGGAAGUUCAUCUUUGUGCAAAAGCUUCGUGACUUUGUUUCUGUUACAUGUGACGUUUUGCAGCAUAAGGCUUUUCUUUUUAUUGAGGGACUUGAAGAGCAAAUGCAGAAGCUUCAUGAAGAGCGUGCAUCAGCUGUCUUAGAAAGGAGAGCUGCUGAUAAUGAUGAGAUGAUGGGAAACACAAGCAUCCAUUGAUGAUGCAAUGUCGGUUUUCACUAAAAGUGGUUCUAAAAAGGCAAUGGUUGCUGCUGCUGUUCUUCUAAGAGAACUGAACUGAGUAGCACACCAGCAUACUGUUACGGCUCAUGAGCAUCAGAAGAAUCAUAGCAGGGGAGCCAAAUAACCGGGUGGAGACUACCAGAAAUCAUGCUUAAGAUGACAUUGCUCAAUCCUAUGCCAGCGGAGCUGUUUCUAAUGUCCAAAACCAUUGUGUUAGAUGACACUAGUCCAGCCACUCUAAAGAUCAGAAAGCCUAUCGAGGGAGUUGCUUCAUCAGGAAAGGGGUAGAGGAGAUUUAAUUUCUAUUGAUGUUCUUAGUAUCAGGAACUCUUCAUCCUUGAGCGCCAAAAGUUGUAAGUCUAAAAUUUGGAAAGCCAGCUAUUUCUUCUGAACUGCAUCUGUCUCCUAGUACCAUAGGUCAGCUGACCUCAAACGUGAAAUCUAGAAAGGUUGACGCUGCUUGCACAGUGGUAGCUAGCUUCUCCUUUAUGCUGAACAAAUUUUAUUAGGAUUCACGAUCAGUUGAAGCAUCCACAAUUUUUGAUGCUGAAAUGGAAGAAACAUUUAAGGUCAUUAAACUAAGAAGUCUGAUGGCUGGUUCCUCUGCCCAUGCUGUUCCAACUUCAAUUGGUUCCAGUUUGCCACCAAGCUCAUCAAUAGACUCAUUGCCUUCAGAAAAGUCAACACCGAAUCCCCAUGCUGAGGAUUUCAAGUUCAAUCCCAAUAUAAAGGGGUUCAUUCCGCCUCAAGUGCCUCCUGUCAUAUUCAAUCCACAAACUACAUCAAUAUCCUUUUGACAUCCAGAAACCAUUUGGAAAGAUUCUCAAUGAAGAGACAUAUACCCCAAAAAUGAUCCCAAUCAAGGCACUUUCAAGCUUGGUCAAGCUUUAUGGAAGAGUUGCAGCAGAUUGAGAGGCUCAAAGCAUAGUCGUCUUAAAGCAGAGUAGUCUACUGGACACCUUCUUGAUAACCAACAGACUGCAAAGUUCCCAAUAGAAGUUAGUUCUUAAAGUAGCAUUUAUUGGGAUUAAUGUUCCUCUUGAGACCAUACAGGUGAAAGAUAUCAUCUUCAGUUUUACAAGGUGGAAUAAUGCUCAGUGGGCAUAAGAAAUGAAUGAUUCCAGUGAUGAAACCAUGAUCUUCAAUAGUGGUUCUGCUCCACCAGCCUAAAGUGAAUUUCGCCAAGCCCAGAUGGAGAUCCACUUGGUAUAAUAACUGGUUUCAGGCAGAUAGUAGUGACGGCUCAUGAUUGGGAUGAUAUAUGUGCCUUCUUCUCUUGGAUUUUGGGGUUCUGGAAAGCCAAGAAAACUGCAACUGUGGAAGACCGUAUCCUUGAAAGAUCAUUCUGGUGUUAUUGGUGAGAGCAUUAGCUUUUCAGACGAGGUAAUUGGUGUACUACAGCACUUGCUCGCUGUGCACAUAACAGAUGACAUUGAGAACCUGUGCUGGGAUUUCUUGAGUAAUAGAAUGCGGUUGUUUCUGGUACUCUCCUUGCUUCAAACUGGAAUUGGGGAAUAUUGCCUAAAAACAACAAUGUCCCUGGAAUAGGUCCAAUCUCUCCUGACUAUGCAUCCAGUGAUAAUGAAUAUCUUACUUUUGCAGAAGGCCUAAUUUCCAGUUUACUAGAAGCUGGGCAAGUUGCUAAAAUCUCAAGGAUAUUGUCAUCUUUCUUGAACAUAUAUUUACAAGCUUACCAGAAAGCAUUUCUCUCUACAAUUAACAAUGGCCAGCACCAUGGUGAUAGGUUUUCACCUUUAUUGCUUCUCAAACAUACUGGUGUUGACAAAGGCAUACAGGAUGGGUUUCUUGAGAAGAGUGGAAUAAAUCCUUGUCAUCUGGAGUCUGUUUAUGGUCUCUUAUCAAAGUUAGAUCAAAUGGUUAAGAAAAGAGCUUCUGGAUUCCUAUCGAAGGUCUUUUGGGAAUGUAUAUUGCAUGGUUUCCCCUCUCAUCUUCAAGCUCCCAGUGGAACUCUUCUUUCAUGCAUUCUAAGUAUAAGAGGGAUCAUUUGCAUUCUAGAUGAGCUACUGAAAAUCAAGUGAGCGCUUCUUUGGCUACAUAUUUCCCCUUGAUUGGCGAAAAUCAUCUACUGAGGCUACGGUUUCUCUCAAAGAAAAUGAGCUUGCUGGGAAUUUACUUAGGGAAGUUAUUCUUAAAAACAUCAGCUAGAUCCAGAAGUUUUAAAUCUUCUCAUACCAAGGCGAUCUGCAAUGGCAGUAGUCGUACAUCAUCUUCUGAUCAAAUUGGUAAUGAAAUUUGGGAGAAUGACGUUAAUAAAGUUGAGGACCUUGAAGCAGUUCAGAUAUUGCAGGACAUUUUUAGCAAAUAGCAGGGAACUACAGGCAAAAGUGUUAAAUAGGAUGCUUAAGAUUUUCUCAGGUCAUCUUAAAAGCUAUAAAUUGUGUCAACAGCUAAAGACUAGGUCACUCCCUAUCUUAAAUAUGGAUGAUUUUCUUCCAUCAUCGCAAGAGAUCAUCUUGGAAAAUCUUGGAUAUGCUCCGAUUAUUGUGAAAAGCAUUUCUGAGCAAGAAUCGCCUUCACUUUGCUGUUUGUUGCUGUAGCUAAUCACGUCUGAAUUAAAGCACACCAUUCUUUCAUUUUUUGUCAACACAAUGGUAAUCCUGAUCAGUUGGAGAGAAAAUUCAGCUACAGCAGCUUCAAGAAACACUCUGGCAGCAAGGAUGAUAUCAUAUCCUCAUCAAAGCUAAUUGAAUCCGUUUCUGGGAAGUUUCCUUUUUUUGAAAUUAAGAAUAUAGCUGCUGAUGCAUAGGGAAGAGACUCCCAGAUUUAAAAUUUGCAGUCAGGAAAGAAGCAGAGUACUCUCUGAGGAAGAAGUGGAAAAAGAUUGAAAACUUUGAUGCCCAUGAAGAAGGAACCUGAUUCCACUCUUGAAAAAAUAUUAGACAAAUCUACUGGUUAUUUGACGAUUGAAGAGUCGUAGGGUAUUAUUAGUUGCUUAUGAAUUGUUAAAACAGCAAGUUCCUGCAGUGGUCAUGCAGGCUGGUCUACAACUGUGUGCUUGCCUAAUAAAAACACAUUCUCUAGCCUUGGAGUUCCCUGAAAAUGGAGGUGUGGCUGCUCUUUUCUGUCUUCCAAGAAGCUGCUUCUUUCUUGGAUAUGACACGGUAACAUCUGCUAUCAUUCAGCAUCUCCUUGAAGAUCCGUAGACACUUCAAACAGCUAUGGAAUUGGAGAUACGACAAACUCCAAUGGGAACCUUGAAGUGUAUAUUUGUAGAUCAAAGCUUCGCGACCAUUACUGUUAGUAAUGAACUAAGCUUCAAUUUUGAUCUAUCUUCAACAAUAGGAAUUGAUUUAUCCAAAAAUUUGCUACAUAGAGAGAUACCGACAGGAUUUUCUGGGCUGUUGGGUUUGGAAUACCUGAAUUUAUCAUAUAAUUAUCUUGAUAGUCAGCUUCUUACCUUGGAAAAGACGGAGAGAUUGAUGGUACUGGACCUAUCAGACAAAUCUUUGUCAGGUCAGAUCCUAGAAAAUGUUUCCAAUCCAAGAAACGUAAAGAAUCAAGAUAUGUCAAGUGGAGGUUCAAAAUACGGAGGAUAAGGGUCAUAUUCAGAUUCCACCCUUCAAUUCGAUCAUGGUUUCUGGUUGUUCAUUGCAGUUGUUCUACUGAAAGGCACAGACGAGUAAUCAGUGAACUCGAUAAAGCAUUAUCUUCAUUUUCGAACCUGGAGUGCAAUUCUUCGAAGAGCAUUUUAUUGCCAGAUAAAAAGCAAAAAGCAUGAUAGAUGGAGGAAUGGUUCGGUGCCUAACUAGCAUUCUUGAGUGAUGCAGUUUUCAAGUUUGAUGGUCUGAACAAGAAAAAUCCCCAGCUUCAAACCGAAGAUCUGAUGAUCAGGGGAUUGCACCAUUAACUACAGAGAUUGGUGAGAAUAGUCAGAAUAGAAACAACCAACAAGGACUCAUGGAUGCAGUAGGAACAGAGCAGCGACAACGUCAAGGAAUUUUGCAAAGUGAAGGAAAUCAUUCAUUUACAGAUUCGGUCCGAUUAUGGAUGAAAAGCAACAAUUAGGAGUCUGCUUGGUGAUGGCAACGACAAGGAUACCUAUUCUAGUGGAACCAUUGAAUCAAAUCUUGGUGGCGAGAAAUUAACACAGAAUGCAGGAAAUCCGUCAAUACAAAAAACUGGGGAUUUUGAACUUUAUGUUCAGUGUUUGACCAAUAUUGGGGAGAAUCCAUUUGAGCUUACGGACCAAGUUACCUUAUAAAUCGAAAUGCUUCUGACCACUGAAUACUUUGGCAACGAAUUGGGUCCUUCUAUCCCGAAUUUUUAGACUCCACUCCAUCAUGGUUACCUUGCUACACACACCUCCUCCUCUUUUUUGGCUUCUUUGAUUAGGAAUUUACUAUUUUAAAUUGAAUUUUUUAAAUCAUUUUUCAACUAAGCAUUUCCAGCUUUGAAAAAUCCAGAUUUUAAUAAAUUUGCUGCCACUUUCCUCCAGGCAUGCAUUUUCACUAUCUUCUUUUAUUCUCAAUUAUUUUCAUGGUUUUCUCAAUUUUCAACAAGCAUGAACAAACUUCAUGAUUCCAAAUAAUGGAAUUCAUAGAAUCAAUUCAUGCAAAAUUAAUUAGAGCUAUGGUGGGGGCCCAACAUUCGUGAUAUUUUCCUCAAUAUUGUCUGUUUAAUUGUGCUUCCUCUAUGUGGAUACAUGAGAUUGUUUUACACUUAUUAUUGAGCUAAUCUUAUUUCUCAUUUUAGCGCACGGCUUGCUAUCCAGGUACGUUCCCUAAUACCCACUUUCUAAACCCUAUGAAUAUGAUUGUCGUUGCGUACUAUGCCCAUGCUUGCUAUCCUGUUUGAUUGUCUUGAUAUAUAUUUGAUGUUUGUUUGAUUAUCUUUGAUAAAAUGCAUAUUGGGUGAUAUAUUAUCUAAACUAACCAUUGAUGUUUUAUCAUAGCGCUUAAGAAGUGGUCCAGGUACGCACCCUAACUCUCCUUUAUUGUAAUUUGAUCAUGUUUGACAUGUUAUUUUUUAAAUCACCUUAGUCUAUCUAGAUAUCCUUAAUCACUCAAUUAAUUGCCACAUUUCCCCCAAUUUAGUCAGUAGAGACCUCUUUAGGGCUUAGAGGGGUGCUACCUCCUAGAGGUACCUUCGCAAUAAGUAACCUGAUCCCCAGACCUAGACUUGGGUUUUUAAAAAACACGCUUUUCCAAAAAUUAUGGAGUCAUUUUUUUAGGGUUUUAUUUCUUGUUUUAUUUUCCCUUUAAAAUAAAAAUAAAAUGAGUGGCGACUCCGAUUUUUCUUUCCAAAAAUUACUUUUUCAGAAAUAAAAAACGAGUCUCGCCGAUCGAGUGGGGACGCAUGUGAAAAAUGUGGGUCCACAGACAGGUUGGCCUUUGGCAAUUGCAGCAGACCCUCUGAACCAUCAUCAGCUAUCAGACCUAGCAGACCUCCUUGUCAUUUUGCUUACUUGGAGGUUCUUCAAGAUCACGGACCAUGCCGACUCCGUUUUGCAAUCGAUAUACUUUUUUAAGAUCAGCAAAAGCAACAAUCUAAACUCAGAAUCAGAUCACCCACAAUUGUCUAGUCACUGGAUGAGAAAACCUCCAGGUCCUUUUUGAGGAACAUGUAUUAAGGACCCUUCCACAACUUUCUUUAUCCAUUCCUUUGCCAAGUGAUAUGUUCUCUUCUAUCUUGCCACUCUGAAUUCAAGGAAAAUGAGUACCAAAUUAAACAUCAUAACCAACUUGUUCACUAUGGUGGCCUUUAAUUUGAGCUUUACAAUUUCUAGGAAACCCGUGACGGAUCAAAUUCCUAAGUUGCAUUCCUGAACGCACCAAAACUCAUGCUAAUACCUUCAUGGGCACCAAAACUAAUCAAUCUCACCACUAGCAAAACUUCUCCAAAAAAUCGGCAAAACUAUCCAUGCUUCAUCUUUCCUCUGUUCUUUCGCCCCUGUUUUUCUUCCUUCAUUCUCCAGUAAUAGAUACUUUAACCGGUGCCAAACAAUCUUCCUCCUGGAAUGGUAGUUGUACGAGAAACCCUUGAACUUGUUUUCUUAUUCCAAAUUUGGAUAUGGAGUUUUGACAGCAUCAAGAAACCAUUCUUUAGUGCCAUUGAUUAGUGAUGCAGGCAUGGCUGGAAAUACUCGAAAUAUCCACAUAAAACAAAGGAAGACUGGAAAUGGACCAAUAAAAAAUAAACAACAAAAAGGAAGAACCAAUGGAAGCCAAAUUUCAUAUUUUAUUCCAUGGGCUUAGGUUGGUGAGGGGAAUACAAGCAAAUUCCAACAAACAUAUACGACGACUAUUCUCAUGUAAUGCACAGUAAAUAAAAAAGGUAAAGUCUUUUAGCCCUAAACCAAAACUAGAGUACUCCAAAGGGAGAAAUCAACAACAUCUAGAGAAGCAAUCAAGUGCCAAUCCAAACAAACAUAUAGCCUCUAUCAUUCUACACCCAAGCAUCCAAACAAAACUCAAAAUCCCACGAAGAUCAAUACAUAACAAAAGGAUAACGAGAAUGAAGGAAGAGUCAACAAGAGGCAUUCCUGGAAAUGUUCCUCUCUAGUAAGAAAAUCCCUGUUGGUAUAUCGUCUUAGAUCUCUUACUCUGCUUUGUUGUGUUUCCUUCCUCUCCCUAUGAAGACAAUCUCAGAAUUCUCCNNNNNNNNNNNNNNNNNNNNNNNNNNNNNNNNNNNNNNNNNNNNNNNNNNNNNNNNNNNNNNNNNNNNNNNNNNNNNNNNNNNNNNNNNNNNNNNNNNNNUUUUUUUCCGGGGGGUUGGGGUGGGGGGGGGAAAAAAAAAAAAUUCCAAAAAAAAUUUUGGGGGUUUUUUUUUUUUAAAACCCCAAAAAAAAAAAAAGGAAAAUUUUUUUUCCCCAAAACAAAAAAUGGGUUUUCCCAAGGGGGAAAAUUCACAACUUUUGGGGAAGAAAAAAAGGGCCAAUCCAAAAAAAAAUUUUUCUUUUUUUUUUUUCCCCCCAAGGCUUCAAAAAAAAAUAAAAAUCCCCGGGGGUUCAUUUAUUUAAAAAAGGGUUCGGGGAAGGGGGGGGGGGCCCCCCGGGGGCCUCCCGAAAAAUUUUCCUUUUUUAAAAAAAAACCCCGGGGGGAUUUUUUUUUAAUUUUUUUUUUUUGUUUUUGGGGGUUUCCCCCCCCCCCCUAAAAAAAAAAUUUUAAAAUUUUCCCCCCCUUUAAAAACCCCCCCCCCCCCCCCCCCCCCCCCCCUUUCCCCUUUUUCUUUAUUCCUCCAAAAGCCUAAUCUAAACUCAAAGGGCAACCAAGGUCACGAUGAGGGGUCAAGUAAAUCCCCCAACUAAAGUCUCUGAGGUGGCUAAAAAAAAAGUAAAUUGUAUGAGUAGUCAUGGGCCACCAAGAGACUACUAUUAAGUAUCAAAUGAGCUUCUAAUAGGACAUGUGCUAAGAGGACAAAAUGGAGGGUCUACAAUACCUUUUUAGGAUCACAUAAAGGGACACUUUGUCUCAAUUCCAUGAGAUAUCAUGGUGCCUACAUUUAGAAUACCUAUUGUUACUGGCUUUCAUCAACAAUGACCCAAUCCAUAGGAAAUAUGUGAUCAACUUACAAUCUCACCCGUAAAUCAAAGACACUAGUAACUUUAGCAUAAACUCAACAUUCUCUCAAAGUUGAGGGACAACGCAAUGAAGUAGUUUGGUGAGGUCAUGACUACUUGAUAGCCUUAAGUCAUGACUUAUUGUAGGUCCUGUUCAAUGUGUAACCAUACACACUAAUGCACUCACCAUGGGAAACCCAUCUCGAUAGCCAAGACCAAUUAUCCCUCUAAUUAGGAGGUGGUGCACUACAACCCAUAAUAGGUUGCCUAGACCCAUGAAUCGGUUGUGAACAAGUCAUCUAUUUGUAAGAAAUCCAUGACUUGGAUCUUUCUUGCAACUCUUAAAGCACCAAGUCACGUACAAUGCAAAAUAUGCAUGCAAGAAUGCUCAUAAAAGUGUAAUGCAUGGAAUAAAUUAAAACAAAUAAAAGUGAAACUAGAAUAUCAUUAAAUAAUGAAUUCCAAAUUUGUUAUAUCAUUGUCAUGCUUUUAAGGGCUCUAUCUUAACAACAUUAAUUUAUUUUGUUCUAAGAUCAUCAAAUUUUUAUUUAACACAACCUCGUUGAUCUAUAUACAACACAACUUGACUUCUCCUUAAUUUGAUAUCAUAUUUUUUUUUUCUUUUGAAAGUAAAGGCAUCGUAUACCAUGAUCUCUUUGAUUUUCCAUUUUAUUUUUCAUCGUGGUUGCCUUUGUUUCCAUUUUGGAGGUGUUUCCAUAUGUUACAAGUGAGCAACUUAUAUUUAAGAGCAUGAAUUUUGGAAAGUGUAUGAGAGUUUUGCUUAUCUAAAGAUUCAAGUAUAUACUAACUUACUUCGAGAAACAAUUAUAAUGAUCUUAGUCAAACAAGGCAUGUAGACAAUAAGAUUUGAGCAUGAUGUACAAAGGAUCUUUCCAAAGAUAUCAAUGUCUACUUUAUGAGUUAAACUUAAGAAGUCUCCCUCUUGAUCAAGCACAAAAUGUAACUAAGGUUGAAAUUCCACUCUCCAAAGACAUUUAAUUAUCAAGAAUCAUAUCUGCAAUAGUGAUUAACAAAUAUCUAAGAAUCAAUCCACAUCAAGUCUUGUAGAUAUAGUAUAUUUCUCUAGUUCUCAAACUUGAGAUAUUAAAAAUCAUGCCAAUAUAUCAAGUAAAAAAGCAAAAAUCAUAUGCCCAAAGCAAACCAGAAGAAAACCCAAGGAAAAAAGUAGACAAUGAAACAAUUAAGCUCAAAACCUUUCAAGGCCUAUAACAUUAGAUAAUUAGUCAAUUAGGCGUAUGCCCAAGGAUUUCCUAAGGAACUCAAACCUAAGAGAAUUCAAGGGUUUUGUAAAGAUAUCUACCAAUUGAUGUUUCGUGGGGACAAACUCUAGAGAGACAACGUUUUCUUCAACAAAAUCCCUAAUGAAAUGAUGAAAAAUUUCAAUAUGUUUAGUACGAUAAUGAAGAACACGAUUCUUUGAUAUAUUUAUAGAACUAGAGUUUUAAUAGUAUAUGUUCAUGGUCCUUUACUCAAUCCUAUAGUCUUUCAGUAUUUGUUUCAUCCAUAAGAAUUGUGUACAACAACUUUCAGCAACAAUAUAUUCAACUUCAACAAUAGAUAAGGAUAUAGAUUUUUUUUUUCUUACUAAGCCAACCCACAAAACAAUCACCAAUAAAAAAGUGAGCAUCAUAUGUGUUUUUUCUAUCCUCAACAUUUUCGACCCAAUCAACAUCAAAAUAACUAACAAUCAUAAUAGAAGAAUCAUAGGGAUACCAAAAACCAUAGUCAAGAGUCUCACUAAUAUAUAAUGUAAUUCUUUUAACGGAAAUUAAGUGUGACUCUUUGGGGUUUGCUUGUUAGUUAACACAAACACCAACACAAAUGAUAUGUUAGGAUGACUCACUAUGGGGUAUAAUAAGUUUCCUAUCAUACUCCUAUAGAGCUCUUUUUCAACAUCCUUUCUAGAUGCAUCCUUAUUAAGCUUAGUGGUAGUGUUCAUAGGUGUCCUAGAGUGUUUGGUGGAUUCUAGACCAAAUUUCUUCACUAACUACCGAGCAUAUUCAGAUUGUGAAAGAAAGAUUUCAUCUUUUAGUUGUCUAAUCUACAAUCCUAAGAAGAAAGUUAGUUCACCAAUCAUACUCAUCUCAAAUUCAGUCUUCAUUUCCCUAACAAAACUAAAGUCAAGAUCACUAGAGGUGGCUCCAAAAACAAUAUCAUCAACAUAAAUUUAGAUCACUAAUAAUUCAUCCUUGUACCUAUGCGUAAACAAGGUUCUAUCAACUUCCCUUUUCUCAAACUUUUUCUCCAAAAGCUAGGUAGUAAUCAUCUCAUACCAAGCUUUAGGAGCUUGUUUUAAUCCAUAAAAGGCUUUCUUCAACCUAUAGCUAUGAUUGGGGAAUUUCGGAUCCUUGAAACCCUUAGGUUACUCUACAUAAACUUCUUUACUUAGAAUCCCAUUAAAUAAAGCACUCUUGACAUCCAUUUGAUAAAGCUUCAUUCUCAAGGAGCAUACUAUAGCCCAAGUAUCUUGAUUGAUUCUAGUUAGGUUACGGGUGGAGAUGUCUCUUCAUAAUCAAUCUCCUCUAUCUGUGAGUAUCCUUGGGCUACUAAUCUUGCUUUGUUCCUCACAAUGACCUUAUUUUCAUCUUGUUUAUUUUUUAAAAUCCAUUUUACACCUAUGACAUACUUAUCUUUAGGCCUAAGGACUAAAUACAACAUAUCAUUCCUAGUGAAUUGAUUCAACUCUUCCUAUAGUGCGGUAGUCUAAGACUCAUCUUCUAAAGCUUACUCCAUGAUAUUGGGCUUCAAUUGGGAGGUAUAGCAUAUAAGAUCCAUUUCAUUUAAUCUUUGAUUAUCUCCUAGCAACUACACGUUCAUUCACCUUACCUAUAACUUUUGAGAUACAAUAGUUCUUGGGUACUUUGGAUUUAUGCUUAUUCCCCAUUUCUUCAUAAUUGUCUUCUUGAGAUAUAUUCUCAUCCUUGUUGGGGUCAACUUCACUUUGAGGAACAUUAUUUGGGUUCUUUGAUUUCUCCUUAAAAAAACUCACAAAGAAGUAUCUUGAAAAAUCAUCCACAACAACUAGGACAAAUCUCUUACCACUUCUACUCUCAAUAUGCAUGGGACCCAUAGAUCCAUAAAAAGAAGGUCUAAAGGUCUAGUGGUCCUAAUUUCCUUAACCUUUUUGUGUGAACUUUUUUAUUGUUUACCCACCACAAAUGGGUUUAGGUUCACCACUAAGUUUAGGGAUUCCUCUAACUUUUUCACUAUUAACUAAGUGUACAAGAUCCCUAUAGUUUAUUUGACCUAGCCUUCUAUGCCAAAGUUUAGUAAGGUCUAGCUUAGCACUAGUGCACACAAGAGGUGUCUUAGAGUUAGGAUUUAUUGCAUAACAGUUGUCAACUAUCCUAUGUCCUGUGGUAAUGGCUUUUCCUUCUUUGUUGACUACCUUGCAUAAGUCUUAGCAAAAAUUCACCCUAUGAUCUUUGUCAUAGAUUUGACUAAUACUUAGGAGGUUUGCCUUGAGUUCAUCUACAUAAAGAACUCCAUCUAACUUAGGACAAGUAGGGAUAGAUAUACUUCAUUUGUCUUUCACAAGCUAAGUUUCCAUCCCCAAAGGUAAUUGUGCCACCAUUAUAGUCCUUAAAAGAUAUGAAAGAAGGACUUGUCUCUUGUCAUGUGUCUAGAGCAACCACUAUCAAAGUAUCACUCACUAGAAGACCUAACUUUAAGUGCAGUGAAGACUACUUGACAUUUAGGCUUAUUUUUUUUCAUCCAAACUUGUUUAAUCCUAGGUGGUAACUUAGAGAAGCUUUAUUGAGAUAUAGGCUUUUGAUUAGGUUUAUUCCCUUUUCCAUAAUUCAAGAUGUUAUUUUUAAGGGAAUUAAAGUCAUUCAUUAGCCUAUUUAUUUGAGAUUCAAAUCUCUCUAGGAACUUAGUGUAGCACCUAUACUGAGUGUGUCCUAUUUUCUUUCAGUGUAUAGUGAUGGGUUUAUGAGAGAUGCUACUUGGUUGGGGGUUUCAUCUUUUCCUUUAACAAACACAAUUUCUCCACUAGAAAGAGUUUCAUCUUUAUUAAUAUACUCCAAACCUCAUUUAUCACCAUGGGUUUUCAUUUAUCAAGUAUUUCAUUAAGCAUUUUAGUUCUAAGGUGAAAGAUCUCAUUCACAAAUGAAAAAGGCUUACUAUUUUUCAUCUCUUAAGUAGGAGUCUUAUUUUUCUCAAUAAGAGAAUGAUGUUCAGAUCAAGAAAUCUAUUUUUUUUUUCAAGUAUAUUAAUAUUUUUUUCUUUUAGCACAUCAAUCUUAGUUUUGUAAGCUUCAAGUAUAUGAUCAUAUCUUAAAUAAUUCUUAAUAAGUUUUUCAUGCUCAACAACAAGAUUAUUCAAAAAAGUAGCUUUUUGAUCAUUAGUGAAUUCAUUAUCACUAUCACUAUCAUGCACAAAUUCCAUAGAUGCAACAAAAGCUAAAAAGUUAUUAGGAUCAUACCUUGUAUCUUCAGAAGUUGUGGAACCACUUUCUUCAAAAUCAAUGUCACUCCAUGUAGCUUGCGUAGACUUUUUGACAUUUUUUGGGUUAGGACAAUCAGUAGCAAAGUGUCCCAAACCACCACAAUUAAAGCAUUCUACUUUCUUACCUUUGGAGGAACCUUAAUCAUUUUCUUUGGAUGAUUUCUUAAGUCUCUUUCCUUUUCUAGAUUCUUGAUUUUCGCAAAACUUUUUGUUGAAUUUCAUUACCGUUUUAAUUCUUUUAGUCAUAUAAAUCAAUUCAUUCCUAGUUAUAUUAUGUGACAUUUCAGUAUCUUUUUUCUCAUUCUCCGAAGCCUUAAAGACAAAGUCUUGAGGAUUUUGAGAAUUAGGUAAGGGCAUCUCAUAUGUCUAUAUAAAGCCAACAAGUUCACCAACUCUCAUCUAAUCAAUGUCUUUGCUUUCCUCUAUAGCAAUAACUUCAGGUUUAAAUCUCUUUGGGAGAAAACUCAAAAAAUUUUCUUACUACAUUUGAAUCUAGAAUGGGUUUUCCAAGGUUCAAAGAAGAAUUAACUAAUAAUCUCAAAUUUAGUUUUGAUUUUCAUGCAUUGUAAUAAUCUCAAAUUUAGUAGUAAGCAUUUGCAAUUUAGAAACUUUAAUAGUAGGUGUACCUUUAUGAGUGACUUGAAGGAUAUCUCAUGCUUCCUUAGCACGAGUAUGGUUUGUUAUCUUGCGAAACUCAUCUGGACAAACUCUAUUAAAGAUACUAAAUAAAGCCCUAACAUUGGCUUCACUUCCUUCAUUAUCAACUUUGUCCCAAUCUUGUUUAGGUUUUAAUUCUCCAAGUGAUCUUCCACGGACAUCAAGAAACAAUGAGGGCGUUCACCUUGCAUUUUAAGAAAAAACUUCAUCUAGGCUUUCCAAUAGGGAUGGUUACUCCCAUAGAAGCAAGGUAGACUAUUUAGAGGAGCCCUAGUUUUUUAUUGUUUCAUACUAGACUUACAAAAUCAAUAAAAAUUUCAUUUUUAUCCUAUAUAAUUAAUAAAAAUUUGAUUUUUAAUCAAUAUGAAAAAAAUCGAUUUUUAUUUGUUUGUAAUAUCAAUUGAAAAACCAAAAGUCUAUUAGGAUAACACCCAAAGGGAAGGGGGGUACUGAGUGUAUUUAAAAAUUAUUUGUAUAUUAUAACUAACUUUUUCCUUGCAAGAAGUUAGGGAUUAUUAAUUCAUUCAACAAUGGACAAUGUAAUCAAGAUAAUCAAAUAUAUGCAAUGAAGCAUAAGGAUAUUUACAUGGAAAACCCUCACACCAACUAUGGAGAUAAAAAACCACGAGGUCUAAGAUUGUUAAUCUAAAUCCACUAUAUGAGAUCAAGUUACACAAAUUUACUUGACCACUUUACCCUAAAAACUUACUCUCCAAUAUCUACAACUUAAUCCACGUCUGUGAUGCAGCAAAUCCCUAAUUGCUCCAAUGAAUACACUUCAGCCUCGCUAAAGGGAUGAAGAUCUUCAACCCCAAGAUUCAAAGCUUGAAUUCUUUGAAUGAGAGAUCAUGAAUGGUAUGACACGUUAGAAUUUCUCUUAAAGAGACUCUUUUGAAUCUCUCUAAUCUCUUACCCUAUAAGGGUUAUAGAGAGGUAUAUAUAGGCAAAUAACCCGAAGAGAUUUGAUAUGCAUAGGUUUCCAAAUCCAACUUAUGUGAAAUUCUCAAAAUUAUUCUCUAAUUUUUUGCAAGAAAUACAUGAGCGCUUGAGCACACAUAACCACCGCUUGAGUGGUGCUAAGCGCUUAAGCGGUCCCAAUGCUUGAGUGUUGCUGCCUACUCAAUUGUCCCCUAUUUCAUUCACUUUUUUUAAAAAAAAAAAAAAAUCAAUUUUUGUUGAUUUAAAAGAUAUCGUUCCUCUUUAUACCUCAUAAAAGUCUAACUUGCCACAAGUCAAACCUUUUCAGACAUACCUGUGACUUCUCAGUUGAACGAACAACAACCCUUGAUCUUCAAUGAAGAGCAAGUCACUAUUUAAUAGGACUUAUGUGUUCAAACAUUAAAAGAAAUAAAAUUGUCGACAUACAAACAAGACUCAAUGUCCUAACAACAUCUCUAUCAUUUAGAUUCCAUAUAUGUAUAUUACACCCAACAAACUUAAAAUGAUUGAAAAUUUCAUGAUAUAUCUAAUUUAAUGGCAAUAUAAAGACCACCAAAAAGAAUGAUAUUUGACAUUCUAAUCAUAAUACAUUUUUGUUAGUUCACGAUGUAAUUUUUAUUUGUUUUCAUUAAGAUUAUGUUUGAUUUUUGAAAAAUAGUAAAAAAAAAAAAAAAUGUAAUAAAAAAGAAAGAAAAUAUAAAAAAAUAAAAAAAUGAAAAAAAUAAAUUUUAAAUUUUAAAUUAAUAAAUUAUUUUUACACACUUCUUCAAACUUAACUCAUUUAGUUUUUAUCUUUUAUAUAAAAAUUAAGUAAUUUUUUUUUAAAGUUUCUAACUAAUUUUAAUUAUAUUUUAUUUUCUUUCAUAUUUCUUAUAGUAAAAUAAACAUAAAAAACAUUUUCCUUAACAAAAAUUUCCCCUUUUUCCAUAACAUUUUUCAAGGAAGAAGACCAAAAAACCAUAUAUAUAUAGCCUAAUUAUGUUUAAUCUUUUUAGAAAUAUCCCAUAAAAUAUGGAACUUUCCAAGUCAACCAAACAUUGUUUAAAAGAAUGAAUGAAAAGAAAAGUAAAAUGAAUAAAGCAUACACUAAUAAAUUUCUUUGGAUCAAUUUUCUUCUGUACUUUUAUUCUCAUCAGUUGCCAAUAUAUAUACACAGAGAAGAGAUACAUCAAGACUCCUAAAUAAGGUAAAACUAAACAAGGAAGAAAAUAUGUACAAAUUACAAACACAAUAUUUGCCUACCACGCCAAUCAAGGCUUACCAUAAUCGGCUUGCCCAUCAAAGUUUACCAUAAUCACUAAUAUAUGAAGUUGGAAUAUAAUUAAUGCGAGCACAUGAAGCUACAUUUGAUAAUAUCACAUCUCUUCAAUAACCCUUAAUUAUAAUGUCCAUAAUAAUUAUAAUUCACAUCUUAUAUUCAUGUUGCUUGAUAAUAAGAAAAUGGACACCAUAAAAAAUAGGAUAAAAUAAGUAUUGAAAGUCUUCACCUAAUGAAUAAUAAAUGUCCAUAUUUUCUAUUAGGCCACAUGGGAGUUUUCAAUGAACGAAUCAACGUCUCAGUUGUAGCCUUCACCUAACAUAUAACAUAACAUGGGCAAGUUAAUCGUAUUAUAUUAUCUUGAUAAACAUAAGUUUAUAUUUUUUUUUCUUUCUUAUCACCUCUUACUUUUUAAUAACUUUAGAAGUUCAACUUUUGUAUCAAAAUGAAAUUAUUAAAUCAACAAAACUUCAUCCAAAACUGGAAAAUUGAUAAAUUCAACAAUAAUAAAUUUUAUGAGGCACCAUAUUGACCAAAACCUAACCCAACUUUAGAUCUUUCUUCAAAUAUUCACACUUAUAAAUUUUUAUCCUCAAAGAAUUAUCGAUAACAUAUAUUUAUUUACCAUUACUUUGAUAUUUUGGUAAUCUAAUUUAUGGCCAAGCGCGAGCAUAAUUUAAAUUUAAAAUCAUUAUCAAUUCUCUCCCAAAUAUUUUCUUUUGUAGUUGAUAUUUGAACAUUUAUCAAUAUAAAGAUUAUUGUGUCGAUAAUAUUUUCACUCCCAACGAAAAUGAUGGCAUAAGAUGUAAGACUCAAGAUUCGGUAAGCUUGAGAUUUGAUAUUGGUUUUGAGAAAAUAUGUCUAAAAAAGUAAGUAUGAGAUUAUGUGUGCUUAAGAUUUGGUGUUGACUUAAAAUUUGAUGUGAUUUGAAUCACACAAAGAGGAUUAGUUUUAUCUUAUUGAAUUAACUUUCAAUAAUUUCAAGUCUUAGAUUGAGUUUUGUCCAUCUCAUCUAAAAUAUUAAUUGAUGUUUGACGUGGAUAACCUAAACUUUUUAUUACAUUCAAUUACCAUCAUUUAAGUGCUUUAUUCCUAAUAUUAAAGAGUAACAUUGUUGUACACUAACAAUCCUUCCUUUAACACUUCUAUGGAGUGAACCAUAACUAUUAACUCCAAUAUUAAUUCUUGGAUAGGGUAUUUAUCAUUUCUUCUCAAAACCAAUUAUAUUCAAUGAGAAUAAACUAAAUUUUUUAUGGCUUUCAACCACCAUCAUUUUGAUUGCCCAUCUCUAUACUUAAAGAAUGACAUUAUUGUUGCACCCUCAUGAUGAGAAAUAGUUUUAUUCACUACUUUUAACGAAUUUGUUAUUUUGAUUAAAUAUACUUCUUUUUAUUAAAAGUUUUGUAGCAUUCUUCGAACAGAUAACAAAUUAAUCGAUUUCAAUUUUAAUAAUAGUGAGCUUGUAGACUUGUUUUAUUUUCUAAUUUUUAUAUCAUCACACUUUGGUUUAUAAAUUGAUUCGUUAAUUAUAUUUAUGUAUUUGUCGCUUUCCUUUGACAUUUUAUAAAAUUAUUGUUCAUGUAAUAUGCAUGAAGAAUUUACUAAUAUUUUACUUAAAAUAUUAUAAGAAAUAAAAAGUAUUUAAACCACUUCGUUUUGAAAAAAUAAUGUAUUACCAGUGUUGUCAUUUUUAUAUUCACAAAAGUCUACUAUAAAUAUUUUUAUAAAUUCUCUCUUAUUAUUCACAAUUUUCCAUCCUUAGUGGUGUAUUAGGCAAAUAUUUUUUGUUACAAAAGUUACAAAAUAAAAUAUAGUUAUAGUGAAAAAAUUAUUAAAACAAUUAUACAUGACAUAGAAUGUAUAUUAUUAUAAUAUAUUAGCUAGUUUUAAGUUCUAAUAUUUAAUUGUGGGUGAGUGCUUAUUAAUGAAGCUUCUCCAUUUUUUCUCUUUUUAAAUGCCUUCUAAUUAACAUUUUUGGACUAUUUUGCAGAUAAUGAACAAAUUAGGUAACUUGAGUUUUAAUUAAUAUAAGUUUAUCCACUUGGUUUUCCCCUCCUUCAAUGCUUGGUCUCUGUUACAACCUUGUGAUUUGUAUUCAUGAGUAAUUAAUUGAUGGUAUCAUUUUCUAUAAAAUAUUGAAUGGUAGUUUAGGUUCAACUUUUGUAUUUAAAUUAUUUGUAUAUCUUUCUUCUAGAAGGAGUAUUCAAUCUUGUUUGGUAACUAUUUUUUAAAAAUAGUUUUUAAUAAUAGUUUUUGAAAAAAAAUAUAUGAUAUUUUGUAAGAUAAAAAUCUAUUUAAAACUUGAAAUAUUUUUAACAUGUUUUUAAUAUUUUUAAAUAUGUUUUGAAAAUAAUUUUAUGUGUAAAACUGUAUUUUUAUUUAUUAUAUAUAUUUAUAUAAUUAUUAUUUAAAGAAACUUUCAAAAAACAAGUGAAAACAAUUAAAAGAUGUUAUCUUAAAAUAUUCUAUUUUUUUCCUUAAAAAUAGAAAAUAGAAAAAAGUUUUUUUUAUUACCAUACAUGUUUUCUAGUUUUUUUUUUAAAGAAAAAAAUAAAAAAUUGCUCUUGAAAACAAUUGUGAAAUCAAAAAACAAAAAGCUUCUACACUUUUUUUUUCCCUAAAAUUUCUAUAUUUUUAUAAUAUUAGGUAAUGUUUGACUAAAAAAAUUAAGGAUAAAAAUAAAAAUAAAAAUGUAAAAAAAAGUUAUAAAAAAUUAUCUCCUAUUCUUUUGUCCAAGGAAAAACUACAAGGAAAACAAUUAAAAUUACAGAGGAAUACACUUUGGAUUCACAAAAUUUUCUCAUCCUUUUUUUUUUUUUGAAAGAAAUAUAAAAGGGAAAAAUCUUUUAGAUUAUGCUUGAUUAUUGAAAUAUAUUUUUUUUUAAAUAAUCCUUUGAUAUUUAGUUUUACUAUCGAAAAUAAGAAAAACUAAAUAAAUUAAUUAAAAAAUUUGUAUUUUCAAAUUAUUUAAUAUUUAUAUGGGAAUUAUUAACAUAAUUUUUUUAAAACAAAUUAUUUUUUAUUUUCUUCAUUAUUUCUUUCCUUUUUUUUUUUUUUUUAUGAUAUCUCAUAUGGCAUAUAUGAGAAAACUCCUAACUUUGUAUAAGUGUGGGUUCAUAUUAAUAAUAUAGAUAAACUUUAAAAUAGUGAGGAUCCCUUCAAACUCAGAAUAAAUAAUAUGUGUACUGUUGGAUAUGGAUAGUUACAUUCUCUUCUUUUUUUUUCUAUUUGCUUUAUCUUGGCUCCUCAUAAUUAGCCAAAUGUCCAUCCAAAAGACUUGGACGUAAAGGAAAAAAAGUAAAAUGAAUAAAGCAGUGGAGCAUAAAUAAUACAUUGGUUAUAAGGUUGAAUGAGAAGUGAGAACAGAUGGCACCACAUUUUAUAUUGACAACGACCGCAUUUUAUGGGAAGUAUUAUUUAAUACUUGUCCACCAAUUACAUAAUAUUAUUCAGUGCCCAUGUGACUCAGCAACGAUCUAUUUUUUCUAAGUCUCUUAGACUUUUACGUAUUAAUUUUUUAUCAUAUUCAUUGUUUUUAGAUUUAAUAAUUAUACAUUUACAACUACUUUAUAGUAAAAAUAUAAUAUUAUUUAUAAAUUAAUAAAUUAUUUAUUUAUCAAUAAAUUAAUAAUCCUACAAAAAUGAUAAAUUCUCUUGGUUCCAAGAGUAUUAUUUUACUGUAGUUGGAGAGACACCCAUUCCUUUACUGAUAUUAUUGGAAGAGAUGAAAGCAAAAAGGGUGUGAUACGGAAGUUGUUUUCAUUUAAGAAUAAAUCUUAAAGUUGUUGCCAUACUUGGUACUGGGGGCUGGUUAAGGCCACCCUUGCUCUCAAUUGGUCUACAAUGAGAGUUUAAGACCAAAAUAAUCCAUUUGUAAAAAAAAUGACAAUAAUAGUACCGAUCUCAAAAUAUUUGUCAAAAUAAUCUUUUGUAUCCACGUAAGCAUUCACAUGGAUUUUUUUUUAAGUGUAAAAAACCACCGUUGAUAACUAUGGUUUUAAAAGUUUCAAAAAUAUCUUUAAAACCACAGUUUGUAACUGUGGUUUUACAAUUUUUCUUAAAACCACAGUUAGUAACUGUGGUUUCAAAUUUAUUUUUAAUUCACCCCGUUUGAAUGGUAGUGUGAUUUUAAUAUUAUUUUUAAAAUAUUUUUUAUCAUAAUAACCAUAAAAUCACAGUUAGUAACUGUGGUUUUAGAAAUAUAAUAAAAACCACAGUUACAGAUUAUGGUUUCACACUUUACCAAAAUUUCUUAACGAUAUACCAAAUUUCCCUAAAGUUCAUUUAGGAGUAGAGAUAUUUUUUUGCAAUUUUUCAUUGUCAGUUUAAAAUUAUUUUUUUUACAAAUUAUUCUUAAUAAAUUUUUUCUUUACUAUUGUUUUAAAAUUAUAUAUAUAUAUUUUUAUCUUUAUUUUUUUUUCAUAUUUUCCUUGAAAUUUUGAGAAAAUAAUUUCUCCUACAUGCAUUCCCAUAAAAAUUUAUAUAUUUAUGGUAAAUAAAAUAUUUAUUUGUUUUAUGAAUUUUAUCACAUAUGAAUUAAAUAAAAUUAUUUUUUCAUAUUAUUUUUAAAUUUUAAAAUAAUUAAACAAAUUGUUUAUAUUAUUUAAAUUUUAUAUUUUCAAAUAAAAAAUAAUAUCAAUGAUUAUAAUUUUAGGUUAUUUAUUACUAAUUGUGGUUUAAUGGUUAUUAUGAUAAAAAAAAAUAUUUUAUCAUUAAAAUGGAGGUGGAUUAAAAAUAAUUUUGAAACCACAGUUAAUAAUUAUGGAUUUAAGGAAAAUUGUAAAACCAUAGUUACAAACUAUGGUUUUAAGCAUAUUUUUGAAACUUUUAAAAUCACAGUUACCAAUGAUAGUUUUUUACACUUAAAAAAAAAAUUCAUGUGAAUGCUUACGUGAAUAUAAAAGAUUACUUUGACAAAUAUUUUGAAAUGGGUACUAUUCCUACCAUUUUUUUUUACAAAAUGAUUAUUUUGGUUUUAAACUCCUAUGAUGAUGAAAGAGUGGUACAAUACUUGAGUCUAUGCGACACCUCAAACCCUGAGGAUAAGGGUACCGUGGUCAAAGUCAAAAUCUAAAUCAUCAAAUUUAAAGCAGCUUCUAAUGGAAGCAUUCAUCCUACACUAAUACCUCCUCAUUGAUAUCACGUGGGGAAUAAUAUAAAAGAGUUUAACUCCAUAUAUAGUAUCGAAUUAUAUCUUGGGAGAUAUCACCUUUUUUAAUAAAAAUCAAUUAGUAUGUAAGCUUAUUUAAUUCAAUUUCUUUGAAAAAAUUUACACUUUCAAUUUAACGAUAAAACAACAUAAUAGUUGUAGUAGAGUAAUUGAAAUGUUUUACAUAGAUUCACGGGCUGAUCUAAUGGAUUGAAAAAUAAACCUAUUUUUGGGUCUGAUUGAUUUUAUUUUAUUUUUAACAAUUAUGUAAUUGAGUUAUCCUUGUACCAAUUACUCAACCAAUUGGAUUGACCAUCAAUGUGAUUGACUACUUUUGAUAUAAGCGGGUCAAUGCAUCAUCAUCAUGUGGGUUAGGAGUAGUGUUAAAGCCGAAAGUCGUGAAUAAUUGAGUCUAUUACCAUUGAGUUAAUACCUUUAAAAAUACUUUUAGAAUUGGAUCAGUUUUUAAAUCGAAAAAUUUAAUAGUACAUGGUUUAUUGAUUGGACUAAUGGUUAAAUCGUGAUCAAAUAAUUAUAUUAUAAACUAUGCAUCAAUUUUGAUAAACCUUACAAAUGGCUUAGUAGUAGUGUUCCCAUUACUCACAGAUUAGCUAGACAUGUGCACAAAUCUGGCCCUUACAAAAGGGAUUGUGUUUCUUUUUUUUUUUUCACCUUGGUUCAAACUUAGAUAGAUUUAACUUUAAACUGACAAUUUUGAAGUAGAAUUUUUCAAUACUUCUGAAAUAUGAAAACGAACAAUUUUGAUUUUUUUUUUUUUAAUUUUAAAGGGAUAUUUGCAUAAGUAUUCAUAAUUUUUGCAUACAAUUGUGAAGCGUGACACUUUCAAAUUUAAAUAAGUAUUUUUCUUUACAUUUCAAUUUUUUUUUUAAUUAGCUAUUCAUUGACUUUUUAACAAGCUUAAGAGCAAAAUGUUUGAGUUUUGAAUGUAUAAAACAUGUCAAAGAUUAAAGGAGAAGAAAGAAAGUAUUUAAAUCUAAAAUUUAUUUCAAUAUACGUUAUUAAUAGUAAAAUAUCAUAUUUUACUCUUUAAUAAAUUAAAAAAAUCUAAAAACUUAUAUUUUAAAGUUUUUAAGAAUUUUUAUAACUAAUUAUAACUUUAAUAAUAUGUAAAAUUUACAUUUAAUUUUAUAUUGAUAUCAUGAAUUUAUAUUGGUCUCACAAUUAGAUAGUGAUUGAAUCAUGGAUCCAACUAGUCCAAUAACUUUUCGGAUACACUAACCCAUUCGAUUAUAAAAACAUAAUAAUAACUAUAAAAUUUUAUAUAUAUUAUCACAUUUACAAGUAAAAAAUCAUGCACGAUUUCAGACUUGAUUCUUUUAUACAUUUGAGUGAUAUUAGAGGUUGAAUUUUUUAUCUUAAUAUAUAUUAAUGCCUAUCAUGAAUACACAUUUGAGUGAUAUUGGUGGUUGAAUUUUUUAUCUUAAUAUAUAUCGAUGCCUAUCAUAAAUAAAAAGUAUGAAGACAUAAUACAACUGUAUUUGAGUUGUAGAAAGCAUGGUGUUUCCCACGUCCCUACCUAUGGAAUUAUAAAAUUCACACCAAGAAUGCAUCAUCAAAUGACCACAUCCACUGCAUGUGACCCCCAUGUGAUAUGUCACUACACUCUUUCCCAACUCUUCCAACUUCUUCAUCUAUAUUUUAAUCGACAAGUUUAAAUUUCUUUAAAAUGUUGACAUAGAAUUGAGAAUAAUGCUAAUCACAAUUUUCACACAAUUAAAAGUUUUGUACUUUUUUUUUAUUUAAGGAAUAAUCAUUUUUUUUCCUUAUAUAUAUAGCCUUACUCUAUGAAUGGCCCUUUCUCCUCUUGGCCAAAGGAAAUCCAAAUUAGCUUGAAUUUUGAUAUAAAUGAAGUUGUUCAAUUUGCCUAAUUUUUUUUAUUUUUUUAUUUUACUUUUUAUUGUAAUUUUCUAUUGCUUUUAUAAAGGUUGAGUUUUAUUUUGGAAACUUUUCACAAAAAUACAAGGAAAAAAUAGGGAGAAAAAUAAAAUAUAAAAAAGUUAAAAAAAAAAAAAGAGAGUAGAAAAUAGAUGUAAAAUUAAUAAAUUAUUUUUUCAAAUUUAUUUCAUUUAUAUUUUUUUAUUUAUAUAAAGAUUAAAUAAUUUAAAAUAUAUAGUUAUUUUAAUUAAUUUUAAUAAUUUUGAUUAUAAACCAAAUAUCAUAAAAUUAUUUUUCUUAAUUUUUUUCUUUUCUAUAUAUCUUCCAUAUUCUUUUCUUAAUAAUGCUGUAUCCAUAAUAAUAAUACUUCUGGAUGCUGAGGAAACCCAACCAUAUUUUAUAUCAUGUCACAUGGGGCUUGGAAUAGUUCUAGGUAGACGAGUUAACAAUUGAUUUGAAAUCUUCAACCACUAAUUUAAAUUCUUCACCUAAUCAAUAAUAAAUGUCCAUAUCUUUCUACCAGGCCACAUGCAUGGGACUUCGAAUGGUUUAAAGUGAACAUGUUCCCUGAUUAAUUUGGAGCUUUCACAUAAUAUAUAAUAUUUUUUUUAUUUACAUAAAAUUAAAUAAUUAAAAAAUAUAUAAUUAUUUUAAUUAUUUUGAUUUGAUUUUCUAUUAUAAAUCAAAUACCAGAAAAUAAUUUUUCUUAGCUUUUUUUUUUUUUCUAUAUAUCUUCCAUAUGUGUUUGUUCUUUUUUAGAAAUAUCCCAUAAAAUAUGGACCUUUUCUAAUCAACCAAACACCCAGGAGGAACAAAAAAGAAAAGAAAGAGAGAGAGAGAACUUAGAGAAAAAUAAAAUGAAAAAACCGCUAAAGAUAGUAUACGUUUUAUAUAAAGUUGGAAUAUAAAUAAAUGGACCCACACCCCUUCAACAACCCUUAAUCAUGUUGUAUCCAUAAUAAUAAUUCACAUAUUUUAAUAGAUUUGAAAUCUUCACCCAUUAAUUUAAGUUCUUCAUCUAAUGAAUAAUAAAUGUCCAUAUUUUUCUACGAGGCCACAUAGGACUUUGAAUAGUUUAAAGUGAACAUGUUACCUCAUUAAUUUGGAGACUUUACAUACUCUAUAAUACUAUAAAAUGUUGGAUAGAUCACUAACCUCAUUUAAAUAAUAAAAUCUUCUAAUUCUUUUUUUUUUUUUUCUGAUUUUUACAUGAUUGUGCUUUAUUUUAUAAAUUAAUUAAUAAUUAUAUUUAUUUAUCUUGGCUUCCCGUACAUAUUUUAUGAAAAUAUUAUCCAUGUAUGUAAUACACAAGAUGAAUGCACCCUUACAACUAAAUUCAUCUUUUAAAUUUAAAAAAAAAAAACUAAAAAUUAAUAUUAUUUUACUUAAUAUUUAAGUAAUAAAAAUAACAUAACCAAUUUAAUUUUUGGUUUUUCAUUUUUUUUAAAUUAGUCUUAUAUUUCACAACUUUUCAUCCUUAAUGUGCUACAAAUCUUUUUACCACUAUAAGGGUUAUGAAAUAAAAAUUAUGUGUAUGGAAUAAAUAAGAAAAAGAAAAUUAAAUUGUCUUAUUAUUUUGCAAUGUAGUUUCAUUCCCAAAAUUUCCUCAAAUCUUUUUGGUUAUAUUUGAUUAUUGGAAAAUGAAAAUAAAAAAUAGAAAAAAAAAUAUUAUUCUCUAAUGUUUGGUUUUUACAUUGAAGAUAUCGGAUAUAAUUAAAAUUAGUUAAAAUUUUUUAUAUUUUUAAAUUAUUUAUUUUUUAUGUUGAAAAAUUAAAAUGAAUAAAAUGAGUUUAAAGAACAUACAAAAUAAUUUAUUAAAUUUAAAACUAUCUUUAAUUUUUAUUCAUUUUUUUUUCACAUUUUCUAUUAAACUUAGGAGAACCAAACAUAUUCUUAGUAUUUUUUUUUUUUUUUUUUGUUAAUGUUGUUUUCCCUUGUCUUUUUCCAUAGUAUUUAAAAAUAAUAAAUUUGUUUCCAUUUCUUUUAGGUUAUAUUUGGUUUUUGAAAAAUUUGAGGGAAAAAAAUAAAGAAAAAUUAAAAAUAAAUUUAAAAUUAAUAAAUUAUUUUUAUAUGUUUCUUUAAAUUUAUUUCACUUAAUUUUCUCAAUUAUAUAUAGAUUAAAUAAUUUUAAAAUAUAUUUUUAAUUAUAUUUAAUUUUAAAAAAAUUUAUAGUGAAACCAAUGAGAAAACCUUUUUUAUUUAUUUAUUUAUUUUUCCUAAUAACCAAACCUAACCUUAGGAUUUUUCCAAAUUUCGGAUCCAAAAGUAACUGAAUGUUACGAAAAAAUAUAAAUUGAAUGAAGUACAGGAGCAUAAAUGGUACAUCAAUUUUAUAUUGACUACCUUCUGUACCUUUAAUUGCAGCGUGUUGACUUGUCCACCGAAUCCAUAAUAUCAGCCAGUACCCAUGUGACUUGGCCCAUCUCAUCCACCCCUAUAAAGAUAUCUCUUACUUUGUUCCCUAUUCUCUCACAAUUCCCUCAGCUUCUCAUCUUGUACGUGCUGUAUUUUCUUGGCUUUCUGCUACUUUGAGUUGUUCCAAAAUGGCUGACCAAAUUCCAUUCGGUGUUGUGGAGCACAUUUUGACCAAGUUGGGGUCCAAGGCGUUUCAAGAAAUUGGAUCCAUGUAUGGUGUUCCAAAGGAGCUAACCAAGCUCAAGGACAACCUCGACGUCAUCAAAGGUGUACUUCUGGAUGCUGAGGAACAGCAGCAGCAGAAAACUCGUGGAAUAGAAGCUUGGGUCCAGAUGCUCAAAGGCGCCGUGUAUGACGCAGAUGACUUGCUGGAUGACUAUGCAACCCAUUAUCUACAGCGAGGAGGAUUCGCAAGGCAGGUCAGUGACUUCUUCUCAUCUGAAAAUCAAGUUGCUUUUCGCUUUAAGAUGAGUCAUAGACUCAACGAUAUCAAUGAAAGGCUAGACGCUAUCGAAAAAAAAAUCCCCAUGUUGAAUCUGACUCGACGGGAGGCAAUACGCAUAGGAGUAGAGAAUAGUUGGAGAGAAACCCACUCAUUCUCGUUGCCAUCUGAAAUUGUAGGAAGAGAAGAAAACAAAGAGGAGAUAAUAAGGAAGCUGUCAUCUAACAAUGAAGAAAUUCUUUCCGUUGUUGCCAUUGUUGGCUUUGGGGGAUUGGGUAAGACCACCCUCACUCAAUUGGUAUACAAUGACGAAAGAGUAGAACAUUUUGAGCGUAAGACAUGGGUUUGCAUUUCUGAUGAUUCUGGUGAUGGUCUUGACGUCAAACUGUGGGUCAAAAAGAUUUUAAAAUCUAUGGGAGUUCAGGGUGUGGAGAGUCUGACCUUGGAUGGUUUGAAAGACAAGCUUCACGAAAAAAUAAGUCAAAAGAAGUACUUGUUAGUACUUGAUGAUGUUUGGAACGAAAAUCCUGGAAAAUGGUAUGAAGUGAAAAAAUUGUUGAUGGUUGGUGCUAGAGGUAGUAAAAUUAUAGUAACCACCCGAAAACUUAAUGUUGCAUCCAUUGUGGAAGAUAAGUCUCCCCUUAGUUUGAAAGGUCUAGGAAAAAAGGAGUCUCGGGCUUUAUUUUCAAAAUUUGCAUUUAGAGAACAGGAGAUUUUGAAGCCAGAAAUUGUAGAAAUUGGAGAAGAAAUUGCAAAAAUGUGCAAGGGAGUUCCUCUCAUUAUUAAGACUUUAGCAAUGAUAUUGCAUUCUAAAAGAGAACUGGGAUUUUGGUUGUCUAUUAGAAACAAUAUUAAAAAUUUGCUAUUACUUGGAGUUGAGAACGAUAAUGUUGUACGGGUCUUGAAACUAAGUUAUGAUAAUUUGCCAACACAUUUGAAACAAUGUUUUACAUAUUGUGCUUUAUUUCCAAAAGACUAUGAAAUUGAGAAAAGGUUGGUGGUACAACUAUGGAUAGCACAAGGUUAUAUUCAAUCUUCAAAUGAUAAUAAUGAGCAAUUAGAGGAUAUAGGGGAUCAAUAUGUUGAGGAAUUAUUGUCAAGGUCAUUGUUGGAGAAGGCGGGAACCAAUCAUUUUAAAAUGCAUGACCUUAUACAUGAUCUUGCACAAUCAAUUGUAGGAUAUGAGAUCCUUGUUUUAGAAAGUUAUGUAAAUAACAUUUCACAAGAAGCUCGUCAUGUAUCAUUGUUUGAAGAGGUAAAUCCUAUGAUAAAGGCUCUAAAGGGAAAACCCAUAAGGACCUUUCUAAACCUUGGUGAAGAUUCUUUUAAGGAUAGUACAAUUGUAAAGUCAUUUUUUCCGAGUUUUAUGUGUUUACGUGCAUUGAGUUUAAGUCGUAUGGGUGUAGAGAAGGUGCCAAAGUGUUUAGGCAAAUUGAGUCAUUUAAGGUAUCUUGAUCUUUCCAACAACAAUUUUGAGGUACUUCCAAAUGCUAUUACAAGGUUAAAGAAUUUGCAAACACUAAAACUCAUAUGGUGUCGGCGUUUAAAAAGAAUUCCAGACAACAUAGGAGAAUUGAUCAAUCUUAGACACUUGGAGAAUGAUAGCUGUUUUAACUUGGCUCAUAUGCCACAUGGAAUCGGCAAGUUGACUUUACUUCAAAGUCUACCAUUGUUUGUUGUUGGGAAUGAGACAGGGUGGUUAAGGAAUCACAAAAUUGGUAGCUUGAGUGAAUUGAAAGGCCUUAACCAACUAAGAGGAGGGUUAUGCGUAAGUGAUCUUCAAAACGUGAGGGAUGUUGAACUGGUAUCCAGGGGGGAAAUUUUGAAAGGAAAACAAUAUCUUCAGUCCUUGAGAUUGGAAUGGGAUCGGUGGGGCCGAGAUGGGGGGGAUGAGAGUGAUAAGUCAGUGAUGGAAGGCCUUCAACCACACCAACACCUAAAGGAUAUCUUUAUAGAAGGUUAUGGAGGUACGGAGUUUCCAAGUUGGAUGAUGAAUGAUGGGUUGGGUUCCCUGUUUCCCGACCUAAUUAAAAUUGAAAUUUCGGGAUGUUCAAGAUGCAAAAUUCUGCCACCCUUUUCUCAACUCCCUUCUCUCAAGUCUUUGAAGCUUCAUAAUAUGAAAGAAGUGGUGGAGUUAAAGGAGGGUUCAUUAACAACGCCACUCUUCCCAUCUCUUGAAUCGCUCGAACUCUCUGACAUGCCAAAGUUGAAGGAAUUGUGGAGGAUGGACUUACUAGCAGAAAAACCUCCUUCAUUUUCUCAUCUUUCGAAGUUAUAUAUUUAUGCAUGCUCUGGUUUGGCAUCACUGCAUCCUUCUCCUUCUCUUUCUCAAUUAAAGAUCCAUAAUUGCCCAAACUUGACAUCCAUGGAACUGCCGUCAUCUCUUUGUCUUUCUCAAUUAGAUAUCAGAAAAUGCCCUAACUUGGCAUCCUUCAAAGUGGCUCCAUUACCUUCUCUUGGGAUACUCUCUCUGUUCACAGUUAGAUAUGGUGUGGUACGGCAGAUAAUGUCUGUCUCUGCUUCUUCUUCGUUGCGGUGUCUGUAUAUUAAAAGCAUAGAUGAUAUGAUAUCUCUCCCGAAGGAGUUACUUCAACAUGUUUCUGGCUUGGUAACGUUAGAGAUCCGUGAGUGUCCUAACUUGCAAUCCUUGGAACUGCCCUCAUCCCAUUGUCUUUCUAAAUUAAAGAUUGGAGAAUGCCCUAACUUGGCAUCCUUCAAUGUGGCUUCAUUACCUCGUCUUGAGGAACUAAGCCUGCGUGGAGUCAGAGCAGAGGUACUGAGGCAGUUCAUGUUUGUCUCUGCUUCUUCUUCAUUGAAGUCUCUACAUAUACGGAAGAUUGAUGGUAUGAUAUCUCUCCCAGAGGAGCCGCUUCAAUAUGUUUCCACUCUCGAAACUCUCCACAUUGUUAAGUGCUCUGGUUUGGCAACAUUACUAC
This 316978-nucleotide long non-coding RNA is filed under the name Vitis vinifera (wine grape). RNAcentral's name for it is "long non-coding RNA (VVIN_LNC006722)". The record is from RNAcentral. Lineage: Eukaryota; Viridiplantae; Streptophyta; Magnoliopsida; Vitales; Vitaceae.